This 220621-nucleotide long non-coding RNA is filed under the name Malus domestica (apple). The record is from RNAcentral. Lineage: Eukaryota; Viridiplantae; Streptophyta; Magnoliopsida; Rosales; Rosaceae.
AGGAUCAAAGCUUGGUGUCCAUGACUACAGCAAGGGGGACCAUGGGCUACAUUGCACCUGAAGUGUUCUCCAGGAAUUUCGGAAAUGUGUCGUACAAGGCAGAUGUUUAUAGCUUUGGAAUGCUACUGCUUGAGAUGGUAGGAGGAAGGAAGAAUAUUGGUUCAAUUACGGAUAACACUACAAAUGAAAUUUACUAUCCACAGUGGAUUUAUAAUCUUCUAGAGGAAGGGGAUGACCUACGAAUCCACAUUGGGGAAGAAGGAGAUGGUAAAAUUCCAAAGAAACUUGCAAUUAUAGGGCUAUGGUGUAUCCAGUGGCACCCGUCGGAUCGUCCUUCCAUGAAAAUAGUGGUUCAGAUGUUAGAAGGAGGAGGAGAAAGCUUGAGUAUGCCGCCUAAUCCCUUUGUGCCUACUGGUUCUACAACUAGGAAUGCAAGACACCUAGAGCUAGAAGCUAUUGCUGAAUUAGAGUAAAAUGUAUAUGCAGAUAUGUAGACGUAUAGAUAUAGUAAUAUUUAUAUUGAAUAAGAGGCCGUUUGAUAACCAUUUCGUUUUCAGCUUUUAAUUUUUAUUUUUCACUUUUUUGAAAACUAAAAACUAAAAUCUUGUUUGGUAAAUACUUUUAGUUAAAAAAAAAUGAAGACUGAGAACUAAAAUGUGAAAGCUCAAAGGAAGUAGAUUAAAAGUAGUUACCAAACAAACCGGAAUCUCAAUAAAUAAAAAAGAUUGAAUUGCACAAUGCAAUCCAAACCAAUCAAAACAUUUAAAAUAGCAAAAAAAAAUUAAAAUUCUAGUUGAUUAGAUUCUAAACAUAGUAAAAAUGAACAGAUCCGAUGAAAAAAACAAAAAAUUCUCAGAUAAAAAUAGGGAUAAAGUAAAAUAUUUAUAAAUAGCUCUUUGUCUCUUAUGCCAUCAAUUAUUUCUAUAGUAUAUACACGUUUUUGGAAAAAUUAGGUUCCCAUCCCUUAUUUUCAUAUUACAUUGAUUGAAAUCUUAUUAUUUUUCUAUUUUAGAUCAAGGUCCCUUGACUUAUUCUAUGUCAUCAUUUUAGUAUUUAAAAUAUUACACGUUAUCAUAAACGAAAUCUCAUCCCUUUCUGCAUUUAAGGCAAAAUAAACUAUAUGAGUAAGUUUAAAACAAGGAAAAUCCAUUUGAACUCCUCCAUUCUUCUUCUUCUCUUAUAAACAUCUGGAAUCUACAACACCCCAAACCCAAUUUUCUCCAUUUUUUCUCCUUUCCUGAAUUGAUCCAAUGCAUAUAUGUUGAAUAAACCUAUUGUGAUUAAAAUACAAAUUAGCAUCAAUGGUUUUAUUGGCUUGUGAGAUUUGUGUGGCAUAGGCAAGGCAAUGCAGGCAUCGUUUUCUCAAGGAAUCUGGUUGAUUCAAACAUGCAGAGACUGUAGAGUGAGUGGGCUAUGUGAAAACUGUACCAUUCUGAAGUCAUUUUCUUUUGUUCUUUAUAUUUUUUUUUCUUUUUCUUUUAUUAUUAUAUAUUAGUCUUGGUUAUUCAAUGCCUGGUUGGCUACACUUAUAUCCAUGGGUACAUUUUUAAUCUACAUGUUUCGUUCUAAUAUAUCUAUUGCUAUAAUAUGUUUUGGUUGGUUCAAAUUUGUUUUACAUAAAUAUAUGGGUACAAAGUUUUUGGAGAAUAUUAUGUAAAUGGUUUUUAAGGUUGCUGCAUUUUACGUACCCACAUAUGCAUGUCUAUAAAACAAUGUGGUAUGAUGUACAUUCUUUUCUUUGAGUUUUUAAAUGUACCCAUGAGUUUUUUUGUAAAUUCGGUAUGUACCCAUAUGCUAUUUAUGUUAUGGGUACAUACAUUAUUUUUGGUCUAAGUUCAGGGUACAUUGCUUUUGUAUGUAUGAAUUCAAGGGGUACAUUAUUUCCCUUAAUACUACUCAAUAAAAUUCACAAAAUAUGUGUAGUGUGCAUGAUUUUUUAUUGUAGAAAUUGUUUUUUUUUAAGUCUCAUAAUUCAUGAAAUUUGUACAUAUAUGAUCCCAUAAAUUUUUUAAUUUUAUUAAAUUUCUUUUAGACUUGAUCGAUUGAUUGAAUCUCAUCAUACUAGGAUUUUGAAUUACAUAAAUUCUUGGAUUUAAAUCCCUUAAAUGUUGGACUGCAAUCAAUAUUUUAAAUUAUAGUUUUUUAUUUAAGAUAUCAAAAAGAUGACAUGGAAAUAUAGUAAUACUAAAAUGCUGAGGUGUACAAAGUCAAAGGACUUUGAUCAAAAAAUAAAAAACAAUAAGAUUUCAAUCUAACAAUUAAAUUGACUAGGGACCGGAACCAAAAUGACCCUAGAUUUUUAUUGAGUUUAAUCUUAAUCAAAAAAAGACUUCUUGUAUCACAGAAAAUACAAGAACCAUUAUUUGAAUGAAAUAAAAGCUAUGGGAUGGAGAUAUAAAUGGAUCAUUUUAUUCACAAUCGGAUUAUAUUUAUUUGAUACACUAUUGUCAAUAUGAAUGUUGAGAAAAAGACUACAAAAGAAAAAACAAUUUAUAAAUAUAACUAACAAUUCCAAUUUCAAUCAAUUAGACAAUUAGAUAAUACAUCAGUAAACGCGGGGUGACUCAGUGGUUAGAAACGAAUUUUAGGCUCGUAUUCUAUACAAUACGUCUUGGGUUCGAUUCCUGACAAUGGUGAAUCACGCGACGGUAGAUAUAGGGGUGUUGUUGGAAGUUUUGAGACUCAAGUCCUUUAUAUAGAUUUAGUGCUUUAGUUUAGUAAUUAGAAUAUGGGUCAUUUGGAAAUGGAUUGAAGGUUUGGGCCUUAUGGUUGUGUGGAUUAGGCUUGUAUAAUAUAGCCUAAAUACAAUUAAUAUUAAUUAAUCAAGACAAGGGCCUUGGGCCUUACUUGGGGCCUUGGAAUUUAAAAUUAAUCUGAUUCAUUAAUUUUAAUUUUCGGAUUAAGUUUUUAAUUAAUUUAUUAUUAAUUAAAAACGUUUUGAUUAAAAGACACAGCUCUUAGAAAAGAGUUAUGAACCUUCAAAUACACUGAACUGGUAUUUGAAAGGGUGUGAAACAACCUAUAUAUCUGCAAUCCAUGGUAUCCAAAUAAAUCAUCUUUUCUUCUUCCUUUUCUUCCGUACAAACUUUCCAGAGAGAGUAAACACACAAAGCAAUUCGCUAGAAUUCUAUAAUUUAGUGCGGGUUAUAGGAUUAGGUAGUUGUAUCCUGGUCGAGCAGACGUUAUAGAACCACAAGCACAAGAGUGGGACGGAAUUACUGUUCGAAUGACAUAGCUUUUACGUUAGCCUCUACCUUCUGUAAUCAAGUUAGUACCGUUGACAUUCUUAUAUUAAUUUCUGUAUUUAUUGUAUACUUUUCAUUUUGUAUAGCAAGUACCUUUUGUUAAAUAAAAAUUGUGAAUUUCAAGUUCUGUUUAUUUCUGUUAUUCUGUUUAUUUCUGAAUUGUUCUCCAACACCCCUAUAUCUACCGUCGCGUGAUUCACCAUUGUCAGGAAUCGAACCCAAGACGUGUUGUAUAGAAUACGAGCCUAAAAUUUAUUUCUAACCACUGAGUCACCCCGCGUUUGAUUAUAUUUCACUUAGACUUAUCUUGCGGUAUAGCAUGUCAUCCCCGCCCAAGUUUUUCUGUUGGCAUUGAGUUUGGGAUACCAAAACUUGCCAAACAAAGUAGAUUGAUUAGUAAGCGAAGCUAAUUAUUCGACUAAACAUUGUUUAGAAUUUUAAUUAAAAGAAACAAUAUGAAUCUGUUUAUUUUUUUUUUUGACAAACUAUAACGUUAAGGAGUUAAAUUGUUAGUUAUUAAGAGUACAAUGAUAGGUGAGGAUCGAACCUCCACCAGAGUGCAUAGACAUUAUUGGUUCUACAACUGCGGUAAAUCACAUAAAACAAAACGUAAUACUUUGAGGAUGGAAGACACUUCGUGGAUAGCGGGCAAUCAACACUAUCAGUUGCUAUCCAAAACUUGGAAUUAUGUUUAUUGUCCGAAGGAUUUUUCUUCCAUUAAAUUGCUAAGGAAGAUGAGGAUGGGUGGAGUGUCUAAAUGUCAAGGUUGACAAGAACGUGUAUGGUGUUCAGCUUGCGAUUGAGAUUUGUUAGAGUGGCACAACAAACCACAUAAAAUUUUCUAAAUGAUAAGCUUGAGUAUAAUUUUUUAUCACGUAUUUAUCUUUAAAAUCAUUAUAAUUAGAUUUUCUCUUAAUUAAUAUAGACCGUUAGAUUCAUCUAAUGACCCAAGUUUUUUUCCUCUUUUCUUUCCACUCUUUUCCAUUCACCGUGUAGCAGUCGUUCUUCCCCAACUACGUUUCUUAUUUUUCUUCACAAAAAAUUUGUAGAAAAUAUUAAGAAAAGAAAAGUCAUCAAUAUCAGACUCGACCAGGUAAUCGUUCCAACCUUCCCAGCAACUCUCAGUCUUAACUAGGCACCAAAUUUUCUCCGCCACCUAACUCGUCAUUCAUUCAUGGGUGUUUCAAGCUUGGUGAAAAUUGAUAGAGUUCCAUGUGUGUACACGGAUGUGAACAUAUUGGCCACUCUCUAAGAAUGAGUCAUUGGAAAAGUUGAAGGAAAGAUGUAACCGAUGAAAUUAAUGGAUUGGAAUUACAAUGAAGUCUGUGUUGGUUUAUCACAAAGAACCCAGAUACAAAAUUUUAAAAGCAAACAAUUUCAACUUCUCAAAUAUUAUCUAACAAACUUUCAAUGAAAUGUUGCUCAUAAUUGAAAAAAGGUUGACGAAGGACGGAGUUGGGGUUAUUUUAGAUGAGGAAGAGUUAAAAGAAGGAAGCACCAUUUAAUUAAUAAAAGUGAUUGGAGAAAUGGUAAUUCAAUGGUGGGCGUUUUUAAGGUGUGGACCUUGUAUCACACCCUGAUCCCAACAUACAUUGAGGAUCGACACGUGACAUGGGGACAUAGGGGACAAAAAUCUUACAUAAGAUACAGAAUGAAAUACUAUAUAAUAUCCCAAAAUGAAUAUGAUAGUGGGUUCACCCCUAUAAAAUACAUACGAGUUUGUACAUUCACAAAAAAAUAAAAAAAAUAAAAAUAAAUAAAAAUAAAAAACACACACACAACUCUCGCUAGGCCAAGACUUGCCCAUGGUGCUCAAAGGAAAGUCCCAAAAGAAAUAGUACAAUGAAGGAUAAAGGGGUAACCUAAACACUCCAAGUCUCUGAUCUCUGCACUGCUACCCCCACCGGCUCCUCGUAAUCUACUCAGACCUGUCACAUGUACAAACAGUGCCUACAUUGUGGGAAUGGUGCACCAGGCAAACAAAAACCCGGAUAAGCUGCAAAACUCGUGUGAGUGACAAUAAUGCAACGUAUGUGAUAAUCAAGAAAAACAGACCAUCGAUCACAGUUUAUAAAUCUCAAAUAUAACUUCAUACUUAUGAAAUCAUAAUCAAGUCACUGAAAACUUCGAAUGAGUCACCCAGACAUCUAACGACUUUUCUAAAUCAAAUCUCAGAGAUUCCCAAAACUAUCGUUCACAAAUACACUAAAAACUAGGGCUAGAGUGACACAGUUCAGCCAAAGCCUACAUAAGUAACCAAAUAAGAAGUGGCCCCCCAUAGCGGAUUAACCAAGCAGAGCCACUCCUGAGAAAGUAACCAAGUAGGUAGUGACCCCCAUCACGGAUUAACCAAGCAGAGUCACUCCUACGAAACUGUUAGGUAGUGAUCACCCAUUACGGAUUAACCAAGCAUGAUCACCCCUAAGCACGUAUGGCCAUACCUAAGAAAUAAGGAUCGCCCAUCGCGGAUUAACCAAGCACGAUCCAAAAAUAUUAUGGGUCCCCUAUCGCCGAUUAACCAAGCAUGACCAUCCAUGUACCACUGCUACAUGGUGUAAAUUCGGUGUCACCUAACCUCGUGACACUAGGGUAACGGUCCUCUAGUAGCCCUCACGUUUUUCAAACAUUUCAAAUAUAUAAUUUAAAACACAAUUCAUAAACAUUUCGAAUAGGGAAGUCACAUAGUGUUUAAUAAUGUAGGUCAAUGGCAAACUUUAAAAACAAUUAUUUAGCAUAAAACAUAUUUUAGAAAUCCAUGCUGUAUCCACAAAGUAUACUAGCACGGGAGAUUUUCAGGGUAAUAACUCUAUCACAUAUAUUAAAGUCACUCACCUGGAGUCCGCACUAACGCACCCUGGCACGAAUAUCAAGACGUCGCGUACUAUCAUCUGCAACAUCCCACAUCGACCAACGAAGAGGGGGUGAUGUGCCUUCUAUGUACAUGCCCACCUCCAUAGCAUGAGGCAUUUUGGGAGCUCACUGGCUUCAUAUUCCAUCGGAACUCCAAAGUUAAGCAAGUUUGGGCGAGAGUAGUCCCAGGAUAGGUGACCCAUUGGAAAGUUAUUGUGUGAGUCCUAGAAACAAAACCGUGAAGGCGUGGCCCGAGGGGGCCCAAAACGGACAAUAUUGUGCUACGACGGAAUCGAGACUGAGAUGUGACAGAAUGGUAUCAGAGCCACUCUGCCGUGUGGUGCGAGUGUGCCGACGAGGACGUCGGGCCCCUAAGGGGGGUGGAUUGUAACAUCCCACAUCGACCAACGAAGAAGAGGUGAUGUGCCUUAUAUGUACAUGCCCACCUCCAUUUAGCACGAGGUCUUUUGGGAGCUUAUUGGCUUCGGGUUCCAUCGGAAAUCUGAAGUUAAGCGAGUUCAAGCAAGAGCAUUCCCAGGAUGGGUAACCUACUGGGAAGUUCUCGUGUGAGUUCCCAGAAACAAAACUGUGAGAGCGUGGCCAGGGCCCAAAGUGGACAAUAUCGUGUUAUGGCGGAGCCGAGAUUGGGAUGUGACAUUGUCACCUAAGACAAAGUACAGAUCCACAUUUAGAGUUCUUCAAGUAUUCACAUAAUAAAAAAUUUCCAUACGCCCCCUACAACUAAUGAACAGAAAUCGAGACACGUUGACAAAAAGUCAACCGUCGAUCAACGGUAGGGUCCACAACCCUACAUAACUCGAUCCGCAAUAUCCAACCACUGUAUUUGUGAUUCAUAAGUUCAUAAGGUCUUCAAAUCCUACCUACAAUAACAUACUAAACUUUGGUGAUGAUCUAAUGGUCGAAUCAUCAUUUGCUAUAAUGUUCAAAUGACGCAAAUUCAUCAAUCAGAUGUCAAAUAUGGAAUCAGACAUCGAAUUUAGCUUAGGAAUGUCAAGUGGUGUCUCGAGCACGCACCGCCGUGCGCAACAGCUGGCAACCUAGAUUCGUCGGAAAAAUCACCUAAUUCCAAAAUGAAUGUUGUGAGACGUGGAGUAAAUUGUAUACCUGUGAAGAAGCCCAAUUUGGCCGGGAAGUGGCCUGAAAUCACUUUAGACCGUCGGAAACCCUAAAAUAGGUGAAUCUCGAUUCGUCAUCCCCGGUAUUCCACCGUUCUCAAACUUGUUUAGGGUUUGCUCAUGGUCUCAAAAGAAUGCUAAUGAUGGUGGUGAUUGAAAGAGAACGUUUCAGAAAUAGUGAAUCACCAAUGAGGGUUUCACGAAACCGACAUGGGUGUUCCUCGUGGAACCAAGACCAAAUCUCAACGGUUUUGGCUAGAAAUGGAUGCUGGGAUGUCAUGGUGAAGUUUGGUAGUGAUGGGAGGUUGAAGAAAGACAAAAAAAAUCGACAAAAAAAUCGUCGUCGGAGUCGCAAGAAACGAGUUAGAAAAAUGAGUCGUCGGGUCUGAAACGUCGAAGGCUUUUGAGACAACUACUUACUCUCUCUUCUCUGAUUAGUCACUCCACUCACUCUCUCAUUUGAUUGGUCCAGCCUUCCCACAUGGUGGGAGUUCCCUCAUAUAGUAACCCAAAAUUUACUAUUUAAAUCUGGUAUUGAACGUCCGUAACUUUUUCGUUAUGGUUUCGAUUCGCAAACGGUUUUCACCUAUGCGCUCGUAUGAUCGAAUUAUACUCAAAAACAUUAAUUAUGACCUCGAAAAGGUCUACGAGUUUUAAAAGAUUAAUUACAAAAAUUCACACCUUGUAACUAUACGAUUCAAAUCCUAAAAUUAACGGAAUUAAAAUAAACUAAAAAUAAUGUAAACACGAAAUACAGACUUUAAUAAUGAAAUACGUAAUUAAUAGUGGAAUUCCGGGGAUGGGAUUUCACAACUUGCGUCCGGACCUUCAAUGCGGAUCAAAAUCCAAAGGUCGUGAUCUGACGAGCUCAUGCAUAGAACAGAGUUGUUGUGACCCAAUGCAAUUCAAAACUUUUAUGUUUUUUUAUUUACUGGGUACGUUUUUUAUUUACUGGGUACAUUUUUGCAAGACGUUAAAGAAAGCGCUUCUUGGGAGGCAACCCAUGUAUUCAAAAAAGGAAGAUCUAUGAAUCGCUCUACAAUUAGUUUUGCGUUUCUAAAAACCUUCCCUUUUCUGCAUUUCUAUUUUGCCAUGAUUGUCAUUUUUUAUUUUUGUUGUUUAUUUAAUUAUUUUUGGGUGUGGGUUUAUUUUUGAAACAUUGACAGAUAUGCAAGAUAUUCUUACAUUCAUUUUCAUGAAAAAAAGAAAAGGGAACAUUAAGCAGGAAAUUACAAGAGGGAGCCUUCACAAAGGCUGCUUAGGAGAAGUCUCAGUAGUCGGCGGAGCCCCAGAAGAAGGAGGCAGCGGAGGUUGAUCAUUUGGAGCUUCAGUACGCGGUGCAGCCCCAGAAGACGAAUGCAAAUGUUGUUGGAACAAACCCACAAACCGCUGAUGAUCAAGUAAAAUCUGACAAUCAGAUUCCUGCAUCUGGUCAAUCUUCCUCUUCAUGUUUGUAGCAUAAUUAUGUGCGAGCCUGUGCAACUGUUUAUUCUCAUGCUUAAGCCCUCUAAUCUCCUGCUUAAGACUCAUCACUUCAGCCGCCAAUGAUUCAACUUGACGGGUUCGGGCAAAUAGGCGUUGGGCCAUAUUAGACACGGAACGUGCGCACUGCACACUGAGAGCUAGAGAAUCCUUUACAUCCAACUCAUCAGACCGUUUGGCAAGUAGUCUAUUAUCUUUGGGAGUGACAGGGUUCCUGACCACCACCGCAGCUGUCAUAUCAUUCUUCAUCACCGAAUCCCCAACGAUAAGGGGACCAGUAGGGGAUAUGAAGGAUGGGCGCCAUAUGUUGUCUGGAGAAGGCGGGACUGCCUCUUCACCAAGGUUCAAGUCAAAACGACGAUCGGAUGGGCCAAACAUUUUCACAGGUGUUAAAGAAAGAAGAGGUCGGACAAGUCAAGAUCGUAGAAGUGCAAGAUGAGAGUUUUUACAGGCAGAAAUUCAAGUGUGCUUUGAACGUCCUACGUACUUCUAUAAAAAUCAGCACUCGAUGGGAUUUCAGAGAUCGAAGAGGCAAGCUCAGAAAUCGAAGAGGCCAACUAAAAAAAUUAAAGAGGCGCUAGCUUUCUCAAAAGCUGAGCUUGCUCAGAAACCACGGCCAAUCUUCUUUUCCAGAUUUGUCCGCACUUGUCACAUGCAACUCGACGGGAUUUCAGAGAUCGAAGAGGCAAUUCCAGAUAUCGGAUAGGCAUCUGCUUUUGCAGACGUGUCAACAUCUGUCACAUGCAGAGUAAGCUUUGCGAAAAUCACGGGCAGUUUGUGAAGCGCCGAUUCCAACCAUCUGCUUUUGCAGACGUGUCAACAUCUGUCACAUGCAUAGUAAGCUUUGCGGAAAUCACGGGCAGUUUGUCGAAGCACCGAUUCCAACCAUCUGCUUUUCCCGACGUGUCAACAUCUGUCACUUGCAGAGUCAGCUUUACGAAAAUUACGGGCAAUCUGUCGAAGAUCUCUUGUGAAGUUUACUAUUAAAUCAUCCAACGGUUGCUGACAAGAGUGAAAGAAUAGUACCGACUAUUAAUUCCUAUAAAUGUCAUCCUUCACCCUCAAUUGCAAGGCAGACAUACAUAACCCCCUUCUUCUCAGAAAAUGCCUUUCCAACACACCCUCUCGAGUCACUCAGUGUUCCUAAUUCCUUGGGGUACCUCUGCAAACAACUCAUCCAAAGCAAAAGUAUUUCAUAUCAUGAAGGUUGAAAGCAAGAGUAUCUCAUAUCAUGCUUUCUCCCUGUCCUUCUCCUUGUCUUUGUUUUAGGACAAGGAGAAAGAGAGCAAUCAGCCAGCACUUGGUAUCAAUCUUCCGAUCUGGAACCGACUGCCUGGAACCCCUUCCUGAUUGCUUACCUAGCCUUGCUCUCGAGAACUCAUCUUCAUCAUCUUAUGCUUCCUCUUCGUCUACCACAUCUGCCUGGGGAACAGAUAAGGGAAGUGAAAAUGAUACCUCGAAGCAUGUGGAAACAAUUUACCAAUUCAUCCUUAGCUAGGGACAAGGAGAAAAAAAGCAAGAGGUGGGCACUUGGAAAGAUUGAAGAAAGAAACAGACCAACACCUCUACCUCAUGCCUGCCCGCCGUGCAGAAGAAUCAAGCAGAGAAGAAUACAGACUGCACAAUCAAAUCAGGGAACUCUCAUAUUUCUCGCUCAGAAUUCCAAACCAGUUCAAGAUCAACGCUGUGGAAAGUCAACAAGAUCAUCUAUCUCCAAAACCAGAUUUGCGUUCUUAAACUCUACUCUGUCUGGUUUUUACUUUGCUAUACUUGUCAUGUUUAUUCGUUGUUUGUUUGUUUGCUUGUUGUUGUGUGAGUUUAUGUUUAAAACAUUGAGGACAAUGUUUGAUUUAAGUGUGGAGGGAUAACCAUUGUUUUGCAUGAAAUUCGUAGGAGUUUAUCACCCAUUACUUCUAGUGUUGUUCCUUGCUGUUUUAAGUGUUUUAAGCUGUUUUGGAGUGUUUCAGUGUGUUUUGACAUAAAAAUCCGAAAAUCUCAUAAAAAUUUGAAAAAUUGUUUUGAAAAACCAAAAAAGAGUUGUUUUUGUAUGUUUAUUUGUGUUUUAGGGUACCUUCCAACACAAUGAUGAGGAUUUGGUUUUUAAUUACAUGACUGUUAAAGAGAAUUAUAAACAUGGAUGAAAAUUUGAUUUACUCUUUGGUGUAUGCUUGGUUGUGGUUAUAAUUUAUGAAUUCACAUGCAAUCAUAAAGGAAAAAUCAAUUUUGUAACAUGCUUGAAAGAAGGAACUCAAAUGUACGCUACAACCUUGUGAGACUUGAGCCUAGACGUUUAUUUGGAGAGUUAAUAAUGUGCAUUUUUGUUUUCUAAAGUCGUUGUAUGAUCUCAUUAUUCUUUGCUUGGUUGCUACCUAGAAUGCGUUCAUCAUUAUAGAUCCACAUACUAGAACUCAUGCCCGUUCCAUUCAAAGCAUGACAUUAAUUUGCAUAACACAUAUCCAAGAUGAAGUUGUUUAGUGAACCAAAGCCAAAAUAGCCGAACCCACCUUUGUCAUUUGUUUUGUAGGUUUAAACCCCGUUGAGCCUUGUUUAGCCUAUUUUCUUUGUUAAACCACAUCAUCUCUACCUAACCUAGAAUAGGACUAUCCAUACCCUUGUUCUUGAAGUAUAGUGGAGCAUAACUUAGAAAGAAUUCAUUUUGAAACUUAUUGGGGGAAUUUAGAUUUCAAAUUUUUUGUGUGCCAAAGAAAACGGCAAGAGAAAAAAUUCGUGAAAAAAAAGAAAAAAGAAAAGAAAAAUUUGCAAAUUUUCCUGUGUUUAAAAGUAGAUGCCUAAAUUAACCCUUACAUUAAUUUUCCUUGAAUAAUUUCUCAUUCCAUCUAAUUUAGAUCCAUCUUGCUCACUAUUCUUUUUAAAUUUGUGGAUUUUGAAAUUUCAAAUGAGAAUGAAAUUGGAUGAGUUCAAUUUUCGUUUAAUUCUUACAAUUAAUAAGAAAUUCCGUCGAAAACAUUUUGAGUAUUGUUUAAUUUUUCAAUAUUACCGUAUUGUGUCAUUGAAAUAAUUAUCAGAGGAAUUAGGGAAUUCUCUUAAGGAACAACUCAAAAUGUAGUACAUGAUUAAAUAAUUCCUUUGAAUGGUCAACUAUGAUCAACAUAUCUUGUAUCAGAUCUUAGUCAAAUACCUGUUAAGAGUGUAAAUUUCUUGUGUGAAAAUGAGUGUAUCUAGUAAUUUUGGCAUUAGGAUGUUACUACAUUCUCAAAAUGCUGUUUUUUGAUUAAAUGAGCUGUGAGGUACUAAUCAAAUAUGCUCGAGGGUAAGAAUGGCUUAAAUUAUGUGAGUGGUGAUCUGGUUCAUGUUUCAUUAAAAAUCCCUGAGGCAAAUGUUGGAAGAUUUAGGUUAUGUUUUGUUUGUUUCGUUUGUUUUGUUUUGCUCGAGGACUAGCAAAAGCUAAGUGUGGGGAAUUUGAAUUUGAUAGGAGCAUUAUUAUGCGACUGAGUUAGCUUGUUCUCAUGCAUUUAUGUUGUUAUUUCUUAGUUAAUUAUGUAUUUUAAGCUAUUUUCGUGUGUUUGUAGGUCCAUAGGCCUUAUAAAGCAAUAAGGUGCAUUUUGGAGCAGUUUUGGGCUUGGAAUGGAUAGCACAUGCAUGGAGUAAGGUGAUGGACGAAAUUGAAGACUAAAGAGGCUUGGAAUGUGUUAAAAAGAAAGAAUAAUUAAUGACAAAGAGCUCAGCAACCAAACAGGGAACAUGAGUCAAGAUUACCUUAUUUUGAUUUAAUCUUUCCUAAUCUUCAAUGUCCCUAAGUUCCAACAACAUUCCUUGUCUAUUUCAUUCACUCAUUGCCUAGCACCACCCUUGUUCCCUCCAUCAUUCCAAAUUUCUUGCAUCAAUCAUCACUCCACCUUAACCCUUGACUCAUUUCUACACCAUUCCACCUCCCUUUCCUUUCUCUACCAUGUGCACAAUCAUUCAUGUUCCCUACUUGCAUUCAUUGUUGCAACACCACUCCAUUUUACCCCUCAUGCUUUGCAUCAUUACUUCACUUUCACCUUUGAAUCAUUUCAACACCACUUCAUUUUACCCAUGGUUUGCAUCAUUACUUCACUUUCACUUUCACCUUUGCAUCAUUACUUCACUUUCACCUUUGAAUCAUUUCAACACCACUCCAUGUCCCCCUCCAUUGCCUUGCCCUUCCUCUAUAAAAGGAAGUGUGUGUAACAUAAAUUUAGUUCAUAUAUUUUUUUAGAUCAUUCACUCCCAUUUCAAUACAACCUUCAUCCAAACACAUUCAUUCAUCUUCACAUCCAUUCCUCCAUACAAACAAACCUUCAAACACUCACCAACACCUUGUGCCAUAGCAAAGGAAGGAAAGGAAAAUGCUUGGACGUGCGUGCUGUCAACUUGGAUCGUUGGAGCGUUUAGGUGUUUUCUUUCUUUUGUUUCCAAUGUUAAAUUCAUUUUCUGAUUUUGUUGCAAUUAUGAGUGGCUAAAACCCUAUUUAGUUAGGGGGAAGUUUGAAGCCAUGAACAUGCUUGAGAUAUGAAUUGAUUUCUUCCAAUUGUGAUUUGAUAAGUUGUGAUUGCAAUUCAAUUAUCUAUUUUAUUCAUAACUGAUUCUUGUAUGUUUAUUAAGGAUGCAUACUUAAUUUUCAUGCAUGAAUUAGAUGCUAGAAUAUAAAUGAGUUUCACCUAAUCGUUACAAGUUUAUAUUCAUGAGUAGUGAAGGUUGUUUAUCACAAUCUGACACACCCCGUCCCGAAGGAGGGCGUGCUGGCCGUCACGUGAGAGUGACGUAACCAUUUACACAGUUCGGAAGCUUUAAAAAAAAAUUCCAAUUACUAAUAUAACACACCCGAGGGUGAGUCCUACUUUUGUGAAUUCUGUCAGAACACCGUUGGAUUCCUCGUGGCCACCAAAGCUCUGCUAACUUGAACCUGGGGCGCAAAACAAAAGCUUGAACUUGAACCUUUCAGGCGCAAAACAAAAGUUUUUUCGAAAACUUUUCAUUUAAAACAUUUCUAACCCCUCACUGUAAAACCUGUAUACUUUCCCAGAAAAUAGUGUAUAUAUAAACAUAUAUAUAAGCAAAAAUCUCGAAUCUCAAACCUUUAACACUUUUCAGAAAUAUAUAUAUAUAUAUAUAUAUAUAUAUAUAACCAUUUGAAAUCUCAAGACUUGAAUCCCAAAUCUUUAACAUUUUUCAAGAAAAGCAUGCCAUGCCAUAAAUCAAAAAUAUAAAUCAGGUGAAAUAAGGAAUCAAUCGGAGACCCUGCAGUUGGUCCUAUACGAUUAAUUCAAUAGCUCAUUAUCUCACUAAGCCGGAGUCACCACAGUAACCUAUACGGCCCUACUCUGCACAUCACUCAGAACUACGUAAGGUAGUCUAUACGAUGAAAGGUGUAAAAAUACGCUCUAGUGCUUCUCUCAUCAUAUCAUCAGCGCGCAUAACUAAGAUCACCCACUAGUCGGAAUCACGCCUAGUGAUCUAUACGACUAGCAUGUCGGAACCCUCACAUGGUCUGUACGACAUCCACCUACUUGGAUCCAAGGCGAGCGUGCGGUGUGGUGAAUAAAAUAAGCACUAACACCUAGGGUGCAGGUUAUGAGCUUAAAACAUCUUAUCAACAAUCAAUUAAAUGAAUAAAUGAACUCACCUGACUUACCUGUGCCUCCACCGCACCAUGCAACAUGUAUGCAUCAAAUAUCAAUUCGUAUAACUCAUACGCAAUUCACAUUUUUCAAUUAAUUCUAUGCAUGGCAUUUUUAAAACAUAUUUUCAUAUAAAUUCAUUUUAUGGGAAAAAUCAAUAGUAUAAAGGUAAUACAAAAACAAAACUGCCCACUCACCUGGAGUUCGCCCAACAACUCCCUAGCACCACACAUCAAGGCGUCAUGAAGAUUAGUGCCUAGAACAAUAAUCAAACCCAACCUCAGAAAUCAUGCCGAUAGAAUACAUAACUUAUAUAAGACGCGUCCCUACGUAGUUCGAUCCGGAUGAUCUGCAACUCGGAUUUCAAAUCCGUAACUUCCAGAGGUCCACAAUAUACCUCUAGGACAACAUCCUAAAAUUUCAUUACCAUCCAACGGUCGGAUCUCCGUCAAUUUCCAAAACUAAGUGCCGGUUAACAUUCUAUUUUAUGAACUUACAACUCCAAUUCCGGAAGAUCCGUAAAUCGGAUUCCCAAUCCGUAAGUUCCUAUAAUCCUCAAAUAUUACGUAUUACAACGUAUCAACGUUUGGUGACGAUCCAACGGUCGGAUCGUCAAUUCACAUUUUCACCUAACUACGAAUCGUAACCAACUUAGGUUCAAUUACUCAAUUUACGUCCAUCAAUUAUCAAAACUGAACCUAGAGCCUUAAUCACAUGCUAAUAAUGACAUUGGCGGGCCAUUGGCCAUGCGCCGCCGCGCGGGCCGCCGCGGGUGGCGGUUGGCCGCCCCCGGCUCGCCGGAAAAUUCAACUAUUUCCAAAAAUUACCAAAAUUUGCAGAUUUGAAGAUAUCAAUGAGUAGAACAACUUUCAUACCUGUGGCCAAGGCCAAUUUGGCCUGGAAGUGCUUCAAUUUCACCAAAACCGUGAAGAACCCUAGAAUUAGGUGUUUCCAAUUCGACCUUCAAACUUGUUCCAACGCCUCAAUUACCUCUUAGUAUUUGUUCUAGGUCCUAAAGGAAUGCUAAUGGUGUUAGUAAUUGAAAGAAAACAUUUCAAAAUUUCAAGAAUUUAAACAAAAGGGUCGCGGCACCCGUGUGGGUGUUCUUCGCGAAAUCACCAUGAAAUUUAAUGAUUCUUGGGGUGAAACGUGAAGAGGGAAGGCCUAGAUGUUGAUUAGGAGUGGUACCUUGACUCAAUUCGUCGGAAAUUUGGACGAAAAUGGUGAGAACCCGCCGAUUGGAAGUCGCGGGUCGCACGGGUAUACGGGUUGGGAAAACCCAUUUCUUCCUUCUCUCCUCCGCUUCUCGCCCUCUCUCCUUUCCUCCUUUCCUUCCUCUGGUUGGUCAGCUUCUCCCUCUCUCUUCUUCUGAUUCGCCUCUCCUCCUUCUUCUCCGAUUGGGCAGUUUUUGCCCAAUCUCUCUUCUUCUUUCUGUUUUCUGGUUCUUCUCACGCGCACACACACACACAACUUCCUUUUUCUCAUCCCAGCCAUCUAUUUCAUUCAUCAUUAAAUCUGGGUCGUCCAUUUUCAUAAAAGAAUUUCUAUUUUACUAAAAUUAUAAUUCCUUAAAAUCCCAAAUUUCAAACGUUAAUAACUUCUUCGAUAUAACUCCAAAUCACGAACCGUCUACGCCCACGCGUCCGUAACGACGAGUACUACGAGGAUAUGUCAAGAAAACAAAUCUUAGAUGGCACGACACAACGAUUAACCUCGAAUGAUGUGCGUGCCUCAAAGGGCAUUUUUGUAAAAUCCUUUAUGAAAACUUUAAAAAUUCUUAAAAUUAGGGACGGGCUGUCACACAAUCGCGUUAAUUGAAUUCUUGGCAAUUGUAUCAUGCAUUCAUAGUUAUAAUUGUCUCGUCAACACUUAUGAUUUUCAUUGAACGUAAUGAUCUCUGAUUGUAUCUCUAUUAUGCAUUAAUAUAGGGGACUUUUAGAGGAUGAUUUGGGUUGUCGCAUGCAUUCAUCCAAUUCAAUGAGUAAAGGAAAAUCUGAGGGUUAAUUUGUGCAUCACGGUUAAUCUGGGUGUUGAGCAUAAUAGUUUAUUGAAAAGCAAUUGGAAAUCGAUUCAUGUACAAGUGUGUCAUGUGUGAAGAACGGACCUCUAACUAAUCCAUCCAUCAUUUUAUUUCUCAAAUUCAUUUUAUAAUCUGCCUAGUUUUAUAACUUGCUUGUUUAUUUCAAAUUCAUCCAAACCAAAAUCCCCUUUUUACUUUCUUGUUUCAAAGUGUUAAAUUUCUGUUUUGUUUGUGUUUUUGAGUGUUUUGAUUCAAGCCAAAACACUAAAUUCAUCCAAAGUUGAUUUAAAGUCCAAAUCUGACUAGUUUGUGUUUUUAGGCAGUUUUGAGUGUUUUUAAGUUGUUUUGAAUCUUUAGAAUCUGUUUUGAGUCCCUUGAGUCUAUUCAAACAUUUUUAAUUUUGUUUUUAUGUUUUUGAGUCAGUUUAAAGGUUUUAGCAAGCCCUCCUAAUCCCCGGUUUAGAACGAUCCCUACUUGCAUUUAUACUACAAUUUGACAACAAGAGGGUUUAAUUUGAGUGCUUAACUUUCAUCGCAUCAUGUGAGUUCCCAGAAACAAAACUGUGAGGGCGUGGCCAGGGCCCAAAGCGGACAAUAUCGUGUUAUGGCGGAGCCGAGAUUGGGAUGUGACAUUGUCACCUAAGACAAAGUACAUGUCCACAUUUAGAGUUCUUCAAGUAUUCACAUAAUAAAAAAUUUCCAUACGCCCCCUACAACGAAUGAAGAGAAAUCGAGACACGUUGACAAAAAAUCAACCGUCGAUCAACGGUAGGGUCCACAACCCUACAUAACUCGAUCCGCAAGAUCCAACCACUGUAUUUGUGAUUCAUAAGUUCCUAAGGUCCUCAAAUCUUACAUACAAUAACAUACUAAACUUUGGUGACGAUCUAAUGGUCGAAUCAUCAUUUGCUAUAAUGUUCAAAUUACGCAAAUUCGUCAAUCAGAUGUCAAAUAUGGAAUCAGACAUCAAAUUUAGCUUAGAAAGGUCAAGUGGUGUCUCGAGCACGCGCCGCCGUGCGCAACAGCUGGCAACCUAGAUUCGUCGGAAAAAUCACCUAAUUCCAAAUGAAUGUCGUGAGACGUGGAGUAAAUUGUAUACCUGUGAAGAAGCCCAAUUUGGCCGGGAAGUGGCCUGAAAUCACUUUAGACCGUCGGAAACCCUAAAAUAGGUGAAUCUCGAUUCGUCAUCUCCGGUAUUCCACCGUCCUCAAACUUGUUUAGGGUUUGCUCAUGGUCUCAAAAGAAUGCUAAUGAUGGUGGUGAUUGAAAGAGAACGUUUCAGAAAUAGUGAAUCGCCAAUGAGGGUUUCACGAAACCGACAUGGGUGUUCCUCGUGGAACCAAGACCAAAUCUCAAUGGUUUUGGCUAGAAAUGGAUGCUGGGAUGUCGUGGUGAAGUUUGGUAGUGAUGGGAGGUUGAAGAAAGACAAAAAAAUCGACAAAACAACCGUCGUCGGAGUCGCAGGAAACGGGUUAGAAAAAUGAGUCGCCAGGUCUGAAACGUCGAAGGCUUUUGGGACAGCUACUUACUCUCUCUUCUCUGAUUAGUCACUCCACUCACUCUCUCAUUUGAUUGGUCCAGCCUUCCCACAUGGUGGGAGUUCCCUCAUAUAGUAACCCAAAAUUUACUAUUUAAAUCUGGUAUUGAACGUCCGUAACUUUUUCGUUAUGGUUUCGAUUCGCAAACGGUUUUCACCUACGCGCUCAUAUGAUCGAAUUAUACUCGAAAACAUUAAUUAUGACCUCGAAAAGGUCUACGAGUUUUAAAAGAUUAAUUACAAAAAUUCACACCUUGUAACUAUACGAUUCAAAUUCUAAAAUUAACGGAAUUAAAAUAAACUAAAAAUAAUGUAAACACGAAAUACAGACUUUAAUAAUGAAAUACGUAAUUAAUAGUGGAAUUCCGGGGACGGGAUUUCACACCUUGCAUCCGGACCUUCAAUGCGGAUCAAAAUCCAAAGGUCGCGAUCUGACGAGCUCAUGCAUAGAACAGAGUUGUUGUGACCCAAUGCAAUUCAAAACUUUUAUGUUUUUUUAUUUACUGGGUACGUUUUUGUAGGAGGAAAAGGGGAAGUCGAGAGAUUCUUUGCGCAUUAAAGAGGGAAAGAGAGAAAGGGGGAGCUAAGAGGUUCUUCGCGCGUUAAAUUUUUGCUUCUGAUUUUGCAACCUAGAAAUAAAGUAUUUUCUUUAUGGUUUAUGGUUCAAGAAUAUAAUGGAUACAGCCUAAAAAUGUUUCUUUUUUUAUUUUUUACUUUUUUUUUCUUAUGUUGGCUUUUGGUUUAUUUUUAUAAUGCACUAUAUAUUAACUAAAUUUAUAAACAUUUUGUAUCUUUGUUGCAGUCAAAUUAAUCAUAUGGGUCGGCAUGACGAAGUUCGACUGAGACAUACAGAUGUUUUGCAAUCUUAAGUCUAACCUGACACACCCCGACCUCAAUAUCUAGUGGACACCAAAAUUGAGGUGUGAUGGCCAUCAUCCGGAUGGGUGAUGAAACCAUAAUAUGCAUGAAACAUAACUAAAUUAUCAACCAAUAAAAUCUAUUGAAAAAUUUGGCAGAACAUCCCUUAAAAUAGGGAUAUGCCCAAAUUAAAAACACUUGCACAUGAUCAAAAUUAUUCAACACUUCCCCGAAGGGCCACACUUAAUGGGACUUCGACCAUCUAUUACAUGCAUGAGAAUAUGUUCAGAGCAUAAUUACCCAAACACGUCUUAUUAAAAUAUUGAGUAAAUACCAUACAAGAUAGAAUACGUCAGAGCUGUUGCAAAAUACCUCAAUGUCCGAUGUAAUCACUGAUAGAAUUACUGAAUCAUGUAUAGAUGGAAAGCUGAUAAAUACAUGUAAUUUGAGUGGAUACUUACCAGCAGCAUGGAUACAAUAUCAUCCACCGGUCGUAACUAAUGACAAGCUGAGAGUAUAACUGUAGUACCUCUUAUUAGUGCAAUGCAUGAUAUGAAUUCCAUCUCACAUAUAUAUGCAAGCCAUAAUCAAACCAAUAAACAUCCAACAAAAGCCACAAUCCUUUUAACAUUCGACCACAAGAUCAAUUUUCAUAUUUCCCAAACCUAGGUUCCAAAGCAUUGUUUCGAAUUAUUAAUACAAGAAACCACCACCACCUCAAUCAACUCCUAUUCCCAAGUGUAAGCAAUUACUAAAUGCAUCACUUUCGACUCUAGUCUUAAUUAGAUUACUUGGGAUACUCAUUCACACCAUCAGAUCCAAGUACUAUUUUGAUAAACUUUAAAUAGCAUGGUUAAAAUAAAUGAAACACUUUUAGAAAAUAAGUGAAGAUGUUGUUUACAAAUAUAGAUGCAUCUGUAUAUAAAAGCUUUGGCGGUUGAUCCGUAUACACUUCCAAAGAUAUAAGCAAGUUCAUUGGAAUAUACAUGCAUAGUUAAUGUAUUACAGUAUAAUUAAUAAGAAAACAAUUGCAUCCCUUUAAGAAUAUAUAUAUAUAUAUAUAGACACACACACAUACAUACACACAGGCCCUUUAUGCAAAGGAAUUUCCAUUUUUUUUCAAAAAAUGGGGAUUAGUUGUGGGGCCCACGUUGCAUUGAACUUUAACGAUCCGAACAGUCUAUUUUGUAAGUCUCGAUUCAUAUAUCAUCCUUGUAAAAAUUCAAUUCAAUCCGAACCCAUUUGCCUAUUUAAUUAUCAAGAUAAAAUUUUAUUGUUUCUUAUAUAACAAAGUAUUCGUUAAUUUCUUUGAACUCAAUUAGAUAUCUUAAACAUUUCCGAUUUGGUUAAUAUUUUGUAAGGAUGAUCUAUGUGGUGCAACUUGAAAAAUAGACGAUUACGAUCGUUAAAGUUCGAUGUGGUGUAAACCCUACAAUUAAUCUUCAUUUUUAUAAAAGAAUGGGAACCCCUUCCCUUAAAGGUUUCCUAUGUAUAUAUUUGUUCUCCAGACAUAUGCAGAAGGUAAUGUAAAACUAAUGAGAACUUAAAUGGAUAUUCCAUACAUAGGACAAUUCCAUAUAUGCUUUUUCAACAUUUAUAUCGAAAAGCCAAAUUGUUUUGAGGAAAUUAAUUGUAGCAAUGAUCCCUUAACUUUUAUCUUAUUGGAACAAUGGUCUCUCAACUAAAAAUUCAUGACCAUUGGUUCCUUAACACCACACAACGUGUAGUUAUGGUCAUUUUCAUUAACUCCGUCAGAACUUUUGUUAAAACAAGUAAUGUUAGAAGAAUCAUUGCUACAAUUAGGUUAAAGUUGGGGACCAUUGCUCUAAUUAAAUUAAAAUUGAGGGAUCAUUUCUCCAAAUUGCUUAAAGUUCAAGGACCAUUUCUACAAUUUUCUCAUCUAGUUUCCCAUAUUUACCCCAUGAUUCAGCUUCACAUGCAUUGCACAUGACUCAUUUUGACAAAAAAUUUAACAAAAUUGACGAAAAUGACCAUAAAUGCACGUUUUGAAGAGUUAAGAGACCAAUGGUCGUGGAUUUUAGUUGAGGGAUCAUUGCUCCAAUUUGGUUAAAGUUGAGGGAUCAUUGCUACAGUUUUCUCAAAUGUUUCGUAUGCGAAAAUAGGCAUUUGUAAAGUUUGGCUUGUUUAUGGCAUUAUUACUUUAGUCUAAAGUAAGGCUGGGAAUGGCACUGUAGAAAUGAAUAGUGUUCCAAUCCGAAUUUCAGUUUAAUUACAACAAUGCCAUUGCUCUUUGUGUUGCCUUUAGGUGAGCAGCCCGGCUUGCAGUCAGGCCCAAAUGUAUUGGUUUUAGCUGAGAAGCCCGGCCCUUGGUCAGGCCCAAAAUUUUAAAUUACAGUUUUGCCCAUACAAAAUAACAAUCCGAUUGUAUCGGGAAGGACAAUUUUGUCCUUUCAGUUUUGGGUGAGAUAAGGGGUAACAGGGUAAGUUUCAUUUGCUGUCGUUUAAUGAGGGUUUCGGGGAUGAGGGCUCUGUGUGUGUGUGGAUGAGAGAGAGAGAGAGAGAGAGAGAGAGGGAGAUGGCGAUGGAAGGAGAGCGAGGGGGAAGGGAAGGGUUCUCGGCACUGUUGCUGCAUGUGGAUUUCACAUGUGGGAGAGUGGGUAUGGUCAGAGAAAACCAUAUAGGUCAUUGGGAUUUCAGGGAAACGGGGUAGGGGUCAUGAAUGAACUCUGCUGAGAGUGUGGGUACCGGAUCUUGCGCUGCAUGCCUCAAAUCAAAGAUAAGUUCGUUUUUUUAUUGUAUUUUUUGUGGUAGCUUAGCUUUUGGAAUUGUUUAGUAUGUUAGGUCCGAUUUUGGGGGAUUUAUCUUUUUAGAGAGAGAGAUGGACAGGGAGAUAGAGAGAGAGAGAGAGAGAGAGAGGAGGAGGAAGCAUGACUGUGUGCAAUUUUUGGUGUUAAUUAAUGGGUUGGUGCGUAGGGUGAGUGACAGAGUGACAGAGUGAAGGAGGGACGUGUGGGAGGGUAUGAGUUUUCAGUUCUUUCUUUUGAUUCAACAGGUUAUACAUUGUUUGAAAAACCUUUUUUUAUUAUUUUUUUCUCGUUUGCUUUGUUAAAACCAUCAUUUGAAUUUUUGGGUUUCACUGUGUUCAUUUCUCUGCUUCUUCAUAAUUUGCUGGUGUUUGCUUUUCAUCCCUCUAUUGGUAGAUCUUUUUCUCAUUUCUUGGUUCCUUAUGUAUUCUUUGGUACAAAUCUAUUUACUUUUUGGCUGUGUGAUAAUCUUAGCAGGUGAACUAUAUGAACGUUUUUUUUGAAACGAGUUAAGAAGAUCCAGCUGAAAAGAGCAUGCAAGAUAGAGAACUGGUAUGCUGCUCGCCAGGGAAAGGCUGCUGGAGAGGCUGAGACGGAUGCCUCCUUCAAAAACCAGGUCAGUUUCCUGCUACUCGGCGUCUUAAUGUAUCCAAAUUGUUUAUCUUUUGAUGAAAUUAGCUGGCUUUAUUUUCUAUUUUAUUUAUCUGCAUAUUAUUUUGGUUUGUUGAAAUUUUGACUAUAGUCAUUGUGUCACAUGGGCGCCCAGCCCAACCCAAAUUAGUUGAGGAUAUUUAAAUCUUCACCAUGGUAUUAUAGUACUCACUCACAGUUGUGAAUACUAAGGUGCAGGCAUGGCAUGAAGAAGUGGACCGUGCACGCCAAGGUCAGAGGGAUGCAGAGGGCAAACUUUUUUCUUUGGAGGUAAGUAUCCUUUGUUUAUUGCCCAACAGUGUUGUUAUUAUCAAUUUGUAGCUUUGCGUUCUGAAUUUUUUGCUUUGUCAAACAACCUUUUUGAAAUGCUCGAUUUCAAGCCGAAGUCCAAAAAAUGAGAGUUGAGAUGGCUUCCAUGAAGAGGGAUGUAGAGCAUUACUCGCGCCAGGUGAAAUCUGCUUCCUCUCUUUUCGUAUAUCUUCAUAUGAAGAGUUUUACUAAGUUAUAUUGAGAACUAUGUUAUUUAUAGGUUAUAUUUUCCAUUUUGCAAGAACACAUGGAGCUAAGGAAGAGCUAUCGUGAACUCACUGAUCUACUGGUAAUGUCACUCAAACUGCUUUAUUUGUGCAUGCUGCUACUAUGCGCUUGAAUGCAUUUUAUUACUGGCGGGAUGCGAAGAAUGCUAGAUAUAUGUGCUGGAUCGCUUGAUUAGUGUUAGGGUUUUAACAACUAAUUGUUAGCAGCUAGAAGCUCUGGUUAGAUGAAUGCUAAUUUGAUUUUCCUUACAGUACUUGAGUGCCAGUUUCAUAUUGUUUGUUCCCUGCUGGAUACAUGCUGUACAGUUUCAUUUCUGUUUCUUCAUAACUUUCUUGGCCCUGCGAUAUAUGCAUAUUGAGUACAAUGAAUAUCCAUUGUUCUCUAACUGUUGGGCUUUACUAUCUUUGUAGCAGCCUGCCUAACAUUUUUUAGGCUCUACACUCUACCAUCCAAUUUAUGAAAAAUUCAAAGAUUGGACGGUAUUGAUUGCAUAAAUGAAAAAAAUACUAUGAUAUUAGAAAGGUGAAUGUAAUUGUGUUAGAAGAAGCGUCUAGCAUGAUGGGUAAUAUUUUAAGUUUGUAUUUCUAAAAUUUUUUCGUUCUGGAGUAUGAUUUACCUCAAUUGUUUUGUACUUUAAUCUUUACUAAUUUUCAUUGUGGAGUAUGAUUUGCCUCAACUAACAACUUUUCAUUGUUUAACUUUUUCCUCCCUUAGAUAGUUGCAUAUGUUUGAUUUGUUAAUCUGCUUCUUACACAUGUUGUUUCCUAAUGGUGUAGGUGGAUUGCCGGAUGCAUGUGCAGAUUACUUGAAUAGACGAAGCUAAGAAUGACUUAGUAUUAAGUGAGAAAGAAGCUUGGGUCAGUUGGAUUUUGACAUUUGAUUUAUUCAUGUUUUUUUGUUGCUUGCAAUGUUCUCUCAUUGUUUGUUCUGAGAUUCUGUGAUCUUAUUUUUCAUAGGAACUGACAUUGGUUUGCCAUAUAAUGUUUCAGGAACUAAUACAACAACUAAUCACCUUGCUUAGGUCUCAAGACACAUACUUAACAGGUUAACAAACGCUAACCUAUAAACUUAUCUACUAAGCUGGACCAUUAACCUCUGUUUAUAUCCCUGCCACUCAUCUUUUGGCACUUAUCAAUAGCAAAAUCUAGAGUUGUUGAAACCCCAAUUUUAAUGAAUAUUAUUUUUAGUUGAUAAUUAAAAUUAAUUGAUGAUUAAUCUAUUCCAUUGUGCAUUAUUUUAUCGCCAAAUACUUUGAAUAUUCAUUAGCAAAAGAUAUAGGGUUCACUAUUUAAUGAAUAGAAUUUUGAUGGUGGAUUGCAUUUCCUGAGUUAUAAAUGUGGUGAAUCCAUUAUUUACUAGCUGAAUAAUCAUAAUGUUUUGGCCACUUACCUUGAAUUUUGUUCAAAUUGAAGAAGUCACAUGUUUCUUUCUGUUGUUGAGGUAAUCUCUCUGUUGAAAGCUUCUAUUUCUUUUUUCUUUUUCUUUUUUUCAUUUGGGUAGAUUUUUUUUUUAUGGAUUUAUGUAUUUUUUUUCUUCAGAGAAUUCGAAAUGAAAUAAGAAUAGCGGAUUGAGCAUAAACAAAUUGAUGAAAUUUUUAUUUGAGUGUUUGUGUUGGUCCUUUUUUGAUUUGUUGAGGUUUGGAAUUAUUUGAGUUUUUUUGCUGUUAGUACUGUGAAGGAUGCUUGGCAAUCGCGAAAUGGGGGCUACCUCUUUGGAAAGAGAAGUCUCGCUAUCCAACCUCUCAUGAAUUACAAACAGGGUGCUUUCUUGCUGAAAAACCACUGAAUCAGUAGAACUUUCCUCGGUUCUUCAAUUCGAUUCGAAUAAUUUUUUUACCCAGAAAAGCCAGCGUUUCCUGGUGAGUUUUACAGCUUUCUCAAUGUUUUUUUUAUUUUGGAUUUGCAAAUUUGUUUUCUGUUCAAAUUUCCUUUUGUGAUUUUGGAGGUUUUGUUUAUCGAUUCUCUCACUCAUCUCUCAGCUCUCUCCCACUUUUGAGGUACAUGUCGUUGGAUUCCGUUUGCUGCUGUUGAUCUGCAGGUAAAGCUUCAAUUACCAUACAAAGUUUACAUUUUUCAUGAUUUCUUGAAUUUGGGUUUUAAACAAAGGAAAUAUUGCUAGAUUCUUAUCUUAUGUGCAAAUUACUGGCUAUUUGGAUUGGUGCUUGAGAUUUAGAGAAUGUCUCGCAGCUUUAAUUUCUUUUUCCUUCAUUAUUACUGUUUUCAAAAUUUUUAUUGCUGGGUAUUGAUAAUUUGUAGUAUGUGAGGGCUUCAAUAUGUUGGAAUUUUGAAUGGUUAUUGCUUCAUCGGAAUUUGGGUGGUCCAAAUUUUGAAUUAGAAGAAACCCAUUUGAUUAAUAUUUUUGGUGGAUUGGUUCUCUGUGUUUUCUUUGCUAUUUCUCCCCCAGUUGGAAAUUGGAAGCCCCAACUUUGAGCUCAGAGCUUGAAUUUCUCAAUCGUUCGUUUCUCUACACUCUCAUCAGUCACUCUUGAUCCUCUAUCUAAAGAACUGGGUAAUUUUCCAGCUCUAUCAAGUAAUACUCAAUUUAAUUGCUUAAUUGAGGUUUUUUGUUUCUCUUUUUCGCUCUUUCAUCAGUUCAUUGGCUUUGAUGUUGAGCUUAAGUAAAUGGGAGAUCAUUAAUUGGCAUUGUUCAAAAUAUAAUUAUGUGUUUUUGGAUUUGUGAAACGAUUUGCCUAAUGAUGAUAGUGGUUAAAAUAAAUUUUUCGUUAUGAAAGAGAACAUUGUUCUUCAUUUGCCUACGGUUUUAACUACAAAGUUAAACUACUAUGCUUUUGUUCAAUUGAUUGCAACUCAUGCCGCAGUUUGCUUCACAAACCUCUAUGGUUAGCUUCCAUACAGUAUGUUGCAAGUUUGAGGAUAUCUUUACAUCUUAAUUUUUGCUCUCUCUGGUUGCUUCAAGUUUGUAAUUUUACGUGUUACAUUGCUACUUGAUUUGAUUAUAAAAAUGCAAAAGAAAAUCCAUUUUGCUUUUAUUCAACUUAAAUGUAUCCUUUUGUUUGUUCAUAAUUGUGUUGAAUUUAUUCAACUUAAAUGUGUUUUAUUCAUCUGUUUACGCUUAAAACAACUGGUUCCCCUAGCAAUGCGCGGACCUAAUUUCUAGUACAUAUACUAAAAGCCAGCAGAAAAUUACUGUUCAUCAUGGGAGAUAGAGCACUGUUCAUUAACAGUGAAAGGGAAAAAAUGCCCUCGGUUUCUUCUUUACUUCACGUACUGUUUACGAAUUGCUACAGUAUAAAGUCCGUUUUGUCAUUCCUGUCCACGCAUCUUUCAUCGUCCGUUUCUCUUGCUUCGACCGCAUCUUUUUCGCUUUACCUUUCCUCUUCGUUUUUCGCCUUCGCUAGGCUGCAAUUUUCGGAGGUGGAUUGUUUGCCCUUCUAUUUCCAUGCUCUCCCCAUGCCCUCCAUUGAUGUGUGGUCACGGUUAAACUAUGUCAACAUUUUAUAUUAAUUUUUUUAUAGAAAUAAUAAAAUAAAAAGUAAUAGGUAUCCAGGAAAUUUUCGUCAAAAUAUCCAGGAAAUAGGUAUCCAGGAAAUUUGCUUUACCGAUAUUUUAAUAGGUAUCCAGGAAAUUUGCUUUACCGAUAUUUCGCCGAUAUUAUCGGUUUUUUGCUUUACCGAUAUUUUAAUAGGUAUCCAGGAAAUUUUCGUCAAAAUAUCGCGAUAUUAUCGAUAUUAUCGAUAAUAUCGCGAUAUUUUAGAUAAUAUCGAGACAUUUUGGUUUCUCGACAGUCAGUCACAAUCUCGCCGGAGAAUCAGAAUAACUCCGAGCAAGAACAAAACCUGCAACCAAACGGAACAAAAUCAUCACUAUCUUUCAACAAAAAUCACCACUUUAUACCAAAAUCAGUGACAAAAUUACACUAAUCCGAGAAGCAAGGGCUUGAAUUCGAGCAAGAUCUGGAAGAAAACAGUAGAAGCUGAGAAAUCGAGUACCUCACCGGCAGUUACAGUGCUAAAGAUCAUCAUCUUUGGAAGGCCGCGGAUCAGACGGAGCUGAGAGAUCAAUGAGUAAGCAUUUCAUAGAUCGUAUUCGAUGAGCAGCUGAAAGAGAGGAGAGAGAAAGCAGAGAGAGACGCGGACGAGGAGGAUCUCGCUGAUGGGGACGACGAAGGAGAGGUAGAGGUCGCGGCCCGCGGGACAUGGUGACGGGCUCGACGAGGAGGAAGGCGAAGGAGGAGCAGAGGAGAUGGGUGCGUGCGUGCUGCGGUGCAGAGAAGAGAGAUGAGGGAGAUAUGAGAGAGAGAGAGCCGAGAGGGAGACAGAAGAAAAAGAAAAGAAAACAGAAAGAAGAAGAAAAGAAGAAGGGAGUCGCGGGGGAACAAAGAGAGAAAAGAGAAAAGUGGAGGGGCUGCCACGUGGCCACUUCAGAAAGAAAGGGAUCCAAUGUUUUGGAUCCUGAUUGGGUAGUCAAAGAGGACCAAUUUGAUAUAUUAAAAUGUUUAGGGGAUAAUUACACAAAUAUAUCUUUAUAAAUGGGGGUGGGUGUUACAUAUUGCCCUAAAAAACUCCAAGUAAUUACAACAUCGUAUUAGAAUUGUAAUUGAUCCUUGUUAGAUUUGGUUUAGAAAUUCUAUGUAAUUUAGUGAUUGUUUCAUAUUAGAUUUAGAUUUGAAUUUUUUACUCCAUUCAGAUUUUAAAUGAUUAUAAUAGAUUUAAAAAUUUACGAACUUUGAUGAAGUUUAAUAAUUUUUAAAACUUUUAUGUAAAAUUUUAAGUGAAUUCCCUCAAAUUUUCAGGUAGCGAUUUGAGAAUGUUUAAAAUAUUAUGUGAAAUAUUUCUAAUUUUUUCGAGUUUCCCAGCUUUUUAAAAAUCUCUUUGAAUCAAUUUCUAAAUUAAUACAUUUGGAAUGUAUGAAUUUCUUAAAAAUCAUGAUCGAAUACCCCUUAAACUUUAAAGAAUCACUUAAAAUCCUAAUUAAAUGCCCUUAGAUUUUUAAGGAGAAUUAAAAUGUUUAUAAGCCCCAAUUGGAUGUACCGCUUAAUUUAACUAAUUGACACAACACAACAUAACCAGUUAAGAUUACAAAUUAACACAAAAGACGACUUGAUGCGAGGUCAUAUCUACAAAACUUGCCGCAAUAAGCCCCAAUUGGUGUGUUUAAACUUCUUUCAUUAAUUACUACAUAUUUUCUACACUCAUAAUGUUUGUCAGCUCGCUAUAUAAUCAACUUGAUAAUGUUAAAUCCAUCAUGCAAUGCAUUUCCUUCCAAUUUUUUGUGAUAAACUAAUAGAUAAUUGACUAAAUAAACAUCCUGCAAAGUUUCAAUAAAAAUUUUCAAGUUUUUUUUACAAUUUCCGUGAUUUUCAUGUAAUUUUUAUCGGUAUCGAUAUUAUGCCGAUAUUUUUAUCAAUAUUUCCGUGUUUUCGAGUACAUAUUUCCGAUAUUACCGAUUCAUCCGCGAUUUUCUCCCUUUUCGCCAGCCCCUCUUUUGCUCUCAAAUCCUUGCUCUUUCUUUUUCAAACUAGUCUCAGAAGAGAUCCUGGGUUUAUCUAAUCCUUUGUUGUUCGGCGUUUUGUUCUCAUCUUGCGAUCGUCGGGGCAGCAGCUUUAAGGUAAGUUUGUUUUUAAUGAUUUAUCCUCAAUUUACGAUGUCUGGGCUAACAAAUUUAAGAUCUUUAUUUUUCUUUUUGCUGUGGAUCUGCAGGUUUUGACAAGUUUUUUGUGAAAUUGGUGCUGUCAGUGGGUGUUAAUAUCAGGUACCCAUGUUCAGUUUUUCGUUUUGAUUUGAAGGAAUUUCUUGCGCAGAAGAGCUAGGUUUCUUGGUGAGUUCUUCGGGUUGUGCAUAUGGGUAAUUUUCUUUUAGGUAUAACCCUCUGCUUCUGCUGCUCUCUCUCUCUCUCAUCCCUGCCUGCUCCUCUCCAAUUGUUUGCUGUUCUUAAAUAUUGUGUUCAUUGCCUGAUACAAGGAGCUGCAGCAAUCUGUUUUAUCCUACACGGGACAACGAGGCAAUGGCGUGACAACAAGUGAGCUUGGAUAUCCAAAGAAAAAGAACAGUUGGUUCAUCUGCUGGAGUCUGAAGCUCAGAGAAGUGGAGGAAAAUUGCAGGUGUGCGAGAAAUUUUAUUUUGCUGAUAGGACUCCUUAUUUACCGAUGCAUUUUGAAUUAAUUGAAAAGUUGGAUUUGAGUUAACAGCUAUAAAAAUGUAGACAUGAUUGCUGAGAUUAUGCUAUGAAAGUGGAAUAAAAAAAUGGUAGUUUAUAAUAUUGCGUACCAAUUUUUUUCUCUCUUUUUUACCAAAUGAUAAGGGUGGUGGCUCAGGCCGCCCCCCUACGCGUCCCCACUCUUCGACAAGUUGAAAUCAUGGUGAUAGUUUAUGGGUUGCGGUCUUGGGAUUCUGCAAAUAGAAUAAAAAACAGACACUUAACUAUCUUGUUAUUAAGCAUUUCUGCAUCAUUCAGUUGCUCUUGAUUUUCGUCUUUUAAGCGCUCUUAUUUCUGCGAUCUGACUUGAGGAGGGGUUUUAGACCUAUGGUUGUGGGUGUUUUGUCUGACCCCAUUAAAUUGGUUUCCGAGAUUUGUAGACUUGCGAUCGGCGGUCAAACAUUUCGUGAUUCUUGCUUUUUUUCCGACUGGGAUUGACGAAUUUUGGCCGAAUCUGUUUCCUGUUUUCUUCUCUGUUUGAGCGGCCGCUGCCUUUCGGUCGUUGAGCGCCGGCAGUCUUUAGAUCUUUGGCAAAUCAAUUUAAUACAACCGAGGUAUGUUUUAUAACUGCUGUCUUUCAAUUUUUGUUCUGUAUUUUUGUUAAUUUGGAUGAAGCUCUAAUAAUUUUGUUUUGGAUCAGUUGUGGUCCUCUGUUAGGAUUUUCCUGGCUAAGAGGGUAUUUGCAUUUUUGUUGCUUGGUUGGUCGAUCCAGUGUAUUAAAAGCGUGAGGCGUGGGCGAGGCGUCCGAGGGAAGCUCGGCCUAGGCGUGAGGCGUGAGGCGAAGCCUCAUGGGACCUAAAUUUUUUAAUAUAUAUACAUUGAGCGUACACAUAUAUUAUAUUAAAAAUAAGAAGAUUAUUAAUCAAUAAUCACCUUGAGCACACACAUAUAUUAUAAAUAUAUACACACACACAUAUAUAUACAUAUAUUAUAUUAUAUAUGCAUAAAAUAGAGGAUGAAAAACACAAUGAGCACACAUAUAACAAUGCACGCAAACAACACACACAUCCAUUAUAUAAAAAUAAAAAUCAGAAAAAAGGCAUAGAGACAAAAGUGCAAGGAAGAUGUAUGAGACAGUUAAAAUCCUACCCAAAAUUUGGGUUUGGGAGUAAAGAAAAAAAAAAAAAAAAAAAAACUCACUGAGGCGCGCCUAGGCGGCUCCGGCGACGCCUAGGCGGCCUUUCGCCCACUCCAGCAAAACUGAGGCGUUAGCCAUGGAGCCAAGCCUCAAGGGCGCCCUAGGCGCGCCUCGAGGCGAGUUUUUUAAAACAUUGGGUCGAUCACAAAUUUACGAACAGCUGUGGUGGUCCUGUUAGAGCCAAGCCUCAAGGGCGCCCUAGGCGCGCCUCGAGGCGAGUUUUUUAAAACAUUGGGUCGAUCACAGAUUUACGAACAGCUGUGGUGGUCCUGUUAUUUUUUUGGUAUGUUUUUUCUCCUUUUUGGUUUUUUCCCGGUUUGAGCACCCAUUCAUGAAGAAUUAAAAUGUGUUUAUAGUUUUUCAGGAGAGAUUAGAAAAGUGAUUUCAAUUUGGGAAAAUUUAAUGUUGGUUAAAAUUUGUUUAUAAUUUUUGGGAAGGAAUGAGAGGACCCAUUGAAGUAUGUGUUGUGAUUAUUUUUUAUUCAUAUUUUUAACAAAUUGGGCAUGAAUUGGUAGGUUAACUGUGUGUGUUUAUUAUUUGAAUCGGCCAUGUUUGUCUUUCUAUGGUUCUAAAAAAUUUGUAAAGGCUGUUAACUUGGAAGAAAAUGGGAUCGAGGGUGAGGGGAAAACAGCAGAGAAAGCAUGGAAGAGAGAUUUGGGAUUAGGGGUAGGAAAACAGAUGAAAAGAAUAUGAUAGAGGAAUGGGUUCAGUUCAUUUUCACUAUUUUUUUUAACUGAUUUGGAUUUUGUUUGGGUUUGAGGCCAUCAUUGGCGUUAAGACGUUUAUUAUCAGAUCGUGUGUGUUUUUUGCUAACUUUUAUUGGUAAUUUUUAUGUUGUUCUUAUGAUUUUGUGUGGUAGGGUUUCUGAAUUUUAUCGUUGUUCAUUUGGUUUUUUCUGAAUUUUAUCUGAUUUUGUGUGGUGAGUUUACAAAAUAAUACUAAAUAAAUUUAUUUGUAAUUUCGGAUGAUUGUGAUUCAAUCCUACUACAAUUGAAAUUCACAGAAAGAAUGAAAAACCAGAACAAAACUGCAGCACCUAAAAAGUUGUCAUACAAAAAAACAUGGAAUGUAAAAAUAUGUUAAGAAAUCUAGUUCGUUAAUUUCCAGCUGGUAAGCGGCAUUAUGUAACUUUAGUAGUAUAACUAAUUAACUACUUAUCUAGUGGGUUGCACUUCUAUCCUUGAUCUCAGUUGUGGCUGCAAAGUGCAGGCCACCACCAAGUCUCAGUGUUUGUGUAUUAGCAAAACACUUAAAUAAAUUAAAUUCUGAAAUGUAAAUUAUAUUCCUAUAACUUUAAGAUGCACAUAUAGUAUUGUUGAAGUCGAACUGAAAGCACUGACAAUUCCAAGCAACAGAGCAGCAAUUAUUAAGAGCCAAAACUCAUUCCUAGUCUCCUCAUCCUGGUACUCUACUCCGUAAUCUUCGUUCAGCAUCAUUGACUGAAAUUAGGAGAGAAAAAGAAAAGGAAUUUCAGAAAUUGUCUAUGAAGCAAAGGAUACUGCAGUUACUUCAAGACAUGUAAAUUGCAUAUGUAUAAAGUAAUUUUCUACAUAAAGUAACGAGGCAUAACUCUCUCUCUCCUCUUCAAACCCUAAACAGAGCAAAGCCACAAACUUUACAGAGAUUAGAAUGAGAACUGGAAUUAAUAGAACAAUGACUGAAAAGUAACAUACUUGAGGAGUGAAUGAUUUAGUGUUUCCAUCAUCGGAAAGCCGGAGUAAGUCGCUAAGAGAGGUCGCAAACAGCCCAAAGGGACAAACCCAGACCCCCGGCCCCGAUCCAUACCCUUCCCCCUCAAAUCCCGACGGCCCCCAUACUUUUCUCUGACUGUACCCCCUCUCCCACUCAUGAAAUCGAGGAUCUGUAGCAAUGGUACUGAGAUCCCCACUCCUCCCCCUCCCUUUCUCUCUGUCACUCUGUCUCCCUCUCCCUCUGUCUGUCUAUCUUUAUCCCAGAGCGGCAUGGCCUCGCAUCCCUGAAACCCUCACCGAAAGGUGGCAAUUUUGUAAAUAACUUGAAAUCCACCAACAGCAGGGGCAGAGAAUUGAAACAGACAUUUAGGCUCGUUCGAUAACCAUUUAGGCCAAAACUGAGCACACCUAAACCAUUCCUACUCGUGCCAAAUGUUAGCGGGGAAGCAAGAUGAUGACUUUAUUGUUCAAAACCAAAAGAAAAAAAGAGAGAAAACAAAAUAACAAAUCUAAUGGUUGUAGUGUAAAAGCUGAGAACGUAAAUAAACAUGCAGGGAAAAAAAUUGAAGAUACAAAGUAGCUGCAUCAUGAAACACUUGCUCCAAUUAGACGCAAAAAGUGAUGGUGAUGAGAAGAGAGAGAAAAUGCAGUCGUUUUGAUUUUUCUGGCUUUUAAAGGGAGCAGCUUUCUUCGACCACCAAAAAAAGGAAGCUGCUUUUCGUGUGGUUGUGAUUUCCUGAGUGUAUGUGAGCGGGUCUAUGGCACUUGCACUUUUUGUGUCGGUUACGGUAACCGGGCGAGGUGGACACGGCGGCGUGGGACUGAAUUCGGAGAGGUGAGAAAAAUUAAAAACACAAAAAGAAGGUGUUCAUUUUGUCACAUUUUUAUUACUAAAAAUUCAAUAAAGUACAUUCAUUAGUAUGGUAACUUAACUAUUUAAUUCCAUCUCAUUAAACUAAAAAAAACAAUUACAUAAAAAUAAGGGAAACCUUGUCCAGAGAGACCUGAGAGAAAGUGACGACUUCUCCUCUCAUUCCACUCCAUACUUGAUCUCUAAAGUCCAUUUGGCAUGUAAUUGAUGUUCAAUUUCAAAUUUAGUGGUAGCAAUUAGCAAAGCUAAUGAAAGAAUAAAAUAAAAUGAAAGAAAAAGCAUCAUGAAAUAAAUCAAGAUGAAGAAUGAAAUUUUGGCAACUCGCCAUUCUCUUCUUUUAUACAAAAGAUACAUCCUAUUUGUAGUGAAAACAGGUCCCGACAAACCCAGUUAUCGUCAAGAAGUAUUUUGUAUGACUUUAAAAACAUAUUCCGAGAAAUUAUCUCUUGGCUGAGAACAACAACAAAUCUUCAUGCAUAGCUUGUAGAGAAAGACAUCAGGCAUACAAAAGAACACGCAAGCAUAAAAUAAACGACGCAGGGAAAACCAAAAAUACAAUUGGAUACGCUGUCAAAAGAACAUAAAUAAAUGAAAAUUACAAAACAAAGAAGUGAUGAGAAACCAAAGUACCCAUUUCAUAAUCUAAUUGCUUUUUAGUUUGCUUGCCAUUUUUAGUUCUUCAAUUUAGAGAGAAACCAUAAUUCAGCACAUGAAUAAAGUGAAAACAUAAAAGAUAUGUGGGAUAAGCUAACAGCCAUCCCUGAGUAAUGCAUUCACUUCUGAACCCCAAACACACCAAAACAAAAAUUCACACACAUGAACUACAGCUCUGCUAUGUAACAAGAAUUAAAAGCAUCUCAAAACAAAAUGGCAAACUAUAAGAGCAAUGUAAAAGUAAAAUUGCAAGAAAUCUAAUACUUGGAGGGCAAGUACUAAUCAGACGAAAAUGAAAGAUUGAACUACCUCGCGUGGAACUGUGCCUUGGUUUUUUCCCAUGCUUACAGGAAGCUUUGCACUGAGCUCUUAUAGCCCAAAUUUUCUCUGAAGGGAAAAAAACACAAUUUUGAAAUAAGAUUUUCAUAUUAUACCUUAAAGAGAAGAAUUAGACAACAAAAAAGAGAACAAUGAGUACUUUUCAUCAUAUAUUGUUAGAGUAUGUGGUCCUCUAGUCCAAUGGUCCUGCAGCCAUAUUUACUUUAUAACUCUUUCUUUAGUCUAAAAACAUCUUGGAUCUCAAAUUAAUAUGAAUACGGAUUCAUACGCAUGCAUUGCAUUACAAUCACAAUGCAACAUCUCAUUAGAAAUCCCCACACAAAAUUCUUUUAUUGCUACUUUGAUUUUAGUUUAUAUUUUUUCUGAAGCACGAGGGAGCUAAUUUUUUUUUAAAAAUUUUUUAUUCCAAUAAUGUUAUAGGGUUGAAAGGAUAUUAUCAAUUUAAUUGAUUGUAUUUGAUUGGUGGAACUUCUAUAUCUAUAUUUCAGGUUUUCAAAUUCAGCACUGGGAGAGUCAUUCAUAAAAUGUUUGACAGUGAGAUUACCUCCAUGGAUUAUGCUCACAAUGGACAGCUCAUUUUCCGCGGUGAUGGGACAAUAUAUUUCAGUCAUUCGCCAUUCAAUCAAUUCAAACCGAGGAACAAGCAACAUCAAGAAGAGGAUCUGCCAUGUCAGGAUCACUGUCGUCCAAUUAAUACAAAAAAUCUAGAUAAAAACGAUCAAUUUACAUAAAAGCCUUUCAUUUUCUCAGCAACCAAGCAAAAGAAAAUACCUAUCCGUUAAACACUCGAUUUGGGAGUAAACGUUGCUGAAACUGGACUUCAAUCCCCUCAACCGCAACAAUCGAAUCGAGGUGUGCAAGUCAUUGAAAAACUCACCCAAGAUUUCAAAAUCUGCAUAAAGAAAUAAAUAAGCACAUAAAUUAGCCAACCCUGUUAUGAUCCCACAUCGGGUACACAAGAAAUUGUGUAGUGGUACUUAAGUGCAAGGGGUCAUCCCACCUAUUGGACUAGUUUUUUGGAUUGGGCUCUUCCCUUGGGCUUGAGUACCUAACAUUGGUAUCAGAGCCUAGGUUCCCGACGCUGCGAGACUUGGCGAGUGGUGCCGCCUCAUGGUGCCGCCUUGGGAGUAUGGGCUCCCAAGGGUCUUGGAGACGGGCAAGGUAUGAAAUGUCGAUAUUAUCGCGAUAUUUCGCCGAUAAUAUCGGUUUUUUGAGUUACCGAUAUUUUAAUACUUAUCCACUGAGUUUUCGUCAAAAUAUCGCAAUAUUAUCGAUAAUAUCAACAAUAUCGCGAUAUUACCGAUAAUAUCGCGAUAUUUUGGAGAUGUGCGAAUCGGAGAAGAAGGCCGGAGCUUCUACAGCUCCUGCCGACUGUAAAAGAGCACCCUAGACUCCGAUCUAGGUAUCAAAAUGAAAUACAAGACGAGAGGAAUGUUUUUAUAACUUCCGUUUGCCGUGAAACGGUCGAAGGUGUUCGGAAAGUUCGUCGACACCCACGGCCUCGCCAGAGAUGGGUGUGCCUAUUCUCGAGCCGAUUUCGUCCCAAAAACCUUGCAAAAACACGAGAUAGAACUUAAAUUUCACAUCUAAGCUUCAAUCUAGAAUAGAAUGAGGUAAACCCGAAGCUUACCUAACCGGAGAAAUUCAAGAAACUCGCCAGAGGGUUCCUGCGUCGCCGAGUUGCAGAGACGAGAAAGAGAUGGAGAAAGACGAGGUUGCUGAUAACGAUGGGUGUCUUCCUCAAGCAGGUGCGAUGGUGUGCGUGUGUGUAUGUGGGUCUCGGUGCAGAGAGAAAGGAGAGAGAUGAGAGUUUCAAGAAAGAGACGGCGCCAACGAGAGCUAUUUGUUUUUUUUUAUCUUAAAAAGAGAGAGGUCUAAGAGAAAUGGGAAGAGAGGGCCGAGUGAAAUGAAAGGAGGUCCUUGAAUUAUUGAGAGAUAUCUCUGAGAGAGGCCUAGGAUUUCUAAAAGGUAAUUAGAAAUGGGAAAAAUGGGGCACAUCUUAGCCUUUAUUUUGGAAUCCUAAGAAGUUCACCACAUGGAUGCAUGACAUGUGUGCAUGCCAUGUCUGUUGAAUGGGAAAAGUCUGACAUGGAAAGACAAAGAGUCGUUUGGUCCUCUGGGCUCGAGGCAAGAUAGAAAGUGCUAGGGUUUUUUUUUCUGAAAUGAACAUAAGCUGCUAAAUUCGCAUAUAUUAUAGUUGUUGCUAAAGAUUGACACUAGUGCGGACUUGGACGUGUUGGUCAACAUGUCCUCACAAUCCCCAAGUUCUCCGGUUCGAACCCUUACGCCCAUCAAAUUUUUCUUUCUUUUCGAUGCGCUUUUUCCAUGGCUCUAGGUCUUGAUUUCGAAUCCAGGUGAGCCCUUUCCUUUUUCUUUUUUUUUUCUUUUUGUUUUAUUAUUUGUUUAUUUUAAUUUAUUUGUUUCUUUUAUGUUUUUCCUUUCUUUUAGUUUCUUUGUCUUAGGCGUUCGUGUUUAUUAAAGUAGGAUGUAAAAUCAAUUAUCUUAAAAUUAUGUGUUUUUAAAUUUUGGACUUGUUUGUUGGAUACUUUUUUUGCAUUUUAUCAUUAUUUUAUUAUGAAAAUAUGCUAAAAUAUGCUAAAAUAUCACUUAUGUUUUUGUGAAAAUAUGCUAAAAUAUUUAUAUAUAUGGUUUUGUUUUGAAUUCUUUUUGUACUAAUUCAUUAUAUAUAAAUGAUUAUGGUGUGUUUAAACUUCUUUAAUUAAUUACUACAUAUUUUCUAUACUCACAAUGUUUGCUAGCUCGCUAUAUAAUCAACUUAAAUCAGUAAAAUCCAUCAUGCAAUGCAUUUGCUUCCAAUUUUUUGUGAUAAACUAAUAGAUAAUUGAUUAAAUAAACAUCCUGCAAAGUUUCAAUAAAAAUUUCCAAGUUUUUCUUACAAUUUCUGUGGUUUCCAUAUUAUUUUUAUCAAUAUCGAUAAUAUCCCGAUAUUUCCAUCGAUAUUUCCGUGUUUUUGGACUACCGAUAUUUCCGAUAUCAUCGAUAUUUAUACCUUGGCGACGGGGGACUUGCCGACUGGUGCCGCCAUGGACGUUGGGUCUUUCGAAAGGUGGUGUAAUGUUAUGAUCCCACAUCGGCUACACAAGAAAUUGUGUAGUGGUACUUAAGUGCGAGGGGUCCUCCCACCUAUUGGACUAGUCUUUUGAGUUGGGCUCUUCCCUUAGGCUUGAGUACCUAACAAACCCAUAAAUCAAAGAAAUCAAAAUCCACCCAGAAUCAAAGAAAUCAAAAUCCAUCCAAAACCAAAGAAAUCAAAAUCACACACAGAUAUACAAGGUGUACAGUAUUGACAUGCCUUAAAUGAUAUUAUUCACAAGAUUUAUAAAGCUCAUGUUGUAAUACUUGUGCAGAAUCUAUCAUUCACGGCGUCACUUUUGUGCAAGUCGUAAAUAAAAUUAUUCACGAUUUAAACAUUGUGUGUCGUAUUUGACAAUUUAUACUACGCACUUUCUUUUUCUUUUAAAGCUUUGCGUUAUGUCGUAAAGUUGACUUUCUAUAUAUUUGGGUUGUACCUUUUAUGGCGCAAAUAACACGUCGUAAAUAAUGGCUUUUAGCACAGAAGUUUUGUGGUAAAGAAGCCCGCGCACUAAUUCAUUCUCGCGCCUUCUCUUUUUUAUUUAGCCGCUUCUUUUUUUGGUUUUUUUUUUUUUUAAAAUUCCCCUCAAAUCUUAAAAGGGUUUGUAUUUUCUUUGGUAAACUUGAAAGAGAAACAUUGCAAUUGCAUUUUCAUUUACCCAAUAUUAAUUGUCGAGAGCCCACCCCCUUCCCUUCUCUCUGACAUCGUAACUCUCUCCUCUCCAUCGAUCUCGCUCCAUCUGCUCGCCGUCGCUCUAUAUGCUCGUCAUCGCCGUCGAUUCGUCUGCUCGUCGUCACCGUCGCCCAUCUGCUUUCCGUCACCGUCGAAGUGCCCCGCCAUUCAAAAUCUGAAAUCCCCAAUACAGGGUGCUUUGCGGCAUUUCGUUCUCCAAAACUUUAGGUAUGCUCUCAAUCUGUAUCAACCCUAUCCUGUCACCUCUACUUCAAGGUGAACAAUUUAUAGUUUAUAAAUUUUACUUGUGUUAAUAUAUAUUUUUUGGUAAAUGUUAUGGAUAUUUUAUCAAAUCAGAGAGUAAAUUCGUAUUAAGUGAAGAUUGGCAAAGAACAUAUUGUUUUGAAAGGUUGAAUAAUGUUUGCAGAUCACAUAAAUCAGUAGUUGUCAAGUCCAUAAGAGAAGCAAGAAAUCGGAAAGCAAGGCUUCGACUAAAACCAAAUAAUGUCAAAUUAAUUCAAGAUUGGAAGACUUUCCUUGCAAAGUGUAAGCUCAUUUUCAUUUUCUUUCAUUUCUAAGAUUAGUUAUCUUCUUUUGAGUUCAAAAUUGGGUCAGAGAAAUCAAACUGAUAGUAGUUAAAAGUCUAUUUCAACACCAAGCCUUGUCUACACAAGAAUUUGGUGUUAGUUAAACAUGUGUAUGAUUCUAUCUUGAUUGCAUGUUAAUUUAGUUUGAAGAUAGAUUUGGUACAUGCUAGCUAAUUGAUACGUGAUAUGAAUCUUUGGUUUCCUUUUGAUAGGACAAAAGUGAAACAUUCAGAGAGAUGAAGUCUAAGCAACUCCGCACACAUGUAGUCGCAAGGGAUAUGGUAGGUUGGCCGAGGAUUUGGUAAUUACAUUUCAUUCUAGUGCCUUCUUUUCUACAGGACAAGAACAAUUUACUAAUUUUAUUCUGUGUUCUACUGUGUGUUUACUACAUAUAUGUUUCUAUUUUGUAGAAAAGAAAAAGUGUAGACCCUUCUCUAGUUUCUAGAGGUGAUGUUUGGAUUGCAGCACAUACUAAAAAGGGUGGUGGACCAUCCAAUUUGCUUGCUGCAGAGACUAUUGUAAGUAAUUUUUAACCAUUUAUUUCUUCUUGUUUGUUGAUAUGCAAUGACGGAUGAGGUCUUAACUUUGAUGUGCAACGUUAGGAAAAAAAUUAAGCAAUAUGGAAAUGGAUCAUCAUCUGGUUUUCGAGGUGACGUUCUUUCCAAAGUUUUUGGUGCUGAGCGACAUGGUCGUGCAAGAGGAGUUGGAGGUGGUGUUCCUCCUACAAAGCUUGGAAUAUUUUCACAACAAAAAUUGCGUAAUCACCAAAUGGAUGAAAAGGUGCACAAUUUAACUAAUCAGGUCAGAGCACUGACAGAAUUGGUGCAUCUUUUUAUGAAAAAUCAGGUUAGUGAUUUAAUAACAUUGGUAUCAUAUUGAAUAUUUGUGAAAUCAGUUGUAGUGACACAUCAAAUCACAGGGUAAUGAUCUACCAAGUGAGGCAUCUCCUGACACACAGGUUGCAGCUCCUGAGGCACAUGUUGAUACUGUCGCAAGAACUGAAACUCGUCUUUCCCAAUGCGCAACAAAUGAAUCGUGGUGGCGAGGUUGAUACACUUUUUCAAUGAGCCUUCUAACUAUUAAUGCUCAUUGACUCUGUUAAAAGCUCUGCCAUUUUCAAUCUAACUAGACACUAGAAAUGAUCAUUGACUCAGUUAAAAGUUUUGAUGCUUUGGUCCUUUUGCAUAGUUGCGCAUCUACUGAUUUCUAUUUUUUUUCAAAUCCUGCAGGUUAUUUCUGAAAACAUUGAAACAUCGUGGUGUGCCAGAUGGUUUGAUUAUAAGACACCUUCCUUUUGGUCCACCAACUUAUUUAUAACUGCUAAAUGGUACGUAGUGUGAUAAUUUUCAAAUAUUUUGAUAUUAAGACAGGUGUAGGACAACAUAGAAAUUCUUAGGGCCUUCAGCAACAAAAUUAUGAAAAAGUGAGUGAGAUACAAUUAAAAAAAUGAAAGAGAAGGAUCAUGAUUCAUGAUCUAAAGGUUUGAAUAGGGUAGAAAGGAUUUAGUUUCGUUGUUAAAAUCGAUUUGUGAGUCUAUUGUUAUUGUAUUGUCAAUUUGUUUAUUUACUUGAACUUCCUAGUAUCAAUUUGGUUCGAUAUAUCUAGCACCACCAUAGAUAUAUCUAGUAUCAAUUUGGUUAGAUAUUGUCAAUUUGUUAUUUUAUUGUCAACUAUAGAAUGUGCAUCAGUUGUAAAAGGAACAAAACAAUUCAGAUUUUUUGUUUAUGUCCAAACUUAGAAUUGUAUUGUAAUUGACAAUUUCUACUAAUUAAUCCAAGUAUUUGGAGUUUAAUAUGUUUAUGAUCAAUAUUGUUAUCCUUGUAUUGUAUCAGUUUAGAUGUUAUGAAGUGAGGUCUGUCUAAAAAUGAUAUGCUAAAUAUAGAUGUAAAUUACGGCAUCUAAAAUCAGCAAUAAUUGUUGAUGGUAGUCUUUUUUUUACGAUGUAUGCCGUAAUCACCUUCACAAUAUUACGACACUCAACAAAUGCUGUAUCAAAUAUAAAUUACUGCACACUAGUAUGUCGUAAUUGUUUUUCAGUAUUACGACACCCUAUUAACGCUGUAACUAAUACCAAUUAAGGCACGUAGGACAUGCCUUAAGAACAUUUAUGGCGUGUUUUACUUAAAUUAUUCACGACUAUUAGAGUACGUUGUAUUUGUCAAAACAUCUUUUACAACAGGGGCUUUUACUGCUUGGAGGCUCAAGCCGUGAAUUUCCAUUUAUGGCACCCUUUGUGCGCCGUAAAAGGCCAAUUCUAUUGUAGUGAUCCAUGGGUACAUUUUUAAUCUACAUGUUUCGUUUUAAUAUAUCUAUUGCUAUAAUAUGUUUUGGUUGGUUCAAAUUCGUUUUACAUAAAUAUAUGGGUACAAAGUUUUUGGAGAAUAUUAUGUAAAAUGGUUUUUAAGGUUGUUGCAUUUUAUGUACCCACAUAUGCAUGUCUAUAAAACAAUGUGGUAUGAUGUACAUUCUUUUCCUUGAGUUUUUAAAUGUACCCAUGAGUUUUCUUGUAAAUUCGGUAUGUAUCCAUAUGCUAUUUAUGUUAUGGGUACAUACAUUAUUUUUGGUCUAAGUUGGUGGGUACAUUGCUUUUGUAUGUAUGAAUUCAUUGGGUACAUUAUUUCCCUUAAUACUACUCAAUAAAAUUCACAAAAAUGUGCAGUGUGCAUGAAUUUUUAUUGUAGAAAUUGUUUUUUUUUAUUUUUAAUUUUUAAGUCUCAUAAUUCGUGAAUUUUGUACAUAUUGAUCCCAUAAAUUUUUGAAUUUUAUUAAAUUUUUUUUAGACUUGAUCGAUUGAUUGAAUCUCAUAAUAAUCCCUUAAAUGUUCCAAUCAAUAUUUUAAAAUACAGCUUUUUAUUUAAGAUUUCAAAAAGAUGACAUGAAAACAUAGUAAUACUAAAAUUUUGUUUUAAAUUACAUUUGUGUAACAAUCAAUGGUAUGUUAAAACUGGGCAAAAAAAAAAAUGGUAUAUUAAAAAAUUAUAAUUUAUUCUUUUUUUCAUAACUGUCUUCUGCUUAGAUUAAUUUUUUCCAACGUUUCUCUUCGGGAGAAUUAGUUCUUACCAAUAUAUAUGCACAUUAUCUGCUUUUUACCUGGUCUUAACACAUGAUUAAUUACUUUCCUACCUGCUAACGCGUUGACUUGCGCAUCCAAAGUAUUAUCAAAGUCACUGCCACCAAAAAGGUGCCCACUCCACAACCUUUGGUUGAACCAAAGAACAUCACAACAAUAAGGAAAUCGUUAAAUCUAUCUCCGCAACAUUUUUAUUAAUCAUUAGAUAGAUUAAACGAUCCCCCUAUUCAUAUUGUGUUCUUUUGUUGAACCAAACCAUGUCAACAAAAUAUAUCUAUGGUUAAAGCAUCUAGAUUCAAGCUUUUGGAUGUGCAACUUAAACCCCUCAAUGAAUAGCCAAGCAAUUUAUCAUGUGUUUACAGUAGGUCAAAAGAAGAAAGUGUUUGUCUAUAUAUUAAUAGGAACUAAUUCCUCUGAAGAGGAGAGAUGGAAGUGAUGAUAAUAAAAAAAAAAAAAGUCGUAUUCAGUGCACAAGGCUCCCGCUUUACGCAGGGUCUGAGAGAGGUGAAUGUCGGCUAGCCUUACCCCCAUUUUAUGGAGAGGCUGCUCCCAAGUCUCGAACCCGAGACCUACCGCUCAUGGGCGAAGACACUUGCCAUCGCACCAAGUGCGACCUCUAAGGGAUAAGAGAGUAAUCAUGAAAAUUUUGAAAGUGAAAGCAUUGCCUUGGAAUAUAUAUUCUCUUUAGGAAUUCUGUGCCCAACUAAAUUCUAGAUUCUCAAAAUAUGAAAUUAGCAACUUCACCAAACACUUGGACAUGUAACAGGUCACACGUAUGGUACCAACCUUACCAACCUUACCAACCAUCUAUAUACCUAUGUUUUCGAACAUCGUUAGAUAAUUAAAGUACAGUUCACACAGCAUUUCACAUAAAAAUGGCAUCAUACAACACAUGAGAAGUACUUCUUACAGUAGCAGUCUCGUAACAUGACUAUAGUUUUUGUUACUUCUUAAGAAAAAAGAGUUUAAAAUCCUAUUGAAAGAUAAUUGUAGAGACAGAAACCCAAACUAGUUAAUUAGGUUUCUUUACAUCUCAAUAAAAUUGAAGGGAAUGUAUCUAAUAUUAUCUACUAGAGCCUCUACAAUCAUCAUAGAAUCCACAACCCACAUUUUAAUUAAUCGAAAUUCCAUGAACACAAAUAAGCAAAAGUUGAGUGAAGCCUAAGCAAUAUGUGAUCAUUUAGAGAGUCAAACUCCAUCUUUUUAGAAUUAGGGACUUUUCAAUAUGAAAAGGUAACCUCCACAAUCCAAUAUCAUAUGAAAAGGAAAACCCAAGAAAAAUACAGUAUAAUUGUGUGCAAGAGCAACACAAAAAAAGUUGAAGAAUUAGAAAUCAUAAAGAGACUUGAGACGAUUGUUGCUCACUUAGCUAAAGAGCAUUUGCACUUGAGGUCUCGAGUUCGAUUGCCCCCUUUCUUUAGAUCGCUUGAGAGGAAAAACCUACCAUUCUCUAGUCUAAAGAUAUAUGCAUCUUUGACAUGAAUGACUAGAGGGGAAGAAAGUGCAGACAAAUCACACAUACCUUCAAAAAAUUUUAUGGGGUUGGUGAAUGGUGAUUAGGGAUACUGACUUUUAAUAGCCGUUGAUCAGUGUAUAUUGCACACGCCUUCAUCAAUGGCUAGCGUCGGUACAACUGUGAUUGGGAGGGCCUUUUUACGAUAAUAGAUGGGUAAAGGUUUCAUUAGAAGGGGAAUUUUGUUCUGGUUUGCCAUAAUAACUUGAAAUUAAUGGUUUUUUGUAAUCCUUAAGUUAUUGUCAUUUUAGGUUAACUUUGUACCUGGACUCUUUACUGGAGCUAUCAAUUGAAACCCCCAUUUUCUUACCAAAAUAUGAAAAACAAAGAGUCCCAUUUUUACAGCACAGUCCUACUCUAGUUGAAAUCCGAUCGACGGUCAAGAUUUUCUAGUCAUGUGAAAGUAUCACAUAUAUAAAAUUGACUGGAGAAGGCAUGCCACAUUGCCAUGCCCUUGACAGCUUUACUUUGUUUACAAACUUUCUAAAAGAAAGAAAGAAAAAAAUCUAAAAUGGAAGGUGAUAGCGAUUUUACCACUUGUAAAACAAAGGGUUAAACCAUAGAAAAUUCUUGCAAGAGAACAAGUGUUUGUAGUAUAGAAUGGCUCAAGCAAGGUCGAUCUCCUCAGGGACUGAUAUAAACAAUUUACGAGUUUUUAUGUAUUUAACUUAUUUAACUCUAAGAAUUACACUAAUUUAACGAAACUAAAUAUUAUUGGAUGUGACUUAAACAAAUAUCUAAAAUGGGAAUUGGUUUUAGGGAAUAAUGAUUCAACUUAAACAAAACAAGUAAAUGAGGAAAUUCAAGAUAAAAUAAAUGAUUAAGAAAAAUAGAUUGACAAUAUGCUAGAGUUCAACAUUUACCAACAACACUCUUACGUAGCUAUUCCAAUUGCUUAAAUAAUUGAAAACACAUAUGCUUUGAAUGUUGGAUUUUCCUUGUGUAUGUUUUACUUGUGACAUUCAAGCUAAAACGCAUACCACUACAUGCAACUUAUCCAUGACAUUUGAAUUAAAUAUAAACAUGAGUGAUUCAUUAAUCUUGGUGAAAAUCCUUUUGUUAAACCAUAUAAUCCCUAAGAGCAUGAUAUUUACCUUAGGAGAUUACAAUUCUCAAUCACAAGAAGCACAACCAAUUUUAACGUGACAUUCGUUCAAAAUUGCAUCCGAUAACUUUUCUAAGCAUCCUAAUGGUGAUCAAGCAUCAAGGUACAUAGAUAGUUUAAUUCAGUGAUUGAAAAUAUCAAAACAAGCAUGUAACAACACUUAAGCAAUUGAAAAAUAAAACUACGUAUUCAUGUUGCGGCUCAUGGCCUCACUCUAGCAUAAUACUUUAAAUAAUUAAAGCCCAAACAAUUUACCAAAUUUCAUCUCUGUACUCCGCAGAGACGCUAAACGAGACAUAUUUGGUCCAUCUCUGAACAUCUUUUCUUACUGUUCUUACAAUAGAAAGGGCACAAAAUUGACUUACACAGUCUUGCACAAUACUCACUUUGCUUCAACCCAUAUUUCACUUUGUCAAAUCAUACACGUUCCUGCAACAGGUGAACUCAUAUUUAUCUACCACUUCUUGCUAAUUUUAAUUUUUCCAUUCCCAUUUUUACUACAAGUUUUCACAUAAUUUUUUUAUUGCAUUUGUCAAUUCUUUAUACUUUUUAAUUGUAUUUUUUUUUUUGUCUUUUAUGUGUUUUCUAUGUUGGCACAAGGUUACAACAGUAUUAAACAAUUACAGGUCCUCCAGAGGUUUGCUUAUUGCCCUAUUUCAUCAAGCUCGGUAUAAAUAGAUCUUAAUUUUUUACUACAGUUAAAUACAUGGACAUGCCUCCACAAAUACAAAUUAGUUCUUGCUUAAAUACUUUGUGUGUUUACAUAGAAAAUGUUCCCAUCGUCUACCAAAAUCCUCCACACAUGAAAACAAAAAUUCUUACUCAAAAUACUUAUUACAAUACCACCAUAUCUGUUGUUUUUUAUUAAAUUAACACACUGUUUUCAAUUUUAUCUUCAACACAAAAGAAAAUGCUCUUACACAAUGUGUUUGCUUACAUUUUAUAACUUAUCUACCACAUGUUAAUCGCAGUUAUAUAAAUAGGAAAAUACGUGUUCAAUAGAAGUGUGAUGCAUGUCACUUCGUUAACAAUAGUGGAAACUAAACAAUUAAAUAAUUUGUUUCAAUUAGUUAGUACAUUUUAUAAAUUUCUCAAUUAGAACUGUUUCAGUAUAUUUAAUACAUUUUUAAACAACUUUCCAGUUAGUUGCCCAAACUAAUUAUUCCAGCUUAUUCACAGUAUAAUACCAACAAUUUAACAACCAAUGAUACUUCGUUUAACAUAAACUUCAUUUGGAAAAAACAAAAAAAAUCUUUUUCUCUGCUGAAAAAAUCAACAGAUUUAAUGAUGUAGAUCAGUUAUACCAACAAAUUACCAUAGUUUACCCAAUGCUAUACAGGUUUGACUUUUGUUUAUAUUCUUGGAUCUGUUGCUUGGUUGUAUAAUUUGGCUGUGUGUUUUGUUUCAGGACAAUUUGUUCUUCGUUUCUUGAGGCUUCUAUGUGUAGAUUUGAACCGUUUAGCUUUCAAACCGUUUAUACUCAAGGUAAAUAAUUUCGUUUGUUUCUUUUUAACCUUUUUUGUAAGAAUUUUUUAUUUAAUGUUGUGAGAGUUGUGUUUUCUAUAGUAUGGAAAUUGAAUCUUUGUGAUCUUAUAUCGUUAGAUACGUUGCUUGGUUAAUGUGAACACGGAAAAUUCCCGAAACGAAAAAGACAAGAACAACGUGCACAAACAAAUAUUUUGUAUUUGAUGAUUAUUUUGGGUUACAAUCUCUCUCUAAUUUGAUCCUCUGAUUCGAUCUCCGUAAGAUAUUGGUUUGUGGAUGUGCGAUUGAUCCAAGGGCCGUCGAGGCUUGAUCUUGGAUGAACGGUGAUGAACGGAUCUUCAAGGGCUUUUGGGCUUGAUCUUGAAGAAUAGUGAUGAACGGGUCUUCAAGGGCUUUUGGGCUUGAUCUUGAAGGAUGGUUGGAUGUGUGGAUUUGUCGACGUUGUUAAUCCAAAGGGCUGUUGGGGCUUGAUCUUAGGAUGAACGGAUGAUGAACGAAUAACACUUUCUUCAAGGGCCGUCGGGGCUUGAUUUUGAAUUGGUGAAAGUUCUUCAAGGGCCGUCGGGGCUUGAUCUUGAAGGUAGAUGAUUGUUGAUCCAAGGGCUGUCGGGGCUUGAUCUUGGAAGAACGAUGAACGAAGAACGAAGAAGGCUUUCUUGAUUCUUCGGGAACCUGGAUGCUUGAGAGCUUCGGAGUUUCAGAGCUUCAGAGCUUCAAGGUGUAAUAUGAAUUUGGUUCCCUUAAAUGAAUGAAAUUGGCUUCUAUUUAUAGAAUUUUCCAAGGCCUAAUUUUGAAUAUAAUAUUCCAGAUGAAAUAAGUCGUUUCUGCCAAGUGUUGACACGUGUCCUAUUUGAUGACUUUUCCGACUCAUUUCAAUUUUUCGUCGAGUCACACACUACGUGUAAAAUUUAUGUAAUACAUGAGCGUUGAAACUUUGAUUUAUCAGUCAACAUUUAUUUACCAAAAUUUCGAUGUCUACAAAUGCCCCCACUUCAAGGCGCGUCGUAUACAUGUGCUUGUCACGUGUAGGAGAUGCGUUUUGAAGUCCCCUUACUGUAGAUGUCGAUCCAAGGGCCGUCGAGGCUUGAUCUUGAACCGGGCUGGAGAUUUCUUCAAGGGCCGUUGAGGCUUGUUCUCGAACUUUGUUCGAAAUUUCUUCAAGGGCCGUUGAGGCUUGAUUUUGAAUUGGGCUGAAAGUUUCUUCAAGGGCCGUUGAGGCUUGAUCUUGAAUUGGGUUGAAAGUUUCUUCAAAGGCCGUUGAGGCUUGUUCUUGAACCUUGUUUGAAAUUUCUUCAAGGGCCGUCGAGGCUUGAUCUUGAAUUGGGCUGGAAGUUUCUUCAAGGGCCGUCGGGGCUUGAUUCUUGAAGGUGGAUGAUUGUUUAUUCAAGGGCCGUUGAGGCUUGUUCUUGAACCUUGUUUGAAAUUUCUUCAAGGGCCGUCGAGGCUUGAUCUUGAAUUGGGCUGGAAGUUUCUUUAAGGGCCGUCGGGGCUUGAUUCUUGAAGGUGGAUGAUUUUUUCUUCAAGGGCCGUUGAGGCUUGUUCUUGAACCUUGUUUGAAAUUUCUUCAAGGGUCGUCGAGGCUUGAUCUUGAAUUGGGCUGGAAGUUUCUUCAAGGGCCGUCGGGGCUUGAUUCUUGAAGGUGGACUCGAACACAUGGCAAGCAGGCACGAGGUGAAGGUGACGGUCUGUUUCUUUGCUCAAUCUUUCCAAGUGCCGACCGAUUGCUUUUCUUUCUCCUUGUCCCGCAGGCAAGAGCAAGGGUAAAAGAAAAGCAUGCCAUGAGAUAUCUUUGUUUUUGACUCUGAUGAUAUGAGGUACUUCUGCUUUUGAAGAAGUUGCGGAUGAAUCGACACGUGCUUUGUUGUGCUUGUCUCCACAUGCUCAGACUCUUGGCAGAAUGUGAAAGGUGGCAUUUUCUCGAGUUACUCAACUCAGACUCAUUCUGCUGAGUUGACUGUGCGGGCCGCAUUCUUCUCUGCUUGUUUCUUCUGGCAGCCUUGCUCUCGAGUACUCAUCUUUAACAUCUUAUGUUUCUUCUUUGUCUACCACACUGUGGAAGACGAGUACUCGAGAGUAAUACCAUGUAAGCAAUCAGAAAAGGGUUCCAAGCAGUCGGUUCCAGAUCGGAAGAUUGAUACCAAGUGUUGGCUGAUUGCUUUCCUUCUCAUUGUCCUACAGGUUAGAACAAAGACAAGGAAAAGGACACGGAGAAUGCAUGAUAUGAGAUACUCUUGCUUUCUCCCUUCAUGAUAUGAAAUACUUUUGCUUUUCAAGAUUUGUUUGCAGAGGUAUCCUAUGGGAUGAAGAACACUGAGUGAGUUGAGAGGGUUUGUUGGAAAGCCAUUUGUCGGAGAUGACGGAAUGUUAUGUAUGUCUGCCUUGCCAUGGAGCGUGAAGGUCGACAUUUGUAGGAAAUAAUAACUGGUACUGUUCUUUCACUCCUGUCGGCAACCGUUGGAUGAUUGAACAGUAAACUUCACGUGAUUUCCUCAAAGCUUUUUCUGCAUGCGACAAGUGCUGACGAGGCUGAGAGAGACAUGCGAUUGGAAUCGGCGCUUCGACAAACUUUUCCAUGAUUUUCGCAAAGCUGACGAGGCUGAGAAAGACAGAUGGUUUGGAAUCGGCGUUUCGAUAAACUGCCCGUGAUUUCCGCAACGCUGACGAGGCUGAGAAGGACAGAUGGUUUGGAAUCGGCGUUUCGACAAAUUGCCCGUGAUUUCUGCAACGCUGAGUUUGCGUGUGACAGGUGCUGACGAGGCUGAGAAAGCUGACACUUCUUCGAUUUUUGAGAUCAGUCCGUGAUCCUUGAGUAGGCCUAGCUUUGGAGAAAGCAGGCGCUUCAUCGAUCUCUGAACUCGCCUCUUCGAUCUCUGAAAGCCCAUCGCAUGCUGUUUUUUUAUAGAGGUACGCAAGACAUUCAAAGCACACUUGAAUUUCUACCUGUGAAAAAAAACUCCCCUUUUGCAUAUCUGAGAUCUUUAAUUUGCCCGACCUCUUCAUUUUGUUGAACACCUUCGGAAAUGUCUUUCCCAUCUGACCGUCGUCUUGACUUGAAUAUCGAAGAAGAUAUUGACAUGUCUUCUCCAGGCAACAUUUGGCAGCUGUCCUUCGUAUCCUCCAACGAACCUCUUACGGUUGGGGACACUGUGAUGAGGAAUGACGCAACGGCUGCAGUGGUUGCUAGAAAUCUUCUCACUCCUAGGGAUAGUAAGAUGCUUUCCAAGCGGUCCGACGAGAUGGCUGUUCAAGACUCUCUGGCCUUCAGCGUCCAAUGUGCGGGCUCAGUAUCAAACAUGGGCCAACGCCUUCUUGCUCGAUCUCGUCAGGUUGAGUCUUUGAUGGCCGAGGUGGCUAGUCUUCGGCAGGAGAUCAGAGGGCUUAGGCACGAGAAUAAAGAGUUGCAUAUGCUAGCAACUAGUUACUCAACGAGCAUGAAGAAGAAGCUAGACCAACUGCAGGAGUGUGAAGUUCGGGCUCGAAAUGAUCAUCAAAGGUUUAUGGCGUUACUCCCGAGGCAUCUUCUGCCUUCGUCAUCUGGCGCUUCACCAAAUGUUGAGGCUCCGGAAAAUCAAACUCUGGCGCUUCGUCUUUCUGGAGCUUUACCAAGUGUGGAGGCUUCAGUUGAUCCACCUCCGGUGCUUCGUCUUUCUGGAGCUCCGUCGAGUACUGAGGCACCACAUGAUCAUCCUUGAAGAUCCUUUCCUGUAAAUUUGAUUUGACUUUUUUUUUAAGGUAUGUAUAAUGUAAAAUUUCUAGAAAAAUAAAAUGGACUUUAUUUCUCUGAACAUGUUUUUUUUGUUUUUUUUUUUGGCUGUAUAUUUUCUCUUUAAUCAUGGUGCACCCAUUUUCCACAUGGUGCCAGACGGACCAAAGAUCAAACAUUUCCUUUUUUUAUUUUUUUAUUUUUUCUUUAAUCAUGGUGGCAGACGCAUAAACAAUUUCAUUUAUAUUUUUUUUUCUUUUUGCUGGCACAUGGUGCCAGAUGCACCAUUCAUUUAUAUAUAUUAUUAUAUAUGUUUUUUUUAUUUUUUUUUAUUUGCACAUGGUGCCUGAUGCACCACCUCUUUUUUUUUCACGUGGUGCCAGCAUCACUUUGCUCCACCAUCCAUUUUUUUUAUUUUUAUUUUCUGUAUAAAUUUGGGUGAUGGGUAGAGGAUUUUGCAGGCAGGGAGCAAGGAGGCCGAGAAGAUGGUGCUUCGAACUUCAUGACCGGCUAGUCGUUUGACGGCGGUCGUUGAAGUCGUUGGCAGUUGCGAGGCAAAAGACGGAGGAGAAGGUGGAGUAGGUGACCUUGAUGUCGGAUCCAGCUAGAACCCAGAGCACAGCGACUGAGCCCAAUCACCGAGCACAACCGCUGCACACCCGUUGUACUGCCACCGAGCACUGCCACUGCGCAUCUGUUGCACUGCCAAUUGCUGCAAAGGAUUAUGUUUAACGGCGGAGACGCUGCCCUAUUUGCCAUGCUAUGCCGACGUGCUUCACAUAAUUAACCAUCCAGAAUUGUUAAACAUUCCAUCUGGGUUUAUCGCAAAAACAGAAGAAGAAAAAAACCAAGAUCCAUCCAUGCCAAACACCAAUCUGCCAUCUUUUUGGGAUUUGUACGACAUCAUCAGCCAAAACCUGCUUGGUCCGCUCGCAAAUUGUGGGAGAGGAAGAGUUGGCGGAGCAGCUGUAACACUGGAAAAUGGAGGACGUUGACGAGUCCUCCAAGUUGUUCUUGACGUUGGUGCUGGAGAAACCUGCCUCUCUCAUGACUCUGCUGACACUUGGGUCGUCAAGGAUGGGGAUGAUGAGCUGCUCGAGCUCGACUUUGAUGGUUAAGAGCGGCUGCUGCUGCUGCUCGAUGCAGUCUCUUCUCUGAUGGGCUUGGGCUCUCUUGAGGGCGUUGGAGAGAGAGGGCUGCCCGUGGAGGAGAGGGCAUGGAGUUGUUGGGAGAAAUCAGGGCCGGAAUGGAAAAUAUUCCCGAGCUGCAUCAACGAGGAGAUAACACCGCUAAGUUAUUCAUCUGGUUUGCUUUAGUCAAAUGGAUCAAUCCGCGGGUCAUGCUCGCUUGCCAUCAUCAUCCCAGUGCACAGGCAUGUCGGGCACAUGACCUUUCCAGCACCAGAGCAAUUUGGGCACCUCUCAGUUGUGGGCACUCGCAAAGGUUGGUCUGAUGCACUAGAUGCUGAUAUAGGAUUGAUGUUCAAGCACACUCCACUUGCAGAACAUCUAGCACAGGCCAAGUACCCAGUUCCAUGGCAAUAUUUGCACCUUUUCUUCUCUUGCUGCUCAACAUUAUUAGCUUCAAUCAACAUCAAUGCUGAAAUGACACCCACUGCCCCACCGGAGAAGGAUGCCACAAUAGGAUCAACCUGACUUAAUUGUAAAGGCAGAUGCAUGCUACGAAUGAAAUCUUCAUACGAGGUACCUCCUAUACCUAAUUUUAGUUCCAACGAUGGCGCAAUGAGACCCCCAAAUACAAUUACACUAGAUAUCAUAGAUAAGCUUGUGAGGUAGAGCUGCUUCAACGUCUUUGGUGUCAUAUGAGGGAGAAAAGGGAUAGUGGAUGGAAUGUCAGGCAUCUCAUUUGACUCUUCCUCACAAGCCUCAUCCAUAUCUCUCGCCAUCUUUAUCCGUUGCUGCACCCGCAAUCUCCUUAGCUCUUCCAUGAGAAGAAAAAUCUUGUUGUGCCGGCUUCUUAUGUUGUCCUAAAUUUCCUGUAGUUGCAUCUGCACAAAGUCCUGCACCGUCUCCGGCUCUUCUAUGAUACAAAAAGUGCUUGGCGUGUUAUCGCCGGGGAAUGAUUCCUUGGAAGCAGAACAGGAAAUUUGGGGAUGCGGGGAGGUGAAUUUGGACAGAGAGAGACGUCUAGGGAUUCCAUGGGAGGGGGGUUGAGAGUGGUUUUUUGCCGGCGCCUCUAGGGUAGUCGUCGUUGGCUAUUGCUAUAGAGAGGUCAAUGACUUCACCGGAGAUGGCGUUGUUCUGGAGCCCGAGCGUGAGAAGCCGGGUGAGAUUGUCUGGAAAGGGUCCCCAGAGGUUGUUGUCGGCGAGGUCGAGAAGCUUGAGCUUGGUGCAAUUGACGAGAGGAGAAACGGUGUCGUUGAGGCGGUUGUUGUGGAGGUCGAAGAGUGAGCUGGGCGAGAUCAGAGAACCUUGACGAAUUCGGAGCGUUGAGGGUUAUCAACACGAUCCCAUCGACGAAGAAGAAGCAGAAUGGGCCUCUUGCGGGGCCUAUGGCAUCAACCGGUCUUUGGGCUUCUGGGCCAGUAAAUUGGAGAGAAGCCUGGGCUUUUGACUUGCAGAGAGAUUAGGCUCUGGGAGCCGCUUGUAGUAUUGUGGCUAAAGGGGUUGCUUCCUGUGGCCACUUAUAUAUAUAUAUUUUGUAAAUACAUAAAACAUUUAUCUCUUUUUUUUUCUUUUUUUUUUGUACAAAGAAAUUGUAAUAGCAUCAAAACUUUUAAUAAAAUCUUUAUUCCUUAUUUUGGUGUGACUGAACUCAAAUUUUGAAUAUUCGAGUUGCCUACGUACCUCUCCAAAGAAGAGAUCAAGUCGUAACGUAGUUCAAAUGAGUGAUGAAUUUAACAGUGAUUUUGAUGAUGAUUUUGUCGUACACAGUUUAUGCUCUUGCGGGCCAGGAGCUUUGGUUCGUGCAGUUUAGGCUCGUGCGAACAAGGAGUGUUGGUGUUGCCUUUUAUGCUCGUGCAGACCAGGAGCGUUGGUGUUGCCUUUUAUGCUCGUGUAGACCAGGAGCUUUGUGCCAUGCAGUUUAGACUCGUGCAGGCAAGGAGCGUUGGUGUUGCCUUUUAUGCUCGUGCAGACCAGGAGCGUUGGUGUUGCCUUUUAUGCUCGUGCAGACCAGGAGCUUUGUGCCAUGCAGUUUAGACUCGUGCAGGCAAGAAGUGUUGGUGUUGCCUUUUAUGCUCGUGCAGACUAGGAGCUUUGUUGUGCCAUGCAGUUUAGGCUCGUGCAGGCGAUGAGCUUUGGUUCAUGCAGUUUAGGCUCGUGCGAACAAUGAGCAUUGUGCCAUGCAGUUAGGCUCAUGCAGGCGAGGAGCGUUUAUUGGUUCGUCAAGCGAUCCAGGAGAGUCGUUCCUCGCAAUCUUCAUAGCAAGGAGCCUUGACUGAGUGAUUGAAGAAGUCUUUGGGGAAGAAAUCGCGCAUCGUGAUGGGGAUGGACGAUAUUUGUGUCGUCAUUUCAUCAUCUUCAACACUUUCACUUUUCUUUGAAGGUUGACAAGAGCUGCUUUGCCCCAUUUCCGAUUGGCGGACUUGUGGAUGAGACGUAUGCUUCUUCUGCAGUUUCUCUAGAGUGACAUGAGUCAUUCCUUCAACUUCGCUUGGCUCAACUGGCAUGGUUUUGGAGCAUGCCCCCAGCGAUUGAGGUGAAGAUUUUGAGUUGACAAAGCCGGAAGUGACGUCUUCUUCCAUGAUUUCAUCUUCUUUGUCUUCUUGGGCUUGUUGGCGUGAAGAUUGGCCGGCGUAGAUGAUGGUGCGCCUCUUUACCUUCAGUGGUCCUUUUGUGUCGACCUCCCAAGCUGUUUGGCGCUUUAUCCUUGAAUGAAUCAAGCUUCGAACGUCGUCUUUUCCUGCUAGACCGUCGAGCUUUUCUUCCUUUGGCGUUGUCUUCCUAUUUCUAGAAUGCUUCUUGGUUUCUUCAAGUUUUUCCAAAGCCGAUCGUUGGGGAGGAGAGCCAGCCUUGCUGCUUUGUUUCUUAGGUUUUGACAACCUUUCAAAAACAGAGCUUUGGGGUGUUGGCGUGUUAAGCCGUUUGAAGAUGGAAGUUCGGUCUUGCCCACCAAUGCGAUCAAGUGCCGACCUUCUGGGUUUUGAACGAUUCAGCCUAUCGAAGACUGACACUCGAAUAGGAGGUUGAGGCUCCUCUUGAUCUUGUUCAAUCCUCAAGCUGAUGUGUCGAGUGCUAGCAUUUUUUGCUUUACUUGAAAUCUUCACGGGUGCAUUUGGUGUGAAGCCAAGUCUAGCUCUGUUGUUGUCAACUCCGUAAUCAUGCUUUUCCAACUUCUUCUGAGUCUCGGUGAAGUCAUGAUCUUUGUCGUUGAUGGUGUUUGAAACCUUCUUCUCAAGAUUUGAAGAGGAAGCAAAGUCGUACCCAGCCUUUAACAUGAGUUCGUAGGCGUUUGGGUUGAGACCUUCUUCGGUCCUCUUAGUUGGAAUGAAGCUUGGGUUCGCUUUGACGCCAUGAUGCGCCUCCAGACGGUUGAUAAGUCCAACGGUUUGCAAGUUUUUCUCCUCCGCAGUCUUUAUCAGCCUUGCAAUUGUUUCCUUCAUCUGAACUAGUUGUUCUUCAAUAGAGGUAGCGCCGAUGGUCAUGACUUGUUCUUUGUUUGAAGCCAUGAAGUGUGCUUGAAUUUCUUGAACAGAGAAAGAGAUGAGAGGUAGAGAUUGUCCCACUGGGCGUGCCAAUUUGUGAACACGGAAAAUUCCCGAAACGAAAGAGACAAGAACAACGUGCACAAACAAAUAUUUUGUAUUUGAUGAUUAUUUUGGGUUACAAUCUCUCUCUAAUUUGAUCCUCUGAUUCGAUCUCCGUAAGGUAUUGGUUUGUGGAUGUGCGAUUGAUCCAAGGGCCGUCGAGGCUUGAUCUUGGAUGAACGGAUCUUCAAGGGCUUUUGGGCUUAAUCUUGAAGAAUAGUGAUGAACGGGUCUUCAAGGGCUUUUGGGCUUGAUCUUGAAGGAUGGUUGGAUGUGUGGAUUUGUCGACGUUGUUGAUCCAAAGGGCCGUUGGGGCUUGAUCUUAGGAUGAACGGAUGAUGAACGAAUAACACUUUCUUCAAGGGCCGUCGGGGCUUGAUCUUGAAUUGGUGAAAGUUCUUCAAGGGCCGUCGGGACUUGAUCUUGAAGGUAGAUGAUUGUUGAUCCAAGGGCCGUCGGGGCUUGAUCUUGGAAGAACGAUGAACGAAGAACGAAGAAGGCUUUCUUGGUUCUUCGGGAACCUGGAUGCUUGAGAGCUUCGGAGUUUCAGAGCUUCAGAGCUUCAAGGUGUAAUAUGAAUUUGGUUCCCCUAAAUGAAUGAAAUUGGCUUCUAUUUAUAGAAUUUUUCAAGGCCUAAUUUUGAAUAUAAUAUUCCAGAUGAAAUAAGUCGUUUCUGCCAAGUGUUGACACGUGUCUUAUUUGAUGACUUUUCCGACUCAUUUCAAUUUUUCGUCGAGUCACACACUACGUGUAAAAUUUAUGUAAUACAUGAGCGUUGAAACUUUGAUUUAUCAGUCAACAUUUAUUUACCAAAAUUUCGAUGUCUACAGUUAAAUGAUUUGGCUGUGUGCAUUGUUUCAGGACAAUUUGUUCUUCGUUUUUUGGGGCUUCUGUGCGUAGCUUUGAAGUCCUUUGUAGUCAACAUAAAUAAUUUUAUUUUUCUUUGUUUUUAGUCUUCUAUGUAAGAAUUUCUUAGUUAAUAUUCUGAGAAUUAUGUUUACUAUAGUAUGAAAAUUGAAUCUUUGUGAUCUUCGAAGUGUAACGUCAUUGCAACAUGGACGACUGCCAUUAUCGAACAUGAAAAACAUUUUGAUUUCUGUACUCCGUCUAGUAGAAAACUCUCGACUUCUUCAGAAACCACGAGAAACUUAAAACUGAGAAAGCUUCGCGGUCUCCCUUCCAUCUCUGCUACGCGGUCUCUGCUUUGCGAUCUCUGCUUCCUUCGUGAUUUCUUCCUUCCUGAACGACAUCUAUUCGAAUUGAAAACCUUCUGGAGCUCUCUUCCCCAAAUUUCAGCAGCAACUUUGCUCCAGAUCUUUCCAAUUGAAAUUCCUCUCCUUCACAUUUUGCAUAUUGAAUUUCGCAUCAUCAUCAUCUCCCUAGAACCUAGGAGUUCGGUUCGGUUUCGAGUUUUCCGACGGAAAUCCGGCGACAGCGGCCAUCGAGGUUGGUCUGAAACUAUUCCUCAUCACCACAGGUACUUUCUACACCUAUUACAUUUUAGAAAAAGUUUCAUGACUUUGUGGAAUCCAAUUUAACGAUUAGAAAAAUUUUCAUUAAUUUUCUGGGUUCGUGAGUUGGAGGGGGAUUAGAAAUUUUUUCAUUAUUUUUCUGGGUUUGUGGUUUUUUUUUUCCAAAACGUUUUUCCUUUCUACUAAUCCAAGUUCCUUCACAUCAAUCUCUCUGUUUUGUUCUUGAUCUUCCUCGAGUAGAAUACCUCUUCUUGCUCUGGAGCGCGUGGGCAGUCUCUCUAAGGCAGCCCAUGACGUCAUUUUCCGAUUCGACUCGGAGGAGGUUGGCUGCUCUUCUUGGCUGAGCUUCAUGGCUGGCCGAAUUCCCCUAUUCCCUUCCUCUUAUACUUUUUUAUAUUCGUUCACCAAAACAAUAGGAAAACGUCUCCGUCUGUUUGAUUGACGGCGAAAAAAAAAAAGACGGAGAAUAAAAGCCUGACGGAAGCUGAAAGCUUGGACUCUGUUUGUAUUUUUAAUGGAUUUUCAGAACACAGGUCAAGAAUAUUGCGAUUUGAGAAAAAAAGAAAGAACCACGUUGACAUAAUAUAUUCACAAUAGGUGUACAAGGUUCAUAAAGCUUUACUGUGGUUCCAUUUUUUGUUAAUGGAAUUAGCCUUUUGUUUUAGGAAGAACUUGGAACCCCCUCCGUCCAUUCUAUCCCCAAUGGAAUUAACACUUAGAUAGUACUAUGACAAUGUGUCAUUAUUUGAUGCAUACCUGUAUAAAUUUAGGCUAAGUGUUUUAUACACAAAUUGAUACAGAUUAACUAUACAAUGAUAACUAUAUACCGGAGAGCUAACUAUACAAUGAUACAUUCUUAUCUGUUAAUUAUCUUUGGUUACCAGCUAUCCAUGUUGCUGUCAUAUUAAACUACACAACAUCAGUUGUAAUUUAUGUCUUAUUAGUAUCAUCAUUUUUGUUCAUUAUUUCAAUGUCUAACAUAACUCCGCCUAUGUCUUACAUGGCCGGUCCCAAGCCCGGAUAAAGGAGGAGGGGGAGGGCGUCAGGUAGUCGACAGCCGGCACUCCAUGAUCACGUCGAAUCCUUAUGAAAAUGAAUCCAGAACAAAACCCCACUUAGUGGGAAAAGGCUUUGUUGUUGUUGUAUUUCAAUGUCUAACAUGAUGAUCUGGUUUCAAUUUGCUACAGGCAUUAUUUCCAGACAAUAGCUAUGGUUUUGAUUGUAGCGGUGACUGAAAAAUUAUUCCGAAACUAACAUUUGAGGAAUUCAAGGUUUGUUAGUUAAUUUGUACAUCAGAAUACCAUGACAAACUAUGAAGUUGUAAUUGUUGACCUUACAAUGUAUCUUUUUUGGUUUGGAGCAUUAGACUUAUAUGUGUUGCUUUCACCUCAUGAAGGCUAACUCUUUAUUUUAGGCCGUAAGAGUAUAAUUUCUUGGAGAAUCUACAUUGUUGAUAAUUUUUUGAACAAUAUUAUCCCCAAAAUUUCUCCGCAUGUUACCCUCAACGUAGACAUCAUAUAACCAUCAUUGAACUUCUGAACCAAAAAUUUGAGUUUUAUGAUUAUAACUAAACGUCUAUAAACACAUGAUACAGAUUGAGACGAAUGUCAAAUUUAAAAUGGCAUUAAUACAGCUGCAAACUCUGAUUUGCGGGAUUUGAAAUGGAGCAGUUACUUCUUGCUUCACUUCAGCAGCAUAGUCCAGCUUCUAAAUUCAGUUCUCAGGUAUGAGGUUUCUCAGUUACCUCUUUUUUGUAAUAAAACAUUUGAUCAGUACUUGCCAGGAUAUCCAAUUAAUUAGGUCAGUUUUUGUUAGCAGUAAUAAUUUGUUUUUGCAGCUUUAUAUGUGUCUCUGUCUCCAAAUAUGAUGAUCUCUUAAUUUGCUUCUAUAGCUUUUGUAAUAUAAUGAUCUCUUAAUUUUCUUUUGCAUAUCUUCUUUGCUUCCUCUGCUAGCUCUAUAUGAGAUUCCAUCUCCAAAUAAUUAUUCCUUAUUUCCUAUUUUUACCAGAAGCAAAUCAUUGAAUACACAUGGUAAAUUAAAAGGGUUUUAGUUUUUGGAGUAGUUUAAAUUUUUUGUUUGUUAUUGCUUGUAUUGCUGUUAAAUAUUUGAUGGGUAGUUUGAAAUGGGGAACUUGGUUGAUUGAGUAUUAACUUUUAUUAAAUUAAUAUUCUUAUUCAAUAUUGAAUUAAGACUCCUCUUAUUAAAUUAAGACUCUUAAGGCUCUAAUCUAAUGUUCAUGCUCAAUAUCUCCUCUAUCUUUCUACAAUUGGUAAAACUUUUGUAUUAUUAUUCCAAUUUUGGUUACUGGGUUGUGGAAUUUUCCAUUUUUUUUCUGGGUAAUCAAUACUAUAUAUAUGCAUGACAAGUAUAAACAAUAUUUUGGGGCAAAUUUAGUUGUUUAAUUUUUAAUUUUUAUGUGACAGUGAGAUUAUGGUAGGAUUUCGUUUAGAUUCUGCGGCCCAAUGGGAGUCUCUGCUUUGAUAAGAUUGGGGUUGAUGCCAAGAAAGCCAAUAAGCCUACUGUGGACGCCGUAGCCGCCUGGCGCUGUUUUCCAAAAUCCUCUCUCACUUGGUUAAGCAAUUAAGACUUUUUGGUUCAGUUUUUAUUAUGCCCAAUUUUGUAUUUAAACCUUAAAAAAAUUUAAACUGAUAUGGGGAUACUGAAAUAGGCUGCAGAGCUGCCAUCCCUGAAUCAGAAGAUGUUCAGAAGGAAGAAGAAGAACAAGAAGAAAGUCGUGGAAUAUCAAAAGCUUUUAGCUUUGUGAAGGUAUGCUUUUUCCCAACUCACCUCUUGCUUUUGUUGCACUGAAUUGGUAGAUUGGGUUCAAAAAUAUAUAUAUGUGAUUUUUCGUGUAACUAUUUCUUUACAUAAUUACCAAUUGGAGGUGAUUUGAGAUCAUGUAACAUUUCCUCGCUAGAACCGAAGAUUGCCGUCGCUCAGAGCUGCGUUUCAUGAAACAAGUUCAUCUCCUGCCAAUUUUGUGUACCCACCUUUUAUUCAUGAGGGUUGGUGCUUGCUUGCAACACAAUUUGGUGCUAUUAAGUUUUGCGGUUUUACAAUUUGUUCAUGCUUAAACCUCUUUCAAAUUUUCAUUUCUAUGUAAAUCUUGCAGGUAGGACGACACACCUAUCUUGGCAAUGUCGGGAUGUCUAGGCUUGGGUGGAGACGUGGUCUUAUGGAAGAGGUGAAGUAGCUUAGCUCGAUCUCAUUAGCUCUUAUCUGUUCUAUUAUGCUAAGAUCAAUAGUAAAAAGUUCUAUUGAUUUUAUAAUCAAAGAUACAUAUAUUAUAGAAACAGAGGGUAUAUAAUUAAUUUCUUGAUGUAAACAAUUAUAACUUGAGGAACCAUUUAAAGUAUUUUGGUAAUCAGCAUACUUAAACUUAAAUGUGAUAUAUCCGUUUAGUAUUUUUUUUAUACAGUGAUAAUACUUAAGUAUAAUUUACAUCAUAUAUCUUUUGAAGUACAUGAAACUAUGAAGAAAAUGAUAAACCAAAUCCCAUUCCAUCUCUGUUUGCUACUGCACAAUCACAAUCCAAUUCCAACAUGGAAUCCUCAGACGACAUGCCUACUGCAGAACAAGUUUCAUCCUGACUUAACUUAUAUUUAGUCCACGUCCUGUUUAGAUUGUAAUCCUAGUUCUACGUGUGUUUGUAUAGUACUCCUAUAAAUAUCAAUGAACAUCGCUCACUCUAAUUAAGAGUUGAGAUUCUGCAAAUCAUAUUUACUAUCUUUCAUGGUAUCACGAGCCAGCGUCUAACGACAACGGUUCCUAUUAUAAUUUUUUUCUCUUUUGCAGAUCCUAAACUAUGGCAUCUUCUUCCUCCUCCGCUGCUCCCUCCAUCACAAAUUUUCUUACGAUCAAGCUCGACCGCAACAACUACCCUCUUUGGCAUGCUCAGUUUCUUCCCUUGCUGCGCAGCCGCAACUUACUCUCUUAUGUUACUGGCGAAACUCAAUGCCCCUCUUUCUUCUUGAUGACAAUGGUAAAUUCACCGAUAAAGUCAAUCCAUUAUAUAAUGAAUGGAUCCAGACUGACCAGAUGAUCCUAUCUUGGAUUACGAGUUCUCUUACUCCCAAGGUUCUUGCUACGAUCGUCAACAAAAUUGAUUCGGCCUCUGCUUGGUCGUCAAACUCGAAUUAAUCUGAUUGUGAGGGUUUUGUUUUAUAUCAAUAUAUUGCAACAGAAGUCACACUUUGAAGAGUUCAUGCUGCACAGAAAGAUGAUGAAAUGCUACCCGUUGAGUCUAUCAUUGCUCCAUUGGAGACAGAGCUGAAGCUUACUGCAGGAGUUAUACAUUUGUUAUGCAAUAUGACCCCUUUAAUUUUAUUUUAAAACUGAUACAAAAAUACUACAAAAAUUUAUGUAGUAUUUUUGUAUCAGUUUUGAGUGUCUAUUUUGGCUUCCAUAUAUCGUCUGUACAUGUGAGAGGUAUAGUGUUCAAUAUGUAUUUGGUUUCUAUAUUGUUAAUGGAUCCUUUUUUUUUUUUUAAUUUUAAUAUAAUUUUAUUAAGGUAACCAAGUUGCAGGAUGACAUCAGAACACUUGAUCUGCAGGUAAACCUUCAAUUUCCAUAUGAAGUUUGCAUGUUCGUUGUUUCUGGAAUUUGAGUUUUUAUUAUUUCUCAAUUCUAUCACAUAGAUUACGAUUUCACAUAUGUGAUUAUUAAUGGCAAUUAUAUGAUAGAAGAAUUGGGAUUGGAAGAAGAUAUUGAGUUGUUUAUUUAUGGGGAUUAGAAAAUGAUUAUCAUACAAGUGAUAUUUAUUUUUGUGUGGAUUGUUAAUAUAUAAAACUAUAAGCUUUUGAGAUUGGGAGAUAAAACCCACAAAUUCAAAUCAGACAAAAUAAAUAAAAAAUUUAACUGACUUAAAGAUCAAACUCCAAAAGGGUAUUAAAAACAAGGCUUAUUUGAUCCAUUGAGUGUGAAAGUUUUGAGCUUUGAAGAAGCAUAGGAGGAGAGUUGUUAACCAAGCUGCAUUAUCCAUGUAUUAGGAUGUUGAGGGUAGGCAGGAAAAAUACUUUUUGACGCCAUAUCCAGAGGAGCAUAACGACAGGCCUGCAUUUUUGCAGCAAGGACCAAAACAAGUAGAAGUGAAGGCUUGACUGUUUGGGUAUUAAUCCUAAACCUAAUUAUUCUUAUUUAGGUUUAGGAUAAAUGAUUGAGUGUGUCUCGAUGAUUGUAUUACCAUGUUUGAUGAAUGACUUGAGGAGUUGGAAAUGGUUUAUUGCUUAUGUUUUUCUUAGGUGUGUACUUUGGUUAUUUCCGAGCUUUUCACGACUCUUGAUACCUAAUAGAGAAAAUGGAAACCCCAACUUUAAUUUUAUGAAUUGGUUUUGGUGCCUAAAAUGAAAUCUAGCAUAGUGAAAUCUUGCAUAAUGAAAUUAUGACAAAUUUCCCUUCAUCUUUAGAUUUUCAUUUAGUUCAAUUUGUAUGCAAUUUAGGGUUAUUCAAUUCAUGAGUGAUCAAAUUAUGUUUUUAAUUCCUUCUUCUUUUGAUUUACAGUUCAACAUUGUCGUACAAAAUGAAAAAGGUGCCAGUAACAUAGUUAUGGAUUUGGAUGCCUUUAGCGGAAUAAAACUGAAUUUUUUAACUUUGUAUAGUUGUAAACAUAAAAUACUCCAUCAGAUAGACUCAUAGCAUUUGAAAACAAUCCUUGAGGAUGGCAUAACAACAUCUCCAACUUUUGUCAUGUAAUGUAUGAAUGUAAAUAGCACUUUGUAAACAUAUGGAUGUAAUAUAUGUAUAUAAACAGUCUUUAGCAUGUAUAUUUUUCAAAACUUUCUACAUCUUCAACAAUGUUUCAAUGAUUUCUUGAUGUAAACAAUGAUAAUUUGAAGAACCAUUUAAAGUUUUCGGUAAUCAGCAUACUUAAGCUUAAAUGUGAUAUAUCCGUUUAGUAUUUUUUAUACAGUGAUAAUACUCAAGUAUAAUUUACAUCAUAUAUCUUUUGAAGUACAUGAAACUAUGAAGAAAAAACCCUAAUUAAUCUGAUUAUGGGGGUUUUGUUUUAUAUCAAAAUAUUGCAGCAGAAGUCACACUUUGAAGAGUUCACGCUGCACAGAAAGACGAUGAAAUGCUAUCUGUUGAGUCCAUCAUUGCUCCAUUGGAGACAGAGCUGAAGCUUGCUGCAGGUGGUAUACUUUUGUUCUGCAAUAUGACCCCUUUAAUUUUAUUUUAAGACAGAUAGGGUUGAAAAGAAUUUAUGUAGUAUUUUUGUAUCAGUUUUGAAUGUCUAUUUUGACUUCCAUAUUUGGUCUGUACAUGUGAGGUAUAGAGUGUUCAAUAUGUAUUUGGUUUCUAUAUUGUUAAUGGAUCUUUUUUUUUUGUUUUUUAGGUAACCAAGUUGCAGGAUGAAAACAAAACACUUGAUCAGCAGGUAAACCUUCAAUUUCCAUAUGAAGUUUGCAUUUUUGUUGUUUCUGGAAUUUGAGUUUUUUGCAGGAUGAAAACAGAACACUUAAUCUGCAGGUAAACACUUGAUUUGUUAUUUCCAAGCUUUUCACGACUUUCGAUACCCAAUAGAGAAUAUGGAAACCCCAACUUUAAUUUUAUGAAUUUGUUUUGGUGCCUAAAAUGAAAUCUAGCAUAGUGAAAUCUUGCAUAAUGAAAUUAUGACAAAUUUCCCUUCAUCUUUACAUUUUCAUUUAGUUCAAAUCGUAUGGUUUAGGGUUAUUCAAUUCAUGAGUGAUCAAAUUAGGUUUUUAAUUCCUUCUUCUUUUGAUUUUCAGUUCAGCAUUGUCGUAUUUUGGAUGCCUUUAGUGGAAUAAAACUGAAUUUUUUUAACUUUGUAUAGUUGUAAACAUAAAAUACUCCAUGAGAUAGACUCAUAACUUUUGAAAACAAUCUUUGAGGAGGGCAUAACAACAUCUCCAACUUUUGUCAUGUAAUGUAUGAAUGUAAAUAGCACUUUGUAAACAUAUGUAUGUAAUAUAUGUAUAUAAACACCACUCUUUAGCAUAUAUAUUUUUCAAAACUUUCUACAUCUUCAACAAUGUUUCAAGCCCCGCGGCAACGGGCGGGUACACUUGCUAGUAUACAUCUAAAAUUAUAAGACUAAAUCCUUUAGUUCUUGGAUUCAUCUAAGAACUACUUAUUCCAGCAGAUGCUAUGCUUGCACUACUAGAAUUUAUGGCUUGCCCUGUCAACUAUUGCGCGACAGAAGAUUUCGUCGGUUUCACCUUUUUUAACCGACAGAAUAUAAGUUUAGUAGGGCAAAAUCAGUCAACAAACUGGGUUGAUUGAAUAAAUUUACAGGAUGGCUAGAGUUCGUAGGUUAAGACAUCGGUCGUUGGGCAAACAUUUGGAGCGAAGAUGUGAGUGUUUUAACUGACGAAUAAGCUGGUCGUCAUGUAGAUCUUCUUUCCCGACGGACGGUUCAACAGGUAGCUCUUUGGAUAAUAAUUCAUCUUCAAGGGGAACAGGUUGCCCCUCAGAUGAAUGGUUAGAGGCAAUUGUGAGACUAUAAUUUUCUAGGGCCGGAAUAAAAAAUACAUAAACCCUCACCUAUUCUGUCUCUGUAACCAUCCACCAAAUACCCAUUUUUCCCUUUCUAUUUCUCUCCUAGUAAUUUCCCCUGACCGAAUCACACAAUCCAACCAACUCUCUUUAAGCCUCCCUCACUGAUUCCAUGGAUUUCAUGGACUUAUCCCACCCUCUCUCCUUCCUUCUAUAUAUAGCAAGUCCCCUUGCCUCAGUGUCCCUGGCAACAGAAUUUAUGGCGUUUCUUCGUUCUUUCAAUUAUUUGAAAGCUUCCCUGCCCUGCAAUCUUGUAUAAAGGCGUAUGGUGUUUCAUCAGUUCCAUUUGGUGGUCGGGUGGGAAAUGAAAUUAAAACACUGCAUUUCAAAUGCAUUUCAAAUGGUCUAAACCAAAUUGAAUCAAAUGUGAAGCAAAGGGCAAGAGGUGUAGAUUGAAGAACAAUGGCACCAAGAGCGAAAUUGAACUUGUUGACAGGAGGAAACCAAGUAAGGAUAACACGUCUAAAUCUUAUUUUGAAUCCAUUCAGCUCAUGAUGUUUUGAAUGAUGAUGAUCGGUAUACUCUGCUACAUGCUGUGAUUUUUCCGCUUUCAUGUAAUUAACGGCUUAUAUUUGUGGUAACCAUAUUGAUUAAAAAAGGUCGUACCCAGUGCACAAGGCUCCCGCUUUACGCAGGGUCUGAAAGGUGAAUGUCGGCUAGCCUUACCCCCAUUUUAUGGAGAGGCUGCUCCAAAGUCUCAAACCCAAGACCUACCGCUCAUGGGCGAAGACACUUGCCAUCGCACCAAGUGCGAUAUUGAUUAAUUUCGAGAAAUGACAGUCUAAUUUUUGCAACUGUCUUUUGCAGGCAAAACAAAGACGUUUGCAAGGGUGAGUUGUGUAGGAGCUUUGUUUCAUGUCCAAAGGACACUUGAGAAUAAAUGUUUACACUCAUGGAUAAUAUCUAUCUAUUUGCAGGAGUAACCCUGGGUUCAUUUGUUCUGUAACUGCUGGUCAUUGCGGCAUAUCACGCCUAUAGCACUGACAAAAGUAAAAAGAGAAUCGAAUGAAAUUUGAUAAGUUUUCAGCGGACUACAAAGAUCUUAAGCCAAGCAUAUAUUCCCAUGCAGAUAUUAAGAGGUUUACAAAUCAAUUCAAGUACAAGUUGGGCCAAGGAGCAUACGGAACUAUUUUUAAAGGAAUGCUUUUUUCUGAAUGCUUUGUUGCCAUGAAGUACUUAACAAUGGGCCAUAUUCACCAUGUCAAUGUGGUUCACUUGGUUGGUUUUUGUGCUGAUGGAUUUAGAUGAGCUCUGGUUUAUGAGUUCUUUUCCUUUGGUUCACUCCAGGAUUAUAUUUCAUCAGUAGAUAGAUUUCUUUCCUUGGUUGGCAUAAGUUACAAGAUAUUGCUAUCAGCAUAGCCAAAGGAACCAAGGAUGUGAUCUACAAAUCCUCCAUUUCGAUAUCAAACCCCAUAAUGUUUUGCUCAACCAAAAAAUCACGCCAAAAAUCUCUGAUUUUGGUCUGGCCAAGUUAUGUUCCAAGGAUCAAUCGGCGUGACUAAAGCAAGGGGGACUAUGUGACUAAAGCACCCGAAGUGUUUUCCAGGAAUUUCGGAAAUGUGUCUUACAAGGCAGAUGUCUUGAAUGCUGCUGCUUGAGAUGGUAGGAGAAAAGAAGAAUAUUGGUUCAACCAGAGGACACGACAAAUGAAAUCUACUAUCCAAAAUGGAUUUAUAAUCUUCUAGAGGAAGGAAAUGACCAACAGAUCCCUAUUGAGGAAGAAUGUUAUGGUAAGAUUCCAAAGCAACUUGCAAGUUUAGGGCUCUGGUGCAGCCAGUGACACUCAGUGGAUCGGCGGUCCAUGAAAACGGUGGUUCGGAUGUUAGGAGGAGGAGAAAACUUGAUGAUGCAAGCAACCCUAAAAGCCUCAUACAGUUAGAAGCAAUUGCUGAAUUAGAGUAACAUACGUAUAUGUAUACGCACCAACACAAGUCGUUCUUAGAUGAAUCCAAGCCAAACAAUUACAGACAAUAGUUAUUCACUAAAUCACUUUAAGGCAAGAAUUUAAUUAAUAAUACAUUACUGCACUUUCUUAACCAUUUGACUAUCACCUAGCUGACAAUGAACACGUUAGCUCCGCGUUAGAACAUCUUGGGUUCAAUUCAUUGUCUUGAAUAUCACCCACUGUCACAGGCGUCUUUUGGGGGCAUAGAGAAGGCCUGAGAGGCAUUUGCAGACAUUCAACAUCUCCUCCAAGCAUUUUGACAACUUUGGACAUCGAAGGGCGAUCACUUGGUUUCAUUUGAAUACACCACAAGGCGGUUAUAACCAUCUUUCUUAUUACUUUCUUUUCCUCCUCUGUAACAUUGUCCAUUUCCAAGUCAUUUCCUACAAUAUACUGAUCGUAUACCCACAUUGGGAAGUAGAUUUGGCUUGAAUGCUCUACCGUUGGAUUCAAAUUCCUCCUUCUGCUUGCCAUUUCCAUCAACAACAUUCCAAAACUAUAGACAUCUGACUUAUAUGAGACGCCUCCAAUAUUUUUGUAGAACAACUCAGGAGCAAUAUAUCCCAGUGUACCCCGUGCUGCUGUCAAAGAGACAAUGCUAUUAUCUACAUGAUACAAUUUUGCAAGCCCAAAGUCAGAAACCUUUGCUUUAAAGUUCUCAUCAAGAAGGAUGUUAUGAGGCUUGAUGUCGAAAUGUAGAAUUUGCAUUUCGCAACCUUGGUGUAGAUAUUCGAUCCCUUGAGCCACUCCAAGAGAAAUCUCGUACAUGUUCUUGAUAGUUAAGGGGACACUUCCUUCUUUGGAAUAAAUGUAUUUAUCAAGAGAACCAUUAGGCAUGAAGUCAUAGACUAGAGCGCGUUUUGAUCCCUCAACAUAGUAUCCAACAAGUUGCACCACAUUGGCAUGGUGAAUCCUUCCGAUUGUAGCUAAUUCGCUAAUGAAAUCUUGGCCAUCAGCUUUGGGCUUGGCCAAAACUUUAACUGCUACAAAUCGACCACUGCGUAGCUUUCCCUUAAAUACAGAGCCAAAGCCACCUUUGCCCAACUUGUCCUUAAACUUGCGAGUCAUUUUCUUGACGUCCGAGUAAGAGUACCUUAUAGGCAUGAAGUUGUUAUUGCAUUGCAGAAAAUCUUCUAUUGUGCUAUACAUUGAUAAAUGUCUUCUGCGCCAUGUGUAGAUUAGAAAUGCAGUCACAAUUGGAACUCCAAAAACAAAUCUGGCUAGGAAAAAUAACCCUACAUGCAUUGACAUUAAUAUGUUAGAUCCACUGCGUACUACUUUUUCUUCCCUUUCUUUCCAAAUUACUUUGUCUUUGAUGUAAUUAAAGAGAGAAUGGGAAAUGUACAUAUGUUGAUAAUACAAUCUCGUCUUAGUCCUUACCGAUGCAUAUGAGUAUAAACCAUACACGUACUGCAACAAAAUCAAUCGACUAUGAGUUUGAAAAGUGCAUAAAGUGAAAAAAAAAUAAAAAAAAUCAAAGGGUGCCUUUAUUGACAUCCAAAUUUUAGUUAGUUUUACUCAACUAAAAAAUUUUUGUCAUCAAACUUUUUAAUUUGCCGUCGAAAUUGAGUUCACCCAACCCACAAAGCAGCAACUACCACUCACCAAAAAAACCAACAACACACAGCCACCAGUACCAUUCACCAAUAGAAAGAGAAGGAACACACAGACCCACCAAGGAGCCGGCAUCGACGCGUCUACGAGGGAGGGACCGGAGGGUGGUGUAGUUUUGUUGGGCGCGCGGUAGUGGUUUUGUCUGUUCAUUUUCUCUUUGUUUUGGUAGGUGGAGGCUGGUGUGGAUUUGGGCGAACUUAAAAAUGAGGGGAAACUAUGAAGUUUGACAAAAUGUUUUAGUUAGGUGAACUUCACUAAAAUUUGGGUGCCGAUAAAGAUACCCAAAAUCAAAAGACUAGAUGGACUAAUUAAAUGAAGCUCUUACCCAUAUAUAACGAUGGACGCAACUUGCCAGCUGCUGCAGUACAUACCACGGAAAAGUGAGCAAAGACAUACAGUUACUAGGUUUAAGAAGUACAGAUAGAGCACACAAAAAAUAAAAGAAGCUUUUGGGAAGAAACUUCUUACGCAAAUAGAUUUUUUUCAUGACCUACAGUAAAAAAAUGUCAAGAAGAAUACACAACAUUAGCAAUAGCUCACCCAGUCUUCAAAAUUUAAAAAAUCAAGUUUGUCGAUCGAAAACUUGUAAAUAAAACAAAAAGAGGACCCCUUACCGAUUUGUUGCCAUAGAUAUUGAAAGAAACCUACAAGAACAAAGAAAGAACAAGACCACAUGCAUUAGAAUAACAAGUGUGAGGUGUAUAAGCCGUUAGAAAAUAAAUUUAAAAUUCUAGUGCUGUCAAUACAUUGAUAAUAUAUAUAUAUAUAUAUAUAUAUAUAUAUAUAUGUAUGUAUGUAUUAUUUUUUCUGAAAAUUUAACUUUUCCCGUCCAAACUCAUUUUUCUAGUCUCUAGCCCAACAUAUAAUAUUUAUCUGAAUAAAACCAAAUGAUUAGGAUCCAACUAAGAAACUUACCAAAUUAAGUUUGUGUGUCCAUUUUUAUAUUUUUUGGAUCCCUAAUAUACCCCAUCUAAGCCAGUAUGGAAAGGUCUUGUAAUUUUGCUUUAAGUGAUUACGUGCAUUGAAUUUGGCAAGGUCUUAUAGCCAUGAAAUAUGGUUCUAGAUGGAGGAAUUAAUUUGGAAUUUUUUUUAAUUUCGACAACAAAUUUCAAUUUGAAUAUACCUAAUUUAGUGUUUAUUUUCAACAAUAAAUGUGCCUACUUUUUAAAUUUGUAACAAAAUUAAUUUACCUACUUUUUAUGGUAUUAGUGACACACCCUGUCCCGAAGGAGGGCAUGCUGGCCGUCACGAGAGAGUGACGUAACCAUUUGCACAGUACGGAAGCUUUAAGAUACAAUUUAUAAGUUGAUACACCCGAAGGUGAGUCCUAAUUUUUGUCCAAUCUGUCAGAACACCGUCAAAUUCCUCGUAGUCACCACACCUUUGUGAUUCCUGAACCUGGAGGGGCGCAAAACCAAAAUUGAGUGGGUCAGUAAAACAAUUCUUUUCCAAAUCCAAACAUUUCUCAAAACGUUGUAACCCUCUCCGUAAAACUUGUAUACUUUCCCAGAAAUGUAAAAUAUAAAUAUACAUAUAUAUUCUCAAACUUCAUUUUUACUAUCUCAACAUUUUUCUUUAUCAAACAUGCCAUGCCAUGUCUAAUUCAACAGUUAAGUAUGGAUGCAUCAACAAUAAUCAUAUCAGGUGCAAGAAAGUAAUCAACCGGAGGCCCUCUAAUAGCCCUGUACGGUUGAACCUAGAGCUCAAAAUCUAUCACUCUCACUCUGCCGGGAGUCACCUCUGUGACCUGUCCGGCCUUCUGCACACAAGUUACGCUCUAGUGCUUUCUCAUCAAUCAUCUGUGCACAUAAUCUAAGGUCACCCACCAGUCGAAAUCUCACUAACACUCUUCGACUGGCCCGUCGCACCCACUCCGCGUGGACUGUGCGACCAGCAUCUACUUGGAUCCAAGGCGAGCGUGCGAUGCGGUGAAUACUAUAAGCACUAAACCAUGGUGCAGGAUUUGAGCUCAAUAUAUAUCAACAUCAUCAUAACAGUACUUAAAUACUCACCUGAUACUCACCUGUGCGUCCGCCGCACCAAUUCAUACAUAUGCAUCAUAUUUCAAUUCAUAUCAUUUCAUGCAUGGCAAUUCGAUUCACAUUUCUAUAUACAUUUCAUAUACUUCUAUGCAUGACCUUUCAAUUCACGUUUUCAUAUAAUUCUAUAUACCUUUCAUUUAAAACAUAAUUUCAUUCUAAUUCAAUUUCUGGGAAAACGUCAAGUAUAUAUAUACGGAAAACAAAACUGCCCACUCACCUGGAGUUCGUCCAACAACUCCCUAGCACCACACAUCAAGGCGUCAUGACGAUCGCCGUCUAGAACAGUAAUCAAAUCCAGCCUCAGAAUUCAUAUCGAUAGAACAUAUAACUUAUAUAAAAUAUGUCACUACGUAGAUCGAUCCGGAAGAUCUGCCACUCAGAUUUUAAAUCCAUAACUUCCAGAGGUCCACAAUAUAUCUCUAGGAUAACAUCCUAAAAUUUCAUUACCAUCCAACGGUCGGAUCUCCGUCAAUUUCCAAAACUAAGUGACGGUUAACAUUUUAUUUUAUGAACUUACAAUUCUAAUUCCGGAAGAUCCGUAACUCGGAUUCCCAAUCCGUAAGUUCCAAUAAUCCUCAAAUAUUACGUAUUACAACGUAUCAAAGUUUGGUAACGAUCCAACGGUCGGAUCAUCAAUUCACAUUUUCACCUAAUGCGAAAACUAUAAAACGUUAUUCGAACACCUAACCAACAAUCCUUAAUAACUUUCUCAUACGGUGUUCAAUUUGGGUAUAUGAAUAUACCACAGUGAUCUACUCAUUAAAAUAAUUUUUUACUGUAGCACGCGCCCCCACGCGCCAAGGAAGGCACGGACCUACGCGCCCCCACGCGCACCUUCUUCUUCCUUGGGUCGCCGGACUGGUUUUUCCGGCGGCCGUUUUUCAAAUUGCCAUAACUUUGUCAUUUCUCAACGAAAUCAAGUGAUUCAAAAACGAAAGUUGUAGCCCUUGAAGAGACAAAGAGAAUGGUACCUUGCACAACACCUAGUUCGCCGUGGUUUGGCCGGAAACUGCUUCGAAAGCCUCGGAGGUCGCCAGAAACUGGGUAUUUUUCAAAUCAGUAUAACUUCUUCAAUACUCAACGAAAUUGAGUGAAACAAAAAGGAAAGUUGUAGUACUUGACGAGACGAAGAGAUUGAUACCUACCUCGACUCCUAACUCACCGGAUAUUCGCCGGAAAAUGCCUCGAAAGCUCCGGCCAAACUUUGAACUUGUCGAUCUCCGUGUUCUUACAUCCAAAAACUUCCAACGAAGCACUCCGAGCUUCCUUGGGACCUCACUAAGCUCGCUAUGAUCUUGUUUUAGCCUAAAACGUAGUCAUUUAGAAGAUCAUGAACAAUACCAUUUCACGGGAACUUUGAAACUAGGGUUUUCCGAAGCAAAACUUACCUGAAAUGGAUACCAUCGUGAUCGUGGAGGUUCCAGGAGUUUGAUGGUGGUCUUAACUCUGUCGUUGGUGGAAGUUUAAGGUUGUUUUGUGGUUGGUUUGUUCGAACGGAGAAGAAGAGUGACAGAGAGAGUGAGAGAGUCGUGAGGGAAGAGAGAGAGAGACAGCAUGCAGAAAAUAGGGAGAGGAUUGAGGGGUGUGGGGAUCCCACGUGGUCCUUUUCCAAUCCCCAACUCCAAACCAUAAAAUUUUAACCUAAAAAUCUAAGUUCAAUCCUUAAUAAAUUCCAUUUUAUUUUCAAAACUUAGGAACCUAGAUAAUUAUCAACUUGAGCUUCACAUACUUAGUAUUUCUUAAGGGCAAUUUCGUUCAUUCACAGCCACGAAUGUAAUAUUUUGGAACGGGCUGUGACAAUUAGUAUACAUAAAUGUAGAAUAUAUGUCCGUAUAUAUUUGAUCCAAUUAGUAUUAGGGAGAAUGACAAGUCAUCCAAGUCUGCUACUGUUAAUAAUUCUGUUACUGUAAAUUAACUGAUUGUAUUAGUUGUGAUUAGUUAAGAUAGUUAUAAAGUAGUUAGGGGUAUCUAUGUAAAUAGCCAAAGGCUAUAUAUAUUCCUACACAAUGUGUAAAGUUCUCAGUCAAGUAAAUACAAUCAAGAAAACUUACUGUUGAAGUUUUCUGUUUCUACAUGGUAUCACGCCAUUCCGCUUCACAGCUUCGAUCUUUCUCUUCGCUUGCUGCAUCGAUCGACUCUUGAUCGAUUUUUCUUCUCUGAUCUUCUCUUCGCUUGCUGCAUCGAUCGACUCAUGAUCGAUUUUUCUUCUCUGAUCGUCACUUCUUCCCUUCCGAUCUUGUAGUAUUUUCUUGAUUUCUGUCAGUAAUGGCGGCUCAAUCGACUGGUUCAUCUUCUCCGGUCAUCUCCCCCUCGAGCCCAAACCCUAAUUUUCUCUGGAAACCCUAAUUCCUCUGGAAAUCCGAGUCCUCUGACUUCCUACACUUCUCUCUCACAAUUCAUAACAUCGGCAGCAUGGUGCCGAUCAAGCUCAAAAGAUCCAAUUACCUACCAUGGCGCGCCCUGUUUGGCCCGAUUUUCCGGCGAUACAAGCUUCUUGGAGUAAUCGAUGGUACUGACGUCUGUCCAUCGCCAUUUCUGCCUGAUCGUAGCAUCAAUCCUGCUUUUGAGGACUGGUAUGAGAAAGAUCAAAAUCUUUUUGAUCUGGUUGAAUUCCACACUUUCUGAGGAAAUCAUCCCGUUCACGGUUGGGGUUUCAUCCUCUCGAGAACUUUGGGUAAAGCUUGAACAGCGCUUUGGUGGAAUUUCAGAGGCUCAUAUCCAUCAGUUGCGAUCGCGCCUUCAAUCUGUUCAGAAAGGAUCGCGUUCUAUCUCUGACUAUCUUCAAGAACUCAAGGAAAUUUCAGAUUCUCUGCAAGCUGCUGGUGCUUCUGUCUCUGAUCGAGAUCUUAUCGCCGCCACACUACAUGGCUUGCCUGAUGAAUUUGAGUCUUUCAUCGACUGUAUCAUGCUCCGAUUGUCCUCUACCUCUCUGAUGAACUUCAUGGCCUCCUUCUCACAAAGGAAUUGUCUAUGGCCAGACGCAAAACUGUCAGUUCAUCUCCUGUCCCUGAAUCUUUUCAGGCUUUCUCGGUGCAGUCUCAGCCUCAUCUCCUUCCUACUCCAUCUGCUUUUGCUGCUCAGAAUCUCCCUCUUCAAUCUGCAUCUCGGUUCAACUCUAAUCGUGGCAGGAACACUAAGGGCCAGUUCUUUUCCAAUCGAGGUCAUCGAGGUAAUCGUGGUAAUUUUCCUAAUAAACCGUGGCAAUCGAGGUUAUCAAGGAUUUCGCAGCAAUCAAGGCUCUUCUCACUUCAAAGUGCUUUGUCAAAUCUGUGGUUCUACCAGUCAUGAGGCUAUUGACUGCUUUGAUCGUAUGAAUCCUGACAUCUUGUGGUCGUAUUCCUCCAGCUAAGCUUGCUGCCAUGUGUGCCACAACAUUCUGCUAAACCAUCUCAGCCUUGGUUAAUUGAUUCAGGGGCAACCUCUCAUAUCACUAAUGAUGUUGCUAACCUCACCUCUCCUACUCCCUACACUGGCGAGGAUUAAAGUGUAUAUUGGAGAUGGUAAAGGUUUAUCCAUCCUCAAUGUUGGUUCAUCUACUCUGCACACCUCUCAUAAUUCUUUUCAAUUGCGAAAUGUUUUACAUGUUCCCCACAUAACCCAUAAUCUUAUCUGCUUAUCAGUUUUGUUAAUGAUAAUAAUUGUUCAUUGACACUUGACCCUUAUGGAUCCUAUGUCAAGGAUCGUAUUUCGGGGAAGAUGCUUUUACGGGGACCGGUUAGAGAUGGCUUCUAUCCUCUUCAAAGUUCCAGCAAUCUUCAUCCUCUUUCACAUACCGCUUUACUUAGUAUUAAAGCUCCAGUUACAAUUUGGCACAAGCGUUUGGGUCACCCUUCCUCCUCCAUUUUUAGAAGGCUCCUUUCAUCCAAUAAUCUUGCUUUACAAGGCAAGUCUACUGUGGACUUUUUCUGUUCGGAUUGUGCUCUUGCCAAGAAUCAUAAGCUUCCAUUUAAAGCUGCUACUUCAUCAUCAACUCACAGCCUUCAACUACUGCACUGUGAUCUGUGGGGACCUGCCUCAAUCACAUCAAGUAGUGGUUUUCAAUAUUAUUUGCUCAUUGUUGAUGACUAUAGCAAAUAUAGUUGGUUCUUUCCUUUGAAAUCUAAGUCAGAUGUAUUUUCUACAUUUGUUGUCUUCAAAUCAUAUGUAGAAAAUUCACUUGGAAAUAAAAUAAAGGUUCUGCGUUCAGAUUCAGGGGGUGAAUUUACUAGUCACUCUUUUGCAUCAUAUCUCAGCAAACAUGGCAUUCUUCAUCAGUUCAGUUGUCCCCACACCCCUGAGCAAAAUGGUUGUGCAGAAAGAAAGCACAGGCACCUUGUUGAAAACAGCUCGCACUUUGCUUCUUGCAUUCUCAUGUCCCUCAUAUUUUCUGGGUUGAAGCAUUCUCCACUGCUAUCUAUCUUAUUAAUCGCCUUCCUAUUUCUGGCAUUUCACAGUCCCCUUGGCAGUUGCUAUUUCACAACCAUCCAGACUACUCUAAGCUCAAAGUAUUUGGUUGCCAAUGCUUUCCUUGGCUCAAACCUUACUUUCAUAGCAAAUUGGAUCCCAAGAGCAAAAAGUGUGUUUUCUUGGGGUAUAGUCUUCAACACAAAGGCUAUAGGUGCCUUGAUCCUAUCACCAAUCGCAUCUACAUCUCUCGUCAUGUCUGUAUUCGAUGAAAGUACUUAUCCAUUUCAGUUGUCCCACAUUCAACACUCUUUUCCUGUUCCAAGUCCUCCAUCUUCCUCACCAACAAUUUCUUCCUCUCUGGAUCUUCAUUUUUUAGCAAACACAUUCCUCCUGUUUUCAGUCAGCCAUCUACAUCACCAUUAUGUGCUUCUGUGCCUGUUCCUAUUUCUUCAUCUUCAUCUUCCCCUGCACCUGUCUCAGUUGGCUCUUCUUUCCAGUUUUGUUCCUCCUUCAGCACAUUCAUCUUUCUCCCAAAAUCAACAGAGUCAUCCUCCUGCCCCUGUUAAUUCUCAUCCAAUGAUUACUAGAUCCAAGGCUGGUAUACUCACGUCGAGAGCCUGUGCAGCAACUAAGCACCCACUUCCGGUUGAUAUGGAUUAUGUUCCUACAACAUACUUGCAAGCUUCUAAGCAUGCUCAUUGGAGGCAAGCUAUGCAAGAUGAAUUUAAUGCCUUGCUAACCACUGGUUACUUUGGUCUCUUGUUCCUUCUCACCAUUCUCAAAACUUAGUGGGCUGCAAGUGGGUUUUCCGGAUUAAGAAGAAGCCCGAUGGCACUGUUGACAGAUAUAAAGCCCGGCUUGUGGCCAAGGGUUUUCAUCAACAAGAAGGUAUUGACUUUUCAAGAAAACCUUCAGUCCAGUUGCCAAACCGGUUACAAUUCGGAUCCUUCUUACCCUUUGCUGUGCAAUAUAAUUGGUUUCUCAAUCAAUUGGACAUUAGUAAUGCCUUUCUUCAUGGAGACUUAAAGAGAGGAUGUCUACAUGCAACAACCCCCUGGUUUUGUUGAUCCCUUUACCCUACAUUUUGUAAGUUGAGGAAAUCGUUGUAUGGUCUCAAACAAGCUCCUCGAGCUUGGUUUGAUAAACUGUUCCAAGCUCUUCCUCUCUUGGAUUCACCCAAUCAUCCUCAGAUGCUUCUUUAUUUGUUCUCAAUGGUCCUCAGUUUAGUCAUUGUCCUUGUCUAUGUUGAUGACAUUCUUGUCACCGGACCCUAUCCUUACCUCUGUCAACACUUCAUUCAGCAACUUGGGGCUCAAUUUCCAGUAAAAGACCUUGGUCCUCUUCAUUAUUUCUUGGGAUUAGAAGUACAUCGAUCUUCCCAGGGUAUAUUUCUCCAUCAAACAAAGUACUUAUUGGAUCUUCUCAAGAAAACAAAUAUGGAGGGUGCAAAACCUUGUUGUACUCCCCUUGGCUCUAAGAAAUUAGAUCACAGUGGCCCUCUUCUGUCCAAUCCUACUGAAUAUCGCUCCAUUGUUGGUGGUUUACAAUAUCUUACUUGGACUAGACCCGACCUUGCUUUUGCUGUGAACCAAAUCUGCCAAUUCAUGCAUGCUCCCAGGGAACAACAUCUCCAGGCAGCAAAAAGGGUUCUCAGAUUUCUCAAAGGCUCUAUCUCACAUGGUGUGUGGUUCACUAAAGGCCCUGUCCAUCUUUCUGCCUACUCGGAUGCCGACUGGGCUGGUUGCACAAUUGACAGGAGAUCAACCACUGGUUAUUGUGUAUUUUUGGGUUCCAAUCUUAUCAGCUGGAGUGCCAAGAAGCAAAGUACUGUUGCCAAGGUCCUCUACAGAGGCUGAAUAUCGCUCCUUAGCUCACACAGCUGCUGAGAUAACUUGGGUUUGCAGAUUCUCAAAGAUCUGCACUAUCCUCUCUCUUACAUUCCCUACUUUUGGUGUGACAACAUAUCAGCAAUAUCUUUAGCAUCUAAUCCUGUCUUUCAUGCUCGAACAAAGCAUGUUGAGAUCGAUUAUCNGAAGUUUUCUGUUUUCUACAUGGUAUCACGCCAUUCCGCUUCACAGCUUCGAUCUUUCUCUUCGCUUGCUGCAUCGAUCGACUCUUGAUCGAUUUUUCUUCUCUGAUCUUCUCUUCGCUUGCUGCAUCGAUCGACUCAUGAUCGAUUUUUCUUCUCUGAUCGUCACUUCUUCCCUUCCGAUCUUGUAGUAUUUCUUGAUUUCUGUCAGUAAUGGCGGCUCAAUCGACUGGUUCAUCUUCUCCGGUCAUCUCCCCCUCGAGCCCAAACCCUAAUUUCUCUGGAAACCCUAAUUCCUCUGGAAAUCCGAGUCCUCUGGACUUCCUACACUUCUCUCACAAUUCAUAACAUCGGCAGCAUGGUGCCGAUCAAGCUCAAAAGAUCCAAUUACCUACCAUGGCGCGGCCCUGUUUGGCCCGAUUUUCCGGCGAUACAAGCUUCUUGGAGUAAUCGAUGGUACUGACGUCUGUCCAUCGCCAUUUCUGCCUGAUCGUAGCAUCAAUCCUGCUUUUGAGGACUGGUAUGAGAAAGAUCAAAAUCUUUUGAUCUGGUUGAAUUCCACACUUUCUGAGGAAAUCAUCCCGUUCACGGUUGGGGUUUCAUCCUCUCGAGAACUUUGGGUAAAGCUUGAACACAGCGCUUUGGUGGAAUUUCAGAGGCUCAUAUCCAUCAGUUGCGAUCGCGCCUUCAAUCUGUUCAGAAAGGAUCGCGUUCUAUCUCUGACUAUCUUCAAGAACUCAAGGAAAUUUCAGAUUCUCUGCAAGCUGCUGGUGCUUCUGUCUCUGAUCGAGAUCUUAUCGCCGCCACACUACAUGGCUUGCCUGAUGAAUUUGAGUCUUUCAUCGACUGUAUCAUGCUCCGAUUGUCCUCUACCUCUCUUGAUGAACUUCAUGGCCUCCUUCUCACAAAGGAAUUGUCUAUGGCCAGACGCAAAAACUGUCAGUUCAUCUUCCUGUCCCUGAAUCUUUUCAGGCUUUCUCGGUGCAGUCUCAGCCUCAUCUCCUUCCUACUCCAUCUGCUUUUGCUGCUCAGAAUCUCCCUCUUCAAUCUGCAUCUCGGUUCAACUCUAAUCGUGGCAGGAACACUAAGGGCCAGUUCUUUUCCAAUCGAGGUCAUCGAGGUAAUCGUGGUAAUUUUCCUAAUAACCGUGGCAAUCGAGGUUAUCAAGGAUUUCGCAGCAAUCAAGGCUCUUCUCACUUCAAAGUGCUUUGUCAAAUCUGUGGUUCUACCAGUCAUGAGGCUAUUGACUGCUUUGAUCGUAUGAAUCCUGACAUCUGUGGUCGUAUUCCUCCAGCUAAGCUUGCUGCCAUGUGUGCACAACAUUCUGCUAAACCAUCUCAGCCUUGGUUAAUUGAUUCAGGGGCAACCUCUCAUAUCACUAAUGAUGUUGCUAACCUCACCUCUCCUACUCCCUACACUGGCGAGGAUAAAGUGUAUAUUGGAGAUGGUAAAGGUUUAUCCAUCCUCAAUGUUGGUUCAUCUACUCUGCACACCUCUCAUAAUUCUUUUCAAUUGCGAAAUGUUUUACAUGUUCCCCACAUAACCCAUAAUCUCUUAUCUGCUUAUCAGUUUGUUAAUGAUAAUAAUUGUUCAUUGACACUUGACCCUUAUGGAUCCUAUGUCAAGGAUCGUAUUUCGGGGAAGAUGCUUUUACGGGGACCGGUUAGAGAUGGCUUCUAUCCUCUUCAAAGUUCCAGCAAUCUUCAUCCUCUUUCACAUACCGCUUUACUUAGUAUUAAAGCUCCAGUUACAAUUUGGCACAAGCGUUUGGGUCACCCUUCCUCCUCCAUUUUUAGAAGGCUCCUUUCAUCCAAUAAUCUUGCUUUACAAGGCAAGUCUACUGUGGACUUUUUCUGUUCGGAUUGUGCUCUUGCCAAGAAUCAUAAGCUUCCAUUUAAAGCUGCUACUUCAUCAUCAACUCACAGCCUUCAACUACUGCACUGUGAUCUGUGGGGACCUGCCUCAAUCACAUCAAGUAGUGGUUUUCAAUAUUUAUUUGCUCAUUGUUGAUGACUAUAGCAAAUAUAGUUGGUUCUUUCCUUUGAAAUCUAAGUCAGAUGUAUUUUCUACAUUUGUUGUCUUCAAAUCAUAUGUAGAAAAUUCACUUGGAAAUAAAAUAAAGGUUCUGCGUUCAGAUUCAGGGGGUGAAUUUACUAGUCACUCUUUUGCAUCAUAUCUCAGCAAACAUGGCAUUCUUCAUCAGUUCAGUUGUCCCCACACCCCUGAGCAAAAUGGUUGUGCAGAAAGAAAGCACAGGCACCUUGUUGAAACAGCUCGCACUUUGCUUCUUGCAUCUCAUGUCCCUCAUAUUUUCUGGGUUGAAGCAUUCUCCACUGCUAUCUAUCUUAUUAAUCGCCUUCCUAUUUCUGGCAUUUCACAGUCCCCUUGGCAGUUGCUAUUUCACAACCAUCCAGACUACUCUAAGCUCAAAGUAUUUGGUUGCCAAUGCUUUCCUUGGCUCAAACCUUACUUUCAUAGCAAAUUGGAUCCCAAGAGCAAAAAGUGUGUUUUCUUGGGGUAUAGUCUUCAACACAAAGGCUAUAGGUGCCUUGAUCCUAUCACCAAUCGCAUCUACAUCUCUCGUCAUGUUGUAUUCGAUGAAAGUACUUAUCCAUUUCAGUUGUCCCACAUUCAACACUCUUUUCCUGUUCCAAGUCCUCCAUCUUCCUCACCAACAAUUUCUUCCUCUCUGGAUCUUCAUUUUAGCAAACACAUUCCUCCUGUUUUCAGUCAGCCAUCUACAUCACCAUUAUGUGCUUCUGUGCCUGUUCCUAUUUCUUCAUCUUCAUCUUCCCCUGCACCUGUCUCAGUUGGCUCUUCUUCCAGUUUUGUUCCUCCUUCAGCACAUUCAUCUUUCUCCCAAAAUCAACAGAGUCAUCCUCCUGCCCCUGUUAAUUCUCAUCCAAUGAUUACUAGAUCCAAGGCUGGUAUACUCACGUCGAGAGCCUGUGCAGCAACUAAGCACCCACUUCCGGUUGAUAUGGAUUAUGUUCCUACAACAUACUUUGCAAGCUUCUAAAGCAUGCUCAUUGGAGGCAAGCUAUGCAAGAUGAAUUUAAUGCCUUGCUAACCACUGGUUACUUGGUCUCUUGUUCCUUCUCACCAUUCUCAAAACUUAGUGGGCUGCAAGUGGGUUUUCCGGAUUAAGAAGAAGCCCGAUGGCACUGUUGACAGAUAUAAAGCCCGGCUUGUGGCCAAGGGUUUUCAUCAACAAGAAGGUAUUGACUUUCAAGAAAACCUUCAGUCCAGUUGCCAAACCGGUUACAAUUCGGAUCCUUCUUACCCUUGCUGUGCAAUAUAAUUGGUUUCUCAAUCAAUUGGACAUUAGUAAUGCCUUUCUUCAUGGAGACUUAAAGGAGGAUGUCUACAUGCAACAACCCCCUGGUUUUGUUGAUCCCUUACACCCUACAUCUGUUUGUAAGUUGAGGAAAUCGUUGUAUGGUCUCAAACAAGCUCCUCGAGCUUGGUUUGAUAAACUGUUCCAAGCUCUUCACUCUCUUGGAUUCACCCAAUCAUCCUCAGAUGCUUCUUUAUUUGUUCUCAAUGGUCCUCAGUUUAGUCAUUGUCCUUGUCUAUGUUGAUGACAUUCUUGUCACCGGACCCUAUCCUUACCUCUGUCAACACUUCAUUCAGCAACUUGGGGCUCAAUUUCCAGUAAAAGACCUUGGUCCUCUUCAUUAUUUCUUGGGAUUAGAAGUACAUCGAUCUUCCCAGGGUAUAUUUCUCCAUCAAACAAAGUACUUAUUGGAUCUUCUCAAGAAAACAAAUAUGGAGGGUGCAAAACCUUGUUGUACUCCCCUUGGCUCUAAGAAAUUAGAUCACAGUGGCCCUCUUCUGUCCAAUCCUACUGAAUAUCGCUCCAUUGUUGGUGGUUUACAAUAUCUUACUUGGACUAGACCCGACCUUUGCUUUUGCUGUGAACCAAAUCUGCCAAUUCAUGCAUGCUCCCAGGGAACAACAUCUCCAGGCAGCAAAAAGGGUUCUCAGAUUUCUCAAAGGCUCUAUCUCACAUGGUGUGUGGUUCACUAAAGGCCCUGUCCAUCUUUCUGCCUACUCGGAUGCCGACUGGGCUGGUUGCACAAUUGACAGGAGAUCAACCACUGGUUAUUGUGUAUUUUUGGGUUCCAAUCUUAUCAGCUGGAGUGCCAAGAAGCAAAGUACUGUUGCAAGGUCCUCUACAGAGGCUGAAUAUCGCUCCUUAGCUCACACAGCUGCUGAGAUAACUUGGGUUUGCAAGAUUCUCAAAGAUCUGCACUAUCCUCUCUCUACAUUCCCUACUCUUUGGUGUGACAACAUAUCAGCAAUAUCUUUAGCAUCUAAUCCUGUCUUUCAUGCUCGAACAAAGCAUGUUGAGAUCGAUUAUCACUAUAUUAGAGAAUUGGUUUUGGCUCAACUUCUCAAAGUCAAGUUCAUCUGCAGUGAAGACCAAUUAGCUGAUCUUCACACCAAGUCUCUGUCUAAAACCAGAUUUAAUUAUCUGUGUUCCAAGCUUCCCAUUGGUCUCAUUUCUGAUCCCCCUUCUCGCUUGAGGGGGUGUAUUAGGGAGAAUGACAAGUCAUCCAAGUCUGCUACUGUUAAUAAUUCUGUUACUGUAAAUUAACUGAUUGUAUUAGUUGUGAUUAGUUAAGAUAGUUAUAAAGUAGUUAGGGGUAUCUAUGUAAAUAGCCAAAGGCUAUAUAUAUUCCUACACAAUGUGUAAAGUUCUCAGUCAAGUAAAUACAAUCAAGAAAACUUACUGUUGAAGUUUUCUGUUUCUACAGGUUUUGGAUUGGAGGAGUUGACACAAAAUUAUAAAUAUAUUAAACAAAUUUAUCUAUUCUAAAGUUGGAGGGAAAUUGGCCUGUACAUUGCUACAGUAAUUUUUUUUUACCCAAUUUCACGUUAUUUACAACAAAGCUAUCAGAUUUGGGUUGGGUUGGAGGGUAAUUUGUUAAAAGUUAGGAGGGUAAUUUUGUGCAUAGGGUUUAGGUGCCCUCCUAUACAUGACCCUUGAUUUUACUUUAUUUACACCACUGCCAUCAAAUAUGUGGCUGAAUUGGAGGGUAUUAUUAAAAGUUAGGAGGGUAGUUUGUUCAAGGGGUGAGGGCGACAUUCGCAGACAGAGAGCGAUGGGAGCCAUGGCCAUUGCACAGAGAGAAAGGGAGUGAUGGGGGAAAUUACAGACAGAAAAGGAAGGGAUGGGGGGGAUUUGAUGGAUGGUCACAGAGAGAGAUUGGGUGAGGGAUGUGAGAGGAGAUUACAGAGAGAUAAAUAAAAGGGAGGGAUCGGGGGAUGUGAGGGAUGGUCAGGGAGAGAAAUAGUGAGGGAGGGAGGGAUGGGGGGGCUGAUUUUCGGUUCCUCCUUCCAGAUUUGUUCCGUAAAAACCUGUUGGGUAGAAUUCAAUUUCCUCCCCCUUUCCCCUGAACGAAAAAUUCGAAACCUACAACUCAAAACUCACUCAUUUGUCGUCCCUCCUUGGCUUUCCGCUUUACUCAUCUCCCGGUGGUUCUCUCUCCAUACGAUUCCAUUUCGGUGAGUUCUUCGUUGCCCUCAUGAUUUCCCACUUUUAUUUUUGGGGCGUCCUUAGUCGUCGUUUUUAUCUGGGUUUACUGCAUUGUUGCUUUUAGUUUCUGGAUUUUUAUUUUUUUGGCACUUGGAUGAAUCGUGGUUAAUAAUUUCACAUCAUGGGAUUUUCGCACUUCUGAUGGAAUUGAGCGCGGGGAUUCGGGGUGGGGUUUUACUGAUAAUUUGUCUUCAUUCAAACGAAGGGUUAAAAUUUAUGAGUAUUAACAAAUUUUGUAAAUUAUUCUUAUACAUUUUAUUGAGGGAUCUAAUCGAUUUCUUUCUGUAGUGGGAUUGAAAUUGGGGCUUUGUGGUACUCUCUCUCGCUCACUCUCUCUCCUAUGUGUAUGAAUUGAGUUCUGCAGUGAGUUUGCAGGUGGGCGCGUUCACUAACUAAGCUUUCAAGGGAACCGAUCAACGGUUUGCUUGCUGGGGGAAUUCGGAGACUACCAGUGUAUGAUUUAGUUAUCAUUAAUUUUUUUACUUAAUUUUAUCCAUAUAUAAUAUGUGGGUAAAUUUAGAGGUCGCACUUGGUGCGAUGGCAAGUUCCUUCGCCCAUGAGCGGUAGGUCUCGGGUUCGAGACUUGGGAGCAGCCUCUCCAUAAAUGGGGGUAAGGCUAGCCGACAUUUACCUCUCCCAGACCCUGCGUAAAGCGGGAGCCUUGUGCACUGGGUACGAUCUUUUAUAAUAUGUGGGUAAAUUUAUACUAAACAAUUGUGAUAAGCCAAUAUGCUAUACGACUUUGAAAGCAUUGAUUUUGUGUUUAGUUUGCAUUUUUGCAUUGUGAAUGUUGAAUUUUGUGUUUAAUUUGGAUUUUUGUGUUUGAAUUUGUAGCAUGAUCUUCCGCUGCAGCAUCCAAAUUUUGCAUUUGUAAAUUGUCAAAGAAAAACGAAGUAUGAGGAAAUUAUAGGAGAUUGUGUCGGCUUUGGCCAUGAAGGGUAUCAGCAGCUUGUUCCCCCAUACAGGUGAUUAAUCGCAGUCUGUUCUAUUUGGAUGAGAAAGUGAUUGAAAAAUAUGAUUUUUUAUUUGUUGGUUGAUUUUGUAUAACUCCGCCGUGUAAGUUUAUCUUACAUUGCCGGUCCCAAGCCCGGAUAAAGGAGGAGGGGGAGGGCGUCAGGUAGUCGACAGCUGGCACUCCAUGAUCACGUCGAAUCCUUAUGAAAAUGAAUCCAGAACGAAAUCGCGCUAAAGCUAGGGCGUCACCCAUAAGUGGCGCGCUGUGUGGCCCGAGCACAGUGAUAAGUGAGCAAGGGUCGUUGUAUCUCCAUCGGCACCCGGAUGCAGUGUUAAAUGAGCAAGGGGCUAUAGAAACUUCUUUUCGAACGACUCCACUCAAAGUUGUUUGGGAGCAUAUGCUCCUAUCAACUUUACACGGGACACACAAAAGAAGUACUUUGAUCCUAUUAGACGGGGAAGGGUGAAGAAGCUAGGACAGAAGGGUAGAGUUCAAGAGAGCAAAAUGCGUUUAGGAACGUGGAAUAUAGGAACCUUGAACGGGAAAAUCUAUGGAAGUAGUAGAAGUUAUGGUGAGGAGAAGGAUAAAUAUUAUGUGCCUACAAGAAACUAAGUGGGUUGGUCGUAAGGCAAAGGAUCUAGAAAACUCAGGGUUUAAACUAUGGUAUUCGGGCACAAAUAGAACGAGAAACGGUGUUGGCAUCAUCGUGGACAAGACCUUGACACAAGAUGUUGUAGAUGUCAAGAGGGUAGGAGAUAGAAUCAUGGCAAUCAAGAUUGUAAUAGGACAAGAACUUAUCAAUGUGAUUAGUGCGUACGCACCUCAAGUAGGGUUGGAUACGAGUUCGAAGGAGAAAUUUUGGGAAGACCUUGGAGACUUGGUGCAAGGAAUUGCUCAGACGGAGAAGUUAUUUAUAGGAGGAGAUUUAAAUGGACACGUGGGCAGGGAGACAGGCAACUAUGGAGGUUUUCAUGGUGGCCAUGGUUUUGGGGAGAGAAACGAGGAUGGGGAAGCUAUCUUGGAUUUUGCAAUGGCAUAUGAUCUCUUCUUAGCCAACACCUUCUUUAAGAAGAGAGAAGAACAUGUGAUCACCUACAAGAGUGGGUCGUCAAAAACACAAAUAGAUUUUCUUCUAAUGAGGAAAGGGGAUCGUAUAACUUGUAAGGAUUGCAAAGUUAUACCAGGAGAGAGCGUGGCUAAUCAACAUCGCUUGUUGGUGAUGGAUGUACAUAUCAAAAGAGUGAGAAAAAAGAACAAGACUUGGAAGUGCCCAAGGACUAGAUGGUGGAAUCUAAAAGAAGAAAAACAAGCCAUUUUCAAAGAGAAAGUAAUCACCCAGUGUGUGUGGGAUAGAGAGGGGGAAGCUAACCAAAUGUGGGAUUCCAUGGCUAGUUGUAUCCGAAAAGUAGCAAAAGAGGUAUUAGGAGAGUCCAAGGGCUUUGCCCCACACCAAAAGGAAUCUUGGUGGUGGAAUGAGGAGGUACAAACAAAGGUGAAGGCUAAGAAGGAAUGUUGUAAAGCCUUAUACAAGGAUAGGACCGAUGAAAAUGGUGAAAGGUAUAGAAAAGCGAAGCAAGAGGCGAAGAAAGCUGUGAGAGAAGCUAAGUUAGCGGCUUAUGACGAUAUGUAUAAGCGACUAGAUACCAAAGAAGGAGAGUUGGAUAUCUAUAAACUAGCUAGAGCAAGGGAAAAGAAGACAAGGGACCUAAACCAAGUGAGGUGCAUCAAGGAUGAGGAUGGAAAGGUUCUUGCUACAGAGAACGCGGUUAAAGACAGAUGGAAAGGUUAUUUUCAUAAUCUUUUCAAUGAAGGACAUGAAAGGAGUGCUUCUUUAGGGGAGUUGAGUAACUCAGAAGAGUGUAGAAACUACUCUUUUUAUCGUAGAAUCCGGAAGGAAGAAGUGGUUGUAGCUUUGAAGAAGAUGAAGCAUAGAAAAGCAGUAGGCCCAGACGAUAUACCAAUCGAAGUGUGGAAAGUUUUGGGAGAGACAGGUAUAACAUGGCUCACUGACCUUUUCAAUAGGAUUUUGAAAACGAAGAAGAUGCCAAAUGAGUGGCGAACGAGCACUUUGGUGCCUAUCUACAAGAAUAAGGGCGAUGUACAAAAUUGCAUGAACUAUAGGGGUAUUAAGCUAAUGAGUCAUACAAUGAAGCUCUGGGAGAGAGUCAUUGAGCAUAGAUUGAGGCAAGAGACACGGGUUUCGGACAACCAAUUCGGGUUCAUGCCAGGGCGCUCAACCAUGGAGGCAAUCUAUCUCUUACGAAGAUUGAUGGAAAGAUAUAGAGAUGGGAAAAAGGAUUUACACAUGGUCUUUAUAGAUUUGGAAAAAGCGUAUGAUAGGGUCCCAAGAGACAUUCUUUGGAGGAUUUUAGAGAAGAAAGGAGUACGAGUAGCAUAUAUCCAAGCUAUACAGGAUAUGUAUGAAGGAGCAAAGACUGCCGUAAGAACUCAUGAAGGACAAACCGAAAGCUUUCCCAUAACUGUAGGAUUACAUCAAGGCUCAUCCUUAAGUCCUUACCUUUUUGCGUUGGUAAUGGAUGAGUUAACAGGACAUAUUCAAGAUGAUAUUCCUUGGUGUAUGCUUUUCGCAGACGAUAUAGUGUUGAUAGAUGAAACUCAGGAAGGGGUAAAUGCAAAGCUUAACCUUUGGAGAGAAGUGUUGGAAUCUAAAGGUCUUCGCCUAAGCCGAUCAAAGACAGAAUAUAUGGAGUGCAAGUUCAGUGCAAAUGGAGGCCAAAACGAGUUAGGGGUGAGGAUCGGAGAUCAAGAAAAUACCAAAGAGCGACCGUUUUCGUUACCUAGGAUCUAUCUUGCAAAAGAACGGAGAAUUAGAUGGAGAUCUCAACCAUAGAAUACAAGCUGGAUGGAUGAAGUGGAAGAGUGCAUCCGGCGUGUUGUGUGACCGCCGUAUGCCACUGAAGCUCAAGGGAAAAUUUUAUAGGACGGCAAUAAGGCCGGCGAUGCUGUAUGGCACAGAAUGUUGGGCGGUGAAGCAUCAACACGUACACAAAAUGGGUGUAGCGGAGAUGAGGAUGCUUCGUUGGAUGUGUGGGCACACGAGAAAGGAUAAGAUUAGGAAUGAGGAUAUCCGGGGUAAAGUAGGAGUAGCCGAAAUUGAAGGAAAGAUGAGAGAAAAUCGGUUACGGUGGUUUGGACAUGUGCAAAGAAGGCCUACUGACGCUCCGAUUAGAAGAUGCGACUAUGGGACAGAGGUUCAGGGCCGAAGGGGUAGAGGAAGACCUAGGAAAACUUUGGAAGAGACCCUAAGAAAAGACUUAGAGUACUUGGAUCUAACGGAGGACAUGACACAGGACAGAACACAAUGGCGUUCUAAGAUUCAUAUAGCCGAUCCCACUCAGUGACUUGGAUUUUCCAAGUCUCCAACCGAGAAGUUUUCCUCACUCGGGAAAUUAAGGGAACACUACCUCAACCUACAUGCUCCACUCACAAAGCUUCAACAUACAAGCUUCAACAAAAGAAAAUUCAAAGAACUUAGCGAAGAAGGCUUUGGUGUAUUUAACACAAUACGUUGAAAUGAAGGAAAGCUUAUUUAUUGAUAUCCCCGAUAAGUUACAAAUAUGUACAUAUACUUGAGUCAAAAUAAACAAACAAGAGGGAGCCUUCACAAAGGUUGCUUAGGAGAAGUCUCAGCAGUCGGUAGAGCCCCAGAAAGAGAAGGCACCGGAGGGGGAUCAUUCGGAGCCUCAGUACUGGACAGAACCCUAGAAGGAGGAGGCAUCAGAGGUUGAUCAUUUGGAGCUUCAUUACGCGGUACAGCCCCAGAAGACGAAGGCAAUAAAUGCCUUUGGAACAAACCCACAAAUCUCUGAUGAUCAAGUAAAACCUGACCAUCAGAUUCCUUCAUCUGGUCAAGCUUCCUCUUCAUGUUUGUAGCAUAGUCAUGUGCGAGCCGGUGCAACUGUUUAUUCUCAUGCUUGAGCCCUCUAAUCUCCUGUUUGAGACUCAUCACUUCAGCCGCCAAUGAUUCAACUUGGCGGGUUCGAGCAAAUAGGCGUUGGGCCAUAUUAGACACAGAACCUGCACACUGAACACUGAGAGCCAGAGAAUCCUUAACAGCCAACUCAUCAGACCGUUUGGAAAGUAGUCUGUUAUCUUUGGGAGUGAGAAGGUUCCUGGCCACUACCGCAGCGGUCAUAUCAUUCUUCAUCACGGAAUCCCCAACGGUAAGAGGACCAGUAGGGGAGACGAAGGAUGGGCGCCAUAUGUUGUCUGGAGAAGGCGGGGCUGCCUCUUCAACAAGGUUCAAGUCAAAACGACGGUCGGAGGGGCCAGACAUUUUCAAAGGUGUUGAAGAGAGAAGAGGUCGGACAAAUCAAGAUCUUAGAAGUGCAAGAAUGGAGCUUCUACUGGUGGAUAUUCAAGUGUGCUUUGGAACUUAAUGUCAGCCCCUAUAAAAAUCUGCACUCGACGAAGCUUCAGAAAUCGAAGAGGCGCCUGCUCAGAAAUCGAAGAGGCGUUUGCUUUCUCAAAAGCUGGGCUGCUCAGAGACCACGAGGGUCGAUCUCAGAAAUCGAAGAGGCGUUUGCUUUCUCAAAAGCUGGGCUGCUCAAAGACCACGAAGGCCGAUCUCAGAAAUCGAAGAGGCUUGCUUUCUCAAAAGCUGGGCUGCUCAGAGACCACGAGGGCCGAUCUCAGAAAUCGAAGAGGCACCUACUUUUCCAGCCUUGUCAGCACCUGUCACACGCACACUCAGCUUUGCGGAAAUUAUGGGCAUUCUGUCGAAGAUUUCUGGCGAAGUAGAAAGCACAUGAAUCGUACUGUUCAAUCACCCACUUCCCACACGCAACAGUAGCUCAUGGGUACCACAGAUAACUUUGCCAAAGUUCUCUGACAAAGUUGAGACACGUGAAGCUUGCAGCUCCCACUACAUCGCUCUGACCAAGAAGGGUAAAAGAAUUAGCAAAGAAACAACACUAACAAAGUUUAGACACAUAAAUUUUGAAGGUCUAGCUACCAUAUUAUUACCCACAAGGGUAAAGGAACAGUACCACUGCUGGAUAAUUGGAAAGUCCCGGUGUGUCAACCUCUGUGCUUCGUGGCAAGGUAGACUAGCAAACAUGCCCAACCUUUACUCACAUUCGAGAAAACACUCCCAACAAGAUUGCUUGCUCCAAAAUCGAAGAGGCACCGCCCUCCGAAUCUCGAGAGCCAGACUCCCAACAUGAUUACUUUCUCAAAAAUCGAAGAGAGGGUAAAGGAACAGUACCACUGCUGGAUAAUUGGAAAGUCCCUGUGUGUCAACCUCUGUGCUUCGUGGCAAGGUAGACUAGCAAACAUGCCCAACCUUUACUCACAUUCGAGAAAACACUCCCAACAAGAUUGCUUGCUCCAAAAUCGAAGAGGCACCGCCCCUCCGAAUCUCGAGAGCCAGACUCCCAACAUGAUUACUUUCUCAAAAAUCGAAGAGAGGGUAAAGGAACAGUACCACUGCUGGAUAAUUGGAAAGUCCCUGUGUGUCAACCUCUGUGCUUCGUGGCAAGGUAGACUAGCAAACAUGCCCAACCUUUACUCACAUUCGAGAAAACACUCCCAACAAGAUUGCUUGCUCCAAAAUCGAAGAGGCACCGCCCUCCGAAUCUCGAGAGCCAGACUCCCAACAUGAUUACUUUCUCAAAAAAUCGAAGAGACACCGCUCUCCGAAUCUCGAGAGCCAGACCCCCAGCAGGAUUGCUUUCUCAAAAAUCGAAGAGGCAUCGUUCUCCGAAUCUCGAGAGCCAGAUCCCCGACAGGAUUGCUUGUUCGAAAACCGAAGAGGCACCACUUUCCCAACUUCAAGAGCUGGAUCUCCUUGGAUAAAGCUUGUCUGUAAUCUUCACACGCAACAUCAGCUUUCCAGAUACCACAGACCACUUUUUCAAAGUGCUCUGACAGAGUUAAAACAUGUGAAGCUGGCAGCUCCCACUACCGUGCUAUGACCAAGCAGGGUAAAGGAAUAGCAUUAUUACUUGAUGUUAGGGAGACUCCUAUAUAUGUCGACCUCCAUCCCCAACGGACAGGCAGACCUGCAAAAAUGCUCAACCCUUCCUCUUAUCUGAGAGGGCACUCCCAACGAAGCCUUUCGAAAUAUUCAGCUUUCUUUCCCCCCGAUAAUACCUCUGUAAACAAGCUAUACUAGAGCAAGAAUAUCUCAUAUCAUCAGGGUUAAAAGCAAGAGUAUCCCAUAUCAUGCUUUUUCCCUGUCUUUUCCUUUGGCCUUGUUCUUACCUGCAAGACAAGGAGAAAGAGAGCAAUCAGUCAGCACUUGGAAUCAAGCUUCCAGCCAGGAACUGACUGCCUGGAACCCCUUACCUGAUUACUUACCUGGCAUUGCUCUCGAGUACUCAUCUUCAACAUCUUAUGCUUCCAGGGAAGAUACCGCAUCUGCCUGAGGAACAGAUAGGGCAAGUGAGAAGGAUACAAGGAAGCAUGUGGAGACAAGCGUAACAGCACACGUGCCGAUACAUCCAUUACUCUGUCAAAAGCAAAAGUAUCCCAUAUCAGCAGGGUCGAACGUACUCUAGAUUUGAUGGACUUGUUUUGACCCUCAAAUUCUUCAGUCGGCCUUAUACUCUGGAGGAAACCAGAAAACCCUCCAGCCCAGUUCAAGAAUAAGCCUGUGGAAAGUUACUUCUUCAAAAGCAAAAGUAUCCCAUAUCAUCUCUUCUCAUUUUUCUUCUCUUUAUCCUUCAUGCUGCCUGCAAGAUAGGGAGAAUGUGAACAAUCAGCCGGAGCUCUGAUUGCUUACCUUGUCUGUCACCUCUUUCAGCAGAUCCCCUAGCUCGGCGACUUGGGGGACUCCUACUACAUGGUUUGUAUCGCGCUUGACCAAGCCUGAAACUACAAGUAAGCUUCAAGUGACAAUUGAUACAUUACCUUGUGCAUCUCCACCAGUUACAGAUACCACCCCUGGAUGGAGGAAGAGUACUUCCAGAGAAGAUGCCACAUCUACCUAUGAGACAGAUAAGGAAAGUCAAGACGAUACCACACUCCGGUACUUAGAAGUUUCGUGGUUACGAGAUCAUUCUCCCACAAUAUUUCCUAAUGUCAUUUGUACUAAAUCAUUCACUUGUACUCACUAAAGGAGAGCUUGAACCUAUGUACUUGUGUAAACCCUUCACAAUUAAUGAGAACUCCUCUAUUCCGUGGACGUAGCCAAUCUGGGUGAACCACGUACAUCUUGUGUUUGCUUUCCUAUCUCUAUCCAUUUAUAUACUUAUCCACACACUAAUGACCGGAGCAAUCUAGCGAAGAUCACAAAAAAGUGACCGUUUUCGCUACCUAGGAUCUAUCUUGCAAGAGAACGGAGAAUUAGAUGGAGAUCUCAACCAUAGAAUACAAGCUGGAUGGAUGAAGUGUAAGAGUGCAUCCGGCGUGUUGUGUGACCGUCGUAGGCCACUGAAGCUCAAGGGAAAAUUUUAUAGGACGGCAAUAAGGCCAGCGAUGUUGUAUGGCACAGAAUGUUGGGCGGUGAAGCAUCAACACGUACACAAAAUGGGUGUAGCGGAGAUGAGGAUGCUUCGUGGGAUGUAUGGGCACACGAGAAAUGAUAAGAUUGGGAAUGAGGAUAUCCGAGGUAAAGUAGGAGUAGCCAAAAUUGAAGGAAAUAUGAGAGAAAAUCGGUUCUGGUGGUUUGGACAUAUGCAAAGAAGGCCUACUGACGCUCCGGUUCGAAAAUGUGACUACUGGACAGAGGUUCAGGACCGAAGGGGUAGAGGAAGACCUAGAAAAACUUUGGAAGAGACCCUAAGAAAAGACUUGAGUACUUGGAUCUAACGGAGGACAUGACACAAAACCGAGCGCAAUGGCGUUCUAGGAUUCAUAUAGCCGACCCCACUUAGUGGGAAAAGGCUUUGUUGUUGUUGUUGUUGGUUGAUUUUGUAUGGACGAUGUAUUAAUUUUUUUUUUUUUUUGGGAUUUUGUGUAUUGGGUAUUGUGUAGAACCAGCAAUGCAGGAUCUGAUCAGUCACGCCCGAAAAGGGGUUUGUUUCUCAAAUCACAUUAAUUAAUUAGAUUAUUAAUGUGCGUUGGAAGGCUCUUCAAUAUGAUUUCUAAUUUCUCCUUUCCAGCAUUCUCUUUUUGGUUUUUGGAGUAUGUAUGUGAUUUGUAUUUGAUUAUAGAAUAAAAAUUAAUAAAACACGAGAUGCAGCAAUUAAUUUGCAUCCUUAUGACAACACAUAUAUGAAAGUGCAUUCAAUUUCAAUGUGCGAAUGUGUGACAGGACAGGAUGUGCCUGCCUGCUGGUGGUGGUAUGCUUGCUGUUGUUUCUUGCGUUGUUAAUUUUUUGUGUGUUGAUUUGAUUAACAAUUCAAGCGUAUCUUAUUUUUUUUGUGUUGGUUAGCAGCCAGUUUUAUGGCCCCGAUCUAGUGAUGCUUCUCAGUGACUGGUAAUUGCAGUUCAUUGCCACCAGUUGGUCAGCUACCUGCUCUGAAAGAGCUCUACGUAGAAGGGAUGAAAGUUGUUAAGAGUGUUGGUGUUGAGUUGUACGGGGGAAAUCAACCAUUUCAAUGUUUAGAGAAGGUAAAGUUUCGGGAGAUGCCAGAGUGGGAGGAAUGGCAGCCUAGUCCAAGUGGAUGUGAAAGUCCAGACUUUCCUCAUCUUAAGGAGCUGAGGUUAUCCGAAUGUCCGAAGCUGAGAGGAAACUUGCCCACUCAUCUUCCCUCCUUGAAAACACUUUAUGUGAACAAGUGUGAGGUUCUACAUAAAAACAGGGCCAGUAAUACCCUGAACGUGGAAUCCUUACGAGGAUCUCUUGAAAAACUGACAAUAAAUGGAUGCCCGGGUCUCUCAUUGUUACUAGAGUCGAUGGAGACGCUGCCGUCGCUUCAGAAGCUUGAUAUUGAUAGUGUUGGUGGGAAAGAGUUGUUGGUGCAAAUGGUGCACAACAGCAAUCGUCUUCAAAGUUUUGACUUUAUAUAAAUGUUCCUCACCCUUGUCGUUCCCUACAAAUGGUCUGCCCACCACGCUGACGUCACCGAGCAUAACAGAUUGCAAGAAAUUAGAAUUCCUAUCACGUGAGAUGAUGGCCAAAUUGACUUCCCUUCAGUCUUUGCGUCUAUCCAACAGCUGUGAAUGCAAAGGCUUGAGUAAUUUUUGUGAGUCUGCUGUUUGGUUUUUUUUUCUUCAUUUUAGAGAUUUUUCUACUGUUUGGUUUUUGGGUUUUGUCUAAUUUUUGUGGUCUGCUUUAUAGAUUGUUCUCUUUGGAAGCUUCUUUCCAGCCUUGACCUUCUUCUUGCCUGGUGCCUUCUCAUUGAGUAUUGGAGGAGCAUUAAAACACAGGUGUGUGUGUUUUGUCGAUGUAAGAGAUGAACGACAUAAAAACAUCCGUCUUUGUAUUUUUUUGUGCUUUUUCUAACCCAUCAAUUUCUUUUGAGUCAACCAAAUAGUCCCAAAUUGCAACUUAUGUUGUGAGGUAUUAUUGUCUAAAAUUAAGUAUGCAUGUAUAUUUUAUGUUUGUGCGCGCGCACACCUCCGCAUGGUGUUAAUCUCUGUGGGUCAUCUAUGUAUAUGUAGACAUAUCUAUAUGUGUAUGUGUGGAAUGCAACAUAUCGGAUUUAGGUUAUACUGUGCAUAGUUUUAUUGCCUGUUAUUAUCUACGAUAUCACUAUGCCAUUUCUAUGCAGGCUCUGAAAGUUAUCCAUGAGCUUUAUAAGCACUUACCAUAAUUUAAGCAGUCUGUUUUGGGUUCUUUUUCAUUAGGUCAUUAGCUACAGAUUAAUGGAGAAACGAGGACCAUGCAACUGAUUUGGGUUCUUUUUCUAAUUUUCUGAUUUUGGGGUUUUGCAGGGAGUACUGAUGUACUGAUUUUCUGGGAUUUUUUUUGUCCUUGCAGGAUUUUUGGUCUUUGGAAUGGGUAUGUGUUGUUUUUAACGUUUCAGUUCUAGCUUGUUCCGUUCUUCGUUGCUUCGUGAUUCUCAUUUUUUAGUGUUGGGUGAUGGAAAUUUGUUCAAGUAGUUGGUAGUUUUUUUAGAAAGUUGGCAUUUUUAGUUAUAUUUUCUGUUUAAUCCUAAAUGUUAGACUGGAAAAUCAUUGAAAUGACGGUUUUUUAAAAACUCAUAAUUUUUUUGUUCUGGGAGUUAAAAGCAUCUUUUCCAGAUUGGUUAUAAGGGUUAUGUUCUCUUCAAUUGGUUCACCUAAUUUUGAUUAGUUUUAAGUUUUGUCCUUUUAAGUUUUGUCUUUUAAGUUUUGUUCUUUAAGUUGUCUUUUAAGUUUGUUCUCUAAGUUUUGUCUUUUAAGUUUUAUCUUCUGUGCUGUAAUGAGAGAUUUCUGUUGGCCUUUCGGAUUUUGGCAUGGGAAAGUUCACUUAUUUGUCUAAUUAGAUUGUGUAUGCCUUCGAUUCUUUAUUUAAUUGUUCUGUUUGUGUUCAGGUGUGAUGAUCUAAAUUUCAUAUGUUUGGAAUUAUUCACUUAACACCAAUUUGUUACAUUCAGAUCUCCACCCCACAUUUCACUAGUUCAAAUUCCAUAGAAGUCGGUUACUGCAGAUUGCGUCUACAAUUAGAUCAGAGAUCAACUGCUCUUUUGUUAUCCUGCAGAAGAUUGCUUUUGGGAAGGAUCUGAAGUAGUUUCUUUCUGUAAGUUUAUUCCCAUGUAGCUCUGUCUUUUCUAAUUGAUGGUGUUGAUAUUACACUGUAAUUCAUGAUGAUGAUUUAAUUGUUUAUUGAUUUGUAAUUGUUUGUGAAUAAUGUGGCAUAUAUGACUUGCAAUAUGUGUUUGUAUGAAAGGGAUGACAUAUUAUGUUGCUGACUUAAUUGUUUAUGUUUUUCAUAUUUGCGAAUGGUGUUAUGAUCAAUUAGGUGAUUGCUGACCUGUGACUUUGUUUGGAGCUCAAAUUUUGUGAGCAUUACAUUGGAUUGUUUUGAUGUUGUUUUGGUUGACAAUGCAGGGAUAGGAGAAACAAAGAGGAUGACACUUAUAACUGCCCUUCCCCAUCGGCCGUCUUCAAAUUUGGAUCACAAGAAGGGAGCAACAUAGGUGUUUUCCUUCUUCAUUUAGAUAUGGUUAGUGUAAAUAAUUGGACAAAAGAGCCAAACAAACCCUGUUCUCUCAAAUGGAGUCGAUGAUGUGGUCGAUGGCCACCAGCCCCAACUCAAGAGUUUGGCCUUCAUAUAAUUGGAUUGUAGUAUAAUUUUAUUUUGGUUCAUUUCUUUUUUCCUUUAUAUAAGUGCAGGUGUUGUGAUGUUUUGAAUAAAGGGUGAUGAAAGGUGGUUCACACACUUCCUCCUUACUUAAAGCAAGUGGAGAUGAUGGGUUGUAUAAAAAGAAAAACUUGCCAGGUACUUCGAUUUUCUAUUUUAUUAAUUAUUGUUUGGUUUUCCAAAUGUUGUAUUCACAAAGAGAGACCAAUGAUGUCUUUGAGAAACAAGUUUCUUUGUCUACAUUGCGAGAAUUUGCAGUUUGCAACUUUCAUUGGUUAUUAUAUUUGAUUGAGUUAAACUUGGAUUUCUGGAUUUUGACUUUUUCGUUUGUUUCUUUGUUGUAGAGUUGGCUUCAUUUCAUUCCAGUAACUCUAUUCCAGUAACUCUCUAAAAUAGGGCCAAGAACUCACUAAAUAGGUAGUCAAGAGGAAUUCAGUUUUGCCUUCAAUUUUUGCCUUCUGUUUACAUUCUUCCUGGAUGCACUCUCACCGCUUCUCUCGCUUACCACUUUUGUCUCACUCACCGCUUCAUCUCUUCUGUUGCUUACAAGGUCGUGUCAUAUAUUUUUUUAAUUUUUGUGUGUUUAAUUUAUUGAAUAUUUGAAAAAAGAGAUAAAAUUUUCAAUUUACAAUUACUGAUAUGAUGUUUGUUUUGAAAAUCAUUAAGGUGAAUGGAGAGAUUUACAACCAUGAAGAGCUGAGGAGCCGUUUGCCAAAUCAGAUUUAUAAGGUCUCAUCAAUUAUAAAUAAACGACUUUUCAUUCCCAAUGACCUUUAUCGUUUUUCUUAAUGGGUUAGCUGAACAUGAGGUAGAUGCUGACUUUAUAAAAUAUGAGAAUGUUUUAGGAUUUCAUUCUAAUUUUUUGGCUGUUUGAUUACUUUGCUUUUCGUAAUUUGUUUUGCUUAUCGUCAAUUGGAUGGGACAACAUAUUUUUGUAACCAGUUUGUACUUUUUUUUUUUGUGGAAACUAACCAGUAUGUACUUUUACCAUCUCGGUUUUGAUGGAAUUGGAGCUUUCAGUAAUGGGUUCUGAGGGAAUUGGAGUUUUGAGUAAUGGGUUUUUUAACAACUAUAGUAUCAUUUGUGAUUCUUUUAUUUAUAAGAUAUUAUAUAGGAAACUGUUAUUAGCACUCUAAUAAUCUUAUUCUACACUCGCGACAAGUGUAUUUUUCUUUCUAAUUAUGGAAAGUUUGGAGUGCAAAAUGAGAAUUUUGGAGUGCCAAUAACAAUUCCCUAUUAUAUAUAGCUCUACUAAGAAGGCGACUGUAUAUGUCUUCAUCCUGUUAAAUUGUAUAUGGCUCUUGAUGUCGGCUGAAUUAAAUCAAAAUGAAAACCAAGCUGCUGAUCUUACCAGCCCAUAUCACUUAUCACUUAUUUAAAUUAUUUGAAGAUGCAUACGUGGAUUGGUGAUUUUGUUGGAUUCACUUAGCUCAAAUAUAUGUUAUCUGAGUCGCUACAUUUGAGAAUGUGAUUCUGUUCCUACCACCAUUUUGCCCACUUUUUGUGGAAAUUAUUCAUUCCUGUUGUGAAUAAUAUCCCCGGCAGCGAAGUGCGGGCGCAUUUUCUAGUUUAAGUUAAAUCACACAAUGGGUCAUCAAUAAUGACAAACUCGUCAUUUAUGCGAGUCAAACAUGAGACCACCUACCUACUAGUUUAGUGGAAUACCACAAGUGACAUGUUGAUACCUUUAAAUCUCAUAUAAUGGAUUGCAGAAUUAGGAUAUACCUAGUCUAAUUUAGUCAGUGCGUGAACCCGAACAAUUAACCAGGGUUUUAUUCUUGCUUGAAUGUUUGUAAUAUGUUCCUAGUUUGACAAGGCAAUUAUAUUUCCGACUACAAAAGUUAUUAAUUUAGUCGAGAAUUGACGCACCUGAAAUGGUGUGAGGAAAACAUGUAGACACAUCAGACGCGGUCCAUCCUGAGCAUUGUGUAUUAAGGAUAAAGCUCAAAGCCAUACAUGAGGGCAUUGUGUAUGUCUUUAUAAGAGAAGUUGCUGUAGUCCUCAACGUGGCCGGCAGCCAAACUCAUCCACUCUACACUGCAACCCUCAUCCAAAUCCCAUGCUUCCAACCUGCCCCCGACAUAGUCAUCGACCAUGACAUAGCUAUACGUUUUUGGUUGACUCGAAGAAGAAGAAGAAGAAGAAGUAUUAUUCAAGCAUGGAGCAGUGUCCACGUACAGAGAAGAAUUCGAUGGAUUCGAACACUUCAAGUAAUAUAUAGAUAGAGAAUUGAUGUCAUAGGUGGGCCAAUAUAGAGAAUCGAUGUCCUCGAUGGGCGGAAUAUUUUGAGACAUGGAAGAGCAAUUGUUGUUGUCAAGCCCAGGAUCUAGAAGUCGGAUUGUUUUGUUAAUGUAGUUGAUUGCCUGGACAUAGUAUUUUCCGGAAGAAGGUAGGUCUAGUACUGUAAUGUUGCUCUCACAGGACAGAGUAAACCUUACGUCGCCACAGUACUUUGGAUCAUCGUUCAGUCGAAAAGGAUGGCUUAUGUUGUGGAUAUGGCCGCAGGAUGAAGUGCAGGACUUGGCACUACUGUUGUCAGCGUUACAAGUUUCACUGCAAAAGCAAAGAAGAAGAAAGGCUAAACUUAAGGUGAAGGACCUGGUUCCACUGAUUUCCAUUGCUCUGAGAGAGAGAGAGAGAGAGAGAGGGCACUAUAGCUUAAACACCAAGGAGUUAUAUAAUAUGGGAGGGGUUAAAGCACCUCGCUUAAAGUUGCAGUAAGCCCGUCAAAUAUCCUAGGGAAAAGUCGGUCAAUGCUGUCCUAUAGAGAAAAGUCGGCCUUGAUGUUUGACACGGUCACACUCUCUCUCUCUCUCUCUCUCUCUCUCAUUGACGAGGGACACUGUAAUUGAAAAAAAAAAUUGUUAUUCAGAGAUAGAUCUUGAAAUUCUUAUUUUAUAUAAAAAAAAGGGGUAUUUAGAUUUUAGGACCUAUAUAAGAUAAUUUUUAGAUUAUAAGGUUUCAAAAUCUUAUUUUAGUCCCUAAUUUAAUAUUCAUCGCCACAUCAUAUUAUAAGAUACCUCUAUUACCUACCAUAUUUACAAACUUUGCCAUUUAAAUUGUCAACCUAUUCUAUAAUUAAGGCUUAAAUAUAUUCCGUUAAUAAACCAUUCGUCAAUAAGAUAAAUCCAACUAUGGUAAAUUAUACUAAUUUAUACUUGCUGACAAACAAAUUAAGUCUAUAGUAAUUUUAGGUCAGUCACCUUAAGAAGUCGAAGAUGAAAAAAUCAAAUACAAAACAAUAGGUUAAAAAAAUUAAAUAAUAACCCUUAAUAUAUAUAUAUAUAUAUAUAUAUAUAUAUAUCACAAAAAAAAAGUAUAACAACUCCUUAUUGUCUAUAUAUAGGAAUUGCAUAAGUGUCGGUACAUAUGUGUAGGUACAUACAUGCACAUAGGUACGGAAGUAUCGGUAUGGAAGUGCCGGUACAUACGUACACAUAGGUACGAAAAUAUUGAUACGUUAGCAUCGGUACAAAAGUAUCGGUGCGGAAGUGUCGAUACUUAUGUACAUAUAUAUAGGUACGCAAAUAUUGAUACAUAAACAUCAAAAGAAAAAAUCGGUAGAUUCGAUGUAUGAGAAGGUAAAAAUAAAUCAUCAACACUAGAAAAAAAUGAUAAAAGUAAAUCAUGCACUAUUAGAUGCAUAAGAAGAAGAAAUAUUAGAUGUGGAUGGUGGCCCUAGCCCUCUCUUCUAACACGGUUGAAGAUAAUUUUUUGGGUUGGACAAAAAGUUUCAUUUUUAAGGAGAACCAUUUAUGUUAGCAAUAAAACUGAAAAGUUAUAAAUAAAAUAAAUAUAAGACAUUAUAAUUCACUCAAGGAUAAUAUAGGAAGAAAAAAAUUACAUAAAAGGAAUUAACUCUGACAUUAAAUAUAAAUGCUGACUUGGACAUAAGUCAAAGGACUAUAAUUAGUUUUUUAUCUUGGUUAAGGUUUUAGUCUAAAGAUAAUCUUUUUCAAGGAUUAAUAUCUAGUUUCCUAUAAAAAAAAACACCUAAUAUUAAUCAUUCAAAUGAAAUUGUUAAAAUUAAGUAUAAAUAAUACAUAAUGAAAACUGAACACAUACAAUCAACGGUCACGACCAUGAAAUCCUCCGGAUCCUCAGAAAAAAAUCCGACGAUGAUCUUUUUCUGUGUAAAAUAAUUUGAGGGUAUAAUACUGGAUGUGCGAUUAAACCGAAGAACCCACCCACCUCCAUCUUCUCUGACCAACUUGAACCCAGCCACUACUACAUGUCAUCCCGACAACCCACUCUCAGCUUCCCAAACCGCCAUUUUUCACCCAAUGGAACAUUUAAAGAAAAAAUCCAUCUGCAAAUCGAAAACCACCGAAAAAAAUUAAAUCAGAUACAUUGGAAAAAACGCAAAACUCAAUGGAACAACACUGGCGUGGAAGAGAAAAAAAGCAGAAGGUGAGAAUGGAGAGAAAGAAGCGAACGGAAAGAAAAAGCAAAGAAGAGGUUGGAAACGGAACAACAGAAGAACAAUAGAAGAACAGAAAUGGGUAUGGGAAACGGAACAACAGAACAAAAAGCAGGCGGUGUAUAGAGCAAGAAAAGCAAACCUCACGAUGACCAACACGUGCUAAGAGAGGCCCCGGUUCACUGUGUAUCACAUUUUUUAAUAUUUUUUUUGGUCUUCCCACCGGCUAUACAUGGGAUUCCAAAAUUAAGAAGGUAUAAAUUUUUAUUGUUUCUUGUGCCACAAACCAUGUGGCCCAGUCUUAAUCACAUUUUUUAAAUAUUUUUUUUGCUCUUCCCAUCAGCAGUACAUGGGUUAAAAAAAUUAGGAAAGUAUAAAUUUUUAUUGUUUGUUGUGUCACAAACCACGUUGCCCGGUUUUAAUCACAUUUUUUUAAUAUUUUUUUGUCUGCCCACCAGCUAGGUUUAAAGAAUUAAAAAAGGACUAAAAGAAAGACUCCACAGAUGGAGGAACAUGGGAAUAGAAAGGGCAAAUUUGGGAUUUUACUGUACAAAAAAGACAAAAAGUAACUGCUGAAGACUAACUUGAGGGGCAUUUUGGUCUGCACACUGCCCUAGAACAGUAACCAUCGGAUUGGGUUUUAGUAUAUAUAGAAUAUGUUUAGAUAAGGACAAUAAACUUAGAAUUUUGCCAAAAGUCAGAAUUUAUAAAUUGAUACAAUCAAUUCAUUUGUUUGGAUUCAUAAACAUAGAAAUUUAGACUUUCCGCGUGAGAAAAAACUUGGAAUUUGGGACCUUCAAUUCUCAUGUUUAAAUUUCAUGUAAAUAGGUGUCAUUUAUAAAUUUCAGUAAGUGAGAGUUUAAAAAUAACAAACAUGUAUUCAAAUUUCAUUCCUCCUUUGGUUAACCAAAAAAGAAAAUUUAUAAAUUCUAGAAAAUAAAAUUUCUUUAUUUUAAUUUCUGUUAUUUUAAAAUUCUUAGGGCUUGUUUGGUAUUCUACUUGAAUCCAACUUUUUAAACUAAAAAAUAAUUUUCAAGUUUUAGGCCUUAAAAACUUAUUUGGUAGAACUAUUUAAAAAAACUGAACUUAAGACUAACUAAAAAAUAUAAUAUAUUAUCUAAAAACACAAAAAAUGAGUUUUUAGAAUUUUUAAACUUAAAUUCACUCAUUUCUUUUCUCUCCCUCCUCCCCUCUCACUCCAAAUCUCUCUCUCUCUCUCUCUUUUCUUCUUUCUCUCUCCCCUUCUCUUUUUUUUAACCUUUUUUUGUCUCUCAUCUAAUCCGCUCUCUUCAUUUUCUCGGUUCUUUCUCUCACUCAUAUUCCUCUCUAUCUCCUCCAAUUCUCUCUCUUCAUUCUUUUUCAACCAAUAAUUUCUUACUUUUUUCCUCUUCUCUCCUCUUGAUUCUCUCUCUUCAUUCUUUUUCAACCAAUCAUUUUUUACUUUUUUUCCUUCUCUCCUCUUUCUCCCUCGACUUCCUCUUUUUGGAUCUCUUUGUUCAGUUUGAGCUGUAAGAUUUAAAAUUAUUUUAAAUCGUAUACCAAACAAGUUUUUGAGUCUUAAAGAAAAUUGUUUUUCAAAAAAUGUUCUUAAGAAAUGUUUUGAGAAAUGAUAAAAAAUUUCAAAUAAGAUACCAAACAAGCCCUUAAUAAUCUUAAAUUUUCCCAUCCAAACAAAAAAUUUUCUUGUCAUAGAACUUUCAAUUGGAAUCAAAGAAGACAAUCUUUUCACAACUAAUUAUUCUCACCAAAAGCAAUUUUUAUUUUAAAGCAAUCAAUACCAAACUGCAAAAGCAAAGUAGGAAGGCUAAAAUUAAGGUGAAGAACCUGCUUCCACUAAUUUCCUUAGGAGGGAGAGAGAGAGGGGGAGAGAGAACCAAGCGAGCGAGCAGAGAGAGAAAACACCAAGUAGUAUUCUAAUGUUGGUGGGGUUAAGUCACCUUCCGUGAAGUUGCAGUAAGGACUUCUAUCCCAGAGAAAAGUCAGUAAAUGAUGUUGACACAGUCAACGACAAAGACAGAAUUGUGUAACCAUAAUUCUCUCUCUAUCUCUUUUUCAUUAUCGGAUGACAGUGUAACACUACUACGUAUAUAUCUCUGCUCAAUUAUUGAAAAGAAAAAUCCAUGUGCAUUAUUUUUAUUAUUAUUAUCUCAGAAAUGCAGAAAUUGAUCAUCUCUUCCUUUUGCAUAUUGAUACUGGUUUUCUUCAAACUAGUUGAAGCAAGUCAAUAUGUGUGCGCGAAAUCCAACUGUAGCAAUGAUCAAAGCGGGGCUAUCCAUUUCCCAUUAAACAUCAGGCGCACACAUCAUUGUGGUAAUUCUGGGCUUGAAUGCAAUGGGAGAUAUGAACAGCAAAUACUAAUAAAAUUAUUUGUCAAAGACAUAGAUUACAAGCGUCAGGAAAUCCAAGUCUAUUCCCCAAGUAACUGCCUGCUGCUAAAGCAUGUUGAAAUCCCAAACAUGCCACCCUCUCCCUUCAACGUGUCAGUCGAUGACUACAUGAGUAACCUUACCUUAUUCAGUUGUCCUACUUCUUUUGCAAGACGAGAUACGGAUGUGUAUCAAGUCCCCUGCCUCGGCGACCGUGGCAAGAGAACUUAUGCCAUUUAUUCUGAUUAUGGUUUUAGAACUCUCUUCCGGAAUCUACAAUCUUGUACAAAAAUGUAUGAUGUUUUAUCAGUUCCAAUACCCUCUGAAUAUUAUGUUCUUCGUUUCAAAUGGUCUAUACCAAAUUGCAGAAAAUGUGGAGAGGGAAAGAGGUGUGAAUGGCAGAACAAUGAAAUUAAAUGUAUUCAAUGGAGGAAACCAAGUAAGGAUAACAUAUGUAUUCAUUGCUAGUUUUAAACAUCUUUACAUUUGUUUCUCAGUAAUUAUUGUUUAAAACAUGUCCAAUCCAUUUUUACUAUGAAUAUUAACUGACAGUCUCAUUUGAAUUUGCCUUUAUCUUUUACAGGCAACACAUGGAAAUUAGUGGUCACAGGGGGAAUCCUGGGUUCUUUGCUUCUUGUUCUACUGAUGAUUGCAGCAUAUCGGGUAUAUAGCGUUGAUAGAAAGAAAAAAGAGAUUCGAUUACGAAUUGAAAGAUUCUUGGAGGAUUACAAAGCACUCAAACCAAGCAGAUACUCGUACGCAGAUAUUAAGAGGAUUACAAAUCAAUUCAAGGACAAGUUGGGCAAAGGAGCCUAUGGAACUGUCUUCAAAGGAAUGCUCUCUUCUGAAUUCUUUAUUGCUGUCAAAGUCCUCAACAGUUCCAAGGGAGAUGGGGAAGAGUUCGUAAAUGAAGUGCGAACGAUGGGUCAUAUCCACCACGUAAACGUGGCUCGCUUGGUUGGAUUUUGUGCUGAUGGAUUUGUACAAGCUCUUGUUUACGAGUUCUUCCCCAUUGGUUCCCUGCAGGAUUUCAUUUCAUCUGCAGAUAGUAAGAAUUCAUUUCUUGGUUGGGAUAAGCUGCAAGAUAUUGCCCUAGGCAUAGCCAAAGGAAUUGAAUAUCUUCACCAGGGAUGCGAUCUACGAAUCCUGCAUUUCGACAUCAAACCCCAUAAUGUUUUGCUAGACCAAAACUUCACUCCAAAAAUUUCUGAUUUUGGUAUGGCCAAGUUAUGUUCCAAGGAUCAAAGCUUGGUGUCCAUGACUACAGCUAGGGGGACCAUGGGCUACAUUGCACCUGAAGUGUUCUCCAGGAAUUUCGGAAAUGUGUCUUACAAGGCAGAUGUCUAUAGCUUUGGAAUGCUGCUGCUUGAGAUGGUAGGAGGAAGGAAGAAUAUUGGUUCAAUCACGGAUAACACUACAAAUGAAAUUUACUAUCCACAGUGGAUUUAUAAUCUUCUAGGGGAAGGGGAUGACCUACGAAUCCACAUUGGGGAAGAAGGAGACGGUAAAAUUUCAAAGAAACUUGCAAUUAUAGGGCUAUGGUGUAUCCAGUGGCACCCGUCGGAUCGUCCUUCCAUGAAAAUAGCGGUUCAGAUGUUAGAAGGAGGAGGAGAAAGCUUGAGUAUGCCGCCUAAUCCCUUUGUGCCUACUGGUUCUACAACUAGGAAUGCAAGACGCCUAGAGCUAGAAGCUAUUGCUGAAUUAGAGUAAAAUGUAUAUGCAGAUAUAUAGACGUAUAGAUAUAGUAAUAUUUACAUUGAAUAAGAUACCGUUUGAUAACCAUUUCGUUUUCAGCUUUUAAUUUUUAUUUUUCACUUUUUUGAAAACUGAAAACUAAAAUCUUGUUUGGUAAAUACUUUUAGUUAAAAAAAAAUGAAGACUGAGAACUAAAAAGUGAAAGCUCAAAGGAAGUAGAUUAAAAGUAGUUACCAAACAAACCGGAAUCUCAAUAAUAAAAAAGAUUGAAUUGCACAAUGCAAUCCAAACCAAUCAAAACAUUAAAAUAGCAAAAAAAUUAAAAUUCUAGUUGAUUAGAUUCUGAACAUAGUAAAAAUGAACAGAUCCGAUGAAAAAACAAAAAAUUCUCAGAUAAAAAUAGGGAUAAAGUAGAAUAUUUAUAAAUAGCUCAUUGUCUCUUAUGUCAUCAAUUAUUUCUAUAGUAUAUACAGGUUUUUGGAAAAAUUAGGUUCCCAUCCCUUAUUUUCAUAUUACAUUGAUUGAAAUCUUAUUAUUUUUCUAUUUUAGAUCAAGGUCCCUUGACUUAUUCCAUGUCAUCAUUUUAGUAUUUAAAAUAUUACACGUCAUCAUAAACGAAAUCUCAUCCCUUUCUGCAUUUAAGGCAAAAUAAACUAUAUAAGUAAGUUUAAAACAAGGAAAAUCCAUUUGAACUCCUCCAUUCUUCUUCUUCCCUUAUGCACAUCUGGAAUCUACAACACCCCAAACCCAAUUUUCUCCAUUUUUCUUCAUUCCUGAAUUGAUCCAAUGCAUAUAUGUUGAAUAAACCUAUUGUGAUUAAAAUACAAAUUAGCAUCAAUGAUUUUAUCGGCUUGUGAGAUUUGUGUGGCAUAGGCAAGGCAAUGCAGGCAUCGCUUUAUCAAAGAAUCUGGUUGAUUCAAACAUGCAGAGACUGUAGAGUGAGCGGGCUAUGUAAAAACUGUACCAUUUUGAAGUCAUUUUCUUUUGUUCUUUACAUUUUUUUUUCUUUUAUUAUUAUAUAUUAGUCUUGAUUAUUCAAUGUCUGGUUGGCUACACUUAUAUCCAUGGGUACAUUUUUAAUCUACAUGUUUCGUUCUAAUAUAUCUAUUGCUAUAAUAUGUUUUGGUUGGUUCAAAUUUGUUUUACAUAAAUAUAUGGGUACAAAGUUUUUGUAGAAUAUUAUGUAAAAUGGUUUUUAAGGUUGCUGCAUUUUACGUACCCACAUAUGCAUGUCUAUAAAACAAUGUGGUAUGAUGUACAUUCUUUUCUUUGAGUUUUUAAAUGUACCCAUGAGUUUUCUUGUAAAUUCGGUAUGUACCCAUAUGCUAUUUAUGUUAUGGGUACAUACAUUAUUUUUGGUCUAAGUUCAUGGGUACAUUACUUUUGUAUGUAUGAAUUCAUGGAGUACAUUAUUUCCCUUAAUACUACUCAAUAAAAUUCACAAAAAUAUGUGUAGCGUGCAUGAUUUUUUAUUGUAGAAAUUGUUUGUUUUUUUUAAGUCUCAUAAUUCAUGAAAUUUGUACAUAUAUGAUCACAUAAAUUUUUUAAUUUUAUUAAAUUUCUUUUAGACUUGAUCGAUUGAUUGAAUCUCAUAAUACUAGGAUUUUGAAUUACAUAAAUUCUUGGAUUUAAAUCCCUUAAAUGUUGAACUGCAAUCAAUAUUUUAAAUUACAGUUUUUUAUUUAAGAUAUCAAAAAGAUGACAUGGAAAUAUAGUAAUACUAAAAUGCUGAGGUGUACAAAGUCAAAGGACUUUGAUAAAAAAAUAAAAAACAAUAAGAUUUCAAUCUAACAAUUGAAUUGACUAGGGAUCGGAACCAAAAUGACCCUAGAUUUUUAUUGAGUUUAAUCUUAAUAAAAAAAAGACUUCUUGUAUCACAAAAAAUACAAGAACCAUUAUUUGAAUGAAAUAAAAGCUAUGGGAUGGAGAUAUAAAUGGAUCCUUUAUUUCACAAUUGGAUUAUAUUUAUUUGAUACACUGUUGUCAAUAUGAAUGCUGAGAAAAGACUACAAAAGAAAAAAACAAUUUAUAAAUAUAACUAACAAUUCCAAUUUCAAUCAAUUAGACAAUUAGAAUUAUAAGAAGAAAAAAAAAAGAAAUUUCAGUUUUCAGUUUAAAAAAAAUGAAAAAAAAAUGGUUAUCAAAGCCGUCCAAAUAAUACAAGUUUGUUUCCACUCUUUGUUUAAGCAUAGAUGCCAAUUUUUGUUUAUCAUUUUUUUAACCUUUAUUUUUUGUUACAGUAGAAGCCCUGGAAGGAAAUCGAGCACUGGACUUACCAAACUCUUAACUUAUUUCUACACACCAAGAGCUUGAUUUCGGUUCUUAUUUAUACUAUUUAAGCUAUAAGCCGUGACAAGAAUUAGAGAACUAUCAUUUGUUGUGAGCUUCAAUUGGUUAGCACUUUGUAUGUUUUCAUUAGAAUAUAUAUUUCACUUAGACUUUCUUAUUAAAAAAGGGAUCAGCUGGUGACUUUACCACGACAAUCCAAUUUUAUGGGGGUCAUGAAUACUCACAAAGGCAUUUCAGCCUCCCCCUAUAUCUACCGUCGCGUGAUUCACCAUUGUCAGAAAUCGAACCCAAGACGUGUUGUAUAGAAUACGGGCCUAAAAUUCAUUUCUAACCACUGAGUCACCCCGCGUUUGAUUAUAUUUCACUUAGACUUAUCUUGCGGUAUAGCAUGUCAUCCCCGCCCAAGUUUUUCCCUUCGCGUUGACUUUGGGAUACCAAAACUUGCCAAACAAAGUAGAUUGAUUAGUAAGCGAAGCUAAUUAUUCGACUAAACAUUGUUUAGAAUUUUAAUUAAAAGAACCAAUAUGAAUCUGUUUUUUUUUUUUUUGACAAACUAUAACGUUAAGGAGUUAAAUUGUUAGUUGUUAAGAGUACGGGGAUAGGUGAGGAUCGAACCUCCACCAUAGUGCAUAGACAUUAUUGGUUCUACAACUGCUGUAAAUCACAUAAAACAAAACGUAAUACUUUGAGGAUGGAAGACACUUCGUGGAUAGCGGGCAAUCAACACUAUCAGUUGCUAUCCAAAACUUGGAAUUAUGUUUAUUGUCCGAAGGAUUUUUCUUCCAUUAAAUUGCUAAGGAAGAUGAGGAUGGGUAGAGUGUCUAAAUGUCAAGGUUGAUAAGAACGUGUAUGGUGUUCAGCUUGCGAUUGAGAUUUGUUGAGUGGCACAACAAACCACAUAAAAUUUUCUAAAUGAUAAGCUUGAGUAUAAUUUUUUACCACGUAUUUAUCUUUAAAAUCAUUAUAAUUAGAUUUUCUCUUAAUUAAUAUAGACCGUUAGAUUCAUCUAAUGACCCAAGUUUUUUUCCUCUUUUCUUUCUACUCUUUUUUUCUUCUCUGAUUUUCCAUUCACCGUGUAGCAGUCGUUCUUCCCCAACUAAGUUUCUUAUUUUUCUUCACAAAAAAAUUGUAGAAAAUAUUAAGAAAAGAAAAGUCAUCAAUAUCAGACUCGACCAGGUAAUCGUUCCAACCUUCCCAGCAACUCUCAGUCUUAACAAGGCACCAAAUUUUCUCCGCCACCUAACUCGUCAUUCAUUUAUGGGUGUUUCAAGCUUGGUGAAAAUUGAUAGAGUUCCAUGUGUGUACACGGAUGUGAACAUAUUGGCCACUCUCUAAUGUGUUGGUUUAUCACAAAGAACCCAGAUACAAAAUUUUAAAAAGCAAACAAUUACAACUUCUCAAAUAUUAUCUAACAAACUUUCAAUGAAAUGUUGCUCAUAAUUGAAAAAAGGUUGACGAAGGACGGAGUUGGAGUUAUUUUAGAUGGGGAAGAGUUAAAAGAAGGAAGCACCAUUUAAUUAAUAAAAGCGAUUGGAGAAAUAGUAAUUCAAUGGUGGGCGUUUUUAAGGUGUGGACCUUGUAUCACACCCCGAUUCCAACAUACAUUGAGGAUCAACACGUGACAUGGGGACAUAGGGGACAUAAAUCUUAUGUAAGAUACAAAAUGAAAUACUAUAAAUAAUAUCCCAAAAUGAAUAUGAUAGUGGGUUCACCCCUAUAAAAUAUAUACGAGUUUGUACAUUCACAAAAAAAAAAAAAAAAAAAAAAAAAAAACACAUACACACACACAAAACUCUCGCUAGGCCAAGACUUGCCCAUGGUGCUCAAAGGAAAGUCCCAAAAGAAAGAGUACAAUGAAGGAUAAAGGGGUAACCUAAACACUCCAAGUCUCUGAUCUCUGCACUGCUACCCUCACCGGCUCCUCGUAAUCUACUCAGACCUAUCACAUGUACAAACAGUGCCUACAUUGUGGGAAUGGUGCAUCGGGCAAACAAAAACCCGGAUAAGCUGCAAAACUCGUGUGAGUGACAAUAAUGCAACAUAUGUGAUAAUCAAGAAAAACAUACCAUCGAUCGCAGUUUAUAAACCUCAAAUAUAACUUCAUACUUAUGAAAUCAUAAUCAAGUCACUGAAAACUUCGAAUGAGUCACCCAGACAUCCAACGACUUUUUAAAAUCAAAUCUCAGAGAUUCCAAAACUAUCAUUCACAAAUACACUAAAAACUAGGGCUAGAGUGACACAGUUCGGCCAAAGACUACAUAAGUAACCAAACAAGAAGUGGCCCCCCAUAGCGGAUUAACCAAGCAGAGCCACUCCUGAAAAAGUAACCAAGUAGGUAGUGACCCCCAUCACGGAUUAACCAAGCAAAGUCACUCCUACGAAACUGUUAGGUAGUGAUCACCCAUCGCGGAUUAACCAAGCAUGAUCACCCCUAAGUACGUAUGGCCAUACCUAAGAAAUAAGGAUCGCCCACCGCAGAUUAACCAAGCACGAUCCAAAAAUAUUAUGGGUCCCCUAUCACGGAUUAACCAAGCAUGACCAUCCAUGUACCACUACUACAUGGUGUAAAUUCGGUGUCACCUAACCUCGUGACACUAGGGUAACGGUCCUUUACUAGCCCUCACGUUUUUCAAACAUUUCAAAUAUAUAAUUUAAAACACAAUUCAUAAACAUUUCGAAUAAGGAAGUCACAUAGUGUUUAAUAAUGUAGGUCAAUGGAAAACUUUAAAAACAAUUAUUUAGCAUAAAACAUAUUUUAGAAAUCCAUGUUGUAUCCACAAAGUAUACUAGCAUGGGAGAUUUUCAGGGUAAUAACUCUAUCAUAUAUAUUAAAGUCACUCACCUGGAGUCCACACUAACGCACCCUAACACGAAUAUCAAGACGUCACGUACUAUCAUCUGUAACAUCCCACAUCAACCAACGGAGAGAGGGUGAUGUGCCUUAUAUGUACAUGCCCACCUCCAUAGCAUGAGACCUUUUGGGAGCUCACUGGCUUCAUAUUCCAUCGGAACUCCAAAGUUAAGCGAGUUUGGGCGAGAGUAGUCCCAGGAAGAGUGACCCACUGGAAAGUUCUCGUGUGAGUUCCUAGAAACAAAAUCGUGAAGGCGUGGCCGGGGGGGGGGGUUAAAGCGGACAAUAUUGUGCUACGACGAAAUUGAGACUGAGAUGUGACAGAAUGGUAUCAAAGCCACUCUGCCGUGUGGUGCGAGUGUGCCGACGAGGAUGUCGGGCCCCUAAGGGGGGUGGAUUGUAACAUCCCACAUCGACCAACGGAGAGGAGGUGAUGUGCCUUAUAUGUACAUGCCCACCUCCAUUUAGCACGAGGUCUUUUGGGAGCUCACUGGCUUCGGAUUCCAUAAGAACUCCGAAGUUAAGCGAGUUCGAGCGAGAGCAUUCCCAGGAUGAGUAACCUACUGGGAAGUUCUCGUGUGAGUUCCCAGAAACAAAAUUGUGAGGGCGUGGCCAAGGCCCAAAGCGGACAAUAUCGUGCUAUGGCGGAGCCGAGAUUGGGAUGUAACAUCGUCACCUAAGACAAAGUACAAGUCCACAUUUAAAGUUCUUCGUGUAUUCACAUAAUAAAAAAUUUCCAUAUGCCCCCUACAACUAAUGAAGAGAAAUCGAGACACGUUGACAAAAAGUCAACUGUUGAUCAACGGUAGGGUCCAUAACCCUACGUAACUCGAUCUGCAAGAUCCAGCCACUGUAUUUGUGAUUCAUAAGUUCCUAAGGUCCUUAAAUCUUACGUACAAUAACAUACUAAACUUUGGUGACGAUCUAAUUGUCGAAUCAUCAUUUGCUAUAAUGUUCAAAUGACGCAAAUUCAUCAAUCAGAUGUUAAAUAUGGAAUCGGUCAUCGAAUUUAGCUUAGGAAGGUCAAGUGGUGUCUCGAGCCACGUGCUGCCGUGCGCAGCAGCUGGCAACCCAAAUUCGUCGGAAAAAUCACCUAAUUCCAAAAUGAAUGUCGUUAGACGUGGAGUAAAUUGUAUACCUGUGAAGAAGCCCAAUUUGGUCGGGAAGUGGCCUGAAAUCACUUUAGACCGUCGGAAACCCUAAAAUAGGUGAAUCUCGAUUCGUCAUCUCCGGUAUUCCACCGUCCUCAAACUUGUUUAGGGUUUGCUCCUGGUCUCAAAAGAAUGCUAAUGAUGGUGGUGAUUGAAGGAGAAUGUUUCAGAAAUAAUGAAUCGUCGACGAGGGUUUCACGAAACCGACAUGGGUGUUCCUUGUGGAACUAAGACCAAAUCUCAACGGUUUUGGCUAGAAAUGGAUGCUGGGAUGUCGUGGUGAGGUUUGGUAGUGAUGGGAGGUCGAAGAAAGCCAAAAAAAUCGACGAAAAAACAGUCGUCGGAGUCGCAGGAAACGGGUUAGAAAAACGAGUCGCCAGGUCUGAAACGGGUCGAAGGCUUUUGGGACAGCUACUUACUCUCUCUUCUUUGAUUAGUCACUCCACUCACUCUCUCAUUUGAUUAGUCCAGCCUUCCCACAUGGUGGGAGUUCCCUCAUAUAGUAACCCAAAAUUUACUAUUUAAAUCUGGUAUCGAACGUUCGUAACUUUUUCGUUAUAGUUUCGAUUCGCAAACAGCUUUCGCCUACGCGCUCGUAUGAUCGAAUUAUACUCGAAAACAUUAAUUGUGACCUCGAAAAGGUCUACGAGUUUUAAAAGAUUAAUUACAAAAAUUCACACCUUGUAACUAUACGAUCCAAAUUCUAAAAUUAACGGAAUUAAAAUAAACUAAAAAUAAUGUAAACACGAAAUACAGACUUUAAUAAUGAAAUACGUAAUUAAUAGUAGUAUUCCGGGAACGGGAUUUCACACCUUGCGUCCGGACCUUGAGUGCGGAUCAGAAUCCAAAGGUCGUGAUCUGACAAGCUCAUGCAUAGAACGGAGUCGUUGUGACCCAAUGCAAUUCAAAACUUUUAUGUUUUUUAUUUGCUGGGUACGUUUUUGUAGGAGGAAAAGGGGAAGUCGAGGGAUUCUUUGCGCAUUAAAGAGGGAAAGAGAGAAAGGGGGAGCUAAGAGGUUCUUCGCGCGUUAAAUUUUUGCUUCUAAUUUUGCAACCUAGAAAUAAAGUAUUUUCUUUAUGGUUUAUGGUUCAAGAAUAUAAUGGAUGCAACCUAAAAAUGUUUCUUUUUUUAUUUUUUACUUUUUUUCUUCUUAUGUUGGCUUUUGGUUUAUUUUUAUAACGCACUAUAUAUUAACUAAAUUUAUAAACAUUUUGUAUCUUUGUUGCAGUCAAAUUAAUCAUAUGGGUCGGCAUGACUAAGUUCGACUGAGACAUACAGAUGUUUUGCAAUCUUAAGUCUAACCUGACACACCUCGACCUCAAUAUCCAGUGAACACCAAAAUUAAGGUGUGCUGGCCAUCAUCCGGAUGGGUGACGAAACCAUAAUAUGCAUGAAAACAUAACUAAAUUAUCAACCAAUAAAAUCUAUUGAAAAAUUUGGCAGAACAUCCCUUAAAAUAGGGAUAUGCCCAAAUUAAAAACACUUGCACAUGAUCACAAUUAUUCAAACACAUCCCGAAGGGCCACACUUAAUGGGACUUCGACCAUCUAUUACAUGCAUGAGAAUAUGUUCAGAGAAUAAUUACCCAAAUACGUCUUAUUAAAAUAUUGAGUAAAUACCAUACAAGAUAGAAUACGUCAGAGCUGUUGCAAAAUACCUCAACGUCGGAUGUAAUCACUGAUAGAAUUACUGAAUCAUGUAUAAAUGGAAAGCUGAUAAAUACAUGUAAUUUGAGUGGAUACUUACCAACAGCAUGGAUACAAUAUCAUCCACCAGUCGUAACUAGUGAAAACUGGAUAAUAUAAUCAUGUCAUUGCCGAGUAAUCUCAAGGCAAUGACAAGAUGAGAAUGUAACUGAGUAAUCAUAUCAUUACUAAAUAAUUUCAAAGCAAUGACAAGCUGAGAGUAUAACCGUAUAAUCAUGUCAUUACCGCGUAAUCUCAAAAUAAUGACAAGCUGAGAGUAUAACUGUAGUACCUCUUAUUAGUGCAAUGCAUGAUAUGAAUUCCAUCUCACAUAUAUAUGCAAGCCAUAAUCAAACCAAUAAACAUCCAACAAAAGCCACAAUCCUUUUAACAUUCGACCACAAGAUCAAUUUUCAUAUUUCCCAAACCUAGGUUCCGAAGCAUUGUUUCGAAUUAUUAAUACAAGAAACCACCACCACCUCAAUCAAUUCCUAUUCAUAAGUGUAAGCAAUUACUAAAUGCAUCACUUUCGACUCUAGUCUUAAUUAGAUUACUUGGGAUACUCAUUCACACCAUCAGAUCCACGUACAAUUUUGAUAAACUUUAAAUAGCAUGGUUAAAAUAAAUGAAACAUUUGAAUGAAACACUUUUAGAAAAUAAGUGAAGAUGUUGUUUACAAAUAUAGAUGCAUCUGUAUAUAAAAGCUUUGGCGGUUGAUUCGUAUACUUCCAGAGAUAUAAGCAAGUUCAUUGGAAUAUGCAUACAUGGUUAAUGUAUUACGGUAUAAUUAAUAAGAAAACAAUUGCAUCCCCUUCAGAUUAUAUAUAUAUAUAUAUAGACACACACACAUACACAUACAUACACACAGGCCCUUUAUGCAAAGGAAUUUCCAUUUUUUUUCAAAAAAUGGGGAUUAGUUGUGGGGCCCACGCUGCAUUGAACUUUAACGAUCCGAACAAUCUAUUUUGUAAGUCUCGAUUCAUAGAUCAUCCUUGCAAAAAUUCAAUUCAAUCCGAACCCUUUUGCCUAUUUAAUUAUCAAGAUAAAAUUUCAUUGUUUCUUAUAUAACAAAGUAUUCGUUAAUUUCUUUGAACUCAAUUAGAUAUCUUAAACAUUUCCGAUUUGGCUAAUAUUUUGCAAAGAUGAUCUAUGUGGUGCAACUUGAAAAAUAGACGAUUUCGAUUGUUAAAGUUCGAUGUGGUGUGAACCCUACAAUUAAUCUUCAUUUUUAUAAAAGAAUGGGAACCCCUCCCCUUAAAGGUUUCCUAUGUAUAUAUUUGUUCUUCAGACAUAUGCAAAAGGUAAUGUAAAACCAAUGAGAACUUAAAUAGAUAUUCCAUACAUAGGACAAUUCCAUAUAUGCUUUUUCAACAUUUAUAUCGAAAAGCCAAAUUGUUUUGAGGAAAUUAAUUGUAGUAAUGGUCCCUUAACUUUUAUCUUAUUGGAGCAAUGGUCUCUCAACUAAAAAUUCAUGACCAUUGGUUCCUUAACUCCACAAAACGUGUAGUUAUGGUCAUUUUCAUUAACUCCGUCAGAACUUUUGUUAAAACAAGUAAUGUUAGAAGAAUCAUUGCUACAAUCAGGUUAAAGUUGGGGACCAUUGCUCUAAUUGAAUUAAAGUUGAGGGAUCAUUACUCCAAAUUGCUUAAAGUUCAAGGACCAUUUCUACAAUUUUCUCAUCUAGUUUCCCAUAUUUACCCCAUGAUUCAGCUUCACAUGCAUUGCACAUGACUCAUUUUGACAAAAGUUUUAACGAAAUUGACGAAAAUGACCAUAAAUGCACGUUUUGAAGAGUAAGAGACCAAUGGUCGCAGAUUUUAGUUGAGGGAUCAUUGCUCCAAUUUGGUUAAAGUUGAGGGACCAUUGCUACAAUUUGCUCAAAUGUUUCGUAUGCGAAAAUAGGCAUUUGUAAAGUUUGGCUUGUUCAUGGCAUUAUUACUUUAGUCUAAAGUAAGGCUGGAAAUGGCACUGUAGAAAUGAAUAGUGUUCCAAUCCGAAUUUCAGUUUAAUUACAACAAUGCCAUUGCUCUUUGUGUUGCCUUUAGGUGAGCAACCCAACUUCCAGCCAGGCCCAAAUGUAUUGGUUUUAGCUGAGAAGCCCGACCUUUGGUCAGGCCCAAAACUUUAAAUUACAGUUUUGCCCAUACAAAAUAACAAUUUGAUUGUAUCGGGAAGGACAAUUUUGUCCUUUUAGUUUUGGGCGAGAUAGGGGGUAACCGGGUAGAUUUCAUUUGCUGUCGUUGAAUGAAGGUUUCGGGGAUGAAGGUUGUGUGUGUGUGUGAGGGAGAUGACGAUGGAAGGAGAGCGAAGGGGAGGGGAAGGGUUCUCGGCACUGUUGCUGCAUGUGGAUUUCACAAGUGGGUGAAUGGGUAUGGUUAGAGAAUACCAUAUAGGUUGUCGGGAUUUCAGGAAACGGGGUAGGGGUCAUGAAUGAACCCUGCUGAGAGUGGGUGCCGGAUCUUGCGCUGCAUGCCUCAAAUCAAAGAUAAGUUCAUUUUUUUAUUGUAUUCUUUAAUGGUAGCUUAGCUUUUGGAAUUGUUUAGUAUGUUAGGUCCAGUUUUGGGGGAUUUAUCUUUUAGAGAGAGAGAUGGACAGGGAGAUAAAGAUAGACAGAGAGAGAGAGAGGAGGAGGAGGCGGAGGAAGUAUGGCUGUGUGCUAUUUUUGGUGUUAAUUAAUGGGUUGGUGCGCAGGGUGAGUGACAGAGUGACAGAGUGACGGAGGGAUGUGUGGGAGGGUAUGGGUUUUUAGUUCUUUCUUUUGAUUCAAUAGGUUAUACACUGUUUGAAAAACCUUUUUUUUAUUUUUUUGUUCUCGUUUGCUUUGUUAAAACCAUCAUUUGAAUUUUUGGGUUUCACUGUGCUCAUUUCUCUGUUUCUUCAUAAUUUGUUGGUGUUUGCUUCUCAUCCCUCUGUUGGUAGAUCUUUUUCUCAUUUCUUGGUUCCUUAUGUAUUCUUUGGUACAAAUCUGUUUACUUUUUGGUUGUGUGAUAAUCUUAGCAGGUGAACUAUAUGAACGUUUUUUUGAAACGAGCACAGUGAAGCAAGCGUAGAUUGGGAGGCAACCCAAUAUUUCUAUUCAUUGCCUUUUUCUGUCAUUUUCAAUUUUCUUGCAUGCUAAACUGAAUUAUUUCUUUUCUUUGUAUUUGGGUUAUGUCCACCCUUGGAGUUGAUUGCGGAAUUAUAGUUUGGGGGUCAUCAUUUGAUUUCACUGCAAAUUGGGGAAGUUUUUAGUCCAAAUGCCGGAUCACUUCAAGUAUCACCUUCCAUUCGAAGUUCACUUCCAUGCCAUGGAACCUAUGGGAGUGUGACUGGAGGCAUCGUCCGGCUGCAAGACGUUAAAGAAAGCGCUUCUUGGGAGGCAACCCAAGCUUUCUAUCUUUCAUCUUUAUUUUGAAUAAUUUUAAAUGUUCUUGUUCUGUUUUUCUCUUAUUUUCUGGUUUUUGUAUUUAAGUCCUACUUUUGUUCCUUUAUGCAGGUAAUGAUUUUGCAAUCUCUACCACAACUUCUUGCAAGGUAGUUUUACAUUCAUAAAAACGAAAGGAACAUUAAGCAUAUAAAUACAAGAGGGAGCCUUCACAAAGGCUGCUUAGGAGAAGUUUCAGCAGUCGGCGGAGUCCCAGAAGGAGGAGGCAUCAGAGGUUGAUCAUUUGGAGCUUCAUUACGUGGUACAACCCCAGAAGACGAAGGCAAAUGCAAAUAAGGAAGAUCUAUGAAUCGCUUCACAAUCGAAAAGGAACAUAUGGUAGAAAAAUUCAAAGAUGAGCAUACAAACAAGAAGGAGUCUUCAUUGGUCAGGAGGUGUCGCAGCAGUCGAAGGAACAUCAGAAAGACGAAGUGUCAGAGCUUGAUUGUCCGGAGCACUUGGUGAAGCACCAGAUGAUGAAGGCAGAAGUUGCCUCAGGAGUAAAGCCAUAAACCUUUGAUGAUCACUCCGAGCCCGAACUUCAGCCUCUUGCAGCUGGUCCAACUUCCUCUUUAUGCUUGUUGAGUAGUUAGUUGCGAGCAUGUGCAACUCUUUAUCUUCAUGCCUCAGCGCUCUGACCUCUUGCCAAAGGCUAGCCACUUCAGCCAUCAACGACUCCACUUGACGAGUUCGAGCAAGAAGGCGUUGGCCCAUGUUUGAUACUGAGCCUGCACUUUGGACGCUGAAAGCCAAAGAAUCCUGAACAGCCUGCUCGUCAGACCGCUUAGAUAGCAUCCUACUGUCUCUUGGAGUAUGAAGAUUUCUAGCAACCACUGCAGCUGUUGCAUCAUUUCUCAUCACAGUGUCCCCAACUGUAAGAGGACCGUUGGAGGAUAUGAAAGAUGGCUGCCAAAUGUUACCUGGAGACGAGAGGUCAAUAUCUUCUUCGAUAUUCAGGUCAAAACGACGGUCGGAUGGGCUAGACAUUUUCAUAGGUGUUAAAGAAAGAAGAGGUCAGACAAGUCAAGAUAGUAGAAAUGCAAGAAGGGAGUAUUCACAGGCAGAAAUUCAUGUGUGCUUUGAACAUCCUGCGAACCUCUAUAAAAAAUAGCACACAAUGAGAUUUCAGGGAUCGAAUAGGCGAGUUCAGAGAUCGAUGAAGCGCCUGCUUUCUCCAAAGCUAGGCCUACUCAGGAAUCACAGGCUGAUCUCAGGUAGUGAAGACGCGCCUGUCUCUCUCAGCCCCGUCAGCACUUGUCACAUGCAGAGAAAACUUUGAGGAAAUCACGGGCAGUUUGUCGAAGCGCCGAUUCCAACCAUCUGUCUUUCUCAGCCUCGUCAGCUUUGAGGAAAUCACGGGCAGUUUGUCGAAGCGCCGAGUCCAACCGCCUGUCUCUCUCAGCCUCGUCGGCACUCGCUUUCUCAAAAGCUGGGCUUGAAAUCACAGGCCAAUCUUCAGUUUCUAAAUUUGUUCGCACUUGUCACAUGCAACCUCUGCACUCAACGAAGCUCAGAACUCGAAGCGCCAAUUCCGGAUAUUAAAGAAGCCUUUGCUUUAUCAGACGUGUCAGCAUCUGUCAAUUGCACAUCUGCGUUGCGUAAAUCACGCGCAAUCUGUCGAAGAUUUCUGGAGAAACGGAAUGCACGUGAAGUUUACUGUUAAAUUACCCCAGGCUUGCUGACACGAGUACUAGAACAAUGCCUUCCCAGCCAUUAAGAAAAAUUCUACAAAUGUUAAAGGCAACCUCACUCAACUUUCAGCCUCACUCAACCUUUCUUCCUCUCUGAGAAUGUAUUCCCGAAGAAGCCUCCCGAGUCACUCUGUGUUUCUCAUCCCUUGGGAUACCCCUGCAAACAACCCACCCAGAGCAAAAGUAUUUCAUAUCAUAACGGUUGAGAGCAAGAGUAUCUCAUAUCAUGCUUUCUCCCUGUCCUUUGUCUCGCCAGCACUUGGUAUCAAUCUUCCGAGCGGGGACCGACUGCCUGGAACCCAUUCCUGAUUGCUUACCUAACCUUGCUCUCGAGUACUCAUCCUUCUUAUGUUUCCUCUUCGUCUACCACAUAGGGGAAGUGAUAAUGAUACCUCGAAGCAUGUGGAUACAACGUGCUGAUUCAUCCUCAACUAAGGACAAGGGAGAAAGCAAGCAAGAUGUGGGCACUUGGAAAGAUUGAACAAAGAAACAGACUAACACCUCUACCUCGUGCCUGCCUACCGAGCAGAAGAAACAAGCAGAGAAGAAUGCAGACUGCACAAUCAAACAACCCAGGAACUCUGAUAUUCCUCGCUCAGGAUUCCAAACCAGUUUGAGAUUCGCCUACACAAAUUGGUGUGUUCUUUCCUUUUCUUUAUGUGUCUUUAUUUCAUUUUAUAUUUCUUUCCUUCCAUUUUCAUGUCUUAUUGUUCAAAAAUUCCUUUCAUUAUCAUUGGGGACAAUGCUAUAAUUAAGUUUGGGGGUAUUUGGAAAUAUAUUUCGUUAGUUUAUUUCUCUAUUAAAAAAAAAAAAAAAUUUUGCAUUUUUAUUGUUGUUUGUAGCUACUUCUCAAUUCAAUGAUGAGAUUUGAUUUUAAUUUCCUUCUUACUUUCAAGAAAGUCUAAGUUCUUUUCGUUGUCUUUGUGUUAACUGUGAUUUCCAGAAAUCAACUUGAAAAAAGAAAUGUGCCUAGUCUUGUCAAUGUGAAACUUGAGCAUGAUUUAGCGUUUCAUAUGUGAAUCAUGUGAGAUUAUGUAAACCUUGUGAGUUUUUUAGCCUAUACAUGAUUGAACCAUUAUGCAUCAAUCUCAUUCCUUCUUGUGCGUAUGAUCUCACUGUACAUGUAUCUCUAGAACUUGCUUUAUACUACUCGAUUCAUUAAUCAAUUCAUGUAAUAACUUGGAAGUGAUAUAGGCCAUCUUUGGAUCGUUUGAGCCUUUCAUGCCUACCUUAUAUGCUAUGUUUAUCCUUAGUAGCCCUUUGAGCCUUUAACUAAGCCAUUUCUUUGUUAACCACAUCUCUUUACCUUGCUCCAAUAUUGGAGUUGAGCCCAUACACAAAAAUCGAUUCCUUAUUGUUUUGAGAAAGUAUUACAUGGGUUGUGCUUUUGGGGGUUUCAUUUAUAUAGAAAGAUGGAUGGAGUAUGUGUAUACAAUGAAAUGUGAAUUUGAUGGGUGAUGUAGAUUUUGAAAAUUAUUUCAAAAGAAAAAAAAAACGAAAAAAAACGAAAAAAAUGAAAAUUGGAGAGUGUUGAUUUGUUGAAAAUGUGUCGGUAGAGUAUAAAUUUCCUUUUAAAGUUAAAUUUGGGGAGUAACAGGUGCUCGAGGUUUUAUUAUUUUGCUUUCAAUUUGAGGUGGUGUGAUAUUGAGGUGUUGGAAAACUACCAAAGUGUACUUUCUCAAAAUUUUUGAUUUCCAUAUCCUUUCUUUCAUUAGCCUAUCACCUUUAGCCCCAUUACAACCGUAAUAAAGUCCUAUUGAUCCAAGGUAUUACUUAAAUAUUGAUAAGCGAGUUAGGUGGACAAGCAAGCACAUGGCGGCAUGUACAAUGAGAUUACUUGAGUGAAACACAUUAACAAAAAAUUAUGAGUGAAUGAGCGUAUGUCUUGUGAGAAACUCACAUGUUUGCAUAUGAUGAUUUAAAGGAGCUUGGAAUUGCAUUGACAUAGCUAGCUCACACAUGGCAUUUCAACGUUUUGUUUGAAGGAAAUUUGGUUAACUAUUGGAUGAUGUUUUGAGCUCUUGCUUACUUCUUGGCAGUGUAUCUCAUGACUAGCACUUAUCUCUGAAAUCGAAAUUGAGAAGUUGGCUACUAAGUUGUUGAAUCUAGUCUUAGUUGAGUGGUUUUGUUUUGCUAGAGGACUAGCAAAAAUGUAAGUUUGGGGGUAUUUGAUCACUCAUAUAUUUCAUGCAUUUAUACCAUCCAUUUCUAAAGUCUUUGUGAUGUUUUUGUGUUAAAGUUGUGGCAUUUUACCUUACCUUGUGUUAAUGUACAGUUAAUUUUAUUUUAGGAUCAAUUUCAAAGAAAAUGGGCUGAAAAGAAAAUAAAAGAAAAGAAAUAAAUGGGACGGAAAGGAAGACACUGACAGAAUAAAAGAAUGAAGAAAGAGGUAGAACGGCAGAUAGAGAAGUGGGAAGAAAGUGGAGUGCGCAUGGGAUGGAAGUGGAACAAAAAGCAGGAGAGGGAGUGAGGAGUGCGGGAUAAAAGCAAAGAAAAAUAGAAGAAUAAGAAAGAAGUGGGAGGACACGGACUGAGUGGAAGAAUUAAAGAGAGAAGCAGGGUGCAGGCACGGACAGAAAGGAGAACUGAAGAAUAAAAGAGAAGACAGAGAAGCAGAAAAAAGAAGAGAAACUGACGUGAAAGCCAGUGCGCAGAGGGCGCAGAGAGAUAGGAGAGAUUGUGCGGGAGCAGAAGCACAGAAGCAGAGGGAACAAAAUCACAGACUGACAGCAGACGCAAGAGGCACGGCAGAGAGCAAAGCUUCACUCUAUUUUUCUUGGUUUUAUCUUCUCAAACCCAUGUUUUACUUUUGGUUUAAUUUGUGAAUUAUGUGUAACUAAAUUUUAAGUAGUUAGGGGCUGUUUUGAAGCCCCGAAUAUGAUUGUAAGUUUGUUGUGAUAUUUUGUUUGAAUGACUUUUAUGAAAGGAUGAAAAUUGUUUCACUACUUAUGUGAUUGAUAAAUUCUUUAUGUGUUUCUAUGGAUGCAUACAUAGUGAGCAUAUCUAGGAUUUUAAUGCUAUGAAUAUAUGUUUACCUGCCCUUGUUGAAUGAGGACCUACAUAUGUUCUAGAGUAGCACUUGUUAAUUGUGGUUAACAUGUGAACCGAUUUCUAGGAUAAGUAAGACAAUGCCAGUACUUAUCAUGCCUUGUGAUGACUCAAACUCUUUUCGUUCUUAAUGAUUUCUACUUGUUAAAUCUAUGAACACGACAUUCUAGAUUACAUGCUAGGGACUACGUUAAGUUGAAAACGCUAUUCUCUUAACAUACUACGUAAGAAAAAGUAAUAGGUUGUGUUCUAACAUUGAGCCAACUUGAGCAUCUUCAUCCGGAAAUAAAAGGAAUUUGAAUGAAACAUAACAUGUUUGCAUGAUUAUUUGGUGGUGGAUAGCAUUUCCCCUAAUUCGUUUUCUUAACUUGUGAAUUAAAAUCUAUUGGUAUUAUUUAAAACUGGUUGAGGUCCUGUUUUGUCCGAUUUAAUUUAAAUAGCUAAUCAACUUCAAAAAUCCCAAACAUUUGUGUGAGCAUAGCUUGGUGUGUCUAGUUUAUGUGUAUAAAAUUUCGUUGCAUUUGGAUAAGUGUAAGUUAGUCUAAUAAUUAUUGUUCGGUGGCUGGUCAGUGGAGACAACCAUCCUGUUUUUGUGACAUUUUAAGUGUUUGGAUAAAACAAUUUUCUGCGGAAAAGACCCUUAUUUUCAUAUGCUACAAUCGACAAAAUUUUAGUGUUAAUAAGGAAAAUCAAUAGGAUUAUUGUGGGCUACUUUGUGGUGCGUUAUAAUUACUACCAUGCUGUCAGUGGGUGUUAAUAUCAGGUACCCAUGUUCAGUUUUUCGUUUUGAUUUGAAGGAAUUUCUUGCGGAGAGGAGCAAGGGUUUCUUGGUGAGUUCUUCGGGUUGUGCAUAUGGGUAAUUUUCUUUUCGGUUUAACCCUCUGCUUCUGCUGCUCUCUCUCUUUCUCUCAUCCCUGCCUGCUCCUCUCCAAUUGUUUGCUGUUCUUAAAUAUUGUGUUCAUUGCCUGAUACAAGGGGCUGCAGCAAUCUGUUUUAUCCUACACGGGACAACGAGGCAAUGGCGUGACAACAGGUGAGCUUGGAUAUCCAAAGAAAAAGAACAGUUGGUUCAUCUGCUGGAGUCUGAGCUUAGAGAAGUGGAGGAAAAUUGCAGGUGUGCGAGAAAUUUUAUUUUGCUGAUAGGACUCCUUAUUUACUGAUGCAUUUUGAAAUAAUUGAAAAGUUGGAUUUGAGUUAACAGCUAUAAAAAUGUAGACAUGAUUGCUGAGAUUAUGCUAUGAAAGUGGAAUAAAAAAAUGGUAGUUUAUAAUAUUGCGUACCAAUUGUUUUCUCUCUUUUUUACCAAAUGAUAAGGGUGGUGGCUCAGGCCGCCCCCCUAAGCGUCCCCACUCUUCGACAAGUUGAAAUCGUGGUGAUAGUUUAUGGGCUGUGGUCUUGGGAUUCUGCAAAUAGAAUGAAAAACAGACACUUAACUAUCUUGUUAUUAAGCAUUUCUGCAUCAUUCAGUUGCUCUUGAUUUUCGUCUUUUAAGCGAUCUUAUUUCUGCGAUCUGACUUGAGGAGGGUUUUUAGACCUAUGGUUGUGGGUGUUUUCUCUGACCCCAUUAUCCGAGAUUUGUAGACUUGCGAUCGGCGGUCAAACAUUUUGUGAUUCUUGUUUUCUCUGCCUUUCGGUCGUUAAGCGCCGGCAGUCUUUAGAUCUUUGGCAAAUCAAUUUAAUACAACCGAGGUAUGUUUUAUAACUGCUGUCUUUCAAUUUUUGUUCUGUAUUUUUGUUAAUUUGGAUGAAGCUCUAAUAAUUUUGUUUUGGAUCAGUUGUGGUCCUCUGUUAGGAUUUUCCUGGCUAAGAGGGUAUUUGCGUUUUUGUUGCUUGGUUGGUCGAUCACAGAUUUACGAACAGCUGUGGUGGUCCUGUUAUUUUUUGGUAUGUUUUUUCUCCUUUUUGGUUUUUUUCCCGGUUUGAGCACCCAUUCUUGAAGAAUUAAAAUGUGUUUUAUAGUUUUUUCAGGAGAGAUUAGAAAAGUGAUUUCAAUUUGGGAAAAUUUAAUGUUGGUUAAAAUUUGUUUAUAAUUUUUGGGAAGGAAUGAGAGGACCCAUUGAAGUAUGUGUUGUGAUUAUUUUUUAUUCAUAUUUUUAACAAAUUGGGCAUGAAUUGGUAGGUUAACUGUGUGUGUUUAUUAUUUGAAUCGGCCAUGUUUGUCUUUCUAUGGUUCUAAAAAAUUUGUAAAGGCUGUUAACUUGGAAGAAAAUGGGAUCGAGGGUGAGGGGAAAACGGCAGAGAAAGCAUGGAAGAGAGAUUUGGGAUUAGGGGUAGGAAAACAGAUGAAAAGAAUAUGAUAGAGGAAUGGGUUCAGUUCAUUUUCACUAUUUUUUUUUAACUGAUUUGGAUUUUGUUUGGGUUUAACUCCGCCUAUGUCUUACAUGGCCGGUCCCAAGCCCGGAUAAAGGAGGAGGGGGAGGGCGUCAGGUAGUCGACAGCCGGCACUCCAUGAUCAUGUCGAAUCCUUAUGAAAAUGAAUCCAGAACAAAAUCGCGCUAAAGCUAGGACGUCACCCGUAAGUGGCGCGCUGUAUGGCCCGAGCACAGUGAUAAGUGAGCAAGGGUCGCUGUAUCUCCAUCGGCACCCGGAUGCAGUGUUAAAUGAGCAAGGGGGCCAUAGAAACUUCUUUUCGAACGACUCCACUCAAAGUUGUUUGAGAGCAUAUGCUCCUAUCAACUUUACCCGGGACACACAAAAGAAGUACUUUGAUCCUAUUAGACGGGGGAGGGUGAAGAAGCUAGGACAGAAGGGUAGAGUUCAAGAGAGCAAAAUGCGUUUAGGAACGUGGAAUAUAGGAACCUUAACGGGAAAAUCUAUGGAAGUAGUGGAAGUUAUGGUGAGGAGAAGGAUAAAUAUUAUGUGCCUACAAGAAACUAAGUGGGUUGGUAGUAAGGCAAAGGAUCUAGAAAACUCAGGGUUUAAACUUUGGUAUUCGGGCACAAAUAGAACGAGAAACGGUGUUGGCAUCAUCGUGGACAAGACCUUGGUACAAGAUGUUGUAGAUGUCAAGAGGGUAGGAGAUAGAAUCAUGGCAAUCAAGAUUGUAAUAGGACAAGAACUUAUCAAUGUGAUUAGUGCGUACGCACCUCAAGUAGGGUUGGAUACGAGUUCGAAGGAGAAAUUUUGGGAAGAUCUUGGAGACUUGGUGCAAGGAAUUGCUCAGACGGAGAAGUUAUUUAUAGGAGGAGAUUUAAAUGGACACGUGGGCAGGGAGACAGGCAACUAUGGAGGUUUUCAUGGUGGCCAUGGUUUUGGGGAGAGAAACGAGGAUGGGGAAGCUAUCUUGGAUUUUGCAAUGGCAUAUGAUCUCUUCUUAGCCAACACCUUCUUUAAGAAGAGAGAAGAACAUGUGAUCACCUACAAGAGUGGGUCGUCAAAAACACAAAUAGAUUUUCUUCUAAUGAGGAAAGGGGAUCGUAUAACUUGUAAGGAUUGCAAAGUUAUACCAGGAGAGAGCGUGGCUAAUCAACAUCGCUUGUUGGUGAUGGAUGUACAUAUCAAAAGAGUAAGACAAAAGAACAAGACUUGGAAGUGCCCAAGGACUAGAUGGUGGAAUCUAAAAGAAGAAAAACAAGCCAUUUUCAAAGAGAAGGUAAUCACCCAAUGUGUGUGGGAUAGAGAGGGGGAAGCUAGCCAAAUGUGGGAUUCCAUGGCUAGUUGUAUCCGAAAAGUAGCAAAAGAGGUAUUAGGAGAGUCCAAGGGCUUUGCCCCACACCAAAAGGAAUCUUGGUGGUGGAAUGAGGAGGUACAAACAAAGGUGAAGGCUAAGAAGGAAUGUUGUAAAGCCUUAUACAAGGAGAGGACCGAUGAAAAUGGUGAAAGGUAUAGAAAAGCGAAGCAAGAGGCGAAGAAAGCUGUCAGAGAAGCUAAGUUAGCGGCUUACGACGAUAUGUAUAAACGACUAGAUACCAAAGAAGGAGAGUUGGAUAUCUAUAAACUAUCUAGAGCAAGGGAAAAGAAGACAAGGGACCUAAACCAAGUGAGGUGCAUCAAGGAUGAGGAUGGAAAGGUUCUUGCUACAGAGAACGCGGUUAAAGACAGAUGGAGAGGUUAUUUUCAUAAUCUUUUCAAUGAAGGACAUGAAAUGAGUGCUUCUUUAGGGGAGUUGAGUAACUCAGAAGAGUGUAGAAACUACUCUUUUUAUCGUCGAAUCCGGAAGGAAGAAGUGGUUGUAGCUUUGAAGAAGAUGAAGCAUAAAAAAAGCAAUAGGCCCAGACGAUAUACCAAUCGAAGUGUGGAAACUUUUGGGAGAGACAGGUAUAACAUGGCUCACUGACCUUUUCAAUAGGAUUUUGAAAACGAAGAAGAUGCCAAAUGAGUGGCGAACGAGCACUUUGGUGCCUAUCUACAAGAAUAAGGGCGACGUACAAAAUUGCAUGAACUAUAGGGGUAUUAAGCUAAUGAGUCAUACAAUGAAGCUCUGGGAGAGAGUCAUUGAGCAUAGAUGAGGCAAGAGACACGGGUUUCGGACAACCAAUUCGGGUUCAUGCCAGGGCGCUCAACCAUGGAGGCAAUCUAUCUCUUACGAAGAUUGAUGGAAAGAUAUAGAGAUGGGAAAAAGGAUUUACACAUGGUCUUUAUAGAUUUGGAAAAAGCGUAUGAUAGGGUCCCAAGAGACAUUCUUUGGAGGAUUUUAGAGAAGAAAGGAGUACGAGUAGCAUAUAUCCAAGCUAUAAAGGAUAUGUAUGAAGGAGCAAAGACUGCCGUAAGAACUCAUGAAGGACAAACCGAAAGCUUUCCCAUAACUGUAGGAUUACAUCAAGGCUCAUCCUUAAGUCCUUACCUUUUUGCGUUGGUAAUGGAUGAGUUAACAGGACAUAUUCAAGAUGAUAUUCCUUGGUGUAUGCUUUUCGCAGACGAUAUAGUGUUGAUAGAUGAAACUCAGGAAGGGGUAAAUGCAAAGCUUAACCUUUGGAGAGAAGUGUUGGAAUCUAAAGGUCUUCGCCUAAGCCGAUCAAAGACAGAAUAUAUGGAGUGCAAGUUCAGUGCAAAUGGAGGCCAAAACGAGUUAGGGGUGAGGAUCGGAGAUCAAGAAAUACCAAAGAGCGACCGUUUUCGUUACCUAGGAUCUAUCUUGCAAAAGAACGGAGAAUUAGAUGGAGAUCUCAACCAUAGAAUACAAGCUGGAUGGAUGAAGUGGAAGAGUGCAUCCGGCGUGUUGUGUGACCGCCGUAUGCCACUGAAGCUCAAGGGAAAAUUUUAUAGGACGGCAAUAAGGCCGGCGAUGCUGUAUGGCACAGAAUGUUGGGCGGUGAAACAUCAACACGUACACAAAAUGGGUGUAGCGGAGAUGAGGAUGCUUCGUUGGAUGUGUGGGCACACGAGAAAGGAUAAGAUUAGGAAUGAGGAUAUCCGGGGUAAAGUAGGAGUAGCCGAAAUUGAAGGAAAGAUGAGAGAAAAUCGGUUACGGUGGUUUGGACAUGUGCAAAGAAGGCCUACUGACGCUCCGAUUAGAAGAUGCGACUAUGGGACAGAGGUUCAGGGCCGAAGGGGUAGAGGAAGACCUAGGAAAACUUUGGAAAGAGACUCUAAGAAAAGACUUAGAGUACUUGGAUCUAACGAAGGACAUGACACAGGAUCGAGCACAAUGGCGUUCUAAGAUUCAUAUAGCCGAUCCCACUCAGUGACUUGGAUUUUCCAAGUCUCCAACCGAGAAGUUUUCCUCACUCGGAAAAUUAAGGGAACACUACCCCAACCUACAUGCUCCACUCAGAAAGCUUCAACAUACAAGCUUCAACAAAAGAAAAUUCAAAGAACUUAGCGAAGAAGGCUUUGGUGUAUUUAACACAAUACGUUGAAAUGAAGGAAAGCUUAUUUAUUGAUAUCCCCGAUAAGCUACAAAUAUGUACAUAUACAUGAGUCAAAAUAAACACACAAGAGGGAGCCUUCACAAAGGUUGCUUAGGAGAAGUCUCAGCAGUCGGUAGAGCCCCAGAAAGAGAAGGCACCGGAGGGGGAUCAUUUGGAGCCUCAGUACUGGACAGAACCCUAGAAGGAGGAGGCAUCAGAGGUUGAUCAUUUGGAGCUUCAUUACGCGGUACAGCCCCAGAAGACGAAGGCAAUAAAUGCCUUUGGAACAAACCCACAAAUCUCUGAUGAUCAAGUAAAACCUGACCAUCAGUUUCCUUCAUCUGGUCAAGCUUCCUCUUCAUGUUUGUAGCAUAGUCAUGUGCGAGCCGGUGCAACUGUUUAUUCUCAUGCUUGAGCCCUCUAAUCUCCUGUUUGAGACUCAUCACUUCAGCCGCCAAUGAUUCAACUUGGCGGGUUCGAGCAAAUAGGCGUUGGGCCAUAUUAGACACAGAACCUGCACACUGAACACUGAGAGCCAGCGAAUCCUUAACAGCUAACUCAUCAGACCGUUUGGAAAGUAGUCUGUUAUCUUUGGGAGUGAGAAGGUUCCUGGCCACCACCGCAGCGGUCAUAUCAUUCUUCAUCACGGAAUCCCCAACGGUAAGAGGACCAGUAGGGGAGACGAAGGAUGGGCGCCAUAUGUUGUCUGGAGAAGGCGGGGCUGCCUCUUCAACAAGGUUCAAGUCAAAACGACGGUCGGAGGGGCCAGACAUUUUCAAAUGUGUUGAAGAGAGAAGAGGUCGGACAAAUCAAGAUCUUAGAAGUGCAAGAAUGAAGCUUCUACUGGUGGAGAUUCAAGUGUGCUUUGGAACUUAAUGCCAGCCCCUAUAAAAAUCUGCACUCGACGGAGCUUCAGAAAUCGAAGAGGCGCCUGCUCAGAAAUCGAAGAGGCGUUUGCUUUCUCAAAAGCUGGGCUGCUUAGAGAUCACGAGGGUUGAUCUCAGAAAUCGAAGAGGCGUUUGCUUUCUCAAAAGUUGGGCUGCUCAAAGACCUCGAAGGCUGAUCUCAGAAAUCGAAGAGGCGCUCGCUUUCUCAAAAGCUGGGCUCCCUAGAGACCACGAGGGCCGAUCUCAGAAAUCGAAGAGGCACCUACUUUUCCAGCCUUGUCAGCACCUGUCACACGCGCACACUCAGCUUUGCGGAAAUUAUGGGCAUUCUGUCGAAGACUUCUGGGGAAGUAGAAAAAACACAUGAAUCUUACUGUUCAAUCACCCACUUCCCACACGCAACAAUAGCUCAUGGGUACCACAGAUAACUUUGCCAAAGUUCUCUGCCAAAGUUGAGCACGUGAAGCUUGCAGCUCCCACUACAUCGCUCUGACCAAGAAGGGUAAAAGAAUAGCAAAGAAACACAGCACUAACAAAGUUUAGACCCAUAAAUUUUGAAGGUCUAGCUACCAUAUUAUUACCACACACAGGGUAAAGGAACAGUACCACUGCUGGAUAAUUGGAAAGUCCCUGUUUGUCAACCUCUGUGCUUCGUGGCAAGGUAGACUAGCAAACAUGCCCAACCUUUACUCACAUUCGAGAAAACACUCCCAAUAAGAUUGCUUGCUCCAAAAUCGAAGAGGCACCGUCCUCCGAAUCUCGAGAGCCAGACUCCCAACAUGACUACUUUCUUAAAAAUCGAAGAGAGGGUAAAGGAACAGUACCAUUGCUGGAUAAUUGGAAAGUCCCUGUGUGUCAACCUCUGUGCUUCGUGGCAAGGUAGACUAGCAAACAUGCCCAACCUUUACUCACAUUCGAGAAAACACUCCCAACAAGAUUGCUUGCUCCAAAAUCGAAGAGGCACCGCCCUCCGAAUCUCGAGAGCCAGACUCCAAACAUGAUUACUUUCUCAAAAAAUCGAAGAGACACUGCUCCCCGAAUCUUCGAGAGCCAGACCCCCAGCAUGAUUGCUUUCUCAAAAAUCGAUGAGGCAUCGUUCUCCGAAUCAAUCGAAGAGGCGCUCGCUUUCUCAAAAGCUGGGCUGCUCAGAGACCACGAGGGCCGAUCUCAGAAAUCGAAGAGGCACCUACUUUUCUAGCCUUGUCAGCACCUGUCACACGCACACUCAGCUUUGCAGAAAUUAUGGGCAUUCUGUCGAAGACUUCUGGUGAAGUAGAAAGCACAUGAAUCUUACUGUUCAAUCACCCACUUCCCACACGCAACAAUAGCUCAUGGGUACCACAGAUAACUUUGCCAAAGUUCUCUGCCAAAGUUGAGCACGUGAAGCUUGCAGCUCCCACUACAUCGCUCUGACCAAGAAGGGUAAAAGAAUAGCAAAGAAACAGCACUAACAAAGUUUAGACACAUAAAUUUUGAAGGUCUAGCUACCAUAUUAUUACCCACAAGGGUAAAGGAACAGUACCACUGCUGGAUAAUUGGAAAGUCCCUGUGUGUCAACCUCUGUGCUUCGUGGCAAGGUAGACUAGCAAACAUGCCCAACCUUUACUCACAUUCGAGAAAACACUCCCAACAAGAUUGCUUGCUCCAAAAUCGAAGAGGCACCGUCCUCCGAAUCUCGAGAGCCAGACUCCCAACAUGACUACUUUCUCAAAAUCGAAGAGAGGGUAAAGGAACAGUACCAUUGCUGGAUAAUUGGAAAGUCCCUGUGUGUCAACCUCUUUGCUUCGUGGCAAGGUAGACUAGCAAACAUGCCCAACCUUUACUCACAUUCGAGACAACAGUCCCAACAAGAUUGCUUGCUCCAAAAUCGAAGAGGCACCGCCCUCCGAAUCUCGAGAGCCAGACUCCCAACAUGAUUACUUUCUCAAAAAUCGAAGAGACACUGCUCUCCGAAUCUCGAGAGCCAGACCCCCAGCAUGAUUGCUUUCUCAAAAAUCGAAGUGGCAUCGUUAUCCGAAUCUCGAGAGCCAGACUCCCAACAUGAUUACUUUCUCAAAAAUCGAAGAGACACUGCUCUCCGAAUCUCGAAAGCCAGACCCCCAGCAUGAUUGCUUUCUCAAAAAUCGAAGAGGCAUCGUUCUCCGAAUCUCGAGAGCCAGAUACCACAUACCACUUUUUCAAAGUGCUCUGACAGAGUUAAAACAUGUGAAACUGGCAGCUCCCACUACCGUGCUAUGACCAAGCAGGGUAAAGGAAUAACAUUACUACUUGUUAGGGAGACUCCUAUAUAUGUUGACCUCCAUCCCCAACAGACAGGCAGACCUGCAAAAAUGCUCAACCCUUCAUCAUAUCUGAGAGGGCACUCCCAACGAAGCCUUUCGAAAUAUUCAGCUUUCUUUCCCCCCGAUAAUACCUCUGCAAACAAGCUAUACUAGAGCAAGAAUAUCUCAUAUCAUCAGGGUUAAAAGCAAGAGUAUCCCAUAUCAUGCUUUUUCCCUGUCUUUUCCUUUGGCCUUGUUUUUACCUGCAAGACAAGGAGAAAGAGAGCAAUCAGUCAGCACUUGGAAUCAAGCUUCCAGCUAGGAACUGACUGCCUGGAACCCCUUACCUGAUUACUUACCUGGCAUUGCUCUCGAGUACUCAUCUUCAACAUCUUAUGUUUCCAGGGAAGAUUCCGCAUCUGCUUGAGGAACAGAUAGGGCAAGUGCGAAAGAUACAAGGAAGCAUGUGGAGACAAGCGUAACAGCACACGUGCCGAUACAUCCAUUACUCUGUCAAAAGCAAAAGUAUCCCAUAUCAGCAGGGUGGAAAGUACUCUAGAUUUGAUGGACUUGUUUUGACCCUCAAAUUCUUCAGUCGACCUUAUACUCUGGAGGAAACCAGAAAACCCUCCAGCUCAGUUCAAGAAUAAGCCUGUGGAAAGUUACUUCUUCAAAAGCAAAAGUAUCUCAUAUCAUCUCUUCUCAUUUUUCUUCUCUUUAUCCUUCAUGCUGCUGCAAGAUGGGGAGAAGGUGAACAAUCAGUCGGAGCUCUGAUUGCUUACCUUGUCUGUCACCUCUUUCAGCAGACCCCUAGCUCGGCGACUUGGGGGACUCCUACUACAUGGUUUGUAUCGCGCUUGACCAAGCCUGAAACUACAAGUAAGCUUCAAGUGAAAUUGAUACAUUACCUUGUGCAUCUCCACCAGUUAAAGAUACCACCCCUGGAUGGAGGAAGAGUACUUCCAGAAAAGAUGCCACAUCUACCUAUGAGACAGAUAAGGCAAGUCAAGACGACACCACACUCCGAUACUUAGAAGUUUCGUGAUUACGAGAUCAUUCUCCCACAAUAUUUCCUAAUGUCAUUUGUACUAAAUCAUUCACUUGUACUCACUAAAGGAGAGCUUGAACCUAUGUACUUGUGUAAACCCUUCACAAUUAAUGAGAACUCUUCUAUUCCGUGGACGUAGCCAAUCUGGGUGAACCACGUACAUCUUGUGUUUGCUUUCCUAUCUCUAUCCAUUUAUAUACCUAUCCACACUAAUGACCGGAGCAAUCUAGCGAAGAUCACAAAAAGCGACCGUUUUCGCUACCUAGGAUCUUAUCUUGCAAGAGAACGGAGAAUUAGAUGGAGAUCUCAACCAUAGAAUACGAGCUGGAUGGAUGAAGUGUAAGAAUGCAUCCGGCGUGUUGUGUGACUGUCGUAGGCCACUAAAGCUCAAGGGAAAAUUUUAUAGGACGGCAAUAAGGCCAACGAUGUUGUAUGGCAUAGAAUGUUAGGCGGUGAAGCAUCAACACGUACACAAAAUGGGUGUAGCGGAGAUGAGGAUGCUUCGUGGGAUGUGUGGGCACACGAGAAAGGAUAAGAUUGGGAAUGAGGAUAUCCGAGGUAAAGUAGGAGUAGCCGAAAUUGUAGGAAAGAUGAGAGAAAAUCGGCUCCGGUGAUUUGGACAUGUGCAAAGAAGGCCGAAUGACACUCCGAUGUGACUACGGGACAGAGGUUCAGGGCCGAAGGGGUAGAGGAAGAUCUAGGAAAACUUUGGAAGAGACUCUAAGAAAAGACUUAGAGUACUUGGAUCUAACGGAGGACAUGAUACAAAACCGAGCGCAAUGGCGUUCUAGGAUUCAUAUAGCCGACCCCACUUAGUGGGAAAAGGCUUUGUUGUUCUGUUGUUGUUGUUGGAUUUUGUUUGGGUUUGAGGCCAUCAUUGGCGUUAAGACGUUUAUUAUCAGAUCGUGUGUUUUUUGCUAACUUUUAUUGGUAAUUUUAAUGUUGUUCUUAUGAUUUUGUGUGGUAGGGUUUCUGAUUUUUAUCGUUAUUCAUUUGGUUUUUUGUGUGUGUUGGUUUGUUUAUUUUGCAGGUUGUGUUUGUGCUGGGACAACAUUUUCCACCUUCUGUUUGCACUGGGAUGAUUGCGUUUUAAAACUGUUGGGGUGAGAUUUACAUAUGGAAUCAUUCCAUUUUUUUUCUUCCAAAUAUGUGCAUUUAGUUCUCUUUUAUUUUAAAUUUUAAAAAUUAAAUCGUUAUUUGAGUAAAAUGUUUUAUCAGUUUAUGUUAUGUGUUGUGACCAGGAAUUCUGUUGGAUUUGCGAAUUUUGGUUUGAUGAGAGAAAUGAGGAGUUUUUUUUGUUUGAAUUUUUUAUUGGACCGAUUUUCAAUUGGAUUGCAUUCUGCCUUUUUGCACCAUUCGUAUGCAAGCAAUUCAUUGUUUUAAAUACAAUUUGAAGAGAGCUGGGUUGCGGGUUGGAUAUAAAAUGUUAAGGUGAGAUAAAAUCGAGAUACCAAGGGUGGAAGAAUGAUUCAGAAUUGGGGGAGGAAAACAGAGGGAAGAUAGAAGAGUAUAAGAGAAGGAUAGGGUUGACCUCAUUUAGAGUUUUUAUUUACUUAUUUUUUUUUAUAAAUUGAUUCAGGACUUGCAUAUCAUUUCUAAAUUUCUAACAUUUUUGUUUAAUUUGACUCCAGUUGAUGGAAAACAGAGCUCUUACUCCUAUCAAUCAGUUGGUCCCGUACAUAAAUGCAGAAAAAUCAAGGUUCGAGUUUGCAGAGUAUGCAGACCAAGGUUUCCCGAAACUACUGGUGCAUAUUCAGGCUUGCAUUGUAUAUUACUUACCUAUUAAAAAUUUGUUUGGAAUUUGCUUUUCCCACAGAGGAGAAGAGCUGACAGUUACGCUGUGGGCAGAUGUUGCUCGAAGUAUUGCUUCUUUAUCCAUUGAAUCAUUGUCUCUGCCGAUCAUUGUGGUUUUCACAAGUUUAAAGGUCAAGCUGUACCUAGGUAUUUGACUUAGUUAAAAACUAAUCUAUUUACUAUUAAUUUUUCUAUUAUAUUCAAACGUUAUUUAAUAUAUACUCUACUAAUAUUUUCUUAACAUGUCACACAAACAUAUUCACUUCUUUUGAUCAAUUUUUUACAGCGUUUCAUAUAAAAGCUAACAUUUAGUUGAAAUUGAUUAGCAACUCUUUUCUUGCAUGUAUACAUACGAAUUAAACAAUAGUAUUAAACUAUUUGUUAUCAUUCUCAGUUUUUGUUUUAGAAUUAGAUUAAUAUAUUUAACCUGUUUUAGAAUUAGAAUUAUUUGGUAUCACUCUCAGUAUUUGUUUUAGAAUUAGAAUUAGAUUAAUAUACUGAGAUUAUUUAGACAAAUCUAGCAUUUUCUCAAAAUAUUUGACUUUUAAACUUAGAUUAAUAUAUUUAGCAGUUUUUUAACAUGCAAUUUUUCAUUAAUUUUUCAACACACAGACAAGAUAGUCUUGAACACCAUUGGUUCAUCACUUUUCUUCAUUGAUCUAGAUAUUCUGGAAGUAAAUUCAUACAAAUCAGUGUAAGUGUGUUUACUUUGUUUAAAAAAAUAUUAUAUGCUCUCACAAUAAAAGAAGGGCUAUUCUCACAAAAUUUAUGAACUAAUGUUCUGUUUUAACCUCUACAGCUUUUCCAAAUGCACAGAACCUCUAAAAAUACUGCCACCUUUUACAAAACAGGCCCGUGAAGCUCAAAUCUUGCAGACAGCGAAGGUCACAAUUGCAGACGCUGAAAUUUUCAUGCCAAAAUAUGAUGUGGAGGAUGAGAAAUUGUUUGCUGUUGUUCUCUUUUCAGUUUUGCAGGCGAUGAUCUUUUACCAAAUGUCGAGGAGCUUCCAUGGGACAUGCUCUAUGCUCUCGCUUCCCAGUUGCCUCUGUUGGGGUUGGAAAAGCUACAGAUCACAAUGUAAGUCAAAAACAGUAAAGUUCCCAAGAUGUUCUGUGCUGGAGCAGAUUUAAAGGUACGAAUUUUUAAUUUUUUUGUGAAGUCGAUGUUUUGUUUUAAAAGGAGUUAUAAUGGAUUGAUUGGACAAGUACAGAGUGUUUGUUUGUUUGGUUGAAUGUAAAAAGGAAUUGGAAGAAUGAUGAAAGUACUUGCAUUUGGUUGUAGUUGGUCAGGCACUGAAGGACCGGUCAAUACGAAGUGCAUCUGUGGGACAAUAGUUGAAAGAAGGCCAGAGCAGGAAGAGAAGGCAAGGUUUGUGAAGAAAAACAGUAAAAGGUCGUACCCAGUGCACAAGGCUCCCGCUUUACGCAAGGUCUGGGAGAGGUGAAUGUCGGCUAGCCUUACCCCCAUUCUGCUUUUGUUUAAUUAGAAGAAAUGUGCAUUUUUUUUUCCCAGUCAAAUUCUGCUUUUGUUCUGACUAUUUUCCUUACUGUAUGCUGAUUUUAUUAUUUAAUUUUUGGUUUUUCCUUGAUUGGCUUGGGAAUUACAAUCAAAUGAUGAAUCUUCAGUUUACUUGGGUAAGCAUUUUUUAACAUAUAAUUUAGCUGACCAUUUUAACUGUCAGACCAUGUUGUUUUUGGUUAUCUAAUCAUUCCAAGAUGGCAAGUUAGGAUUGGAAGGGUUGCUAGAAAUAAGGAUUAUAUCUUGGGACAUUCGGUGAGUGAUUUUUCAAACUUUCAGUUUUACAAGACAAAAUAUCUAUUUUUGUGUGUAUUCUUCAAGCAUGUUAUCAUUAUUUAGGUUGUAGGAAAAAAAGAGAGUGACUUGAGGUGUUUUUAGAUAUUUUUGUGUGUAUUCUUCACAAUGUAUUAAAAGCGCGAGGCGUGGGCGAGGCGUCCGAGGGAUAGCCCACGCCUCACGCCUUACGGGACCUAAAUUUUUUAAUAUAUACACUGAGCGUACACAUAUAUUAUAUUAAAAAAAAUUAUUAAUCAAUAAUCACCCUGAGCACACAUAUAUAUUAUAAAUACAUAUAUACACAUAUAUAUACAUAUAUAUACAUAUAUUAUGUUAUAUAUAUAUAUAUAAAAUAGAGGAUGAAAAGCACAAUGAGCACACAUAUAACAAUGCAUGCAGACAGCACACAAUAUAGUGCAAGGAAUAGGUAUGAGGUAGUUAAAACCCUACCCAAAAUCUGGGUUUGGGAGUAAAAAUAAAAAAAAAAAAAAAAAUUGCAUGAGGCGCGCCUAGACGGCUCCGACAACGCCUUCCGGCGCCUUCCGCCCACUCCCUCAAAACAAAGGCGGCAACCCUCAAGUCCAGCCUCACAGGGUGCCUAGGCGCACCCUGAGGUGAGCCUUUUAAAACAUUGAUUCUUCAAGCAUGCUAUCAUAAUAUUUGUAACUAUAAAAAAUAAUAUACUAUUAUACCUCUGUUUCUCUUUUCUUUGUUUUCAUGAGAAAUUAAUUGCCAUUGGCAGCACUAUAGAAAGCCAUCUUUCUCCAUUAUUCUCCGCUUCAUGCAUAAUUACAUAAUUCUACUAUCACAGUUGUCAGUCCUGAACAAUAAUGCAAGUCUAGUGGCAAAAACCACCUCAAUGAACAACUCACACACACACACAGACACUGAUCAUACAUCUCUAACUCUCUUUUUCAAAUAACACACUCUGAUCCAAAACAGGGUAAAUAAAAUGCACAUCCUUAUACAUUUCUAACUUUGUUUUUCGAAAUCCAAAAUAGGGUAUUCUAACUCUCUUUUUCAUUCAUUUCUUACAAACCAAUCAUACAUUUAAAAUAGGCUUUGAAUAAAAAUAGGGUAUAUAAUUAUAUACCUCAAAAUGCCUAGGAACCAACUUCCCCCUCCAACGAUUCAAAUUCUUGAAAUUGCCAACACAGUAAAUCCAUUAGUACUAUAUAAAUGAAAACACAAUUGAAACCCAUCAAACAAAACAAUCCCACAAUUUAAAUGAUUCAAUCCUACUACAAUUGAAAUUCACAGAAAGAAUGAAAAACCAGAACAAAACUGCAGCACCUAAAAAGUUGUCAUACAAAAAAAAACAUGGAAUGUAAAAAUAUGUUAAGAAAUCUAGUUCGUUAAUUUCCAGCUGCUAAGUGGCAUUAUGUAACUUUAGUAGUAUAACUAAUUAACUACUUAUCUGGUGGGUUGCACUUUUAUCCAAUUGGUAAGGAAAGGAAAAUAAAAAUCAACCCCUUGGUCUUAGUUGUGGCUGCAAAGUGCAGGCCACCACCAAGUCUCAGUGUUUGUGUUUUAGCAAAACACUUAAAUAAAUUAAAUUCUGAAACGUAAAUUAUAUUCCUAUAACUUUAAGAUGCACAUAUAGUAUUGUUGAAGUCGAACUGAAAGCACUGACAAUUCCAAGCAACAAAGCAGCAAUUAUUAAGAGCCAAAACUCAUUCCUAGUCUCCUCAUCCUGGUACUCAACUCCGUAAUCUUCUGUCAGCAUCAUUGACUGAAAUUAGGAGAGAAAAAGAAAAGGAAUUUCAGAAAUUGUCUAUGAAGCAAAGGAUACUGCAGUUACUUCAAGACAUGUAAAUUGCAUAUGUAUAAAGUAAUUUUCUACAUAAAGUAAUGAGGCAUAACUUUCUCUCUCCUCUUCAAACCCUAAACAGAGCAAAGCAAACUUUACAGAGAUUAGAAUGAGAACUGGAACUAAUCGAACAAUGACUGAAAAGUAACAUACUUGAGGAGUGAAUGAUUUAGUGUUUCCAUCAUCGGAAGCCGGAGUAAGUCGCUAAGAGAGGUCGCAAACAGCCCAAAGGGACAAACCCAGAUCCCCGGCCCCGAUCCAUACCCUUCCCCCUCAAAUCCCGACGGCCCCCAUACUUUUCUCUGACUGUACCCCCUCUCCCACUCAUGAAAUCGAGGAUCUGUCGCAAUGGUACUGAGAUCCCCACUCCUCCCUCUCCCUUUCUCUCUGUCGCUCUGUCUCCCUCUCCCUCUGUCUGUCUAUCUUUAUCCCAGAGCGGCAUGGCCUCCCAUCCCUGAAACCCUCACCGAAAGUUGGCAAUUUUGUAAAUAACUUGAAAUCCACCAACAGCAGGGGUAGAGAAUUGAAACAAACAUUUAGGCUCGUUCGAUAACCAUUUAGGCCAAAACUGAGCACACCUAAACCAUUCCUACUCGUGCCAAAUGUUAGUGGGGAAGCAAGAUGAUGACUUUAUUAUUCAAAACCAAAAGAAAAAAAGAGAGAAAACAAAAUAACAAAUGUAAUGGUUGUAGUGUAAAAGCUGAGAACGUAAAUAAACAUGCAGGGAAAAAAAUUGAAGAUACAAAGUAGCUGCAUCAUGAACACUUACUCCAAUUAGACGCAAAAAGUGAUGGUGAUGAGAAGAGAGAGAAAAUGCAGUCGUUUUGAUUUUUCUGGCUUUUAAAGGGAGCAGCUUUCUUCGACCACCAAAAAAAGGAAGCUGCUUUUCGUGUGGUUGUGAUUUCCUGAGUGUAUGUGAGCGGGUCUAUGGCACUUGCACUGUUUGUGUCGGUUACGGUAACCGGGCGAGCUGGACACGGCAGCGUGGGACUGAAUUCGGAGAGGUGAGAAAAAUUAAAAACACAAAAAGAAGGUGUUCAUUUUGUCACAUUUUUAUUACGAAAAAUUCAAUAAAGUACAUUCAUUAGUAUGGUAACUUAACUAUUUAAUUCCAUCUCAUUAAACUAAAAAAAACAAUUACAAAAAAAUAAGGAAAACCUUGUCCAGAGAGACCUGAGAGAAAGUGACGACUUCUCCUCUCAUUCAACUCCAUACUUGAUCUCUAAAGUCCAUUUGGCAUGUAAUUGAUGUUCACUUUCAAAUUUAGUGGUAGCAAUUAGCAAAGCUAAUGAAAGAAUCAAAUAAAAUGAAAGAAAAAGCAUCAUGAAAUAAAUCAAGAUGAAGAAUGAAAUUUUGGCAACUCGCCAUUCUCUUCUUUUAUAUAAAAGAUACAUCCUAUUUGUAGUGAAAACAGAUCCCGACAAACCCAGUUAUCCUCAAGAAGUAUUUUGUAUGACUUUAAAAACAUAAUCCGUGAAAUUAUCUCUUGGCUGAGAACAACAACAAAUCUUCAUGCAUAGCUUGUAGAGAAAGACAUCAGGCAUACAAAAGAACACGCAAGCAUAAAAUAAACGAAGCAGGGAAAACCAAAAAUACAAUUGAAUACGCUGUCAAAAGAACAUGAAUAAAUGAAAAUACCAAACAAAGCAGUGAUGAGAAACCAAAGUACCCAUUUCAUAAUCUAAUUGCUUUUUAGUUUGCUUGCCAUUUUUAGUUCUUCAAUUUAGAGAGACACCAUAAUUCAGCACAUGAAUAAAGUGAAAACGUAAAAGAUAUGUGGGAUAGGCUGACAGCCAUCCCUGAGUAAUGCAUUCACUUCUGAACCCCAAACACACUGAAACAAAAAUUCACACACAUGAACUACAGCUCCGCUUUGUAACAAGAAUUAAAAGCAUCUCAAAACAAAAUGGCAAACUAUAAGAGCAUUGUAAAAGUAAAAUUGCAAGAAAUCUAAUACUUGGAGGGCAAGUACUCAUCAGACGAAAAUGAAAGAUUGAACUACCUCGCGUGGAACUGUGCCUUGGUUUUUUCCCAUGCUUACAGGAAGCUUUGCACUGAGCUCUUAUAGUCCAAAUUUUCUCUGAAGGAAAAAAACACAAUUUUGAAAUAAGAUUUUCGUAUUAUACCUUAAAGAGAAGAAUUAGACAACAAAAUAGAGAACAAUGAGUACUAUUCAUCAUAUAUUGUUAGAGUAUGUGGCCCUCUGGUCCAAUGGUCCCGCAGCCAUAUUUCCUUUAUAACUCUUUCUUUUAAUCUAAAAAACAUCUUGAAUCUCAAAUUAGUAUGAAUACGGAUUCAUACUUUAUAACUAAAGAUCUUACUGCUCUUGAUAAGAUGAACAAUACGCCAUUUCUCGCAUGCAUUGCAUUACAAUCACAAUGCAACAUCUCAUUAGAAAUCCCCACACAAAUUUUUUUUAUUGCUACUUUGAUUUUAGUUUAUAUUUUUUCUGAAGCAUGAGGGAGCUAAUUUUUUUUUUUAAAUUUUUUAUUCCAAUAAUGUUAUAGGGAGGGUUGCAAGGAUAUUAUCAAUUGUAUUUGAUUGGUGGAACUUCUACAUCUAUAUUUUAGGUUUUCAAUUUUAGCACUGGGAGAGUCAUUCAUAAAAUGUUUGACAGUGAGAUUACCUCCAUGGACUAUGCUCACAAUGGACAGCUCAUUUUCCGCGGUGAUGGGACAAUAUAUUUCAGUCAUUCGCCAUUCAAUCAAUUCAAACUGAGGAACAUGCAACAUCAAGAAGAGGAUCUACCAUGUCAGGAUCACUAUCGUCCAAUUAAUACAAAAAAAUCUAGAUAAAAACGAUCAAUUUACAUAAAAGCCCUUCAUUUUCUCAGCAACCAAGCAAAAGAAAAUACCUAUCCGUUAAACACUCGAUUUGGGAGUAAAUGUUGCUGAAACUGGACUUCAAUCCCCUCAACCGCAACAACCGAAUCGAGGUGUGCAAGUCAUUGAAAAACUCACCCAAGAUUUCAAAAUCUGCAUAGAGAAAUAAAUAAGCACAUAAAUUAGCCCAACCCAUAAAUCAAAGAAAUCAAAAUCCACCCAGAAUCAAAGAAAUCAAAAUCCAUCCAGAACCAAAGAAAUCAAAAUCACACACAGAUAUGCAAGACAACGCAAAUUUGAAGCCUUACUUUUCGGGUAGCUUGGCGGCUGACAUGAGUCUUCUUCAGAGUUUCAUCCAUCCAUGGAUCCAUUUGGUCCGCCCGUCGCUUCUGGGUCGUACAAUCUUAAAAUCUGCAAAAUGAAUUUAAAGAAUCAAUUUUUACGAUUGAAAAGCCAAAAGUGCUACAAACUCCAAAUUGCUGAGAACCAAAGUGGAGUAACAGUUACAGGUCACGAGAUGAGAUGAGGACAUUGUCGGAUUUCAGGGCGAACCUGACUCUGGAAAUUGCAUCUCGGAUCGGGCUUUCGAACUUCAAAGGAGCUCCGCUCAUUGUGGUCCUUGCAGACCGAACUGGCCUAACAAUCAGCGAGAGAAAGGAGACGGCGGCAAGAUGAGGGAUACAAUGGAUGCGAGAUCGUCUGUAUCGUUCUCGCGGGGGGUUUGCAAGACGGACGAGGAAAGUAGGGUUUGAUGAGGCAUUGUCUUCGCGCGGGGUAUGUGUCCUUCCCAUUCCAUGAUUAUCAACACGUGUGCAUCAACAGAAGCGGCAGAGAGAGGCAUUAUUGUAAAUAAAGUGAAAUCGAAGGGCAAUGGCCCUUUUUUUUUUAAGGUAAUGGCAUGGCCAUAAAUAGAAUGAAAUCCAGAUCAAAACACUGUCAUUUGUACAGUACAAUUUCUCCAUCUUCUUUAGACUAAAGUAAUGUAUAUGUUAUACGCACCAACACAAGUCCUUCUUAGAUAAAUCCAAGCCAAACAAUUACAGACGAUAGUUAUUCACAAAAUCACUUUAAAGUAAGAAUUUAAUUAAUAAUACAUUACUGCACUUUCUUAACAAUUUGACUAUCACCUAGCUGACAAUGAACAUGUUAGCUAUGCGUUAGAACAUAUUGGGUUCAAUCCAUUGUCUUGAAUAUUACCCCCAGUCACAGCCGUCUCUUGGGGGCAUACAGAAGGCCUGAGAGGCAUUUGCAGACAUUCAACAUCUCCUCCAAGCAUUUCGACAACUUUGGACAUCGAAGGGCGAUCACUUGGUUUCAUUUGAAUACACCACAAGGCGGUUAUAACCACCUUUCUUAUCACUUUCUUUUCCUUCUCUGUAACAUUGUCUAUUUCCAAGUCAUUUCCCACAAAAUACUGAUCGUAUACCUACAGCGGGAAGUAGAUUUGGCUUGGAUGCUCUACCGUUGCAUUCAAAUUCUUCCUUAUGCUUGCCAUUUCCAUCAACAACAUUCCAAAACUAUAGACAUCGGCCUUGUAUGAGACACCUCCAAUAUUUUUGUAGAACAACUCAGGAGCAAUAUAUCUCAUUGUACCCCGUGCUGUCGUCAAAGAGACAAUGCUAUUAUCUACUGGAUACAAUUUUGCAAGCCCAAAGUCAGAAACCUUUGCUUUAAAGUUCUCAUCAAGAGGGAUGUUAUGAGGCUUGAUGUCAAAAUGUAGAAUUUUCAUUUUACAACCUUGAUCUAGAUAUUCGAUCCCAUGACUCCAAGAGAAAUCUUGUACAUAGUCUUGAUAGUUAAGGGAAGACUUCCUUCUUUGGAAUAAAUGUAUUUAUCAAAAGAGCCAUUAGGCAUAAAGUCAUAUAUUAGAGCGCGCUUUGAUCCCUCGACACAAUCACAAUCACAAUCACAAUCACAAUCACAAUCACAUUCCAACAUGGAAUCCUCAGACGACAUGCCUACUGCAGAACAAGUUUCAUCCUUACUUAACUUCUAUUUAGUCCACUUCCUGUUUAGAUUGUAAUCCUAGUUCUGCGUGUGUUUGUAUAGUACUCCUAUAAAUAUCAAUGAAAACCGCUCACUCUAAUUAGGAGUUGAGAUUCUGCAAAUCAUAUUUACUAUCUUUCAUGGUAUCACGAGCCAAGGUCUAACGACAACGGUUCCUGUUAUAAUUUUUUUCUCUUUUGUAGAUCCUAAACUAUGGCAUCUUCUUCCUCCUCCGAUGCUCCCUCCGUCACAAAUUUUCUUACGAUCAAGCUCGACCUCAACAACUACCCUCUCUGGCGUGCUCAAUUUCUUCCCUUGCUGCGCAGCCGCAACUUACUCUCUUAUGUUACUGGCGAAACUCAAUGCCCAUCUGCCUUUGUUCUUGAUGACAAUGGUAAAUUCACAGACAAAGUCAAUCCAUUAUAUAAUGAAUGGAUCCAGACUGACUAGAUGAUCCUAUCUUGGAUUACGAGUUCUCUUACUCCCAAGGUUCUUGCUACGAUCGUCAACAAAAUUGAUUCGACCUCUGCUUGGUUGUCAAACCCGAAUUAAUCUGAUUAUGGGGGUUUUAUUUUAUAUCAAUAUAUUGCAGCAGAAGUCGCACUUUGAAGAGUUCAUGCUGCACAGAAAGAUUCUUAAAUGCUACCUGUUGAGUCUAUCAUUGCUCCAUUGGAGACAGAGCUGAAGCUUGCUGCAGGAGUUAUACAUUUGUUAUGCAAUAUGACCCCUUUAAUUUUAUUUUAAAACUGAUACAAAAAUUUAUGUAGUAUUUUUGUAUCAGUUUUGAGUGUCUAUUUUGGCUUCCAUAUUUCGUCUGUACAUGUGAGAGGUAUAGCGUUCAAUAUGUAUUUGGUUUCUAUAUUGUUAAUGGAUCUUUUUUUUUUUAAGAUAACCAAGUUGCAGGAUGACAGCAGAACACUUGAUCUGUAGGUAAACCUUCAAUUUCCAUAUGAAGUUUGCAUGUUCGUUGUUUCUGGAAUUUGAGUUUUUAUUAUUUCUCAAUUCUAUCACAUAGAUUACGAUUUCACAUAUGGGAUUAUUAAUGGCAAUUAGAUGAUGGAAGAAUUGGGAUUGGAAGAAGAUAUUGAGUUGUUUAUUUAUGGGGAUUAGAAAAUUUUUAUCAUAAGUGUGGAUGCAAAUUUCUUCCUCCUUGAUCUUGGACAAAAUUGCACCUACAAAACAAUUAACACCUUAGGUCAAGGCCAAGAGCCUCACGCGCUCACGAUGAAGGGGGGGGCUUUGGUCGAAGAACCUCCGAUGCCAAAGUUAGAAUUUAGAGAGAAAAAGUGUUUGAGAAUUCUAGAGAAUUUUAGCAAGAGUUGCAACUAGGUUUUGGUGAGAAAUGUGGGGCUUUCUAUAGAGGAGUGGCCGGCCUCUUAGGGUGAGAAAGGACCGGUCACAUAGCCUAGUUUGUGGGUUUUGUUCAUGAUUUAAGAUGAUUUUGGGAGUUAUGUGAUUAAUUGACUAAUUAAUUAGGAAAACUAAUAAAAAGGGCUUGAAAACUUUGAGUUUUAAUGAUAAGGACAAAAUAAAGGGUAAAGUGAAUAGUACCAGGAUUGACUUUUUAGUGUAAAAAUGUGGUUUUUCGUUAAAAUGAACAGUACCGGGUGCUUUUCGUUAAAGUUCCCUAAUUAAUUUGGCGAAAUAAAAUUAUUACCAAAUGAAUUAGCUAAUUAAUGGGAUGAAAUGGGCAAAUAUCAAGAGAUAAACAAAACAUGACCAAUUCCUUUUCUAACAAUAGGUGGCCGGCCCUUCACUUGUUUUUGGGGUUGCAUGGAUGUUUUAAUUGACAAUUAAGGAAUUGAUUAGGCAAUUAAUCCCUUAAUUAGUCAAUUAUUAUGAUUUUAAAGGAAGAUUUUAGGAAAUAUGAAAGGAAUAUAUUAUUUAGCUAAUUGAUUAGCUAAAUGGAAUAAAUUAGGUUUUGGGAAUUACCUUAAAUGAGGAUGGAUGAGAUAAUUUGGAAUUGGUUACCUUUUUGGAGCAUUUUUGACUUGGUUAAGGAUGAUUGCCCGCUACUUGCGCAUAGGAAUCCCGUUAUACCUCAAGGGUAUUUUUGUCAUCUUUUACCCAAAAAACCACGUGUCACCUUGUGAUUAUUUUUGGCUCCACAAUACGAGUGAUAUUUAUUUUUGUGUGGAUUGUUAAUAUAUAAAACUAUAAGCUUUUGAGAUUGGGAGACAAAACCCACAAAUUCAAUUCAGACAAAAUAAAUAAAAAAUUUAACUGACUUAAAGAUCAAACUCCAAAAGGGUAUUAAAAACAAGGCUUAUUUGAUCCAUUGAGUGUGAAAGUUUUGAGCUUUGAAGAAGCAGAGGAGGAGAGUUGUUAACCAAGCUGCAUUAUCUAUGUAUUAGGAUGUUGAGGGUAGGCAGGAAAAAUACUUUUUGACGCCAAAUCCAGAGGAGCAUAACGACAGGCCUGCAUUUUUGCAGCAAGGACCAAAACAAGUAUAAGUGAAGGCUUGACUGUUUGGGUAUUAAUCCUAAACCUAAUUAUUCUUAUUUAGGUUUAGGAUAAAUGAUUGAGUGUGUCUCGAUGAUUGUAUUACUAUGUUUGAUGAAUGAUUUGAGGAGUUGGAAAUGGUUUAUUGCUUAUGUUUUUCUUAGGUGUGUACUUUGGUUAUUUCCGAGCUUUUCACGACUUUUGAUACCUAAUAAAGAAUAUGGAAACCCCAACUUCAAUUUUAUGAAUUGAUUUUGGUGCCUAAAAUGAAAUCUAGCAUAGUGAAAUCUUGCAUAAUGAAAUUAUGACAAAUUUCCCUUCAUCUUUAUAUUUUCAUUUAAUUCAAUUGGUAUGCAAUUUAGGGUUAUUCAAUUCAUGAGUGAUCAAAUUAUGUUUUUAAUUCCUUCUUUUGAUUUACAGUUCAACAUUGUCGUACAAAAUGAAAAAGGCGCCAGUAACAGAGUUAUGGAUUUGGAUGCCUUUAGUGGAAUAAAACUGAAUUUUUUAACUUUGUAUAGUUGUAAACAUAAAAUACUCCAUGAGGUAGACUCAUAGCUUUUGAAAACAAUCCUUGAGGAUGGCAUAACAACAUCUCCAACUUUUGUCAUGUAAUGUAUGAAUGUAAAUAGCACUUCGUAAACAUAUGGAUGUAAUAUAUGUAUAUAAACACUCUUUAGCAUGUAUAUUUUUCAAAACUUUCUACAUCUUCAACAAUGUUUCAAUGAUUUCUUGAUGUAAACAAUGAUAAUUUGAAGAACCAUUUAAAGUAUUUUGGUAAUCAUCAUACUUAAGCUUAAAUGUGAUAUAUCCGUUUAUUAUUUUUUAUACAGUGAUAAUACUCAAGUAUAAUUUACAUCAUAUAUCUUUUGAAGUACAUGAAACUAUGAAGAAAAAACCCUAAUUAAUCUGAUUAUGGGGGUUUUGUUUUAUAUCAAAAUAUUGCAGCAGAAGUCACACUUUGAAGAGUUCACGCUGCAUAGAAAGACGAUGAAAUGCUAUCUGUUGAGUCCAUCAUUGAUCCAUUGGAGACAGAGCUGAAGCUUGAUGCAGGUGGUAUACUUUUGUUAUGCAAUAUGAUCCCUUUAAUUUUAUUUUAAGACAUAUAGGGUUGAAAAAAAUUUAUGUAGUAUUUUUGUAUCAGUUUUGAGUGUCUAUUUUGGCUUCCAUAUUUGGUCUAUACAUGUGAGGUAUAGAGUGUUCAAUAUGAAUUUGGUUUCUAUAUUGUAAAUGGAUCUAUUUUUUUUUUAGGUAACCAAGUUGCAGGAUGAAAACCGAACACUUGAUCUGCAGGUAAACCUUCAAUUUCCAUAUGAAGUUUGCAUUUUCGUUGUUUCUGGAAUUUGAGUUUUUGCAGGAUGAAAACAGAACACUUGAUUGGUUAUUUCCGAGCUUUUCAUGACUUUCGAUACCCAAUAGAGAAUAUGGAAACCCCAACUUUAAUUUUAUGAAUUGGUUUUGGUGCCUAAAAUGAAAUCUAGCACAGUGAAAUCUUGCAUAAUGAAAUUAUGACAAAGUUCCCUUCAUCUUUAAAUUUUCAUUUAGUUCAAUUCGUAUGCAGUUUAGGGUUAUUCAAUUCAUGAGUGAUCAAAUUAGGUUUUUAAUUCCUUCUUUUGAUUUUCAGUUCAGCAUUGUCGUAUUUUGGAUGCCUUUAGUGGAAUAAAACUGAAUUUUUUUAACUUUGUAUAGUUGUAAACAUAAAAUACUCCAUGAGAUAGACUCAUAGCUUUUGAAAACAAUCUUUGAGGAUGGCAUAACAACAUCUCCAACUUUUGUCAUGUAAUGUAUGAAUGUAAAUAACACUUUGUAAACAUAUGGAUGUAAUAUAUGUAUAUAAACACCACUCUUUAGCAUAUAUAUUUUUCAAAACUUUCUACAUCUUCAACAAUGUUUCAAACCCCGCAGCAACGGGCGGGUACACUUGCUAGUAUACAUCUAAAAUUAUAAGACUAAAUCCUUUAGUUCUUGGAUUCAUCUAAGAACUACUUAUUCAAGCAGAUGCUAUGCUUGCACUACUAGAAUUUAUGGCUUGCCCUGUCAACUAUUGCGCGACAGAAGAUUUCGUCGGUUUCACCUUUUUUAACCGACAAAAUAUAAGUUUAGUAAGGCAAAAUCAGUCAACAAACUUGGUUUACUGAAUAGAUUUACAGGAUGUUUAGAGUUCGUAGGUUAAGACAUCAGUCGUUGGGCAAACAUUUGGAGCGAAGAUGUGAGUGUUUUAACUGACGAAUAAGCUGGUCGUCAUGUAGAUCUUCUUUCCCGACUGACGGUUCAACGGGUAGCUCUUUGGAUAACAAAUCAUCUUCAAGGGGAACAGGUUGCCCCUCAGAUGAAUGGUUAGAGGCAAUUGUGAGACUAUAAUUUUCUAGGGCCGGAAAAUCUGUAACCAUCCACCAAAUACCCCUUCUUCCCUUUCUAUUUCUCUCUCAGUAAUUUCCCCUGACCUAAUCACACAAUCCAACCAACUCUUUUUAAGCCUCCCUCAUUGAUUCCAUGGAUUUCAUGGACUUAUCCCACCCUCUCUCCUUCCCUCUAUAUAUAGCAAGUCCCCUUGCCUCAGUGUCCCUGGCAACAGAAUUUAUGGUGUGUCUUCGUUCUUUCAAUUAUUUGAAAGCUUUCCUGCCCUGCAGUCUUGUACAAAGGCGUAUGGUGUUUCAUCAGUUCCAUUUGGUGGUUGGGUGGGAAAUGAAAUUAAAACAUUGAUUUCAAAUGGUCUAAACCAAAUUGAAUCAAAUGUGAAGCAAAGGGCAAAAGGUGUAGAUUGAAGAACAAUGGCACCAAGAGCGAAAUUGAACUUGUUGACAGGAGGAAACCAAGUAACGAUAACGCGUCUAAAUCUUAUUUCGAAUCCAUUCAGCUUAUGAUGUUUUUAAUGAUGAUGAUCUGUAUACUUUGCUACAUGCUGUGAUUUUUUCGCUUUCAUGUAAUUAACGGCUUAUAUUUAUGGUAAAGAUAUUGAUUAAUUUUGAGAAAUGACAGUCUAAUUUUUGCAACUGUCUUUUGCAGGCAAAACAAAGACGUUUGCAAGGGUGAGUUUUGUAGGACCGGUGUUUAGCUUUGUUUCAUGUCCAAAGGACACUUGAGAAUAAAUGUUUACUCAUGGAUAAUAUCUAUCUAUUUGCAUGAGCAACCCUGGGUUCAUUUGUUCUGUUACUGCUGGUCAUUGCGGCAUAUCACGCCUACAGCACUGACAAAGUAAAAAGAAAAUCGAAUGAAAUUUGGUAAGAUUUUAGCGGACUACAAAGAUCUUAAGCCAAUCAUAUAUUCCCAUGCAGAUAUUAAGAGGUUUACAAAUCAAUUCAAGUACAAGUUGGGCCAAGGAGCAUACAUAACUGUUUUUAAAGGAAAGCUUUUUUCUGAAUGCUUUGUUGCCAUGAAAGUACUUAACAUUUCCAAGGGUGACGGGGAAGAGCUUGUAAAUGAAGUGGGGAACAAUGGGCCAUAUUCACCAUGUCAAUGUGGUUCACUUGGUUGGUUUUUGUGCUGAUGGAUUUAGAUGAGCUCUGGUUUAUGAGUUCUUUCCCUUUGGUUCACUUCAGGAUUAUAUGUCAUCAGUAGAUAGAUUUCUUUCCUUGGUUGGCAUAAGUUGCAAGAUAUUGCUAUCAACAUAGCCAAAGGAACCAGGGAUGUGAUCUACAAAUCCUCCAUUUCGAUAUCAAACCCCAUAAUGCUUUGCUCGACCAAAAAAUCACGCCAAAAAUCUCUGAUUUUGGUCUGGCCAAGUUAUGUUCCAAGGAUCAAUCAGUGUGACUAAAGCAAGGGGGACCAUGUGACUAAAGCACCUGAAGUGUUUUCCAGGAAUUUCGGAAAUGUGUCUUACAAGGUAGAUGUCUUGAAUGUUGCUGCUUGAAAUGGUAGGAGAAAAGAAGAAUAUUGGUUCAACCAGAGGACACGACAAAUGAAAUCUACUAUCCAAAAUGGAUUUAUAAUCUUCUAGAGGAAGGAAUGACCAACAGAUCCAUAUUGAGGAAGAAUGUUAUGGUAAGAUUCCAAAGCAACUUGCAAGUUUAGGGCUCUGGUGCAGCCAGUGGCACUUGGUGGAUCGGCGGUCCAUGAAAACGGUGGUUCGGAUGUUAGGAGGAUGAGAAAACUUGAUGAUGCAAGCAACCCUAAAAGCCUCAUACAAUUAAAAGUAAUUGCUGAAUUAGAGUAACAUAUGUAUAUGUAUACGCACCAACACAAGUCGUUCUUAGAUGAAUCCAAGCCAAACAAUUACAAACAACAGUUAUUCACUAAAUCACUUUAAGGCAAGAAUUUAAUUAAUAAUACAUUACUGCACUUUCUUAACCAUUUGACUAUCACCUAGCUGACAAUGAACACGUUAGCUCCGCGUUAGAACAUCUUGGGUUCACUUCAUUGUCUUGAAUAUCACCCACUGUCACAGGCGUCUCUAGGGGGCAUAGAGAAGGCCUGAGAGGCAUUUGCAGACAUUCAACAUCUCCUCCAAGCAUUUUGACAACUUUGGACAUCGAAGGGCGAUCACUUGGUUUCAUUUGAAUACACCACAAGGCGGUUAUAACCAUCUUUCUUAUUACUUUCUUUUCCUCCUCUGUAACAUUGUCCAUUUCCAAGUCAUUUCCCACAAUAUACUGAUCGUAUACCCAUAUUGGGAAGUAGAUUUGGCUUGAAUGCUCUACCGUUGGAUUCAAAUUCUUCCUUCUGCUUGCCAUCUCCAUCAACAACAUUCCAAAACUAUAGACAUCUGACUUGUAUGAGACACCUCCAAUAUUUUUGUAGAACAACUCAGGAGCAAUGUAUCCCAGUGUACCCCGUGCUGCCGUCAAAGAGACAAUGCUAUUAUCUACAGGAUACAAUUUUGCAAGCCCAAAGUCAGAAACCUUUGCUUUAAAGUUCUCAUCAAGAAGGAUGUUAUGAGGCUUGAUGUCGAAAUGUAGAAUUUGCAUUUCGCAACCUUGGUGUAGAUAUUCGAUCCCUUGAGCCACUCCAAGAGAAAUCUCGUACAUGUUCUUGAUAGUUAAGGGAACACUUCCUUCUUUGGAAUAAAUGUAUUUAUCAAGAGAACCAUUAGGCAUGAAGUCAUAUACUAGAGCUCGUUUUGAUCCCUCAACACAGUAUCCAACAAGUUGCACCACAUUGGCAUGGUGAAUCCUUCCGAUUGUAGCUAUUUCGCUAAUGAAAUCUUGGCCAUCAGCUUUGGGCUUGCCCAAAACUUUAACUGCUACAAAUCGACCACUGCGUAGCUUUCCCUUAAAUACAGAGCCAAAGCCACCUUCGCCCAACUUGUCCUUAAACGUGCGAGUCAUUUUCUUGACGUCCGAGUAAGAGUACCUUAUAGGCAUGAAGUUGUUAUUGCAUUGCAGAAAAUCUUCUAUUGUGUUAUACAUUGAUAAAUGUCUUCUGCGCCAUGUGUAGAUUAGAAAUGCAGUCACAACUGGAACUCCAAAAACAAAUCUGGCUAGGAAAAAUAACCCUGCAUGCAUGGACAUUAAUAUGUUAGAUCCACUGCGUACUACUUUUUCUUCCCUUUCUUUCCAAAUUACUUUGUCUUUGAUGUAAUUAAAGAGAGAGAAUGAGAAAUCUACAUAUGUUGAUAAUACAAUCUCAUCUUAGUCCUUACCGAUGCAUAUGAGUAUAAACCAUCCACGUACUGCAACAAAAUCAAUCGACUAUGAGUUUGAAAAGUGCAUAAAGUGAAAAAUAAAUAAUAAAUAAAAUCAAAGGGUGCCUUUAUUGACACCCAAAUUUUAGUUAGUUUUACUCAACUAAAAAAUUUUUGUCAUCAAACUUUUUAAUUUGCCGUUGAAAUUGAGUUCACCCAACCCACAAAGCAGCAACUACCACUCACCAAAAAAACCAACAACACACACCCACCACUCACCAAUAGAAAGAGAAUGAACACACAGACCCACAAAGAGCUGGCAUCGACGCUGUCGAUGAGGGAGGGACCAGAGGAUGGUGUAGUUUUGUCUAGCGCGCGGUAGUGGUUUUGUCUGUUCAUUUUCUCUUUCUUUUGGUAGGUGGAGGCUGGUGUGGAUUUGGGCGAACUUAAAAAUGAGGGGAAACUAUGAAGUUUGACAAAAUGUUUUAGUUAGGGGAACUUAACUAAAAUUUGGGUGCCGAUAAAGAUACCCAAUAUCAAAAAUACUUGAGCGUAUAGACUAAUUAAAUGAAGUUGAUCAAGUUUGUCUCGAUCGAAAACUUGUAAAUAAAACAAAAAGAGGACCCCUUACCGAUUUGUUGCCAUAUAUAUUGAAAGAAACCUACAAAAACAAAGAAAGAACAAGACUACAUGCAUUAGCAUAACAAGAGUGAGGUGUAUAAGCCGUUAGAAAAUAAAUUUAAAAUUCUAGUGCUGUCAAUACAUUGAUAAUAUAUAUAUAUAUAUAUAUAUAUAUGUAUUAUUUUUUCUGAAAAUUUAACUUUUUCCCUCCAAACUCAUUUUUCUAGUCUCUAGCCCAUCAUAUAAUAUUUAUCCGAAUAAAACCAAAUGAUUAGGAUCCAACUAAGAAACUUACCAAAUUAAGUUUGUGUGUCCAUUUUUAUAUUUUUUGGAUCCCUAAUAUACCCCAUCUAAGUCAGUAUGGAAAGUUCUUGUAAUUUUGCUUUAAGUGAUCACGUGCAUUGAAUUUGGCAAUGUCUUGUAGCCAUGAAAUAUGGUUGUAGAUGGAGGAAUUAAUUUGGAAUUUUUUUUAAUUUCAACAACAAAUUUAGUGUUAUUUUCAACAAUAUCUAUUGUUUAAUUUUAUGAAAAUAAUUUACCUAAUAUGAAAAUUAAUUUUAUGAAAACAAUAUCUAUUGUUUUAUUUUAUACCUACAGGAUAAUUACAUGAAAAUAGUUUACCUACUAUGAAAAUUAAUUUUUUGAAAGCAAUAUCUAUUGUUUAAUUUUAUGAAGAUAAUUUACCUACUAUAAUUACAUGAAAAUAGUUUACCUACUAUGAAAAUUAAUUUUUUGAAAGCAAUAUCUAUUGUUUAAUUUUAUGAAGAUAAUUUACCUACUAUAAUUACAUGAAAAAAUUUACCUACUAUGAAAAUUAAUUUUUUGAAAACAAUAUUAUUGUUUAAUUUUAUGAAAAUAAUUUACCUACUGUAUAAUUACAUAAAAAUUAAUGUGCCUACUUUUUAAAUUUGUAACAAAAUUAAUUUACCUACUUUUUAUGGUAUUAGUAUACAUAAAUGUAGAAUAUAUGUCCGUAUAUAUUUGAUCUAAUUAGGUUUUGGAUUGGAGGAGUUGACACAAAAUUAUAAAUAUGUUAAACAAAUUUAUCAAUUCUAAAGUUGGAGGGGAAUUGGUCUGUACAUUGCUACAGUAAACAAAUGCUACUCAAUUUCACGUUAUUUACAACAAAGCUAUCAGAUUUGGGUUGGGUUGGAGGGUAAUUUGUUAAAAGUUAGGAGGGUAAUUUGUUAAAAGUUAGGAGGGUAAUUUUGUGCAUAGGGUUUAGGUGCCCUCCUAUACAUGACCCUUGAUUUUACUUUAUUUACACCACUGCCAUCAUAUAUGUGGCUGAAUUGGGGGGGGUAUUAUUAAAAGUUAAGAGGGUAGUUUUGUUCAAGGAAGAAAAUAUCGGUAAUAUCGGAAAUAUCGGUAGUCCGAAAACACGGAAAUAUCGAUGGAAAUAUCGGGAUAAUAUCGAUAUCGAUAAAAAUUACAUGGAAACCACGGAAAUUGUAAGAAAAACUUGGAAAUUUUUAUUGAAAUUUUGCAGGAUGUUUAUUUAGUCAAUUAUCUAUUAGUUUAUCACAAAAAAUUGGAAGGAAAUGCAUUGCAUGAUGGAUUUAACUUAUUUAAGUUGAUUAUAUAGCGAGCUGACAAACAUUGUGAGUGUAGAAAAUAUGUAGUAAUUAAUGAAAGAAGUUUAAACUUUAUAUAUAAUGACUUAGUACAAUAUUUUACACUUUAUACAUUGCAUGGUAAGAUACAUGAGUUACACAAACAACGGGAAAUUAAUGAGAAAACCCUUCCCAAAACGUCAGCACCCGCUUUUUUAAAUAACUUAUAUAAUGAACCUGUCUGGAUCACUUGUUCUAAUAUAUAAACACAAAACAAUACUAUUUGUAUCACAUUUUCUGACAAUCUCAUUGACCGCUUUUAAUUAAUAAAUUGGUCUCAAGUCUAGUUUCCUAAGAAUUUGUUUGUUUGGGCUCAUCUUUGUUGUAAUAACUUAAUUGGGCUUAGAGUUUUAUUGGGUUUACCUAGCCCGUGCGAGCUCAUCUUUGUAUUUAUUUGACGGAUACCCCGAUUUGUUAUGGCAAAAGCAACCACGCAGUCGACGCCCGAAAACCCUUCCCUCUCUCAUUUGGUCUUCGUCUGUUUUCCCGCAUCAUCCAACAGGUGGACUCGGCGCUUCUCUCUCUCUCCCCCCUCUUCGCCCUCUCCACCAAACCCUAACCCCCCAAAUUCCAACCUUCCACCAUUCAAUCCAACCAAAAUCCCCCCAAUCGGACCCCUACCCGACCCAGUUCAUCUCCGAUUGCCUCCAAUUCCACUCCGCCCCGACCCAUUUCUUCAAAAUUCCAAUUCCACUCCGCCCCGACCCAGUUCCUUCAAUUUCUCAGGUAGGUAAGCUUCGGGUUUUUCUUUUUAUAUUCUAGAUCGAAGCGUAGAUGUGAAAUUGAAGUUAUAUGUCGUGUUUUUGCAAGGUUUUUGGGAUGAAAUCGACUCGGGAAUAAGUACACCCAUCUCCGGCGAGGCUAGGGGGUAGUUUUACAGUCGACCGGAGCUGUAGAAGCUCCAGCGUUCGUCUCCGACGUGCACAGUUCCGAAAUUUCGCGAUAAUAUCGAUAAUAUCGCGAUAUUAUCGAUAUUAUCGCGAUAUUAUAACGAAAACACCUUGGAUACCAUUUAAAAUAUCGGUUCGGGAAAAAACCGAUAAUAUCGGCGAUAUAUCGCCGAUAUUAUCGAUAUUUUCUUCUAUGGUUUUGUUCAAGGGGUGGGGGCGACAUUCGCAGACAGGGCGAUUGGAGCCAUGCCCAUGCCCAUUGCACAGAGAGAAAGGGAGUGAUGGGGGAAAUUACAGACAGAAAGGGAAGGGAUGGGAGGAUUUGAUGGAUGGUCACAGAGAAAGAUUCGGUGAGGGAUGUGAGGGGAGAUUACAGAGAGAUAAAUUAAAGGGGGAUCGGGGGAUUUGAGGGAUGGUCAGAGAGAGAAAUAGUGACGAAGGGAGGGAUGGGGGGGCUAAUUUUCGGUUCCUCCUUCAGAUUUGUUCCGUAAAACUUGUUGGGUACAAUUCAAUUUCCUCCCCCUUUCCCCUGAACGAAAAAUUCGAAACCUACAAUUCAAUUUCCUCCCUUCUUGGCUUUCCGCUUUACUCAUCUCCCGGUGGUUCUUUCUCUCCAUACGAUUCGAUUUCGGUGAGUUCUUCGUUGCCCUCAUGAUUUCCCAGUUUGAUUUUUUGAGCGUCCUUAGUCGUCGUUUUUAUCUGGGUUUAUUGCAUGGUUGCUUUUAGUUUAUGGAUUUUUAUUUUUUCCGCGGUUUGAUGAAUCGUGGUUAAUAAUUUCACACCAUGGGAUUUUUGCACUUCUGAUGGAAUUGAGCGCAGGGAUUCGGGGUGGGGUUUUACUGAUAGUUUGUCUUCAUUCAAAUGAAUGGUUAAAAUUUCUGAAGUGAGUGUGCAGGUGGGCCCGUUCACUAACUAAGCUUUCAAGGGAACCCAUCAACGGUUUGCUUGCUGGGGAACUCGGAGACUACUAUGAUUUAGUUAUCAUUUAUUUUUUUACUUAAUUUUAUCCAUAUAUAAUAUGUGGGUAAAUUUACACUAAACAAUUGUGAUAAGCCAAUAUGCCAAACGACUUUGAAAGCAUUGAUUUUGUGUAUAGUUUGCAUUUUUGCAUUGUGAAUGUUGAAUUUUGUGUUUAAUUUGGAUUUUUGUGUUUGAAUUUGUAGCAUGAUCUUCCGCUGCAGCAUCCAAAUUUUGUAUUUGUAAAUUGUCAAAGAAAAACGAACAACAACAACAACAACAACAAAGCCUUUUCCCACUAAAUGGGGUCGGCUAUAUGAAUCCUAGAACGCCAUUGCGCUCGGUUUUGUGUCAUGUCCUCCGUUAGAUCCAAGUACUCAAGUCUUUUCUUAGGGUCUCUUCCAAAGUUUUCCUAGGUCUUCCUCUACCCCUUCGGCCCUGAACCUCUGUCCCGUAGUCACAUUUUCGAACUGGAGCGUCAGUAGGCCUUCUUUGCACAUGUCCAAACCACCGGAAUCGAUUUUCUCUCAUAUUUCCUUCAAUUUUGGCUACUCCUACUUUACCUCGGAUAUCCUCAUUCCUAAUCUUAUCCUUUAUCGUGUGCCCAUACAUCCCACGAAGCAUCCUCAUCUCCGUUACACCCAUUUUGUGUACAUGUUGAUGCUUCACCACCCAACAUUUUGUGCCAUACAACAUUGCUGGCCUUAUUGCCGUCCUAUAAUAUUUUCCCUUGAGCUUCAGUGGCCUACGACGGUCACACAACACCCCGGAUGCACCCUUACACUUCAUCCAUCCAGCUUGUAUUCUAUGGUUGAGAUCUCCAUCUAAUUUUCCGUUCUCUUGCACGAUAGAUCCUAGGUAGCGAAAACGGUCACUUUUUGUGAUCUUCGCUAGAUUGCUCCGGUCAUUAGUGUGGAUAAGUAUAUAAAUGGAUAGAAUUAGGAAAGCAAACACAAGAUGUACGUGGUUCACCCAGAUUGGCUACGUCCACGGAAUAGAGGAGUUCUCAUUAAUUAUGAAGGGUUUACACAAGUACAUAGGUUCAAGCUCUCCUUUAGUGAGUACAAGUGAAUGAUUUAGUACAAAUGACAUUAGGAAAUAUUGUGGGAGAAUGAUCUCGUAACCACGAAACUUCUAAGUACCGGAGUGUGGUAUCGUUUUGACUUGCCUUAUCUGUCUCAUAGGUAGAUGUGGCAUCUUCUCUGGAAGUACUCUUCCUCCAUCCAGGGGUGGUAUCUGUAACUGGUGGAGAUGCACAAGGUAAUGUAUCAAUUUCACUUGAAGCUUACUUGUAGUUUCAGGCUUGGUCAAGCGCGAUACAAACCAUGUAGUAGAAGUCCCCCAAGUCGCCGGGCUAAGGGAUCUGCUGAAAGAGGUGACAGACAAGGUAAGCAAUCAGAGCUCCAGCUGAUUGUUCACAUUCUCCCUAUCUUGCAGGCAGCAUGAAGGAUAAAGAGAAGAAAAAUGAGAAGAGAUGAUAUGGGAUACUUUUGCUUUUAAAGAAGUAACUUUCCACAGGCUUAUUCUUGAACCGGGCUGUAGGGUUUUCUGGUUUCCUCUAGAGUAUAAGGCCGAUUGAAGAAUUUGAGGGUCAAAACAAGUCCAUCAAAUCUAGAGUACGUUCGACCCUGCUGAUAUGGGAUACUUUUGCUUUUGACAGAGUAGUGGAUGUAUCGGCACGUGUGCUGUUACGCUUGUCUCCACAUGCUUCCUUGUAUCCUUCUCACUUGCCCUAUCUGUUCCUCAGGCAAAUGCGGUAUCUUCCCUGGAAGCAUAAGAUGUUGAAGAUGAGUACUCCAGAGCAAUGACAGGUAAGUAAUCAGGUAAGGGGUUCCAGGCAGUCAGUUCCUGGCUCGAAGCUUGAUUCCAAGUGCUGACUGAUUGCUCUCGUUCUCCUUGUCUUGUAGGUAAGAACAAGGCCAAAGGAAAAGACAGGGAAAAAGCAUGAUAUGGGAUACUAUUGCUUUUAACCCUGAUGAUAUGAGAUAGUCUUGCUCUAGUAUAGCUUGUUUACAGAGGUAUUAUCGGGGGGAAAGAAAGCUGAAUAUUUCGAAAGGCUUCGUUGGGAGUGCCCUAUUAGAUAAGAGAAAGGGUUGAGUAUUUUUGCAGGUCUGCCUGUCCGUUAGGGAUGGAGGUCGACAUAUAUAGGAGUCUCCCUAACAUAAAGUAAUAAUGUUAUUCCUUUACCCUGCUUGGUCAUAACACGGUAGUGGGAGCUACCAGCCUCACAUGUUUUAACUCUGUCAGAGCACUUUGAAAAGGUGGUCUGUGGUAUCUGGAAAGAUGAUGUUGCGUGUGAAGAUUACAGACAAGCUUUAUCCAAGGAGAUCCAGCUCUUGAAGUUGGGAAAGUGGUGCCUCUUCGGUUUUCGAACAAGCAAUCCUGUCGGGGAUCUGGCUCUCGAGAUUCGGAGAACGAUGCCUCUUCAAUUUUUGAGAAAGCGAUCAUGCUGGGGGUCUGGCUCUCGAGAUUCGGAGAGCAGUGUCUCUUCGAUUUUUGAGAAAGUAAUCAUGUUGGGAGUCUGGCUCUCGAGAUUCGGAGGGCGGUGCCUCUUCGAUUUUGGAGCAAGCAAUCUUGUUAUGAGUGUUUUCUCGAAUGUGAGUAAAGGUUGGGCAUGUUUGCUAGUCUACCUUGCCACGAAGCACAGAGGUUGACACACAGGGACUUUCCAAUUAUCCAGCAGUGGUACUGUUCAUUUACCCUCUCUUCGAUUUUUGAGAAAGUAAUCAUGUUGGGAGUCUGGCUCUCGAGAUUCGGAGGGCGGUGCCUCUUCGAUUUUGGAGCAAGCAAUCUUGUUGGGAAUGUUUUCUCGAAUGUGAGUAAAGGUUGGGCAUGUUUGCUAGUCUACCUUGCCACGAAGCAUAAAGGUUGACACACAGGGACUUUCCAUUUAUCCAGCAGUGGUACUGUUCCUUUACCCUCUUUUCGAUUUUUGAGAAAGUAAUCAUGUUGGGAGUCUGGCUCUCGAGAUUCGGAGGGCGGUGCCUCUUCGAUUUUGGAGCAAGCAAUCCUGUUGGGAGUGUUUUCUUGAAUGUGAGUAAAGGUUGGCAUGUUUGCUAGUCUACCUUGCCACGAAGCACAGAGGUUGACACACCGGGACUUUCCAAUUAUCCAGCAGUGGUACUGUUCCUUUACCCUUGUGGGUAAUAAUAUGGUAGCUAGACCUUCAAAAUUUAUAUGUCUAAACUUUGUUAGUGUUGUUUCUUUGCAAUUCUUUUACCCUUCUUGGUCAGAGCGAUGUAGCGGGAGCUGCAAGCUUCACGUGUCUCAACUGUCAGAGAACUUUGGCAAAGUUAUCUGUGGUACCCAUGAGUUACUGUUGCGUAUGGGAAGUGGGUGAUUGAACAAUACGAUUCAUGUGCUUUCUACUUCGCCAGAAAUCUUCGACAGAAUGCCCAUAAUUUCCGCAAAGCUGAGUGUGCGUGUGACAGGUGCUGACAAGGCUGGAAAAGUAGGUGCCUCUUCGAUUUCUGAGAUCGGCCUUUGUGGUUUCUUAGCAGCCCAGCUUUUGAGAAAGCAAGCCUCUUCGAUUUCUGAUAUCGGCCUUCGUGGUCUUUGAGCAGCCCAGCUUUUGAGAAAGCAAACGCCUCUUCGAUUUCUGAGAUCGACCCUCGUGGUCUCUGAGCAGCCCAGCUUUUGAGAAAGUAAACGCCGCUUCGAUUUCUGAGCAGGCGCCUCUUCGAUUUCUGAAGCUUCGUCGAGUGCAGAUUUUUAUAGGGGCUGACAUUAAGUUCCAAAGCACACUUGAAUAUCCACCAGUAGAAGCUCCAUUCUUGUACUUCUAAGAUCUUGAUUUGUCCGACCUCUUCUCUCUUCAACACCUUUGAAAAUGUCUGGCCCCUCCGACCGUCGUUUUGACUUGAACCUUGUUGAAGAGGCAGCCCCGCCUUCUCCAGACAACAUAUGGCGCCCAUCAUUCGUCUCCCCUACUGGUCCUCUUACCGUUGGGGAUUCCGUGAUGAAGAAUGAUAUGACCGCUGCGGUAGUGGCCAGAAACCUUCUCACUCCCAAAGAUAACAGACUACUUUCCAAACGGUCUGAUGAGUUGGCUGUUAAGGAUUCUUUGGCUCUCAGUGUUCAGUGUGCAGGUUCUGUGUCUAAUAUGGCCCAACGCCUAUUUGCUCGAACCCGCCAAGUUGAAUCAUUGGCGGCUGAAGUGAUGAGUCUCAAACAGGAGAUUAGAGGGCUCAAGCAUGAGAAUAAACAGUUGCACCGGCUCGCACAUGACUAUGCUACAAACAUGAAGAGGAAGCUUGACCAGAUGAAGGAAUCUGAUGGUCAGGUUUUACUUGAUCAUCAGAGAUUUGUGGGUGGGUUUGUUCCAAAGGCAUUUAUUGCCUUCGUCUUCUGGGGCUGUACCGCGUAAUGAAGCUCCAAAUGAUCAACCUCUGAUGCCUCCUCCUUCUAGGGUUUUGUCCAGUACUGAGGCUCCGAAUGAUCCCCCUCUGGUGCCUUCUCUUUCUGGGGCUCUACCGACUACUGAGACUUCUCCUAAGCAACCUUUGUGAAGGCUCCCUCUUGUUUGUUUAUUUUGACUCAAGUAUAUGUACAUAUUUGUAACUUAUCGGGGAUAUCAAUAAAUAAGCUUUCCUUUAUUUCAACGUAUUGUGUUAAAUACACCAAAGCCUUCUUCGCUAAGUUCUUUGAAUUUUCUUUUGUUGAAGCUUGUAUGUUGAAGCUUUGUGAGUGAAGCAUGCAGGUUGAGGUAGUGUUCCCUUAAUUUCCCGAGUGAGGAAAACUUCUCGGUUGGAGACUUGGAAAAUCCAAGUCACUGAGUGGGAUCGGCUAUAUGAAUCUUAGAACGCCAUUGUGUUUUGUCCUGUGUCAUAUCCUCCGUUAGAUCCAAGUACUCUAAGUCUUUUCUUAGGGUAUCUUCCAAAGUUUUCCUAGGUCUUCCUCUACCCCUUCGGCCCUGAACCUCUGUCAUAUAGUCGCAUCUUCUAAUCGGAGCGUCAGUAGGCCUUCUUUGCACAUGUCCAAACCACCGUAACCGAUUUUCUCUCAUCUUUCCUUCAAUUUCGGCUACUCCUACUUUACACCGGAUAUCCUCAUUCCUAAUCUUAUCCUUUCUCGUGUGCCCACACAUCCAACGAAGCAUCCUUAUCUCCGCUACACCCAUUUUGUGUACGUGUUGAUGCUUCACCGCCCAACAUUCUGUGCCAUACAGCAUCGCCGGCCUUAUUGCCGUCCUAUAAAUUUUUCCCUUGAGCUUCAGUGGCAUACGGCGGUCACACAACACGCCGGAUGCACUCUUCCACUUCAUCCAUCCAGCUUGUAUUCUAUGGUUGAGAUCUCCAUCUAAUUCUCCGUUCUUUUGCAAGAUAGAUCCUAAGUAACGAAAACGGUCGCUCUUUGGUAUUUCUUGAUCUCCGAUCCUCACCCCUAACUCGUUUUGGCCUCCAUUUGCACUGAACUUGCACUCCAUAUAUUCUGUCUUUGAUCGGCUUAGGCGAAGACCUUUAGAUUCCAACACUUCUCUCCAAUGGUUAAGCUUUGCAUUUACCCCUUCCUGAGUUUCAUCUAUCAACACUAUAUCGUCUGCGAAAAGCAUACACCAAGGAAUAUCAUCUUGAAUAUGUCCUGUUAACUCAUCCAUUACCAACGUAAAAAGGUAAGGACUUAAGGAUGAGUCUUGAUGUAAUCCUACAGUUAUGGGAAAGCUUUCGGUUUGUCCUUCAUGAGUUCUUACGGCAGUAUUUGCUCCUUCAUACAUAUCCUGUAUAGCUUGGAUAUAUAUGCUACUCGUACUCCUUUCUCUCUCUAAAAUCCUCCAAAAGAUGUCUCUCUUGGGUCUCCCCCUAUCAUACGCUUUUUCCAAAUCUAUAAAGACCAUGUGUAAAUCUGUUUUCCCAUCUCUAUAUCUUUCCAUCAAUCUUCGUAAGAGAUAGAUUGCCUCCAUGGUUGAGCGCCCUGGCAUGAACCCGAAUUGGUUGUCCGAAACCCGUGUCUCUUGCCUCAAUCUAUGCUCAAUGACUCUCUCCCAAAGCUUCAUUGUAUGACUCAUUAGCUUAAUACCCCUAUAGUUCAUGCAAUUUUGUACAUCGCCCUUAUUCUUGUAGAUAGGCACCAAAGUGCUCAUUCGCCACUCAUUUGGCAUCUUCUUCAUUUUCAAAAUCCUAUUGAAAAGGUCAAUGAGCCAUGUUAUACCUGUCUCUCCCAAAACUUUCCACACUUCGAUUGGUAUAUCGUCUAGGCCUACUGUUUUUCUAUGCUUCAUCUUCUUCAAAGCUACAACCACUUCUUCCUUCCGGAUUCUACGAUAAAAAGAGUAGUUUCGACAUUCUUCUGAGUUACUCAACUCCCCUAAAGAAGCACUCAUUUCAUGUCCUUCAUUGAAAAGAUUAUGAAAAUAACCUUUCCAUCUGUCUUUAACCGCGUUCUCUGUAGCAAGAACAUUUCCAUCCUCAUCCUUGAUGCACCUCACUUGGUUUAGGUCCCUUGUCUUCUUUUCCCUUGCUCUAGCUAGUUUAUAGAUAUCCAACUCUCCUUCUUUGGUAUCUAGUCGCUUAUACAUAUCGUCAUAAGCCGCUAACUUAGCUUCUCUCACAGCUUUCUUCGCCUCUUGCUUCAUUUUUCUAUACCUUUCACCAUUUUCAUCGGUCUUAUCCUUGUAUAAGGCUUUACAACAUUCCUUCUUAGCCUUCACCUUUGUUUGUACCUCCUCAUUCCACCACCAAGAUUCCUUUUGGUGUGGGGCAAAGCCCUUGGACUCUCCUAAUACCUCUUUUGCUACUUUUCGGAUACAACUAGCCAUGGAAUCCCACAUUUGGUUAGCUUCCCCCUCUCUAUCCCACACACACUGGGUGAUUACUUUCUCUUUGAAAAUGGCUUGUUUUUCUUCUUUUAGAUUCCACCAUCUAGUCCUUGGGCACUUCCAAGUCUUGUUCUUUUUUCUCACUCUUUUAAUAUGUACAUCCAUCACCAACAAGCGAUGUUGAUUAGCCACUCUCUCUCCUGGUAUAACUUUGCAAUCCUUACAAGUUAUACGAUCCCCUUUCCUCAUUAGAAGAAAAUCUAUUUGUGUUUUUGACGACCCACUCUUGUAGGUGAUCACAUGUUCUUCUCCCUUCUUAAAGAAGGUGUUGGCUAAGAAGAGAUCAUAUGCCAUUGCAAAAUCCAAGAUAGCUUCCCCAUCCUCGUUUCUCUCCCCAAAACCAUGGCCACCAUGAAAACCUCCAUAGUUGCCUGUCUCCCUGCCCACGUGUCCAUUUAAAUCUCCUCCUAUAAAUAACUUCUCCGUCUGAGCAAUUCCUUGCACCAAGUCUCCAAGGUCUUCCCAAAAUUUCUCCUUCAAACUCGUAUCCAACCCUACUUGAGGUGCGUACGCACUAAUCACAUUGAUAAGUUCUUGUCCUAUUACAAUCUUGAUUGCCAUGAUUCUAUCUCCUACCCUCUUGACAUCUACAACAUCUUGUGUCAAGGUCUUGUCCACGAUGAUGCCAACACCGUUUCUCGUUCUAUUUGUGCCCGAAUACCAUAGUUUAAACCCUGAGUUUUCUAGAUCCUUUGCCUUACGUCCAACCCACUUAGUUUCUUGUAGGCACAUAAUAUUUAUCCUUCUCCUCACCAUAACUUCUACUACUUCCAUAGAUUUUCCCGUCAAGGUUCCUAUAUUCCACGUUCCUAAACGCAUUUUGCUCUCUUGAACUCUACCCUUCUGUCCUAGCUUCUUCACCCUUCCCCGUCUAAUAGGAUCAAAGUACUUCUUUUGUGUGUACCGUGUAAAGUUGAUAGGAGCAUAUGAGCCUAAACAACUUUGAGUGGAGUCGUUCGAAAAGAAGUUUCUAUAGCCCCCUUGCUCAUUUAACACUGCAUCCGGGUGCCGAUGGAGAUACAGCGACCCUUGCUCACUUAUCACUGUGCUCAGGCCACACAGCGCGCCACUUACGGGUGACGCCCUAGCUUUAGCGCGAUUUCGUUCUGGAUUCAUUUUCAUAAGGAUUCGACGUGAUCAUGGAGUGCCGGCUGUCGACUACCUGACGCCCUCCCCCUCAUCCUUUAUCCGGGCUUGGGACCGGCAAUGUAAGAUAAACUUACACGGCGGAGUUAAAGAAAAACGAAUGAGGAAAUUAUAGGAGAUUGUGUCGGCUUUGGCCAUGAAGGGUAUCAGCAGCUUUUUCCUCCCAUACAGGUGAUUAAUUGUUUUUCAGUCUGUGUUCAGUUUUAUUUAUUGGAUUUGGUUAGCAGCCAGUUUUAUGUAUUGGAUUUUUUAUUUGGAUUUAUAGCACUAAGGGUAUAGGUGAACGGUGAAGCGGUUUGUAUGGGCUCAUGUGUGUUUUAGAUAAUCUCAAGGACUAUGUAGAUACUAUGAUUUGGGGUUGCUUUUUUAAACCAUGAUAAAGCAUUCCAAGUAAUUUUAACAUAGAUAUCAUUUUUUAUGUAAGCAUGAGUAUAUGAAAUGUUAAGACGAUAAUAUAUCAUGUGAUUUAAAAUUCAAAGAGAGACAAUGAACCGUGUUUGAUAUUUUGUUUGUCUUGGUUCGUUUAAAUUUGGGCCUUUUUCAGUUGGAUUCAUGGGUUUUGUUUAAGAUAUCAUUUUUGGUUUAUGAAUGGUUUUAAACAUCCACAACAUCGCGCAGGCACACUUUCACUAGUAUUUUACUAAACUAGUGCACUUGAAUGUCCGUAGCUAAAUAUAUUAUAAUGAAUUAGUGGAACAUAAGAAAAUAUGGAAAAACGUAAGUGUACCAAAAAGUCCGUACCUAAACAUGGUAUACUAAAUUAGUGUAACAUUAUGUCUGUACCUAAAUAUAUUAUACUAAACUAGUAUACCGAAAUAUUCAUACCUAAACAUAUUAUAUUAAACUAGUGUACUGAGAUGUCUGUACCUAAAUACAUUGUAAUAAAUUAAUGGCACAUAAGAAAAUAUGCAAAACAUAGGUGUGCCGAAAAGCCUCUACCAAAAUAUUUUCUUAUAUAAGAUACUUACAAUAAAUUGGUGAUGCAAAAUGUCAACAAAUAAAAGCUAAUUCAUUUGAAUUCAAAUGAGUAUUAAAAUUUAAUUCAUAUCAGCAUAAAAUUAUAAAUAGGAAAAAAAAAUAAAGACAUUGAAUGCAUAUGCUGCCAUUAAAUAGAGUCUAGGAACUAAAAUAAAUUUUUAAUCUUGUGUGAGACAUUUUUCUAAAUUUUAUUUUAUUUAAGGAUUAAAAUCUAGUUUUCUAUUACUUAUAUUUCUGACUACAUAUGGUUAUUAGUUACUUUAGUCGAGAGUUGACGCACCUGGAAUGGUACGUGGAAAACAUGUUAGCACUUGAUUCCCAGUCAAAGCCACACACGAGAGCAUUGUGUAUGUCUUUAUAAGUAAUAAAAACUAAUAACCUGAAAUGCUCUCGUAUUUCUAAAGGCCCGACUCCAAGUUCAAAGCCAUACACGAGAGCAUUGUGUAUGUCUUUAUAAGAGACGUUGCUGUAGUCCUUGACGGAGUAGUCAAAGUGACCCAAAUUCAUCCAAGCCUUCCCCUCUGCACUGCAACCCUCAUCCAAAUCCCAUCCUAUCAUGGCCCCGACCUUGACGUAGCUAUACGUUUUUGGUUGGCUCGAAGAACUUGUAUUAUUCAAGCAUGGAGCAGUGUCCACGUACAGAGAAGAAUUCAACGGAUUCAAACAUUUCAAGUAAUAUAUAGAUGUUGAAUACAGUGAUGAAUAUCGUACGUAUGGAUGAGUAAUGAGCGGAAAAUUUCGAGGCCUGGAAGAGCAAUUGGUGUUCACAAGGCCAGGAUCUAGAAGUCGGAUUGUUGUGUCAGUGUAGUUGAUUGCCUGGACGUAGUAUUUUCCGGAAGGUAGGUAUAGUACUGUAAUGUUGCUCUCACAGGACAGGGUAUACCUUACGUCGCCACAAUAUUUUGGAUCAUGGUUCAGUCGAAAAGGAUAGCUUAUGUUGUGGAUAUGGCAGCAGGAUGAAGUACAGGACUUGGCACUAGUGUCGACCUUAGCGUUACAAGUUUCACUGCAGAAGCCAAGAAGAAGAAAGGCUAAACUUAAGGUGAAGGACCUGCUUCCACUAAUUUCCAUUGGGGAGAGAGAGAGAGAGAGAGAGAGAGAGAGAGGUGUACUAGUCCACACCAAGUAGUUAUAUAAUAUAGGAGGGGUCAAGCACCUUCCGUGAAAUUGCUGUUGAAAUAUCCUAGAGAAAAAUCGUCGUCAAUGGUGUCCUAGAGAAAAGUCGGGCGAUGGUGUUUGACAGUCAGUCAACGGCAAAGAUAUUUCUCUUUCAUUAAGGAAGGAUACUGCGUAAUUACUACGCAUAUAUCUCUGCUUAAUCACACAAAACAAAAAUUUCCAGCUAUAGUAUCAUUUGUGAUUCAUUUAUUAAUAAGAUAUUAUACAGGGAACUGUUAUUAGUACUCUAAAAAUCUCAUUCUACACAAGUUUAUUUUUCUUUUUAAUUAUAGAAAGUUUGGAGUGCAAAAUGAGAUUUUUGGAGUGCCAAUAACAAUUUCCUAUUAUAUAUAGCUCUACUUGGAAGGUGACUAUAUGUCUUCAUCGUGUUAAAUUGUAUAUGGCUCUUGAUGUCGGCUGAAUUGAAUCUAAAUGAAAACCAAGCUGUUGAUCUUACCAGCCCAUAUCACUUAUCUCUUGCUUAUUUAAAUUAUGUGAAGAUGCGUAUGUUGAUUGGUGAUUUUGUUGGAUUCACUCAGUUCAAAUAUAUGUUAUCUGAAUCGUUACAUUUGAGAAUGUGAUUAUGUUCCUACCACCAUUUUGCCUACUUUCUGUGGAAAUUAUUCAUGCCUAUUGUGAAUAAUACAUUCACCUCCUGCAGCGAAGCGCGAGCACAUUUUCUAAUUUAAGUUGAAUCGCAAUGGGUCAUCAAAAAUUACGAACUCGUCAUUUAUACAAGUCAAACAUGAGACCACCUACCUACUAGUUUAGUGGAAUACCACAAGUGACAUGUUGAUACCUUUAAAUCUCAUUUUCCAUAUAAUGGAUUGCAAAAUUAGGAUAUACCUAAACUAAUUUAGUCAGUGCCCGAACAAUUAAGCAGGGCUUUAUUCUUGCUUGAAUGUUUGUUAUAUGUUAAUAGUUUGACAAGGCAAUUAUAUUUCCGACUACAAAAGUUAUUAAUUUGGUCGAGAUUUGACGCACCUGAAAUGGUGUGAGGAAAACAUGUAGACACAUAAUCCGCAGUCCACUGUCCUGGGCAUCUAUCUUCAGGAGGUAUGAAUCCAAGCUCAAAGCCAUACACGAGAGCAUUGUGUAUGUCUUUAUAAGAGACGUUGCUGUAGCUGUAGCUAAAGCCAACGGAGUCGUAAAAGGAAUCCAAGGGCAUCCACUCUACACUGCAACCCUCAUCCAAAUCCCAUCCUAUCAUGGCCCCGACCUUGACGUAGCUAUACGUUUUUGGUUGGCUCGAAGAAGAACUUGUAUUAUUCAAGCAUGGAGCAGCAGUGUCCACGUACAGAGAAGAAUUCAAUGGAUUCAAACAUUUCAAGUAAUAUACAGAUGCAGAUCUUGGAUACCGUGAAUAUCGUACAUAUGGAUGAGUAAUGAGCGGAAAAUUUCGAGGCCUGGAAGAGCAAUUGGUGUUCACAAGGCCAGGAUCUAGAAGUCGGAUUGUUGUGUCAGUGUAGUUAAUUGCCUGAACGUAGUAUUUUCCGGAAGAAGGUAGGUCUAAUACUGUAAUGUUGCUCUCACAGGACAGUGUAUACAUUACAUUGCCGCAGUGCUUCGGAUCAUGGUUCAGUCGAAAAGGAUAGCUUAUGUUGUGGAUAUGGCCGCAGGAUGAAGUACAGGACUUGGCACUAGUGUCGACCUUAGCGUUACAAGUUUCACUGCAGAAGCCAAGAAGAAGAAAGGCUAAACUUAAGGUGAAGGACCUGCUUCCACUAAUUUCCAUUGCAGAGAGAGAGAGAGAGAGAGAGAGAGAGAGAGGUGUACUGGUACUCACCAAGUAGUUGUAUAAUAUAGGAGGGGUCAAGCACUUUCCGUGAAAUUGCAGUUGAAAUAUCCUAGAGAAAAAUCGUCGUCAAUGGUGUCCUAGAGAAAAGUCGGGCGAUGGUGUUUAACACAGUCAGUCAACGGCAAAGUUAUCUCUUUCAUUAAGGGAGGACACUGCGUAAUUACUACGCAUAUAUCUCUGCUUAAUCACACAAAACAAAAAUUUCCAUUUUUUCCCUAAAAAUUAAUUUUCUUUCACCUCCAACCCAUCAUGUAUAUUCUAUAAGAUAAGAAUAAUCCAUUGACUAGCUCCAAUUAAGCAAGUUUCAUAACUUGCUUGAUGACUCUGAUCAUGUGUAAUUUUGGGGAAUUGGAUGCUAUUUUAUCCCUACUUUGUUAGGCUUUUGUAAAUGGUUCUUUCACAUUUUUCAAAUGGUUUACAAUCUCUCUCAUUUUCUCUAUUUAUUUUUAAUCUUGUUUGUAUUUUCAAUCUUUCGUUCUUCCAAUUGCUGGAGCUCUACCAGAUUGGCUUUUCAUUGUUCUGAGUCUAUAUUAGACCCUUUUUCAGGUUUUGAUUUGUUAUGUCUCAUUUUUUUUAUUUACUCGGUUAAUUUGCUUCAAUUCUUUCAAUUCUUUCUUGUUAUUUUGAUGAUUUAUAUUAGUAUUAUAUAAAAUAGGAAGAACUUAUACAUUAAUCCGUUUAUCAAAUAUAUGAAAAAAUAAUUUACCCAACGAAUGUGUUAUGUCGUGUGUAAGAAUGUUUUUCCUUUUGUGUUUUAAUUCUGCACUUAUUUUUAUUUUUUCCACAUAAAUAUAACGAGCCUACAUUAUUUUUUCUAUGAAUUAUUUACCUACUUUAAUUAUUUUAUAUACCUACGUUAUUUAUUCUUGAAUCUUUUCACACAUGGCCAAACUUCUCUUGGAAGUUUAAUUAGAUGAAACAAUAUGAAUCUUGAACAAACCAAAGCAAAGCAAAACGUACUCAACACUUACAGGAAAUCAGUCCAAGAAUGAAAACUUUCUUAUCACUUUCUAUCCAAAAUUUUGGAAUUAUGUGUGUUGCAACGGUUGUCCGAAGGAUUAUUCUUCUUUUAUUAAAUUUCUAAGGAAAAUUAGCAUAUGGGGCGUAAAUGUUGAAUGGAUGAAUUUUCAUUGACUUGGAAAGGGAUUGUGACUUUAACACGCUAUUUUUCUUCAUCUUAUGCACUCAUGUUUAUCAAAAGACAAAUAAAUAUGACUUUACAUAAGGAGAGAGAAAGAGUAUUUUCCUUUGUAAAAAUCAACUAUUCAUUUUCGAAGUGGUAGUCAUUGACACGAUACUUGAUUAGAAGAAAAGUCAUAGUAAUUUGUUUUUAUGGGAACGAGAGUGCAAGUUCUUAAUUGGAAUAUGAGAUGAAGUUUCUACAUAACUAUCUGUGGCAAAGAAAGAAGUCUAAGUUUCUAAGUGGUAAGGGCUCCAAUUGAUGCGCGUUUGUUGAGAAAUGAAGAUGAAGAUGAAUAUUGAUAUUGAUGUGAGUUAGUGAACAAGUUGCUUCGAUCUCCUUUGGCCCUCUAAGAUGAUUAUUGAUUGGUGGACUAAGACGUACCAUACAAUUUUUUAUAACCAGCGAAGAUGAACAGUGUCGUGACAAAAUUUAUCCAAGUAGACCCAAGGGCAAGACUUAGGAACUUCAUAUACAGUGGGAUAAAAUGUUGGGCUAAUUUCCUAUUUUAUCUUAUAGUCAUUAAGUAAAAUGUAUUGCACAUUUCUGGAUGCAUACACAUUAAUGUACAUAAUAUUAGUUGAAUAUCAGAGUACGCAACUUUUACAAACAAAUUAACUGAAUAUAAAACGUUUAUAAAAUUUUAUUAAACGGAAUUGCCAAGAAGGCUACAUGAAUCCAAGAGACCACAUCUUGAUUGACUUGUUAUCUCUCAAUAACAAAGCUCUCUAUUUAUAAUAAACUAACCCUAGUCCCUAAUAAGCAAGGAAAUGAAAACCUAAUUUUAAUGGGCUAAGCCCAAAUCCAAACACUAAAUAAAUAACUAUUUUCCAACACCCCCGUCAAACUUGUGGCGGUACACGUCAUGAGUUUGCCAACAAGCAGAUGUGGAUGCAAGCUCCGUUAGGCGGACACGACAAGACAAGCUUCGUUAGGCGGACACGACAAGACAAGCUCUGUUAGGCAGACACGACAAGACAAGCUCUGUUAGGCGGACACGACAAGACAAGUCUCUAUCCCUCGCACAUCAAUCAAAAGACUCCUUUUUGGUGUGAAAACUGAAAACUUUUAUUCAUUUUAUUUCUUUCAUUUUUCUCAUCGGCUUCAUCUUCUUUCCUUUCCACUUCUUCUUUCUUUUUCUUUCCGUUUUCCUUCUGUACAUUCUCCCUUUUUUCUUGUUUCCUCUUCUUCUGUUUUGCGUUGUAAGUUCCUCUUCUUCGAUGGAUUUCAGAGAGAGGGAGUCACAACAGCUAAGAAGGUGGUGGUGCAUAGAGAGAGGGAGUCAAAGCGGUGGAAUUUCUUCUCAGGAAACCUCCACUCCGCCUACACCACCACCUAGACAGUCGCCUAGAUCGUCGCCUAGACCGCCCAAGCUGCCUAAGAGCGCCUAGGCGAGCGCCUAACAGCUCCAUGAUUUUUCUUAACGAUUCAGACCUAAUCGCAUCGGCACCACCACGCCCAGCUCCUAGGUUGCCGCUUAGGUCAUUUUUUAGAACACUGGUAAUACUCGUGUGGUGCAAUUCUAAUCUCUUAUAUAUAACUUUUUUGUGAUCCAUUUCUCCAUCACCAUGCCUAAAUCCCUUUAGAAUUUGCAAUUUCCUCACCCCAACAAACCCCAACAUUCUGUUGGAUAUGGUAAAAAAAAAAAACUCAGAAUUUCAUUUAAACUUGAAAAUUUAGGGAUGGGAAAGCAAUUUUCUCUUGUUUGGCAACUUGUAGCGAGAGAACAGGAAAAUUCCACAGGAAAAAAGUGGAAAUUGGGGAUGAAGAUUCUUGAGUUUAAUUUUGUCUAAAUAAGUGUAAUUUCACAAUUCCAACUACGACAAGAUUCACAAAUUCAUAUAUGGGGAAGUUUUGCGAGCACCAAACUUUACUAUUAGGGCACCAAAUUUCAUGAUAAAACCUGAUAAGGGUUUAGGGCUGCAUCGUUCACUCUGUUAAGUCUCCAAUCUUCGACGAGAUUUUUAGCUCGUGCAUCAUCUUCUCACUUUGUUGUAGGGUUACAUCUCUUCGUUCUUGAAUUAUUUUUAGCUUUUCGGGUAUACUUUUUCUGCUCAUUGUGAAUUUUGAAAUGGGGCAGGAAGAACAUACAAAAAAAAGAUAAGAGCUGGAGCCCAUCCCAGACAUAAUACGACAGUGUUGGAACCCCAGUGUUGUCCCACAUCGGCUAGAGGGCUCAAGUGAAAGUGCUUUAAAUAGAAAUACCCCUCUCUAACUAACAUCGAGGCCUUUUGUGAUAAAACCCCACACCUGAGGAUUGUGCAGGUGGUUAAGUGGGGACAGUAUCGAUGUUGUUGGAGUGGGCCCUCGGCCCGUCGACCUGAAAAUUUCCACAUGGUAUCAGAGCCAGGAGGCGGGCCCGUACUGCCACGUGAUUGGGUGGGUCCCCUUUGGCCCCGCGCGAUGUCCACGUAGGCCAAAGAUGCCACGUGUUUGGGUGGGUCCCCAAUGGCCCCGCAUGAUGGGUGAGUCCCCAAUGGCUCCACGUGGUUGUCGAUGUGGAUUUUCACGUGUGACCCAUAAAUGGGGUCUCACGUGCGGGGGAGUGUUGGAACCCCAGUGUUGUCCCACAUCGGCUAGAGGGCUCAAGUGAAAGUGCUUUAAAUAGAAAUACCCCUCUCUAACUAACAUCGAGGCCUUUUGUGAUAAAACCCCACACCUGAGGAUUGUGCAGGUGGUUAAGUGGGGACAGUAUCGAUGUUGUUGGAGUGGGCCCUCGGCCCGUCGACCUGAAAAUUUCCACAGACAGUUUUCCAUCCUUAAUCCGAUCAAUGCACUAAGACAAGUGGAGAGCAAAAGAGUUUCCAUGGGUUUAGUACCUAGUACCAAAAUAAGGUGGUACUUCGGCUAUUGCGAUGGGAAUCUUUAUGAACACUAAAUUUGGAAUGUAAUGUUUUUUCGAAUCAACACCAGGGGGCUUCGAGCUAUGUGUUCUGCCCUAUUAUUCAUUACUUCAAAGUUAACGUACUUUGGAAAGAUUGUUGGAUUAAAUCAUAUUCUAAAAUGUUAAAGCAAAGGAUGGAAUGUCCCAAGCACUUAGUCACUUGGGUAAGAGCUAUUUAGACACAGGCAUAAAUGAUCCAAAAGACCAUGCAUUCACAAGUAAAUUGCACCAAAAUAAGAUAUCCCCAAGUACCAUCACUAGGGAAAAGAUGUUGAAGUUAUGGAAAGGACAAGCCCUCAUCCUAGCAAACAACAAAUUAAUGCAAAACAUUGUCAACAACCCUAUUUGGCAACAACUUCCCUUUUGGAAGAAGUUGAAGGAUCUACGAAAAUACUGGCUGAUGGAUCACCAUUGGAAGUAGAUCCUCUUCUUCGGAUGCCUCAAAGUCAGAAAUUUUGCUCAGUAAGUCUUUAAGAGCAGCGAAAUCGGCAUCCCAUAUUUUUUUCAGAAUCUGGUAGGUGUCUCAACCUCCAAAAUGAUCUUACUGCGCGUAGCCAAAUAUAUACCCAAAGUUGUACCCCUCUGCAUAUUUUUCUUCGGACGCCUUCUUGUGAGAUGCACGCACGCCCAUUAUUUCUGACUCAUGCUCAUCCUUGAGUUGUUUAAGAUUUGCAAAGCGAACUUUGUCUUUCUAUUCGAUCUAACGGCGAAGUCUUUCCACCUCUAACGGCGAACAUUGUGAGAUGCACGCACGCCCAUUGUAAGCAUUCCGCUUCGAAGACAACGUUCGAUUGAUUAAGCUUCAAGACGCAACAAAGUUUGUUCCACCUCAACUUUGGCUUUGCAUUCUAGCUCCAACUUUUCCUGCAGUUCAGCAAGAGUUGCCUUGUAUUCAUUUGCUUUAAUAUAUUCAAGAGUGGCUUCAUUUAUGCAUUUCUUUACCUCUACAUUAUGGGCUACUCUCAUAAUUUGUUGCUCUACCUAUACCCUCUUGAGCUUCGCCAAUUGAGCUUGCACUUGUUGCUUGAGCUGUAUUUGGCCUCUGAUUCAUGCAAGGAAAACCGCUUAAGAUGACAAAUUCACUUCGCUUGGCCAAAAAGAGUCGCCUCUGUCCAGACAUGAGUCUGACCAAUGCAAGUAAAGGAAAGGAAAAACAAAAUUACCAAAGUUAUUUUGUAAGAAAAGAAUGAAGGAUUACCUCAUAUCGACUUUCGUGACAUCGCAUCAUGGCGUCUUCAAAGGACGUGCGAGCUUCCUAGUAGUCCGCAUGGGUAAUUGCAGCGCUAAGAAAAGCUCGGGUAAAAUUUAUGUUUCGAGUCUUAACGACAAGCAAGGGCAGCGCGCCCCCUUCAAUUCUGGUUAAAGUCGCCAGCAAGGGAAUGUUAGGUUCGAGAGGCACCUCGACAGGUUCAGGUAAACUCCUUGUCACUAGAGGAAUCAGAACUGGGAUAUAAAGGGGUUUAAGGACUCGAACAUCAUUCGGAAGUGGUGGCAAAGCUGUCUGCUAUUGCGCAGGUAGAGAUUCAAGCUUGGAUUCAUGUGGUUGUUGUUGCGUCAGUUCUUAAAAUGGAAGGAAAAGAGGUUGAGAUUCUCUUAUGAGAUGAUGCGGAGCAGGAGUAUCUGGAGUUGUAUUUAUCGAAACAACCAGACGUCUUUUUCUCCUCAUAGUGGAAUUUCUUCCUCCUCUUUGGGAUUCUUGGGUACCACCUCUAUUAUUGGUAGACUUAUUUGAAAAGGUGUAGCUAACGACGUUGAGGAAGUUUUACCAGACCGUUUUAGCUUUUUUUUGCUGGAGUGGGAUAAAUUUUGGGUUUGAGAUGAUGGACCCCCUAAUAAACCUAUUUCACUUUGAUCCAAUUAGGAUCCAGAAUGGGGAACUUAGAACAAUGAUUGAUGAUUGUAUUAUUCCCCCAAUCCAAAAAUCGAACUGAGGAAGUCAGCCAGUUCCAAUUACGGUGCUUAGUAAGGAUUUGCGUUGCCUGAGUGAUCAACUCUGGUCAACACGUGCCAAUAUUCUUCAGGUCAUUGUUCAGACAAAGGUUGCAAUAAGUGAUGUGAUAGCAGCAUAUUUAUGCGACUUAGUUAGCUUGUUUUUCUUGCAUUUAUGUUGUGAGUUCUUACUUAUUAUAGUGUUUUAAGCUAUUUUCGUGUGUUUGUAGGUCCAAUUGACAAAGUUGGCAAGAAAAUGCAAUUUGGAGCAUUUUGGAGCAGUUUUGGGCAUCAAAUGGAUAGCUUAUGAAUGGAGUAAGAUGGAUGGACGAAUUUGAAGUUCAAGAGGCUAGGAAUGUGUUGAAAAGAUGAAGAAAAUAAAUUCAAGAGAAAGAAGAUAAGGAAUUAGCUCAAAAGAAGGAACAUUAUCCAAAACCUUAUCCAACCUUAUCUUAUCCAAACAAACCUUAUCUUAUCUUAUCCUUGCCUAAUCUAGCUUUAUCCUAUCUUAUCUAAAUCAGUUUGUGCCUUAAAUCCAGCUGCAAGAGGACCUAAAUAUCUGAUUUCUAGAAGGCCUAUCAUUUCCUUACACUUAUGCCGCACCUUUAUCCUUCUAGAACCCCUAAAUUUGUGCCGCAUCUCAGCCCUAUAAAUAUACAUCUUUGAUGCACAAAUAAAUGACCCACGCACCCACAUAUAUUCAGAUACAAUUGAGAGAUUUCAGAGAAUUCAAAAGGUGUACCUGCGUGGAGGAAGGAGAAGGAGAAGCUUGUGUCGUGGCUUGCAAUCCAAGGGGGAGUUUGAAAUCUGCCAUUGGAGUUGCUAGGGCGUUCUUGGUUCUUUCUAUCCUUAGAUUUGUUUCAAUGUUGCUUUUAAUUUGGUUUUAUGUUUUCAAAGACAUGAGGAACUAAUCUCUUUUUAGUUGGAGGUGAAUUUGAAGCCAUGAUUAUAUGUUUUGAUAUGAAUUGAUUACAUCCAGUUAUUGUUUCUUGAGUCUUGAAUGUGAUUUGCUUAUCUGAGUUAUCAAAACUUGUUUAUGUAUGUUGAUUGAGGGUCGACACUUAAUUUGCAUGCAUGAAUUUGAUGCUAGAGUAUAAGGGAGUUUCACCUAAUCAUUAUGAACUUAUAUUCACAAGUAGUAAAGGUUGCUAGUCACAAUCGUGUUAAGUAAAUCCUUGGCAGGAGUAUCAUGCUUUUCAUAGUUACGAAUGCCUCGUCAAUGCUUAUGAUUUUCAAAGAACUUAAUGACCUUUGAUAUGUUUUCUAUCAUGCUUUUCAUAGUUAGGGAACUUGAGAAGGAUAAUUUGGUUGUGAUGUGUAUCCCGUCCAAUUCAAUGAAAUAAGGGAAAUCUGAUGGUUAAUUUGUGCUGUCACGGUUAACUUGGGGUGUUGUCAUUCAUGGUUUAAGGGAACAAUACUGGAAAUUGGUUUAUAUGCAUAUGUCAUGUGUGGAGAAAGAUCCUCUGGCUAAGUUUUCAUCAUUCAAAUCACCUAAUUUACUUUGUUUUGCAAUCUGUUUUGUUUAGUUAAUUUUCGUCCAAAUCAAUCCCCCUUCUAAUUAAGUGUCUUAGAUUAGUUAAAAAAGUGUUUCAAUCUGUCCAACUUAGUGUUUUAAGUCCCACUAGUGUUAAAUUCGUCCAAAUAGUUCUUAGAACCUGUUUUGAGUCUUUUUAACUUAGUUUUGCUGUUUUGAGUGUUUUAUGUCAAUUUUGAGUUUGUAGUGUUUAGUUGUGUGUUUUUUAGUCUAUUUGAGUGUUUCUAAGUCUAAUUUGGUAUUUCUGAGUCAUAUUUGUGUAGAUUAACAUCCCUAGUUAAUCCCCGGUUUAGAACGAUCCUUACUUACAUCUUUACUACAAUUAUCAUUCAUAGGGUUUAAUUUGUGUGUCAAGUUAAUUUUCACAUCAAAUUUGGCGCCGUUGCUGGGGAUUAGCAAACUUGCUAAUCUCUUUUGUUUGAGUAGUGUGUCUUUAUUGUUAUGGCAGAUGAGUCUACAAAAUUUGUGAAAACAUUAGAUAUAAAGAAAUGUGAGAAAUAAGAACCAAAUAACAGUGAAAUGAAUGAUAUAAGACUCAUCUGUCAGAACAACAAGGCAUUCGAUUUUCAAAAGUACACUCAACGAUCACUGGAGGAUGAUCUUAGAGUUGUAGUUGGAAUCAUCUUCCAGUGAUUUGAUAUAAAAACAGAUUUGAUGGGAUUUAGAAGCAAAUGUUGGGUUUGAAGAGAUUUAGGUAAUGGUUGGGGACGGGGAGUGAGUUGAUGGGAUUCAGUAGCAAAUGUUGGAUUGUAGAAUCUAAAAACAGAUUUGAGAGGCUAAAAUGUAAUUCGGAUAUUAGUACUACGGUCUAAUAACGUAUUUGUAAGUGAAAAAUUUUAGGUUUGUAUUUCAAGAAUAAGGAGUUCAUAACCAAUUUAUUCCAUAUAUCAUUGUGCAUAUAAAAUAAUGUAAUUCGAAAAUUAAUUUAGUGACGAUGCUACAAUUAAUUAUAUCAUCAAUUUUGGAAUCCCAUUCUUGGCUUAUGUCAAAAUCCAAACAAAUUUAAACCCUCAUUUUUUUCAGAUUUUGGAAAGAAUGGCAUCAUUGAAUUCAAUAUCGUGAUAUGGGAGACUGAGUAAGCUAAAUUUGGAGUAUUUUAAUGUCACAGUAUAAAUAUGGCACCAACAAUAGACGUAAGCCAAAGUCAUAGGUUUAAUGCAGACAAUAGUAAAUACUGAAUACUGAAUAUUGGAUACUGAAUGGAGGGCGGCUUUAACGCUUUCAGUGUACCAAAUUUUGAUACUAAUUGACUUGAUCUCUUCACAUGGUACAUAGGUAGUCUAGCUCGAAUGUUAUGCAGCCAUAAAAUUAAAUAAAUUAAUAUUGUAUCAUGUCCCGGAGUUCAGCACGUGACAUUAUUGUGAGGUCUAGGUACAGUCCUUAGAGUGAUAAAAACAAGGCUCCUCCAGGGAGGGCUAGUCGGAGGUGUGAAUGGACAUUUACUUCACACUCAUAGGAAAUCAGUCCAAGAAGUGGACAUGGAUGCUGGGUACUCAACACUCAUAGGAAAUCAGUCCAAGAACGAAAGCUUUCUUUUUAGUUGCUAUCCAAAAUUUUGGAAUUAUGUGUGUUGUCCAAAUGAUUAUUCUUCUUUUAUUAAAUUUCUCAGGAAAAUGAGCAUGAGGCGUAAAAGUUGAACGAAUGAAAUUUCAAUGAUCUGGAAAGGGAUUGUGAGUUUGCCACACCAUUUUUCUUUCUUUUAUGCCUUCAUGUUUAUUAGAAGAUAAAAAUAAAGAAGGAAAACUAAUGAAAAGUCCAAUUUUUUUUUAGUUUUAAUGAAAAAUGACAAAUAAAUGUGUAGUGAAUAGUACCAGAGAAAGGUAAAAAUGUGGCUUUUCGUUAGAAGUGAACAGUCCUGGGAGUGUUUCGUUAAAACUUCCAAAUAAAUAUGACUUUAUUUGGAGAAAAAAAAGUAUUUCCUUUGAAAAAAAAUCAACUAUUUAUUUAAGAGGAUGUGAAUGAUUGAUGGUGAAUACAAAGAACCACCUUAGAGGGAGACGAGACAUUUAUUAGAAGCCAAAAAAAAAGUUACAAUGAUUUAGUAAAAAAACAAGAAAACCUCAUUUUCUAAGUGGCAGUCAUUGACACGCUAUUUGACUAGAAGAAAAGUCAUAGUAUUGUAUUUACUUUCAAGCCUCUAGGGGGAACGAGAGUGCAAGUUUCCAAAUGGAAUAUGGGAUGAAAUUUCUACAUAACUCUAUCUGACAAAGAAAGAAGUCUAAGUUUCUAAGUGGUAGGGCUUCCAAUUGAUGUGAGUUUAUUGAGAAAUGAAGAUGAACAUGAAUAUUGAUAUUGAUGUGAGUUAGUGAACAAGUUGCUUCGAUCUCCUUUGGCCCUCUAAUAAGAUAAUACCGGAAAACAAGUUGUUACUAAUACAUGUAUCGGAUUGGUAGACUAAGACGUACGGUACAAUUUUUUAUAACUAGAGAAGAUGAACACUGUCACUGUCGUGACAAAAUUUAUCCAAAUAGAUCCAAAGACUUGGGAAGCUUCAUAUGCAGAUCUAAAGCUAAUUUCCUUUUUAAUCUUAUAGUCAUUACGUAAAAUGUAUAUGCAUAUUUCUAGAUGGAUACACACCAAUCUUGAAAUAGGGGAUGAAGAUUCCCGAUUUUAAUUUCGUCUAAAUAGGUGUAAUUUCACAAUUCCAACUAUAACGAGAAUCACAAAUUUAUAAGCGGAAAAAUCUUGCCAGCGUCAAACUUUCUUGAAUAAGGGUUUAGGGCGCCAAAUUUCAUGAUAAAACCUGAUAAGGGUCUAGGGCUGCAUCUUUCACUCGAUUAACUCUCCCAUCUUCGAAGGGAUUUUCGGCUCUUGCAUCAUCUCUUGCUUUUGUUCUAGGUCAACGCCUCUACUCUCUUCUUUCUUGAAUUAUAUUUUUAACUUUUCGGGUAUACUCUUUAUGCCAAUUGUGAAUUUUGCUAGUUAUUUUUAUUUUCUGAUAGUCAUAUGUUUGUGUGCUUUUUUUCUUCCGAUUGAAUUGUGUAUUGGUUGGAUCUGUUACACAAUUUUUUAGUUUUUUUAUGGAUUUUGAUGUUAGUUCCUUGUUAUAGAUAUUGUGUUUUUGAAGGUUUAACAAUAGGCAAGACUGAAUAUGAUGAUUUCGGUGUUAAUUACUUUCUCAUGGUACUAUACUAGAUUGUUCUCUCUUUGCAUUUACAUGUAACCAACUGUUCAUUGUAGAAAUGUAGUAUUUGGAAGACCUUUUUUUUUUUCUUUCUGAUUUAGUGUAUGUUUUUUGGACAAAAGAAACAUGUAGAAGAGAAAACAUGAUUGAUAACAUUGUGCAUCUUUUUUUUUUUUUUUUGACAGAAAGCGAUAGAGUGUUCCAUGGCCAAUUUGUUUUAUCUAGAGAUAGUUUGCACAAGAUGCAAACAUUUUGUAAACCCUAUACGGCUACCAUAAUAGACAACCACAAACAAGGGUCCCGAUAAAAUUGUCACAAAGACGACAAACGCGGCAAUCCUCACACUGGUACCUUGACAUAAAACCAUCGACAAUAAGACCAAAUAAAUCGCAUAAGAAAUACAAACAAAUCACCACAGUAACACAAAAUCUACUACCCUAACCUGCUCAAGGUCCUACAAACAAAAACUUAAACCUAAAGUCGAUGACAUGUCCACAUGCAUGUCCAAAGGGAAGAGACGUGGCAGGAGGCAUGGGUUGCACGACCAUGUGGGUGUGUCGGUGGCAAGGACAACAAAGGCUUGGGGCUUGGGUGGCAGAGGAGAUACCACGACACGCCAGAGCCACUGUCACAUUGUCAUCGCCGCCGCCACGAGCCCAUAGUAACCUGCAUAAAAUCGUUAGUGCUAAAAGCCGCCAAGGGUUUCCGCCGACUGGGAAAAAGAUAAGAUUUGUGAAGACGGAGGUCACAUGGAUGGCAUCAUAGCAAAAUUGAAAUCUUUUAAUCAUCCUCAGCAUUAUUCCGACAGCUAUCCACAAACUGAAGCAACGAAUUGGGCAAGUGUGCAACAAAUUUUCAAUGUGCGUCCAUUGUGAAUGAUUUACAAGGAGUGGGUUUAAUGACGUUUGUAGUUAAAGUGGGAUGCAACUUAGAGCACCAUCACUUGACUAUGUUCCUCUCAUUUUAUCUGUUCAUUUUUGCCUCAUUUGUUUUUUGGUUGCACCGCCUCAAAAACCUUGUGCGUCUACAUGUAUAUAGAACUUUUGGUUAAAACAGAGUCACAUAUCUUAUAACUAUUUAAAUUUUGUUGCAUAUCACAAUAUAUAUUUGUUCAUACAUUCAAACAUGUAUGGCAAAUACUGAGGAGGAACAUAGAAAAAAAAAUGAAAAUUAUUGUUAGUACAAUUGUAUAUGUUAUUGACAUGGUCAUGCAUUGGUAUAGUAAGAGUUUUCUCGUCGUAGAACUUUCAAAUGAUUGGAAUCAAGGAAGACAAUCUUUUCCCCAAUUAAUUAUUCUCGCCAUAUUUUUCCUUAGCGCCGUUAAGUUUCACUUAAAAAGCAAAAGAAGAAGGCUAAAAUUAAGGUGAAGAACCUGCCUCCACUAAUUUCCAUGAAGUUGCAGUAAGGACAUAAAUCACCUUCCGUGAAGUUUCAGUAAGGACUUCAAAUAUCCCAGAGAAAAGUCAGUCAAUGGUGUUUUGACAGAGUCAGUCAACGGCAAAAGACAGAAUUGUGUAUCAUAAUGCUCUCUCCCUCUCUCUCUCUCGUCAAUGGAUGACACCGUAUAAUUACUACGUAUAUAUCUCUGCUCAAUUACACAAAAGAAAAAUCCUUGCGCAUUAUUUUUGUUAUUAUUAGCUCAGAAAUGCAGAAAUUGAUCAUCUCUUACUUUUGCAUAUUGUUACUGGUUUUCUUCAAACUAGUUGGAGCAAGCCAUGCGUGCCUGGAAUCCAAGUGUGGCGAUGAUCAAGGCGCAGCUAUCCAUUUCCCAUUGCGCAUCAGCCGCAAACAUCAUUGUGGAAAUCCUGGGCUUGAAUGCAAUGUAAGAUAUGAGCAGCAAAUACUAGUAAAAUUAUUUGUCAAACACAUAGAUUACAAGAGUCAGGAAAUCCAAGUGUAUCCCCCAAGUAGCUGCCUGCUGCUAAAGUCUGUUGAAAUCCCAAACAUGCCACCCUCUCCCUUCAACGUGUCAGUCGAUGACAUGAGUAACUUGACCUUAUUCAGUUGUACUACUUCUGUUGCAAGCGAUCCAUAUCCGUAUCAAUUCCCCUGCCUCGGCGACCCUGGCCGCAUAAUUUAUGCCGUUGAUUCCAGUUCUACAUAUCUAUUGGAAGAUCUCUUCCAGAAAGUACAAUCUUGUUCAAAGAUGUAUGAUGUUUUAUCAGUUCCAUUCGGUUCUUGGGUAGGCGGUUAUAAUGUUCGUUUCAAAUGGUCUGAACCAAAUUGCACAGUAUGUGAAGCACAGGGAAAGAGGUGUAGGUGGAAGAACGAUGGCACAAAUAGUGAAAUUAAAUGUCUUGACUGGAAGAAACCAAGUAAGGAUAACAUAUAUAUUCAUUGCUAGUUUUAAACAUCUUUACAUUUACGUCUUAGUAAUUAUUAUUUAAAAUAUGUUGUCCAAUCCAUUUUUACUAGGAAUAUUACCUGACAGUCUCGUUUAAAUUUGCAAUGAUCUUCUACAGGCAACACAUGGAAAAAAGUGGUUACAGGUGGAAUCCUGGGUGCUUUGCUUCUUGUUCUACUGAUGAUUGCAGCAUAUCGGGUACAUAGCGCUGAUAGAAAGGAGAAAGAGAGUCGAUUAAGAAUUGAAAGAUUCUUGGAGGAUUACAAAGCACUCAAACCAACCAGGUAUUCGUACGCAGAUAUUAAGAGGAUUACAAAUCAAUUCAAGGACAAGUUGGGCGAAGGAGCCUAUGGAACUGUCUUCAAAGGAAUGCUCUCUUCCGAAUUCUUUAUUGCUGUCAAAGUCCUCAACAGUUCCAAGGGAGAUGGGGAAGAGUUCGUAAAUGAAGUGCGAACGAUGGGUCAUAUCCACCACGUCAACGUGGCUCGCUUGGUUGGAUUUUGUGCUGAUGGAUUUGCACGAGCUCUUGUUUACGAGUUCUUCCCCAAUGGUUCCCUGCAGGAUUUCAUUUCAUCUGCAGAUAGUAAGAAUUCAUUUCUUGGUUGGGAUAAGUUGCAAGAUAUUGCCCUAGGCAUAGCCAAAGGAAUUGAAUAUCUUCACCAGGGAUGCGAUCUACGAAUCCUGCAUUUCGACAUCAAACCCCAUAAUGUUUUGCUAGACCAAAACUUCACUCCAAAAAUUUCUGAUUUUGGUAUGGCCAAGUUAUGUUCCAAGGAUCAAAGCUUGGUGUCCAUGACUACAGCUAGGGGGACCAUGGGCUACAUUGCACCUGAAGUGUUUUCCAGGAAUUUCGGAAAUGUGUCUUACAAGGCAGAUGUCUAUAGCUUUGGAAUGCUGCUGCUUGAGAUGGUAGGAGGAAGGAAGAAUAUUGGUUCAAUCACGGAUAACACUACAAAUGAAAUUUACUAUCCACAGUGGAUUUAUAAUCUUCUAGAGGAAGGGGAUGACCUACAAAUCCACAUUGGGGAAGAAGGAGAUGGUAAAAUUCCAAAGAAACUUGCAAUUAUAGGGCUAUGGUGUAUCCAGUGGCACCCGUCGGAUCGUCCUUCCAUGAAAAUAGCGGUUCAGAUGUUAGAAGGAGGAGGAGAAAGCUUGAGUAUGCCGCCUAAUCCCUUUGUGCCUACUGGUCCUACAACUAGAAAUGCAAGACGCCUAGAGCUAGAAGCUAUUGCUGAAUUAGAGUAAAAUGUAUAUGCAGAUAUGUAGACGUAUAGAUAUAGUAAUAUUUACAUUGAAUAAGAGGCCGUUUGAUAACCAUUUCGUUUUCAGCUUUUAAUUUUUAUUUUGCACUUUUUUGAAAACUGAAAACUAAAAUCUUGUUUGGUAAAUACUUUUAGUUUAAGAAAAAAUGAAGACUGAGAACUAAAAAGUGAAAGCUCAAAGGAAGUAGAUUAAAAGUAGUUACCAAACAAACCGGAAUCUCAAUAAUAAAAAAUGAUUGAAUUGCACAACGCAAUCCAAACCAAUCAAAACAUUAAAAUAGCAAAAAAAAUUAAAAUUCUAGUUGAUUAGAUUAUGAACAUAGUAAAAAUGAACAGAUCCGAUGAAAAAACAAAAAAAAUUCUCAGAUAAAAAUAGGGAUAAAGUAAAAUAUUUAUAAAUAGCUCCUUGUCUCUUAUGUCAUCAAUUAUUUCUAUAGUAUAUACAAGUUUUUGGAAAAAUUAGGUUCCCAUCCCUUAUUUUCAUAUUACAUUGAUUGAAAUCUUAUUAUUUUUCUAUUUUAGAUCAAGGUCCCUUGACUUAUUCCAUGUCAUCAUUUUAGUAUUUAAAAUAUUACACGUCAUCAUAAACGAAAUCUCAUCCCCUUUCUGCAUUUAAGGCAAAAUAAACUAUAUGAGUAAGUUUAAAACAAGGAAAAUCCAUUUGAACUCCUCCAUUCUUCUUCUUCCCUUAUGCACAUCUGGAAUCUACAACACCCCAAACCCAAUUUUCUCCAUUUUUUCUCCAUUCCUGAAUUGAUCCAAUGCAUAUAUGUUGAAUAAACCUAUUGUGAUUAAAAUACAAAUUAGCAUCAAUGGUUUUAUCGGCUUGUGAGAUUUGUGUGGCAUAGGCAAGGCAAUGCAUGCAUCGCUUUCUCAAGGAAUCUGGUUGAUUCAAACAUGCAGAGACUGUAGAGUGAGCGGGCUAUGUAAAAACUGUACCAUUCUGAAGUCAUUUUCUUUUGUUCUUUAUAUUUUUUUUCUUUUUCUUUUAUUAUUAUAUAUUAGUCUUGAUUAUUCAAUGUCUGGUUGGCUACACUUAUGUCCAUGGGUACAUUUUUAAUCAACAUGGUUCGUUCUAAUAUAUCUAUUGCUAUAAUAUGUUUUGGUUGGUUCAAAUUUGUUUUACAUAAAUAUAUGGGUACAAAGUUUUUGGAGAAUAUUAUGUAAAAUGGUUUUUAAGGUUGCUGCAUUUUAUGUACCCACAUAUGCAUGUCUAUAAAUGACACACCCCGUCCCGAAGGAGGGCAUGCUGGCCGUCACGUGAGAGUGACGUAACCAUUUGCACAGUACGGAAGCUUUAAGAUACAAUUUAUAAGUUGAUACACCCGAAUGUGAGUCCUAAUUUUGUCCAAUCUGUCAGAACACCGUCAAAUUCCUCGUAGUCACCACACCUUUGUGAUUCCUGAACCUGGAGGGGCGCAAAACCAAAAUUGAGUGGGUCAGUAAAACAAUUCUUUUCCAAAUCCAAACAUUUCUCAAAACGUUGUAACCCCAAUCCGUAAAACUUGUAUAUUUUCCCAGAAAUGUAAAAUAUAAAUAUACAUAUAUAUUCUCAAUACUUCAAUUCAUUAACUCAACAUUUUUCAGUACAAUUAUGCCAUGCCAUGUCUAAUUCAACAGUUAAGUAUGGAUGCAUCAACAAUAAUCAUAUCAGGUGCAAGAAAGUAAUCAACCGGAGGCCCUCUAAUAGCCAUGUACGGUUGAACCUAGAGCUCAAAAUCUAUCACUCUCACUCUACCGGAGUCACCUCUGUGACCUGUCCGGCCUUCUGCACACAAGUUACGCUCUAGUGCUUUCUCAUCAAUCAUCUGUGCACAUAAUCUAAGGUCACCCACCAGUCGAAAUCUCACUAACACUCUUCGACUGGCCCGUCGCACCCACUCCGCGUGGACUGUGCGACCAGCAUCUACUUGGAUCCAAGGCGAGCGUGCGAUGCGGUGAAUACUAUAAGCACUAAACCAUGGUGCAGGAUUUGAGCUCAAUAUACAUCAACAUCAUCAUAAUAGUAAUUAAAUACUCACCUGAUACUCACCUGUGCGUCCGCCGCACCAAUUCAUAUAUAUGCAUCAUAUAUCAAUUCAUAUCAUUUCAUACAUGGCAAUUCAAUUCACGUUUUUCAUAUAGUUCUAUAUACUUUUCACAUAUUUCUAUUUAAAGCAUAAUUUCAUGCUUUUUCAAUUUCUGGGAAAACGGCAAGUAUAUAUAUAUACGGAAAACAAAACUGCCCACUCACCUGGAGUUCGCCCUACAACUCCCUAGCACAAUACGCCAAGGCGUCAUGACGAUCGGCGCCUAAAACAAUAAUCAAUUCCAACCUUAGAAUUCAUAUCGAUAGAAUAUAUAACUUAUAUAAAAUACGUCACUGCGUAGUUCGAUCCGGAAGAUCCACCACUCAGAUUUUAAAUCCAUAACUUCCAGAGGUCCACAAUAUAUCUCUAGGAUAACAUCCUAAAAUUUCAUUACCAUCCAACGGUCGGAUCUCCGUCAAUUUCCAAAACUAAGUGACGGUUAACAUUUUAUUUUAUGAACUUACAACUCCAAUUCCUGAAGAUCCGUAAAUCGGAUUCCCAAUCCGAAAGUUCCAAUAAUCCUCAAAUAUUACGUAUUACUACGUAUCAAAGUUUAGUGACGAUCUAACGGUCGGAUCGUCAAUUCACGUUUUCACCUAAAUGUGAAAACUAUAAAACGUUAUUCGAACAUCUAACCAACAAUCCUUAAUAACUUUCUCAUACGGUGCUCAAUUUGGGUAUAUGAAUAUACCACGGUGAUCUACUCGACGUCACGGACGUCGACAUAUUUUUAAAAUAAUUUUAUUUUAUUUUAUUUUUUUUACUGUAGCACCUUCUUCUUCCUUGGGUCGCCGGACUGGUUUUUCCAGCGGCCGUUUUCUGGGCAGUUUUUCAAAUUGCCAUAACUUUGUCAUUUCUCAACGAAAUCAAGUGAUUCAAAAACGAAAGUUGUAGCCCUUGAAGAGACAAAGAGAAUGGUACCUUACAAAACACCUAGUUCUCCGUGGUUUGGCCGGAAACUGCCUCGAAAGCCUCGGAGGUCGCCGGAAACUGGGUAUUUUUCAAAUGAGUAUAACUUCUUCAAUACUCAACGAAAUUGAGUGAAACAAAAAGGAAAGUUGUAGUAAUUGACGAGAUGAAGAGAUUGAUACCUACCUCGACUCCUAACUCGCCGGGGAUUCGCCGGAAAAAGCCUCGAAAGCUCCGGCCAAACUUUGAACUUGUCGAUCUCCGUGUUCUUACGUCCAAAAACUUCCAACGAAGCACUCCGAGCUUCCUUGGGACCUCACUAAGCUCACUAUGAGCUUGGAUUGUCCUAAAACAAAGUCAAUUCGAAAAUCAUGAACAGUGCACUUUCACGGGGAGUUUAGAAUCUAGGUUUUCCGAAGUAAAACUUACCUGAAAUUGGUGUCUACGUGAUCGUGGAGUCUCCAGGAGUUCGAUGGUGGUCUUAACUCCGUCGUUGGUGGAAGUUUAAGGUUGUUUUGCGGUUGGUUUGUUCGAACGGAGAAGAAGAGUGACAGAGAGAGAGAGAUUCGUGAGGGAGGAGAGAGAGAGACAGUAUGCAGAAAAUAGGGAGAGGAUUGAGGGGUGUGGGGAUCCCAUGUGGUCCUUUUCCAAUCCCCAACUCCAAACCACAAAAUUUUAACCUAAAAAUCUAAGUUCCAUCCUUAAUAAAUUCCAUUUUAUUUUCAAAACUUAGGAACCUAGAUAAUUAUCAACUUGAGCUUCACAUACUUAGUAUUUCUUAAGGGCAAUUUCGUCCAUUCACAGCCACGAAUGUAAUAUUUUUGGAACGGGCUGUGACAAUCUUCCCUCCUUAUAGAAUUUCGUCCCCGAAAUUCCAGCAACCAACUAAAUCAACCAUACUUCAACAAUAGCUUCGGGUAAAUCUCUCUCAUCCGAUUCUCUUUCUCCCACAUAAUUUUCUACUGAAUGAUUUCCUUCACAAAGCUUUUACCACUUACUCUGUCUUAAUUCUCAAGACUUUCUUUUUCCAAUCUAAAGUCGUCCUUGGUUCCUUAUCAAGUCGAAUCCAAUUUAAUUCUCAAUAGUUGCACCAGAAUCUCAUGUGACGAAUCUGCCACCUAGUGACAACGUAUCGAACCCAAAAUACAUUAAGUAUCUUAGCCAACUCUGAAGACAUCACCACAUGUAUGCAACUUUAUUGAUUCCUUUAGUGAUCAAAACGGACUGAUGUGUUCAAGACUUAUCUUGUCUUCCUUUCUGAAUCUUACUAUUUCUGUUCAUGGUGAAAUUUCCAAAAAUAUCAAACCAUUUACCUUACACACUCGAUUAGUGGCAUAUCCAUCUGUUAGUCUCUUUUGCCAUUCCUGGUUACUUCAGGUUAACUUAAUCACCUGAAUACUUUGAGGAGACUCAUCCAAAAUUUCGGGUCCACCAAAAUUCUUUUGUGAUCGAAUCUUUCUCUACCCAGAAGCAUUCCAUCCACAAUUCAGCAAAAAUCGACACACAUGACACGCUUCAUGGACAUUAUGGCGUUACUUUGAAAACUGGCGAAACCAACAUACUUAAGAAACUCAGCAGUCCCGUAACCCAAUUCUCUUUUCCAUAAAACAAAUAAGUACUGUUGCACUGUCUGGGAAAGGUUGUUACUCAACACUGGAGUAAAUAUACUAACUUGUUACGUUGCCCAACCAUCACUUCACAUUCAAUCGUAACCAUCUUGUAUACAAGGAAACUUGUACACAUAGUCCAAAGUAAUAUCUUUCCAUUUCUGUUUAGAAACAGAAAAUAGCUGUCUCAAUCCAAAGGUUUAUCUCUUUCCGCCUCAAUCUGCUGAUCAAAUAAACUGUCGAGUGGUAUGAUAAAUCUUAUUACUUUUGGAAUAUUGCAGAAGUUGAACAGUGAACUUUGUCCAAUAUUUGCUUGCUUCAAAUCCUCAGCAUUAGGCACAUACUUUUGGUUUUCUUGUAUCCACAUACCAUUUGAUUCACGAAUCAUGUAUUCAUUCUUUUUCCCUUCUUUCUCUACCUUGGUUAAUUCUUAAAUUUCCUCGUCAAACAUUUAAGUUUCGAGUACGACCUUACCAAACAGGCCUAACUUGAAAUUUAACAAGUAUAACUUCUUCUCGAUCUUUCAUUCUUAACUUUACUUUAGUUGGUUUCCAAUCCACAAGAAGAUAAUCAUGGCAAGCGUACCAGAUAUUAAUUAUUACUGCAGUCUUCUUAUCAAGUGCUUCAGUUACAACAAUUCACAAUCACCCUGAUCGUACAAUCAUAAUCACUAAGUAAUUCAAUCCACCUUUGUUGCCUCAUAUCACAAUCCUUCCAAGUAAACAAAUAUUGGAGACUCUUUUGAUUUGUAAAAUCUUGUAUUCUUAUCAACAUAUAAUGUCUCCAUAACUUCACAGCAAGGAUGAUAAUCGUGACUUCCAAAUCACCAGUAGGGUAAUUCAUCUUAUGAGGUUCCAUUUAUCGUGAAACGUAUGCAAUCACCCUAACAUUUGCAUCAACAUGCCUCCAAUACCAUUCAAGAAACAUCACUAAAAAUUUAUGAUUACCACUAUUCUCUGGGAAUACCAAAAUACGUGCAUGAGUGAGGAAAUACUUCAGUUGUUGAAUCCUUUGCUCACAAUUUCCUUCCCACUCAUACAUAACCUCUUUUCUCAACAGUCUCGUCAAUGACAAAGCAAUGACUAAAAACUCUUUCACAACCAUCCAAGAUAGUCUGGUAAGUUAAGAAUUUCCGAAUCUCAAUUAUGGCUUGUGGUUGUUCCAAUUUCUCAAUUCUGCUGCCUUUUAAGAAUUCAUUUGAAUACCUUAAGCAGAUAUAACCAAUCUCAUAAUGCCACUUGAUUCAUCCAACAUUCGCAUUUGCUAAACUUAGCAUACAACCAACGUUCUUUCAAUCUUUGCUUCAUCGACUUAAUACGUUUACAUGCUCUGCUCUGGCUCAGAAUGUACCAGAAUAUCGUCAAUGAAAAUGAUAUCAAUUAUCAAGGCAUUAUUGGAAUACUUCAUCCAUCAACUCAUAAAACCGCAUGAGUAUCCACAUAGCAUCACCAAACCUCAUAAGGACCAUAACAAGUCCAGAAAACCAUCUUAUGAUCAACGUCAUUCAUAAUCUUUAAUUGGUAAUAACCAGACUUCAAGUCAAUCUUUGAAAAUAUACAAGCACCUUUGAACUGAUCAAAUGAGCGUCAAUACACCACAAUGGAUAACGGUUCUCAUUCGUUACCCGACUCCAUUGUCUAUAAUCAAUGAACAGUCUCAAGAUCCAUUUUCUUCCUCACCAACAAACUGGGGCUCCUCAAAAGUGUUGUACUAGGUUGAAUAAAACUUUUAUCAACCAAUUCUUUCAACUAAAUUUCCAAUUCCCUUAACUCAUCAUGAACCAAUCUCCAAUAUAAAUUUAUACCUGGCAACAAAUCAAUAAUGAACCUCAUAUCUCUGCCUGAAGACAAUCCAGGUAUACUUUCAGGGGAGACAUCAAGAAAAGUCUAACCCUUUUGACAUUAUUCACACUACUCCAAACAACAUCAUUUAGCACCCCAUGAGCUAAGUAUUUUUAACAGCCUUUCGAAAACAAUCUCUUUGCUCUCACAGCAUUAAUAACGGCCUGACUCAAUCCACCUUGCAUACUUACAAAAGUAAUCUCUGGUCAUCCAGAUCGAUGGAAAGUACUGGUUUCCCGUAACAUUCCGUCUUGUCACAAUUAUAACCAACCGAUCUAAUGGAACAGAAUUAACUGAUACAAUAUAUAUUCUAUUAUUAUUAAGCAUUCUAAAUAAGUACAAUACUAACAUAAAAUAAUCUACCGGGUUGCUUGCUUAACGAAUCCACGAAUGAGUUAUUAAUAUUACGGUCUGCAGCCCGCAAUACUGAUAAAUCAUCGUUGUCUCGAUAAGUAGGCAACCACUCUCAAAGAUAUAACAUUACUAUUUUGUCACUCAAUGCAAAAUACAUACACUUGUCUCAACUACAUUUAUUUACUACUCUCUAGGUAAUAACAUACAUAAUAAGAAAUAUAUCAGUCGAAGUCAACUAGAAUGACCAAUACGGCUGAUUCAACUCUUAUCUCAAUAAUACGUCGGCCGGAUCCACUCCGCGUGGUCGGUACGGCCGAGCCUAUAACUCAUCCAACCUCUCUGUACUCACGGUCAAUCCGACCAAACUACUAAGUCCAUAACUCUGCUGAAUCGACACUAUGAUAUCAUGGAAAAUUAUUGAGUACAACUGAUUCUAGGGACGAUUCACAAUUCUGUGUCCCCUCUGUUCACAUAAACACAUUCAUUAAUUUCACACUUCCCAAAGUGUUAAUUUUGUACCUGCUGCACAAGGUACAUUUCCUUUACUCGAGACACCUUGUCUCAAAUAUCUGGGAUUACCAGUAUAUCCAUCACUUUUACUCUGACCAGCAACAUUAAAACCUCAGCUGGAAGAAUUAACUCUAGCUUCACUUCUUUCGAAGCUCUGAAUCUUUCUAUAUCUUUGAUAUGACGAAUCAUUAACUUUAUCGUCUUCUUUUAAUUCCCAUUCAUUUCUUAUUCUUCUUUAUUCUCGUUGCUCAUGUUCUCAGAGUCCUCAAGACUCAACAGCAUCUCGUAUAUUCCUGGUAAGAAGUACAAUGGAUAGUGGUCACCCAAAAUACCACUUCCCUUUUGCCACCCAGCUUAAAACAACAUAACACCUCCACCAAAUUAGCAGCAAUAUCCGAAUGGAAACGAGGCUAGUCUGAAAACUUUCUAUAAUAUUCAUUUAUCGUCAACUUCCUUGAUUCACAUUUGCAAAAUCUUGCUUACUACCAACGAUAAAUGCCGGAGGGAUAAACUUUUCCUUAAAUAAGUCCUUAAACAAUUUUAAAUCGGCUACUUCCUCUGAUGACAACAAUCAAUACUCCUGCUUCCAUCAGGAUACACGUUCAUAACUCAAACCAGGUAGUCGUCUCGACCCACCUGUCAGAAGGAAAUUUCCUUUGACUUGCAUAAUCUGAAACAUCUUUUCCAAUUGGUUAAUCCGUUACUUCGCUCCCUCAGGUUCAUCAUUCCAUAAGGUGAUUCAAAUUCGACUCAUAACCUGUCUUAAAAUGUCCCUUUUUAUAAUAGACUGAAUCACCAUAAUAAUAGUUUCCCCUAAACCGCUAUAUUAGGGAGACUAAAUUCCUCUAACUAAGUGGCUUGCUACGAGGCGGUGUAGUUCUGACAGAAUUCACUAGAACUUCUCAAAAUGUCCAAGAUUGCAACCAUGCUCUGAUACCAACUGACACACCCCGUCCCGAAGGAGGGCAUGCUGGCCGUCACGUGAGAGUGACGUAACCAUUUGCACAGUACGGAAGCUUUAAGAUACAAUUUAUAAGUUGAUACACCCGAAGGUGAGUCCUAAUUUUGUCCAAUCUGUCAGAACACCGUCAAAUUCCUCGUAGUCACCACACCUUUGUGAUUCCUGAACCUGGAGGGGCGCAAAACCAAAAUUGAGUGGGUCAGUAAAACAAUUCUUUUCCAAAUCCAAACAUUUCUCAAAACGUUGUAACAAUAAAAACCAGUCCGGCGACCCAAGGAAGAAGAAGGUGCUACAGUAAAAAAAAUAAAAUAAAAUAAAAUUAUUUUAAAAAUAUGUCGACGUCCGCGACGUCGAGUAGAUCACCGUGGUAUAUUCAUAUACCCAAAUUGAGCACCGUAUGAGAAAGUUAUUAAGGAUUGUUGGUUAGGUGUUCGAAUAACGUUUUAUAGUUUUCACAUUUAGGUGAAAAUGUGAAUUGACGAUCCGACCGUUAGAUCGUCACUAAACUUUGAUACGUAGUAAUACGUAAUAUUUGAGGAUUAUUGGAACUUUCGGAUUGGGAAUCCGAUUUACGGAUCUUCCGGAAUUGGAGUUGUAAGUCCAUAAAAUAAAAUGUUAACCGUCACUUAGUUUUGGAAAUUGACGGAGAUCCGACCGUUGGAUGGUAAUGAAAUUUUAGGAUGUUAUCCUAGAGAUAUAUUGUGGACCUCUGGAAGUUAUGGAUUUAAAAUCUGAGUGGUGGAUCUUCCGGAUCGAACUACGCAGUGACGUAUUUUAUAUAAGUUAUAUAUUUCUAUCGAUAUGAAUUCUAAGGUUGGAAUUGAUUAUUGUUUUAGGCGCCGAUCGUCAUGACGCCUUGGCGUAUUGUGCUAGGGAGUUGUAGGGCGAACUCCAGGUGAGUGGGCAGUUUUGUUUUCCGUAUAUAUAUAUACUUGCCGUUUUCCCAGAAAUUGAAAAAGCAUGAAAUUAUGCUUUAAAUAGAAAUAUAUGUGAAAAGUAUAUAGAACUAUAUGAAAAACGUGAAUUGAAUUGCCAUGUAUGAAAUGAUAUGAAUUGAUAUAUGAUGCAUAUAUAUGAAUUGGUGCGGCGGACGCACAGGUGAGUAUCAGGUGAGUAUUUAAUUACUAUUAUGAUGAUGUUGAUGUAUAUUGAGCUCAAAUCCUGCACCAUGGUUUAGUGCUUAUAGUAUUCACCGCAUCGCACGCUCGCCUUGGAUCCAAGUAGAUGCUGGUCGCACAGUCCACGCGGAGUGGGUGCGACGGGCCAGUCGAAGAGUGUUAGUGAGAUUUCGACUGGUGGGUGACCUUAGAUUAUGUGCACAGAUGAUUGAUGAGAAAGCACUAGAGCGUAACUUGUGUGCAGAAGGCCGGACAGGUCACAGAGGUGACUCCGGUACUAUUUUGACCAUUCUAUUUAACUUGUGUUUCAUUUAUUUUAACCAUUCUAUUUAAAGUUUAUCCCAAGUAAUCUAAUUAAGACUAGAGUCGAAAGUGAUGCAUUUAGUAAUUGCUUACACUUGUGAAUAUGAGUUGAUUGAGGUGGUGGUGGUUUCUUGUAUUAAUAAUUCUAUUUAAACUCAUACCCUCCCACACCAUCAGAUCCAAGUACUAUUUUGAUAAACUUUAAAUAGAAUGGUUAAAAUAAAUGAAACACUUUUAGAAAAUAAGUGAAGAUGUUGUUUACAAAUAUAGAUGCAUUUGUAUAUAAAAGCUUUGGCGGUUGAUCCGUAUACACUUCCAGAGAUAUAAGCAAGUUCAUUGGAUUAUACAUACAUAGUUAAUGUAUUACAGUAUAAUUAAUAAGAAAACAAUUGCAUCCCUUUCAGAUUAUAUAUAUAUAUAUAUAUAUAGACACACACACGCACACAUACAUACACACAGGCCCUUUAUGCAAAGGAAUUUUCAAUUUUUUUUUUAAAUGGGGAUUAGUUGUGGGGCCCACGCUGCAUUGAACUUUAACGAUCCGAACAGUCUAUUUUGUAAUUCUCGAUUCAUAGAUCAUCCUUGUAAAAAUUCAAUUCAAUCCGAACCUAUUUGCCUAUUUAAUUAUCAAGAUAAAAUUUUAUUGUUUCUUAUAUAACAAAGUAUUCGUUAAUUUCUUUGAACUCAAUUAGAUAUCUUAAACAUUUCCGAUUUGGUUAAUAUUGUGUAAGGAUGAUCUAUGUGGUGCAACUUGAAAAAUAGACGAUUACGAUCGUUAAAGUUCGAUGUGGUGAGAACCCUACAAUUAAUCUUCAUUUUUAUAAAAGAAUGGGAACCCCUUCCCUUAAAGGUUUCCUAUGUAUAUAUUUGUUCUCCAGACAUAUGCAAAAGGUAAUGUAAAACCAAUGAGAACUUAAAUAGAUAUUCCAUACAUAGGACAAUUCCAUAUAUGCUUUUUCAACAUUGAUAUCGAAAAGCCAAAUUGUUUUGAGGAAAUUAAUUGUAGCAAUGAUCCCUUAACUUUUAUCUUAUUGGAGCAAUGGUCUCUCAACUAAAAAUUCAUGACCAUUGGUUCCUUAACUCCACACAACGUGUAGUUAUGGUCAUUUUCAUUAACCCCGUCAGAACUUUUGUUAAAACAAGUAAUGUUAGAAGAAUCAUUGCUACAAUUAGGUUAAAGUUGGGGACCAUUGCUCUAAUUAAAUUAAAAUUGAGGGAUCAUUUCUCCAAAUUGCUUAAAGUUCAAUGACCAUUUCUACAAUUUUCUCAUCUAGUUUCCCAUAUUUACCCCAUGAUUCAGCUUCACAUGCAUUGCACAUGACUCAUUUUGACAAAAAUUUUAACGAAAUUGACGAAAAUGACCAUAAAUACACGUUUUGAAUAGUUAAGAGACCAAUGGUCGUGGAUUUUAGUUGAGGGAUCAUUGCUCCAAUUUGGUUAAAGUUGAGGGACCAUUGCUACUUUUUUCUCAAAUGUUUCGUAUGCGAAAAUAGGCAUUUGUAAAGUUUGGCUUGUUCAUGGCAUUAUUACUUUAGUCUAAAGUAAGGCUGGAAAUGGCACUGUAGAAAUGAAUAGUGUUCCAAUCUGAAUUUCAGUUUAAUUACAACAAUGCCAUUGCUCUUUGUGUUGCCUUUAGGUGAGCAGCCCAGCUUGCAGCCAGGCCCAAAUGUAUUGGUUUUAGCUGAGAAGCUCGGCCCUUGGUCAUGCCCAAAAUUUUAAAUUACAGUUUUGCCCAUACAAAAUAACAAUCCGAUUGUAUCGGGAAGGACAAUUUUGUCCUUUCAGUUUUGGGUGAGAUAGGGGGUAACAGGGUAAGUUUCAUUUGCUGUCGUUGAAUGAGGGUUUCGGGGAUGAGGGCUCUGUGUGUGUGUGGGUGAGAGAGAGAGAGAGAGAGAUGGCGAUGGAAGGAGAGUGAGGGGGAAGGGAAGGGUUCUCGGCACUAUUGUUGCAUGUGGAUUUCACAAGUGGGAGAGUGGGUAUGGUCAGAGAAGACCAUAUAGGUCGUUGGGAUUUCAGGGAAACGGGGUAGGGGUCAUGAAUGAACCCUGCUGAGAGUGGGUACCGGAUCUUGCGCUGCAUGCCUCAAAUCAAAGAUAAGUUCGUUUUUUUUAUUGUAUUUUUAUGGUAGCUUAGCUUUUGGAAUUGUUUAGUAUGUUAGGUCCGAUUUUGGGGGAUUUAUCUUUUUAGAGAGAGAGAUAGACAGGGAGAUAGAGAGAGAGGGAGAGGGAGAGAGAGAGAGAGAGAGAGGAGGAAGCAUGACUGUGUGCAAUUUUUGGUGUUAAUUAAUGGGUUGGUGCGCAGGGUGAGUGACAGAGUGACAGAGUGAAGGAGGGACGUGUGGGAGGGUAUGAGUUUUCAGUUCUUUCUUUUGAUUCAACAGGUUAUACACUGUUUGAAAAACUUUUUUUUUAUUAUUUUGUUCUCGUUUGCUUUGUUCAAACCAUCAUUUGAAUUUUUGGGUUUCACUGUGCUCAUUUCUCUGCUUCUUCAUAAUUUGCUGGUGUUUGCUUCUCAUCCCUCUGUUGGUAGAUCUUUUUCUCAUUUCUUGGUUCCUUAUGUAUUCUUUUGUACAAAUCUGUUUACUUUUUUGCUGUGUGAUAAUCUUAGCAGGUGAACUAUAUGAACGUUUUUUUUGAAACGAGUUAAGAAGAUCCAGCUGAAAAUAGCAUACAAGAUAGAGAACUGGUAUGCUGCUCGCCAGGGAAAGGCUGCUGGAGAGGCCGAGACAGAUGCCUCCUUCAGAAACCAGGUCAGUUUCCUGCUGCUCGGCGUCUUAAUGUAUCCAAAUUGUUUAUCUUUUGAUGAAAUUAGCUGGCUUUAUUUUCUAUUUUAUUUAUCUGCAUAUUAUUUUGGUUUGUUGAAAUUUUGACUAUAGUCAUUGUCACAUGGGCGCCCAGCCCAACCCAAAUUAGUUGAGGAUAUUUAAAUCUUCACCAUGGUAUUAUAGUACUCACUCACAGUUGUGAAUACUAAGGUGCAGGCAUGGCAUGAAGAAGUGGACCGUGCACGCCAAUGUCAGAGGGAUGCAGAGGGCAAGCUUUUUUCUUUGGAGGUAAGUAUCCUUUGUUUAUUGCCCAACAGUGUUGUUAUUAUCAAUUUGUAGCUUUGCGUUCUGAAUUUUUUGCUUUGUCAAACAACCUUCUUGAAAUGCUCGAUUUCAAGCCGAAGUCCAAAAAAUGAGAGUUGAGAUGGCUUCCAUGAAAAGGGAUGUAGAGCAUUACUCGCGCCAAGUGAAAUCUGCUUCCUCUCUUUUCGUAUAUCUUCAUAUGAAGAGUUUUACUAAGUUAUAUUGAGAACUAUGUUAUUUAUAGGUUAUAUUUUCCAUUUUGCAGGAACACAUGGAGCUAAGGAAGAGCUAUCGUGAACUCACUGAUCUACUGGUAAUGUCACUCAAACUGCUUUAUUUGUGCAUGCUGCUACUAUGCGCUUGAAUGCAUUUUAUUACUGGCGGGAUGCAAGAAAGCUAGAUAUAUGUGCUGGAUCGCUUGAUUAGUGUUAGGGUUUUAACAACUAAUUGUUAGCAGCUAGAAGCUCUGGUUAGAUGAAUGCUAAUUUGAUUUUCCUUACAGUACUUGAGUGCCAGUUUCAUAUUGUUUGUUCCCUGCUGGAUACCUGUUGUACAGUUUCAUUUCUGUUUCUUUAUAACUUUCUUGGCCCUGGGAUAUAUGCAUAUUGAGUACAAUGAAUAUCCAUUGUUCUCUAACUGUUGGGCUUUACUAUCUUUGUAGCAGCCUGCCUAACAUUUUUUAGGCUCUACACUCUACCAUCCAAUUUAUGAAAAAUUCAAAGAUUGAACGGUAUUGAUUGCAGAAAUGAAAAAAAUACUAUGAUAUUAGAAAGGUGAAUGUAAUUGUGUUAGAAGAAGCGUCUAGCAUGAUGGGUAAUAUUUUAAGUUUGUAUUUCUAAAAUUUUUUCGUUCUGGAGUAUGAUUUACCUCAAUUGUUUUGUACUUUAAUCUUUACUAAUUUUCAUUGUGGAGUAUGAUUUGCCUCAACUAACAACUUUUCAUUGUUUAACUUUUUCCUCCCUUAGAUAGUUGCAUAUGUUUGAUUUGUUAAUCUGCUUCUUACACAUGUUGUUUCCUAAUGGUGUAGGUGGGUUGCCGGAUGCAUGUGCAGAUUACUUGAAUAGACGAAGCUAAGAAUGACUUAGUAUUAAGUGAGAAAGAAGCUUGGGUCAGUUGGAUUUUGAUAUUUGAUUUAUUCAUGUUUUUUGUUGCUUGCAAUGUUCUCGCAUUGUUGUUCUGAGAUUCUGUGAUCUUAUUUUUCAUAGGAACUGACAUUGGUUUGCCAUAUAAUGUUUCAUGAACUAAUACAACAACUAAUCACCUUGCUUAGCUCUCAAGACACAUACUUAAUAGGUUAACAAACACUAACCUAUAAACUGAUCUGCUAAGCUGGACCAUUAACCUCUGUUUAUAUCCCUGCCACUCAUCUUUUGGCACUUAUCAAUAGCAAAAUUUAGAGUUACUGAAACCCCAAUUUUAAUGAAUAUUAUUUUUAGUUGAUAAUUAAAAUUAAUUGAUGAUUAAUCUAUUCCAUUGUGCAUUAUUUUAUCGCCAAAUACUUUGAAUAUUCAUUAGCAAAAGAUAUAGGGUUCACUAUUUAAUGAAUAGAAUUUUGAUGGUGGAUUGCAUUUCCUGAGUUAUAAAUGUGGUGAAUCCAUUAUUUACUAGCUGAAUAAUCAUAAUGUUUUGGCCACUUACCUUGAAUUUUGUUCAAAUUGAAGAAGUCACAUGUUUCUUUCUGUUGUUGAGGUAAUCUCUCUGUUGAAAGCUUCUAUUUCUUUUUUCUUUUUCUCUUUUUCAUUUGGGUAGAUUUUUUUUUUAUGGAUUUAUGUAUUUUUUUUCAGAGAAUUCGAAAUGAAAUAAGAAUAGCGGAUUGAGCAUAAACAAAUUGAUGAAAUUUUUAUUUGAGUGUUUGUGUUGGUCCUUUUUUGAUUUGUUGAGGUUUGGAAUUAUUUGAGUUUUUUUUGCUGUUAGUACUGUGAAGGAUGCUUGGCAAUCGCGAAAUGGGGGCUACCUCUUUGGAAAGAGAAGUCUCGCUAUCCAACCUCUCAUGAAUUACAAACAGGGUGCUUUCUUGCUGAAAAACCACUAAACCAGUAGAACUUUCCUCGGUUCUUCAAUUCGAUUCGAAUAAUUUUUUUACCCAGAAAGCCAGCGUUUCCUGGUGGGUUUUACAGCUUUCUCAAUGUUUUUGUGAUUUUGGAUUUGCAAAUUUGUUUUCUGUUCAAAUUUCCUUUUGUGAUUUUGGAGGUUUUGUUUAUCGAUUCUCUCACUCAUCUCUCAGCUCUCUCUCACUUUUGAGGUACAUGCCGUUGGAUUCCAUUUGCUGCUGCUGAUCUGCAGGUAAAGCUUCAAUUACCAUAUAAAGUUUACAUUUUUCAUGAUUUCUUGAAUUUGGGUUUUAAACAAAGGAAAUAUUGCUAGAUUCUUAUCUUAUGUGCAAAUUACUGGCUAUUUGGAUUGAUGCUUGAGAUUUAGAGAAUGCCUCGAAGCUUUAAUUUCUUUUUCCUUCAUUAUUACUGUUUUCAAAAUUUUUAUUGCUGGGUAUUGAUAAUUUGUAGUAUGUGAGGGCUUCAAUAUGUUGGAAUUUUGAAUGGUUAUUGCUUCAUCGGAAUUUGGGUGGUCCAAAUUUUGAAUUAGAAGAAACCCAUUUGAUUAAUAUUUUUGGUGGAUUGGUUCUCUGUGUUUUCCUUGCUAUUUCUCCCCCAGUUGGAAAUUGGAAGCCCCAACUUUGAGCUCAGAGCUUGAAUUUCUCAAUCGUUCGUUUCUCUGCACUCUCAUCAGUCACUCUUGAUCCUCUAUCUAAAGAACUGGGUAAUUUUCCAGCUCUAUCAAGUAAUACUCCAUUUAAUUGCUUAAUUGAGGUUUUUUGUUUCUCUUUUUCGCUCUUUCAUCAGUUCAUUGGCUUUGAUGUUGAGCUUAAGUAAAUGGGAGAUCAUUAAUUGGCAUUGUUCAAGAUAUAAUUCUGUGUUUUUGGAUUUGUGAAACGAUUUGCCUAAUGAUGAUAGUGGUUAAAAUAAAUUUUUCGUUAUGAAAGAGAACAUUGUUCUUCAUUUGCCUAUGGUUUUAAGUACAAAGUUAAACUACUAUGCUUUUGUUCAAUUGACUGCAACUCAUGCCGCAGUUUGCUUCACAAACCUCUACGGUUAGCUUCCAUAUAGUAUGUUGCAAGUUUGAGGAUAUCUUUACAUCUUAAUUUUUGCUCUCUCUGGUUGCUUCAAGUUUGUAAUUUUACGUGUUACAUUGCUACUUGAUUUGAUUAUAAAAAUGCAAAACAAAAUCCGUUUUGCUUUUAUUCAACUUAAAUGUAUCCUUUUGUUUGUUCAUAAUUGUGUUGAAUUUAUUCAACUUAAAUGUGUUUUAUUCAUCUGUUUACGCUUAAAACAACUGGUUUCCCUAGCAAUGCGCGGGCCUAAUUUCUAGUACAUAUACUAAAAGCCAGCAGAAAAUUACUGUUCAUCAUGGGAGAUAGAGCACUGUUCAUUAACCGUGAAAGGGCGAAAAUGCCCUCGGAUUCUUCUUUACUUCACGUACUGUUUACGAAUUGCUACAGUAUAAAGUCCGUUUUGUCCUUCCUGUCCACGCAUCUUUCAUCGUCCGUUUCUCUUGCUUCGACCACAUCUUUUUUGCUUUACCUUUCCUCUUCGUUUUUCGCAUUCGUUAGGCUACGAUUUUCGGAGGUGGAUUGUUUGCCCUCCCAUUUCCAUGGUCUCCCCAUGCCCUCCCAUUUCCAUGAUCUCCCCACGUCAAUAUUUUAUAAAAAUAAUAAAUAAAAGGUAAUAAGAAUAUAAAAUGUUGACGUGUCUUAACGUGACCACAUAGGCAUUGGGAGAGCAUGGAAAUGGGAGGGCACACAAUCCACCUCCGACUUUCUCCCUUUUCGCCAGCCCCUCUUUUGCUCUCAAAUCCUUGCUCUUUCUUUUGCAAAAUAGUCUCAGAAGAGAUCCUGGGUUUAUCGAAUCCUUUGUUGUUGGGCGUUUUGUUCUCAUCUUGCGAUCGUCGGGGCAGCAGCUUUAAGGUAAGUUUGUUUUUAAUGAUUUAUCCUCAUUUUACGAUGUCUGGGCUAACAAAUUUAAGAUCUUUAUUUUUCUUUUUGCUGCGGAUCUGCAGGUUUUGACAAGUUUUUUGUGAAAUUGGUGCUGUCAGUGGGUGUUAACAUCAGGUACCCAUGUUCAGUUUUUCGUUUUGAUUUGAAGGAAUUUCUUGCGCAGAAGAGCUAGGGUUUCUUGGUGAGUUCUUCGGGUUUUUCAUAUGGGUAAUUUUCUUUUCGGUUUAACCCUCUGCUUCUGCUGCUCUCUCUCUUUCUCUCAUCCCUGCCUGCUCCUCUCCAAUUGUUUGCUGUUCUUAAAUAUUGUGUUCAUUGCCUGAUACAACGAGGCAAUGGCGUGACAACAGGUGAGCUUGGAUAUCCAAAGAAAAAGAACAGUUGGUUCAUCUGCUGGAGUCUGAAGCUCAGAGAAGUGGAGGAAAAUUGCAGGUGUGCGAGAAAUUUUAUUUUGCUGAUAGGACUCCUUAUUUACGGAUGCAUUUUGAAAUAAUUGAAAAGUUGGAUUUGAGUUAACAGCUAUAAAAAUGUAGACAUGAUUGCUGAGAUUAUGCUAUGAAAGUGGAAUAAAAAAAUGGUAGUUUAUAAUAUUGCGUACCAAUUGUUUUCUCUCUUUUUUACCAAAUGAUAAGGGUGGUGGCUCAGGCCGCCCCCCUAAGCGUCCCCACUCUUCGACAAGUUGAAAUCGUGGUGAUAGUUUAUGGGCUGUGGUCUUGGGAUUCUGCAAAUAGAAUGAAAAACAGACACUUAACUAUCUUGUUAUUAAGCAUUUCUGCAUCAUUCAGUUGCUCUUGAUUUUCGUCUUUUAAGCGAUCUUAUUUCUGCGAUCUGACUUGAGGAGGGUUUUUAGACCUAUGGUUGUGGGUGUUUUCUCUGACCCCAUUAUCCGAGAUUUGUAGACUUGCGAUCGGCGGUCAAACAUUUUGUGAUUCUUGUUUUCUCUGCCUUUCGGUCGUUAAGCGCCGGCAGUCUUUAGAUCUUUGGCAAAUCAAUUUAAUACAACCGAGGUAUGUUUUAUAACUGCUGUCUUUCAAUUUUUGUUCUGUAUUUUUGUUAAUUUGGAUGAAGCUCUAAUAAUUUUGUUUUGGAUCAGUUGUGGUCCUCUGUUAGGAUUUUCCUGGCUAAGAGGGUAUUUGCGUUUUUGUUGCUUGGUUGGUCGAUCACAGAUUUACGAACAGCUGUGGUGGUCCUGUUAUUUUUUUGGUAUGUUUUUUCUCCUUUUUGGUUUUUUCCCGGUUUGAGCACCCAUUCAUGAAGAAUUAAAAUGUGUUUAUAGUUUUUCAGGAGAGAUUAGAAAAGUGAUUUCAAUUUGGGAAAAUUUAAUGUUGGUUAAAAUUUGUUUAUAAUUUUUGGGAAGGAAUGAGAGGACCCAUUGAAGUAUGUGUUGUGAUUAUUUUUUAUUCAUAUUUUUAACAAAUUGGGCAUGAAUUGGUAGGUUAACUGUGUGUGUUUAUUAUUUGAAUCGGCCAUGUUUGUCUUUCUAUGGUUCUAAAAAAUUUGUAAAGGCUGUUAACUUGGAAGAAAAUGGGAUCGAGGGUGAGGGGAAAACGGCAGAGAAAGCAUGGAAGAGAGAUUUGGGAUUAGGGGUAGGAAAACAGAUGAAAAGAAUAUGAUAGAGGAAUGGGUUCAGUUCAUUUUCACUAUUUUUUUUAACUGAUUUGGAUUUUGUUUGGGUUUGAGGCCAUCAUUGGCGUUAAGACGUUUAUUAUCAGAUCGUGUGUUUUUUGCUAACUUUUAUUGGUAAUUUUAAUGUUGUUCUUAUGAUUUUGUGUGGUAGGGUUUCUGAAUUUUAUCGUUAUUCAUUUGGUUUUGUGUGUGUGUUGGUUUGUUUAUUUUGCAGGUUGUGUUUGUGCUGGGACAACAUUUUCCACCUUCUGUUUGCACUGGGAUGAUUGCGUUUUAAAACUGUUGGGGUGAGAUUUACAUAUGGAAUCAUUCCAUUUUUUUUCUUCCAAAUAUGUGCAUUUAGUUCUCUUUUAUUUUAAAUUUUAAAAAUUAAAUCGUUAUUUGAGUAAAAUGUUUUAUCAGUUUAUGUUAUGUGUUGUGACCAGGAAUUCUGUUGGAUUUGCGAAUUUUGGUUUGAUGAGAGAAAUGAGGAGUUUUUUUUGUUUGAAUUUUUUAUUGGACCGAUUUUCAAUUGGAUUGCAUUCUGCCUUUUUGCACCAUUCUUAUGCAAGCAAUUCAUUGUUUUAAAUACAAUUUGAAGAGAGCUGGGUUGCGGGUUGGAUAUAAAAUGUUAAGGUGAGAUAAAAUCGAGAUACCAAGGGUGGAAGAAUGAUUCAGAAUUGGGGGAGGAAAACAGAGGGAAGAUAGAAGAAUAUAAGAGAAGGAUAGGGUUGACCUCAUUUAGAGUUUUUAUUUACUUAUUUUUUUUUAUAAAUUGAUUCAGGACUUGCAUAUCAUUUCUAAAUUUCUAACAUUUUUGUUUAAUUUGACUCCAGUUGAUGGAAAACAGAGCUCUUACUCCUAUCAAUCAGAUGGUCCCGUACAUAAAUGCAGAAAAAUCAAGGUUCGAGUUUGCAGAGUAUGCAGACCAAGGUUUCCCGAAACUACUGGUGCAUAUUCAGGCUUGCAUUGUAUAUUACUUACCUAUUAAAAAUUUGUUUGGAAUUUGCUUUUCCCACAGAGGAGAAGAGCUGACAGUUACGCUGUGGGCAGAUGUUGCUCGAAGUAUUGCUUCUUUAUCCAUUGAAUCAUUGUCUCUGCCGAUCAUUGUGGUUUUCACAAGUUUAAAGGUCAAGCUGUACCUAGGUAUUUGACUUAGUUAAAAACUAAUCUAUUUACUAUUAAUUUUUCUAUUAUAUUCAAACGUUAUUUAAUAUAUACUCUACUAAUAUUUUCUUAACAUGUCACACAAACAUAUUCACUUCUUUUGAUCAAUUUUUUUACAGCAUUUCAUAUAAAAGCUAACAUUUAGUUGAAAUUGAUUAGCAACUCUUUUCUUGCAUGUAUACAUACGAAUUAAACAAUAGUAUUAAACUAUUUGUUAUCAUUCUCAGUAUUUGUUUUAGAAUUAGAUUAAUAUAUUUAACCUGUUUUAGAAUUAGAAUUAUUUGGUAUCACUCUCAGUAUUUGUUUUAGAAUUAGAAUUAGAUUAAUAUACUGAGAUUAUUUAGACAAAUCUAGCAUUUUCUCAAAAUAUUUGACUUUUAAACUUAGAUUAAUAUAUUUAGCAGUUUUUUAACAUGCAAUUUUUCAUUAAUUUUUCAACACACAGACAAGAUAGUCUUGAACACCAUUGGUUCAUCACUUUUCUUCAUUGAUCUAGAUAUUCUGGAAGUAAAUUCAUACAAAUCAGUGUAAGUGUGUUUACUUUGUUUAAAAAAAUAUUAUAUGCUCUCACAAUAAAAGAAGGGCUAUUCUCACAAAAUUUAUGAACUAAUGUUCUGUUUUAACCUCUACAGCUUUUCCAAAUGCACAGAACCUCUAAAAAUACUGCCACCUUUUACAAAACAGGCCCGUGAAGCUCAAAUCUUGCAGACAGCGAAGGUCACAAUUGCAGACGCUGAAAUUUUCAUGCCAAAAUAUGAUGUGGAGGAUGAGAAAUUGUUUGCUGUUGUUCUCUUUUCAGUUUUGCAGGCGAUGAUCUUUUACCAAAUGUCGAGGAGCUUCCAUGGGACAUGCUCUAUGCUCUCGCUUCCCAGUUGCCUCUGUUGGGGUUGGAAAAGCUACAGAUCACAAUGUAAGUCAAAAACAGUAAAGUUCCCAAGAUGUUCUGUGCUGGAGCAGAUUUAAAGGUACGAAUUUUUAAUUUUUUUGUGAAGUCGAUGUUUUGUUUUAAAAGGAGUUUAUAAUGGAUUGAUUGGACAAGUACAGCGUGUUUUGCAGAUAAAGGGCCCUAGCCAAUUUUCUAUGACCUAUAAAGCAUUAACCAAAUUGGGUUUUGUUUGUUUGGUAACAGGGGUUGUUCAGGUUAGGUUGGAGAGGUUGGAGGUGAGAAAUGCAAUUGGGAAAGAUACGCUGAGAGUUUUACAGAACACCUUUGAAGCUGUCAGUGAGGAUUCUUCUGCUAAUGUUUUGUUGAUCAGCAGUAAAGUUCCCAAGAUGUACUGUGCUGUAGCAGAUUUAAAGGUAGGAAUUUUUAAUUUUUUCGUGAAAUCAAUGUUUUGUUUUAAAAGGAGUUUAUAAUGGAUUGCAUGGACAAGUACAGAGUGUUUGUUUGUUUGGUUGAAUGUAAAAAGGAAUUGGAAGAAUGAUGAAAGUACUUGCAUUUGGUUGUAGUUGGUCAGGCACUGAAGGACCGGUCAAUACGAAGUGCAUCUGUGGGACAAUAGUUGAAAGAAGGCCAGAGCAGGAAGAGAAGGCAAGGUUUGUGAAGAAAAACAGUGAUGUGUUUAAUUAGAAGAAAUGUGCAUUUUUUUUUCCCAGUCAAAUUCUGCUUUUGUUCUGACUAUUUUCCUUACUGUAUGCUGAUUUUAUUAUUUAAUUUUUGGUUUUUCCUUGAUUGGCUUGGGAAUUACAAUCAAAUGAUGAAUCUUCAGUUUACUUGGGUAAGCAUUUUUUAACAUAUAAUUUAGCUGACCAUUUUAACUGUCAGACCAUGUUGUUUUUGGUUAUCUAAUCAUUCCAAGAUGGCAAGUUAGGAUUGGAAGGGUUGCUAGAAAUAAGGAUUAUAUCUUGGGACAUUCGGUGAGUGAUUUUUCAAACUUUCAGUUUUACAAGACAAAAUAUCUAUUUUUGUGUGUAUUCUUCAAGCAUGUUAUCAUUAUUUAGGUUGUAGGAAAAAAAGAGAGUGACUUGAGGUGUUUUUAGAUAUUUUUGUGUGUAUUCUUCACAAUGUAUUAAAAGCGCGAGGCGUGGGCGAGGCGUCUGAGGGAUAGCCCACGCCUCACGCCUUACGGGACCUAAAUUUUUUAAUAUAUACACUGAGCGUACACAUAUAUUAUAUUAAAAAAAAAUUAUUAAUCAAUAAUUACCCUGAGCGCACAUAUAUAUUAUAAAUACAUAUAUACACAUAUAUAUACAUAUAUUAUGUUAUAUAUAUAUAAAAUAGAGGAUGAAAAGCACAAUGAGCACACAUAUAACAAUGCAUGCAGACGGCACACAAUAUAGUGCAAGGAAUAGGUAUGAGGUAGUUAAAACCCUACCCAAAAUCUGGGUUUGGGAGUAAAAAUAAAAAAUAAAAAAAAAAUUGCUUGAGGCGCGUCUAGGCGGCUCCGACAACGCCUUCCGGCGCCUUCCGCCCACUCCCUCAAAACAAAGGCGGCAACCCUCAAGUCCAGCCUCACAGGGUGCCUAGGCGCACCCUGAGGUGAGCCUUUUAAAACAUUGAUUCUUCAAGCAUGCUAUCAUAAUAUUUGUAACUAUAAAAAAUAAUAUACUAUUAUACCUCUGUUUCUCUUUUCUUUGUUUUCAUGAGAAAUUAAUUGCCAUUGGCAGCACUAUAGAAAGCCAUCUUUCUCCAUUAUUCUCCGCUUCAUGCAUAAUUACAUAAUUCUACUAUCACAGUUGUCAGUCCUGAACAAUCAUGCAAGUCUAGUGGCAAAAACCACCUCAAUGAACAACUCUCACACACACACAGACACUGAUCAUACAUCUCUAACUCUCUUUUUCAAAUAACACACACUCUGAUCCAAAACAGGGUAAAUAAAAUGCACAUCCUUAUACAUUUCUAACUUUGUUUUUCGAAAUCCAAAAUAGGGUAUUCUAACUCUCUUUUUCAUUCAUUUCUUACAAACCAAUCAUACAUUUAAAAUAGGCUUUGAAUAAAAAUAGGGUAUAUAAUUAUAUACCUCAAAAUGCCUAGGAACCAACUUCCCCCUCCAACGAUUCAAAUUCUUGAAAUUGCCAACACAGUAAAUCCAUUAGUACUAUAUAAAUGAAAACACAAUUGAAACCCAUCAAACAAAACAAUCCCACAAUUUAAAUGAUUCAAUCCUACUACAAUUGAAAUUCACAGAAAGAAUGAAAAACCAGAACAAAACUGCAGCACCUAAAAAGUUGUCAUACAAAAAAACAUGGAAUGUAAAAAUAUGUUAAGAAAUCUAGUUCGUUAAUUUCCAGCUGCUAAGUGGCAUUAUGUAACUUUAGUAGUAUACUAAUUAACUACUUAUCUGGUGGGUUGCACUUUUAUCCAAUUGGUAAGGAAAGGAAAAUAAAAAUCAACCCCUUGGUCUUAGUUGUGGCUGCAAAGUGCAGGCCACCACCAAGUCUCAGUGUUUGUGUUUUAGCAAAACACUUAAAUAAAUUAAAUUCUGAAAUGUAAAUUAUAUUCCUAUAACUUUAAGAUGCACAUAUAGUAUUGUUGAAGUCGAACUGAAAGCACUGACAAUUCCAAGCAACAGAGCAGCAAUUAUUAAGAGCCAAAACUCAUUCCUAGUCUCCUCAUCCUGGUACUCAACUCCGUAAUCUUUGGUCAGCAUCAUUGACUGAAAUUAGGAGAGAAAAAGAAAAGGAAUUUCAGAAAUUGUCUAUGAAGCAAAGGAUACUGCAGUUACUUCAAGACAUGUAAAUUGCAUAUGUAUAAAGUAAUUUUCUACAUAAAGUAAUGAGGCAUAACUUUCUCUCUCCUCUUCAAACCCUAAACAGAGCAAAGCAACAAACUUUACAGAGAUUAGAAUGAGAACUGGAACUAAUCGAACAAUGACUGAAAAGUAACAUACUUGAGGAGUGAAUGAUUUAGUGUUUCCAUCAUCGGAAGCCGGAGUAAGUCGCUAAGAGAGGUCGCAAACAGCCCAAAGGGACAAACCCAGAUCCCCGGCCCCGAUCCAUACCCUUCCCCCUCAAAUCCCGACGGCCCCCAUACUUUUCUCUGACUGUACCCCCUCUCCCACUCAUGAAAUCGAGGAUCUGUAGCAAUGGUACUGAGAUCCCCACUCCUCCCUCUCCCUUUCUCUCUGUCGCUCUGUCUCCCUCUCCCUCUGUCUGUCUAUCUUUAUCCCAGAGCGGCAUGGCCUCCCAUCCCUGAAACCCUCACCGAAAGGUGGCAAUUUUGUAAAUAACUUGAAAUCCACCAACAACAGGGGCAGAGAAUUGAAACAAACAUUUAGGCUCGUUCGAUAACCAUUUAGGCCAAAACUGAGCACACCUAAACCAUUCCUACCCGUGCCAAAUGUUAGUGGGGAAGCAAGAUGAAGACUUAUUUUUCAAAACCAAAAGAAAAAAAAAAGAGAAAACAAAAUAACAAAUCUAAUGGUUGUAGUGUAAAAGCUGAGAACGUAAAUAAGAGCAGUUCCAGCCUUGUAAAUAGGCCGGGGGACAGGGGAGAAGAAAAGGCCUGAGGGCCUGUCAAGUUGCUCCAGCUAUGAGGAGCCCGAGCUCGUGGAGAAGGCCCGAGCAGGGGGUCUGUCAAUUUGUGACAGCCUCGGAGCCCGAGCUCCAAGCCCAUUUUUUAUUUUUUUCUGUCAGGCGCGUGCACCCCACUCGCGCGUGGGGGCGCGUCGCCCGACAACUUUUCAGAAAAACAGACAACUUUUCAGCCUUUCACAGUUACCGUUGGGAAGCCACGUGGCUUCCCACGGUCUGUUCGAUCUCAACGGCUCCUUCAUUUGGACCGUUGGAUCUCAAUGGUAAAAAAAAUAAAAAAAAUCUGAUUUAAUAUCAACCGUUCGAUCCGAGAUCAACGGUCGAUAUUAAUAUGCUUUAUAAAUAAAGAAAAAAUAGUUUUAAAAUUAAGAAAAGUUACCGUUGUGACACGUGGCACAAUCUGGAGUGUUGGAAUUCAAAAUUUUUUAAAUCCAACGGCAGAAAUUAAUUAUUGGAAUUUUUUUUUAAAAAUGGAAAAAAUCCGAAAAAAUUGUAAAAAAUCUGAAAUUUUUUUUGUAAAAAUUUGUUUUUACUUUUCUAUAAAUACCACUUCUUCUCUAUCUACCUUACACCACAAUUUCAUAUUUUCUCAACUACUUUCAAUCAAAUUCCUAUCUUUCUCUUAAAGUUUCAAUCCAAUUUUUUUCCACAAAAUGGCUACUGAUGCAGGUUCGAAUUGGUCGCUUCUUGAAGAUGUUGCGUUGUGCACUAGCUGGGUUCAAGUUACUCAUAAUUCCGUUACGGGUAAUGAGAUGCAGUUGCGAGAAAUGUGGAGUUUAAUUCAUACCAAAUUUGUUGAGCAAAUGAGUGGGAAAAGAACCAAAGAAUCGAUAUCGAGUCGUUGGAAAAUACUUAGCCAUUCCUUUAGUACGUGGAGAGAUGCCUUGACACAAGCUAGUAAUAAUGUUCGAAGUGGGGCAAAUUAUGCGGAUGAGGUAAGAAUAUAUUAUAAUUAUUUGUUUGUAUUAUUAUUUUGUUACCUAAUUUGAUUAUAAUUAUUUGUUUGUUUCAUUUAUUUGUUACCUAAUUUCAUUAUUAUUAUUUGUUUGCAAUAUUUAUUUGUGACCUAAUUUCAUUAUUAUUAUUUGUUUGUAUUAUUUAUUUGUUACCCAAUAAUUUCAUUAUUAUUAUUUGUUUGUAUUAUUUAUUUGUUACCUAAUAAUUUCAUUAUUAUUAUUUGUUUGUAUUAUUUAUUUGUUACCCAAUAAUUUCAUAAUUAUUAUUUGUUUGUAUUAUUUAUUUGUUACCCAAUAAUUUCAUUAUUAUUAUUUGUUUGUAUUAUUUAUUUGGUACCUAAUAAUUUCAUUAUUAUUAUUUCUUUGUAUUAUUUAUUUGUUACCUAAUAAUUUCAUUAUUAUUCAUUUGUAGCAACUUCAAGCACAAGCAUGGUAUGCUGCCAAAAUCAAAUCAAGAAACAAAUCAUUCCACCGAUGGGAAUGUUGGAAUAUUGUUAAAGAUUGUCCUAAAUUCAAAGUUGUGCCUGUUGGUCCAGAAGUAUGCAUGAACAGCAUCCCUCUACACAGCACCUUUGUAUACAGCAACCCUCCACACUCUACACCUGAUGAUGGCACUCAGGUUGAUGAAGAAGAUGUAGAUUUAUUUAAUUUCGUAAUAUAUUUAUCCUAAUAAUAGAAUCUUUAUUCAUCAAAUUGUUCACGUAUAAUGAAAUAAUGAAACACACCAAAUAAAACUAAAAAACUCACCAAUUGGAAUUACAUAAACAUACCAAAUAAAAUUACACAAACAUACCAAAUAAUAAAAAACUCACUACAAAAAACACACCAAAUUAAAUUACAUAAACACACCAAAUACAAACAAAUAUAGUAAAUAAACUUAAGUAUCUUCAGCUUGUUUCAAUGCCCACUGGUGCUCUAUCAAGUCAAUUUGCCGAUCAUUGUGUAUAGAUGACCUUUGAAGUGCAGUAUAUUGUUGAAUAACCCUUUCAUUGUAACGUCCAUCCCUUUCUAAUGGCUCGUGUUGCACGGGUUCUUCGGUGGCAUCAUGCGCACAAUAUAUCCGUGUUCUUGAAUUGUUCAUCGUGUCUGGCUCUGGCUCAUAUUCAUCAACCGCAUCAUAAUCGAACUCAUCUUCCACAAUCAUGUUGUGAAGAAUGACGCACGUCAUCAUGAUGGAUCGAAGUGACUCUACAUCGAACAUUCUGGCAGCACCCCUGACAAUCGCCCAACGAGCUUGAAGGAUACCAAAACAACGCUCCACAUCCUUCCUGCAUCCCUCUUGACAGCUUGCAAAGUGUUUUUCCUUUGCACUUCUCGGACGUGGCACUGUUUUGACAAAUGUUUCCCACUGUGGGUAAAUGCCGUCAGCUAGGUAGUAUGCCCCGUCGUACCUACGUCCGUUGACGACAUACGUGACUUGUGAUGCCUUUCCUUGGAGGACGUCGUUGAACACUAGGGAUUGGGUAAGGACGUUGAGAUCAUUUUGAGCCCGGGAACCCCGAAAAAGGCGUGCCAUAUCCAUGUAUCAAAAGAUGCCACUGCCUCCAAAAUGAUAGAUUUUGCUCAUUUUCUGUCCCCAUAUGCGCCUUGCCAUGCACUUGGACAGUUUUUCCACGUCCAGUGCAUACAAUCGAUGCUUCCUAUCAUCCCAGGAAAACCUCGCAUCUCGCCCUUCUUCAGAAGCCUUUGCAAGUCCAUGUGAGUAGGUCUUCGGAGGUACUCUGCCGUGUACAAAGAUUCGACUGCUCCGCAAAACCUCAUCAGGGCCUCAAGAAUGGUUGAUUUCCCCAUCCUCGUUAUCUCAUCCACUUGGUCUGCAGAUGCUCCAUACGCAAGCAUCCGCAACGCAGCAGUGAUUUUUUGCUCUGGCAGAAGAUCCAUAACACCACAAGCAUCCUUCUUUUGCACGAAGUAAGAAUCAUGGUUGCAAACAUCAGUCAUGAUUCUGUUGAACAAAUGUCGUUCCAUUCUAAAACGGCGUCUGAAGUACGUAUCAGGAAAUGCACUGUUAUGGACGAAGUAAUCGUCCAACAGCUCUUCACCCCGUCGUUGCCUGCUUCUAUCAAGGUUUUUUGAACGGCUGGGCCUGCAUAUCUGAGCAACAGUCUGGAUGACUCGACGAGAAUGUGAGGCUCUGGCCAUUCUUGUUUCGUCAUCUCUCUUUCUACGCUCCUCAUCUUCUUCCAUCUCAUUUCUGCCUAUAUGAAGGUUGAACAUUCCUUCAGAUUGGUUAAACAAUUCUUUCUCUUGCUGAUUGAUUUCCCACAUCAUCCUUGAUGAAGAAGAAGACAUUGUAGGAUGGAUGGUGAAGAAGAAGCAAAAUCUAUGAAUAAUGAGAUUGAGAUGUUGAGAAAAUUGGUGUGAGAUUUGUGAGGAUGGAUGGUGGAUUAUAUGGACGAUUCAGAAAGGAUCGGAUUGUAGAUAAGGCCACGUGGCAUGCCGUCAUUCGUUAAAAAUCUGAUCGAAAUCUGUCCUGAAAGAUUCUGAAAAGAUAAUGACACGUGGCACGAUCGUAUUGGAUAAAAAUCUUAUCGAAAUCCAUCUCCAAUAAUUAUCAUUUUGGAUAAUGACACGUGGCGCAAUUUUGAACGAGUUAAAAUCUGAUUGAAAUCUGUCUUGAAAGAUUCUGAAAAGAUAAUGACACGUGGCACGAUCGUAUUGGAUAAAAAUCUUAUCAAAAUCCAUCUCCAAUAAUUAUCUUUUCGGAUAAUGACACGUGGCGCAAUUUUGAACGAGUUAAAAUCUGAUCAAAAUCUAUCGUCAAAGAUUCUCAAACGAUAACGACACGUGGCACGAUGACAUUUGAUAAAAAUCUUAUCGAAAUCCAUCGUUAAAUAAUUGUUUUUUUUUAUAAAAUGAUACGUGGCGCAACGAUAACGAUUUAAAAAAUCUUAUCCGAAAUUACAAAUAAUUUUAUUUUGUAUUAUUUAAACAAACAAAAAAAACUAAUAUUUUAUUGCCUAUUGCCAGGGGGAGGGCUCCAAGGGUGGAGAUGCAAAUGGCAAUUACUGUUCAUUAAUGUCAGUUACUAUUCAUUCAAGGCAGUUACUGUUCAAUAGGGUGGAUUCAAUAGUGGAUUGCCAGGGGGAAGGUCUUCAUGGGUGGAGUUGCUCUAAACAUGCAGGGAAAAAAAUGAAGAUACAAAGUAGCUGCAUCAUGAAACACAUACUCCAAUUAGACGCAAAAAGUGAUGGUGAUGAGAAGAGAGAAAAUGUUGUCGUUUUGAUUUUUCUGGCUUUUAAAGGGAGCAGCUUUCUUCGACCACCAAAAAAAGGAAGUUGCUUUUCGUGUGGUUGUGAUUUCCUGAGUGUAUGUGAGCGGGUCUAUGGCACUUGCACUGUUUGUGUCGGUUAUGGUAACCGGGCGAGCUGGACACAGUAGCGUGGGACUGAAUUCGGAGAGGUGAGAAAAAUUAAAAACACAAAAAGAAGGUGUUCAUUUUGUCACAUUUUUAUUACUAAAAAUUCAAUAAAGUACAUUCAUUAGUAUGGUAACUUAACUAUUUAAUUCCAUCUCAUUAAACUAAAAAAAACAAUUACAAAAAAAUAAGGAAAACCUUGUCCAGAGAGACCUGAGAGAAAGUGACGACUUCUCCUCUCAUUCCACUCCAUACUUGAUCUCUAAAGUCCAUUUGGCAUGUAAUUGAUGUUCAAUUUCAAAUAAAGUGGUGGCAAUUAGCAAAGCUAAUGAAAGAAUCAAAUAAAAUGAAAGAAAAAGCAUCAUGAAAUAAAUCAAGAUGAAGAAUGAAAUUUUGGCAACUCGCCAUUCUCUUCUUUUAUAUAAAAGAUACAUCCUAUUUGUAGUGAAAACAGGUCCCGACAAACCCAGUUAUCCUCAAGAAGUAUUUUGUAUGACUUUAAAAACAUAAUCCGUGAAAUUAUCUCUUGGCAGAGAACAACAACAAAUCUUCAUGCAUAGCUUGUAGAGAAAGACAUCAGGCAUACAAAAGAACAGGCAAGCAUAAAAUAAACGAUGCAUGGAAAACCAAAAAUACAAUUGAAUAUGCUGUCAAAAGAACAUGAAUAAAUGAAAAUUACAAAACAAAGAAGUGAUGGGAAACCAAAGUAUUCAUAAUCUAAUUGCUUUUUAGUUUGCUUGCCAUUUUUAGUUCUUCAAUUUAGAGAGAAACCAUAAUUCAGCACAUGAAUAAAGUGAAAACGUAAAAGAUACGUGGGAUAAGCUGACAGCCAUCCCUGAGUAAUGCAUUCACUUUUGAACCCCAAACACACCGAAACAAAAAUUCACACACAUGAACUACAGCUCCGCUAUGUAACAAGAAUUAAAAGCAUCUCAAAACAAAAUGGCAAACUAUAAGAGCAUUGUAAAAGUAAAAUUGCAUCUAAUACUUGGAGGGCAAGUACUAAUCAGACGAAAAUGAAAGAUUGAACUACCUCACGUGGAACUGUGCCUUGGUUUUUUCCCAUGCUUACAAGAAGCUUUGCACUGAGCUCUUAUAGCCCAAAUUUUCUCUGAAGGAAAAAAAACACAAUUUUGGAAUAAGAUUUUCAUAUUAUACCUUAAAGAGAAGAAUUAGACAACAAAAAAGAGAACAAUGAGUACUAUUCAUCAUAUAUUGUUAAGAGUAUGUGGUCUUCUAGUCCAAUGGUCCUGCAGUCAUAUUUACUUUAUAACUCUUUCUUUUAGUCUAAAAAAACAUCUUGGAUCUCAAAUUAUUAUGAAUACGGAUUCAUACUUUAUAACUAAAGAUCUUACUGCUCUUGAUAAGAUGAACAAUACGCCAUUUAUCGCAUGCAUUGCAUUACAAUCACAAUGCAACAUCUCAUUAGAAAUCCCCACACAAAGCAGCUCCACUCAUUGUGGUCCUUGCAAACCGAAUUGGCCCAACGAUCAGCGAGAGAAAGGAGACGGCGGCGAGAUGAGGGAUAUGAUGGAUGCGAGAUCGUCUGUAUCGUUAUCGCGGGGGGUCUGCAAGACGGACGAGGAAAGUAGGGUUUGAGAAGGCAUUGUCUUCUCGCGGGGUAUGUGUCCUUCCUAUUCCACGAUUAUCAACACGUGUGCAUCAGGAGGAGCGGCAGAGAGAGGCAUUGUUGUAAAUAAAGUGAAAUCGAAGGGUAAGGGCCCAUUCUUUAAGGUAAUGGCAUGGCCAUAAAUAGAAUGAAAUCCAGAUCAAAACACUGUCAUUUGUACAGUACAAUUUCUCCAUCUUCUUCAGACUAAAGUAAUGUAUAUGUUAUACGCACCAACACAAGUCCUUCUUAGAUAAAUCCAAGCCAAACAAUUACAAACGACAGUUAUUCACAAGAAAAUCACUUUAAAGCAAGAAUUUAAUUAAUAAUACAUUACUACACUUUCUUAACAAUUUGACGGUCACCUAGCUAACAAUGAACACGUUAGCUAUGCGUUAGAACAUAUUGGGUUCAAUCCAUAGUCUUGAAUAUCACCCCGAGUCACAACUGUCUCUUGGGGCAUACAGAAGGCCUGAGAGGCAUUUGCAGACAUUCAAUCUCUCCUCCAAGCAUUUCGACAACUUUGGAAAUCGAAAGGCGAUCACUUGGUUUCAUUUGAAUACACCACAAGGCGGUUAUAACCAUCUUUCUUAUCACUUUCUUUUCCUCCUCUGUAACAUUGUCUAUUUCCAAGUCAUUUCCCACAAUAUACUGAUCAUAUACCCACAUCGGGAAGUAGAUUUGGCUUGGAUGCUCUACCGUUGCAUUCAAAUUCUUCCUUCUGCUUGCCAUUUCCAUCAACAACAUUCCAAAACUAUAGACAUCGGCCUUGUAUGAGACACCUCCAAUAUUUUUGUAGAACAACUUAGGAGCAAUAUAUCCCAUUGUACCCGUGUUGCCGUCAAAGAGACAAUGAGAAAACUCUUGAGUUCUUCAGAAACCACGAGAAACUUAAAACUGAGAAAGCUUCGUGAUCUCCCUUCCAUCUCUGCUACGCAAUCUCUGCUUCCUCCGUGAUUUCUUCCUUCCUGAUCGACAUCUAUUCGAAUUGAAAACCUUCUGGAGCUCACUACCCCCUUUGUCAGCAGUAAUUAGGGGUGGGUUCAAAAAACCGAAAACCGAAAAAAAUCGACAACCGAACCGAACCGAGGCCGAAAAAAACCGAACCGAAAAAAAACCGAACCGAAACUGUCAAACCGAACCGAACCGAAUCUGACCGGUUCGGUUUCGGUUUUUGAGGUUCAAAAACUGAACCGAACCGAACCGAACCGAUAUAUAUAUAUUUAAUUUUUUUUUCAAUAUUAUAAAUAGUUUAGGCAUACAAUCAUAACAAAACAGAACUUGUUGCCAAGUUGGUUUAAGCGAAAUUUUUCACACUGGUGGCAAUGGGUUCGAACCCUCAUGCCUUUAGGAUUUAUGAGAUUGUUUUUUAAUUUUGUUGAGAAAUCAACAAAAUCCUUUAACCCUAACUUUUUUAUUUUUCAUUCCCCUCUUCUCUCUCUUGUUCCCUGCCUCCAGUCCAAACUCCCUCCAUGAACCCUAACCCAGUAACCCUCUCGCGCCGCCUGAGCUUCCUGUCUCUCUCGCUCGGUCUUCAAUCGCUCUGUCUCUCUCAAUCUCUCAGGCAACCCGCGACAGUGCGACCCUUCUCACUCUCAAUCUCUCACACCUCGCCCUCUCCAUCAGUCUCUCAUCUCGCCGUUUCGAGUCUCGAUAGCAAAAGGUUAGCCUCCUCUCUCUCUCUCUCGGUCUUCAACUUCAAUCACUCUCUGUCUCUCUCAAACUCUCUGUCUCUCUCGGUCUUGAAUCUCAGGCGACCCACGACGGGGCGACCCAUCUCACUCUCAAUCUCUCACACCUCGCCCUCGCCGUCAGUCCUUCAUCUCGCCGUGAGCUUCUUCUUGCCGUUUCGAGUCUCGACUGCAAAAGGUUAGUCUCGCCGUGAGCUUCUUCUUGUUCGUUCGCAGACGGAAGCUCUCUACUCCAAACUCUACGAAAAGUACACAAAAAUCAAGGUGUUCUGUGUUCUUUCCCACUUCUUUACAAUUUUUUUUGCUCAUUCAUUUUUUUUUGCUUAAUCAGUUAAUUGUAUGUUAAAUUUGCUCAGGGGAGAAAUUUGAGGUUAGGGAAAUAGAAAGUAAUUGUCUUUUUUUGUACUUUUGAAUUUUUUUUGCUCAUUCAUUUUUAAUUGCAUGCUAAAUUUGAGUUGGGAACUUUUGCUUACUUGUUACCCAGUUGGAUUUUUUUGAGCUACUUUUGCAGUUUCUUUCUUCGUCUUAAUUUGGGAACAAUUUGAUCAUGUUUGACUUAUCAUUUUGUUAUUGGAGGAAAUCAGCAGCUUUAUGGUUUGGCAAGGUGUAGUGACGAUAGAUAGCCUACUUUUAUGUAUAAUUUGAAAGAGGAUGGAGAUAAGUAUAUUUCUCUGGGAAUCAGAGCUUCCAUGAUAUGUGAUUACCUGUUAUCUUUGAAUUUCUCUUCCGACUCUUGUAUUUCCUUAAGUGAAACUAUGGCCCUGCAAAUUUGACAUGUUGUUGAAGGUUGUAAAUCAUAUGUUGUUCUUUUAGUGGUAAAAAUCUUGUUAAACAUGUAUUUUCAUUUAGGUUAUGGACUCUUGGACAUGCUAAGUCAUGAUGGAAAAGACCAAAGAUUCAUUGGUAACGUGUUCUGAAAAGUAGCAUAGGCAUUGCAAUUCUCUGAGUAGCGUUUUAUUAUGGAUAACGUUUUUGGUGCUGAAGGAAGAUUUCCAUCAAACCUAGCAUCAAUAGAGCAUAUUGUUUCUUGACUACAUUAUGUAUGAGUAUUAGAGUUUAAAUUGUAAACGGAUCUGGACAAUAUAUGAAGUUGGUAUUGAUUUCUCUCAGAGAACAAAUAGAAUUGAACAUCCAGGCUUGUUCUUGUUGACAUGAUUUAUAUAAGAUAUACUUAUAUCACUUUAGAGAAAACUGGUUAUAUGCAUCUGUAUUGUCUCAAAUUAAUUUUAGGCUUCCCUUCAAAGCGUUCUUUUUGUCCAUCCAUCUGGGUGGUGUUCAAUUUUAGAUUAUCCUUUGAAUACUAGACGUCCAGAUAAUGGCUUUGUGGUCCUUCAAAUAAAUUACUGAUAAUGUUCAUGCAGUUGAUGGUGAAACAGGUAUGGUAAUUAAACGACUUCAUGUUUAGGAAUGAUAGGCUUGUACUUUGUAUUUUAAAGAUGUGUGCAUUUUUCAUAUAAAUUUUGUUCAUUGUGUUAGAAUGCUUAUAUUAUAAUUGUGUUGGAGAUGUUAAAAUUUUAGAUUUCAAUUUUGUUUUCAUUUUUCCCAAAAAAAAAAAAAACCGAAAAAAACCGAAACCGAAAAAAACCGAAAAAAAAAAUGGACCGAACCGAACCGAACCGUUUUGAACCGAACCCAGCUCUAGCAGUAAUAAUUUGUUUUUGCAGCUUUAUGUGUCUCUGUCUCCAAAUAUGAUGAUCUCUUAAUUUGCUUCUAUAGCUUUUGUAAUAUGAUGAUCUCUUAAUUUGCUUUUGCAUAUCUUCUUUGCUUCUUCUGCUAGCUCUAUAUGAGAUUCCAUCUCCAAAUAAUUGUUCCCUAUUUCCUAUUUUUACAGGAAGCAAAUCAUUGAAUACACAUGGAAAAUUAAAAUGGUUUCAGUUUUUGGUUAGUUUAAAUUUUUUGUUGGUUAUUGCUUGUAUUGUGAAAUCUCGUUCCCGGAUUUCACUGUUAUAAUGUACGUGUUUGUAUUCUCGAGAAUUUAUAUUAAGUUAUUUGAAGUUAUACUUUAAUUAAACUAGUUACGAAGGUUAGAGUUUGGAAAUUAAUUAUUUAAAAUUCGUAAACCGUCCGAGGUCACAAUUUAUAUCUGUGGAUAGAGCUAGGGGUGGGCAAACGGGUCUAGGAACCGCGGGGCGGGUCGGGUCUAGCCGGUUCGGGGCGGGUACAAGUUUUGUAAACUCAAAACGGGGCGGGUCGAGGCGGGUCCAUGUAAUUGGCGGGGCGGGGCGGGUCUAAAUUUCUGAAAAACCGGGUACCCAGGCCCGGACCGUUUCCACCGUCCAUAUACGAAGAUUAAAUCUCUACCAUUCAUUACUACCACUCUUUCUCUUAGUCGCUGACUCUCGCCUCCUCUCUCGACUUUUCCAGGAUCCAUCCUCUCUCAAGAUGGACUCAGCGCCUACUCCACCGCUCACUCCUCCUCUCGUUGAAGCCACGGCGGUCUUCAUCGGUGCUACCCCUGCCCCAUAUUCUCUCAGAUCAGAGUCGUCACUCCCCUCUCCCACUCGAGUCGAGGCCUCUUGUGAACACCACCACCGCCGUCGAAACCUCCUCCAUGAAAGACACCUUCUCCAAAUAUUCUGAUUACCUCAACAAUCUCGUAAUCCCUAAUUUAAUCUUCACCAAUUUGCAGCUCUGUGAGCGACUCGAAGGUUUGUAGAAUGACAAGCGGGAAAGGGUUGUAAAAGCAAGUCGCGAUAUCACCAUUAAUAGCAAAAAGGUCAUCUUUAAGGUUCACAGGUAAGAAAGCUGCGACCUUUUGCUUCAAAUUUUGUUUCUGUUUUUUGGGUUUUUGAUUUUGGAUUUUGGUUUUUUUUUUUAUAAUAAUUUUAUUUAUAUCAUCAUUGAAAUGAUGUUGCUGUGGAAUUUGAACUUGAACAGAAUCAAUAAACACAACAAAGAGGAAGUUCUGCAGAAAGCUGAAAAGGAUUUAGUAGCUGUGAGUCUGCGACAGAUCAGUACAUUUCCCAGCUUGUUAGAGAGAUGCAGGCUAAGUUUUUUUCUUUUAUUACUGUUACUCUGGGAUUCUUUGAGAAAACUUGAAGCUUGAAUUGUUUUUGUUUUCUGGGUGAUUUGGAAAAUGGGCGAAAAAAAAAACAAGGACCCGUGUACCCGGCCCAAACCGGCCCGUUUGAAAAGGGUCGGGUUAGGUCCGGUUUCUAUUUUAAAAUUUGUUGCACCCGGCCCGCUCCGGCCCGUUUCUUUUACACCCGGGUCCGGUCCGGUCCCUUCAAAAUUGGGCCCGGCCCGGCCCGUGCCCAGCCCUAGAUAGAGCUCGAUCUCACGAACGCGUAGGCGCAAAUCGUUCAUGAAACAGAUCUAUAACGAAGAAGUUAUAGACGUUUUAGUUGUUGGAAAAUAAAUAAUUAAAUGUUUAGAAGCUGCCAAGUGGCAGCAAGGGAGAGGGGAGAAAGGAGAGAGUGCGGGAGAGAAAAGAGGGGGACACCCAAUAAGAAAGGAGAAAGGAGGGAAAUGAGAGAAAAGAAAAAAAAAAAGGGAAGAAAAGGGAGAAACGGGUUCGUACGACCCGUGGGUAUUGCCGGCCACCCAUCUCCAUUUGCCGACGAUUUUCCGACGAAUUUCUUCAAACAACCACUUGGAAACACUCCCUUGUCCUUCCCUCUACAUGUUUCACCCUAAAAAUAAAAGGUUUUGGACUUGAAUAGGGAGAAACCGCACUAAGGGUGUAGCGGGUGUGUGUGUCAAAUCUCCCAAAUCCAAAAUGUUUACACCCAACGACCACCAUCAAAAGACUUUCCUUAAGCCCCUGAACAAAGCCCAGGCAGUGGUGGAGACGUCGGAGCAAGUUUAGAGGUCGAAUUGGAGCACACCCAAUUCUAGGGUUCUUACGGGUUUUAGAGAAAUUGGAAUACUUCUUGAUCAAAUUAGCCUUGGUCACAGGUAUAAAGUUUACUCUACUCAUUGAGAUCUUUAUUUCUGUAAUUUUUGGUAAUUUUUAAAAAUAGUUGAAUUUUUCCGGCAAAUCGGGGCGGCCGACCGCCACCCGCUGCGGCGCGUGCGGCGGCGGCCUGGCCAGCGAGCCAACGAUGUCCUUUUAAGUUCAAUUAGAUGCCCUGAUUUCAUAACUGACAUCCUUAUGUUAUGGUUUGAUUGUUUAAACCUAAUUUCAUUACGAUAUGUGGGUAGGUCAAAAUGUGAUUCGACGAUCCGACCGUUGGAUCGUCACCAAACUUUAAUGCGUCAUAGAAUGUAAUAUUUGAGGAUGGUUGGAACUAACGGAUUGGGAAUCUGAUGUAUGGAACUUCCUGAUUUGGAUUUCUAAGUUUGUAAAUCAAACAUUGGUCACCACUUGAAAUUGUAAAAUCAAACAUUGCAUAUAAGCAUGCUAGAGCCUUUAAUUGUUAAUUACAUGUAUAUGUGUUGCUAAAAUGAACUUAGUUUAUCAAAUUUUUAUUUCAAUAUCAACUUCUAUGGCAUGCGUGGUGUCUCAUGUCAAUCACACAAAUGUUAUGUAAAAAGAAUAUACACGUUGUGUUGCAUGAUUGACAAUUAACGACACAUAGUGUUAUAACCGUGUCAAUGUUAUGAAGGUUUUUAUGCAAAGUCACUUGAUAUGCCGCAACAAUUAGUAAACAAUAUUAGAAAGACCUAGAGGAACCCACAAUUAAUUCCGAUUCAAUAAGUAGGUCAUGUGCAAGCAAGGCAUGGGCUUCCCAUGGGUAGGAGCUGGAAUUUACCCAUAUUUGGUAGUUAUGUACCAUAUGUUUACCCGCAUGACGCUGAGUGUAAUCCUUCUUAAGGUUCAACAAUAUUGUUUCUAUUAACAAAUAUAAAUAAAAAAUAAGCAAAAUACUAGAGAGAUUACACGUUUAUAUUACAUUGUUGUACCAUAUUGUGAUAUGGCUGUGUACAUACCAUGUCUUGUAAUGAGUUUAUCUCAUUAGAUGUUAGACUGUUAAUUAUAUGUAUCACUUGUCAUAUCAUACAAUACAUCAAUAUGAUAUAAAUAUGCCAUCUCUCAAACAUUACUCUUAUCAGAAACCCCAAAAAAUAGGAAAUGCUCUAUACUAAAGCGGAAUGAGAAAAACAUUGUUCAUAGGCAACAGUAUUUUUACUUUUUUGCCCUCAUUUUUAAUGUUUCUGUGUUCCUACUUUUAUGCCUCUAUACGGUGAAAUCGCCAAUUGACCUAUGGGCAUGGGUGUGUAUAAAAAUUGUUUUGCACACGUGGCGUGCUAGGGAGAUUUCUCUGCAGCACUGCUUCAUUAACUGUUUCAUUUCUCUGCACCGUUUCCUUCUAGCUCCACUCCGAAUUGAUACCGAAUACUGGUCAACCAAAUUUUCUCAUCAUUUCGUUCCGUCCUUCUCCACAUCUUCAUUCUUGCUCCACCAUGAAUCGAAACAAAAAAUUGCUCAUCCAAAUUGUUUGGUAUCAGCCGCUCCAAGGAGACAAAUUGCUGAGAAAAGUAAAGAAUUCAGAUAAAAAGUGAAAUUGUUCAUUCAUAACCUUUAGGGAAAUACAGAUGGGUUCUUUAUACCCCAUUUCAGCUACUACAGACAAAAGGUUAGGUAACCCCAAGUGCUGAGUCACCAUAUUCUAAUAUUCCAUUACAAUGCAAAGGAAAUAACUUAAGGGAAUGAGCUAAAGCAUAUCAAGGUCCUAACACAAGUCAAUUUCAGUUAACUCAAAUCCCUAAAACCCAAUUUUCUCCAGAUCGUUGGAUUUAGUUUGCUGUUGUUGUUGCUAAUCUACAGGUAAAGCUUAAAUUUACAUACAAUUUUUUAUUUUUCUUGAUUGGAAUUUGGAAAGAAUUAGUUGUUCUUGGAAAGAAUUACAGAAAAUUGGAAAAGGGAAAUGGGAAAGCGAGGAAAUGCAAGAAAAUGUGUUUGGAAAAUGGAAAAUGACUUUUCUUUGGCAUUCGCUUUGACUUUCAUCCUUUCUGCGUUUGCUUUUCCUCAUUUUUUUUCUCAAGAACCAAACAUAAAAUAAAUAAAUAAACCUAUAAAAAAAAGAAAAGGAAAAUCACAAGAUUAAGAACCUGGGAAUGCAACAAUCGAGCUUCUGUGCCGAAAUAUCAAUUGGGUCCCGUUGGAUCUUCGGUGCUUCUUCUGCAUUCAAAAAGUUGGGGUAUUUCUGCAUCAUUUUUGUGUGUAUUUUUAAAUUCCAGAAGAAAGUGGAUAGAGAGAGAGGAAUAUGCUUUGGGUCGAAAUGGGAACACAAUUCCAAAUUCGCCCUCAAUCCCAAAGUUCAGUAAUUUAUGCAAUUUUUGUCGAAAUUGAUAUUCUUUAUUGCUGAUAUUUGUUAAAAAAGAGGGGGAUAAGAGCAGUAAAAAGAAUCUACAGAAAAUAUUUGUUUUGGAAGAGUAUGUCUUGAUUGGAUAAAACUCGCACCAGAGGGCGAGCGCAUCUGCUAGUAUGCAUUUAAACUUAUAAGGCUAAAUCCUUUAGGGGCGUUUGUUUGCCCUCCUUAACUCUCAUUGGACUGGACUAGAUUAAGGGUUAGUCCAAUCCCGUGUUUGGUACCCGCUAAAACUAACUUUAAUGAGACUAAAGGGGAUUCGCUCCGACUAUCUCCCUCGCUAGGAGGUCUUAGCGAGAGCGCCCUGUGACUAUGGGACUGCUAAGCCCUUCGGCUGGUAUGUCCUCAUCUCCUCUCAUCCACUCUUCUUUCUCUGUUUUCUUGAGCACCGACAGCCACCAUCACACCACCACUCCCAACUUCAGCGAGAUACACUGCUAGCCCAACACCACUCUCUCGAGAUCCAAGGAAAGCAAGCAUCAUUUGGCAAUUUUUGGUAGAAUUGCAGGGGAAGAAGAAACGAAAUGAAAAGGCUUGAAUUUGUUACAGGCCAUUGAUGGACAAGAUUUUUUUUUUGGGAAAUCGAUGAUCAGGGAUUUUUUUUUGGAGAAAUCUGGAGAUCAUGCAGCUUAUGGAACUCUCUAGAUAGAUUAAAACUCACAUAACCAAUAUGGGCAAUAAUUCAUACCUGAGAUAGAGUUUGAGAGAGCUUAAGCUCUCUGCGUUAAUGGCAGAGCGCCCGAUGGUGCAUCGAUGAUACGUACAACGCCGUAGGUGGAUUCCCCAUGUCCCAAGGGUUCGAGGUUUAGAUUUUUUAGGGUUGAUUUGGUCAGCAUCAAGAGAAAUGGUGGGGGUUCCUUCUCGGAGAUUAGAGAGAGAAAGGUUGUAGAUUAUUGUUGAGGAGAGAGAGAGAGAGAGAGAGAGAGAAAAGUGCAGAGAAAGAAAGAGAGAAUGAAAGAGGGGUCACGGGGUGAGGGACCGUAAGAGCAAGUCCACCCAUGCCAAUCGGCCGGGGGACGGGCUACAGCAAAGGGCCCGAGGGCCAGUCAAUUCAUCUCCAGCCAUGGAGGGCCCGAGUGAGGGUGGGAGCCCGAGGGCCGGGGGGGUGGGUAAUUGACAGGCCUGUGGCCCGAGGCCCGUGACGUCAGGCCUGGGUCCAGGCUAUUUUUUUAUAUUUUUUUUGUGUCAGGCGCGUGCCCCUCACUCGCGAGUGGGGGCGCGUCGCCCGACAAGAAAUCAGACAAGUGGGGUUUUCGGCCAGUUACCGUUGGGAAGCCACGUGGCUUCCCACGGUCCGUUCGAUCCCAACGGCUCUUUAAUACGAGCCGUCCGAUUUGCAACGGUAAUAAAAAAAAAACUGAUUUUAUAUCAACCGUUCGAUCUAAGAUCAACGGUUGAUAUUAAUCUGCUUUAUAAAUUAAAAAAAAAUAGUUUUAAAAUUAAGAAAAGUUACCGUUGUGACACGUGGCACAAUCUGGAGUGUUGGAAUUCAAAUUUUUUUAAAUCCAACGGUAGAAAUUAAUUAUUGGAAAAAAAAAUUUAAAAAAAAUGGAAAAAAUCCAAAAAAAUUGUAAAAAAUCUGAAAAAAAAAAUUGUAAAAAAUUGUUUUUACUUUUCUAUAAAUACCACUUCUUCUCUAUCUAUCUUACACCACAAUUUCAUAUUUUCUCAACUACUUUCAAUCAAAUUCCUAUCUUUCUCUCAAAGUUUCAAUCCAAUUUUUUUCCACAAAAUGGCUACUGAUGCAGGUUCGAAUUGGUCGCUUCUUGAAGAUGUUGCGUUGUGCACUAGCUGGGUUGAAGUUACUCAUAAUUCCGUUACGGGUAAUGAGAUGCAGUUGCGAGAAAUGUGGAGUUUAAUUCAUACCAAAUUUGUUGAGCAAAUUGGUGGGAAAAGAACCAAAGAAUCGAUAUCGAGUCGUUGGAAAAUACUUAGCCAUUCCUUUAGUACGUGGAGAGAUGCCUUGACACAAGCUAGUAAUAAUGUUCGAAGUUGGGCAAAUUAUGCGGAUGAGGUAAGAAUAUAUUAUAAUUAUUUGUUUGUAUUAUUAUUUUGUUACCUAAUUUGAUUAUAAUUAUUUGUUUGUUUCAUUUAUUUGUUACCUAAUUUCAUUAUUAUUAUUUGUUUGCAAUAUUUAUUUGUGACCUAAUUUCAUUAUUAUUAUUUGUUUGUAUUAUUUAUUUGUUACCCAAUAAUUUCAUUAUUAUUAUUUGUUUGUAUUAUUUAUUUGUUACCUAAUAUAAUUUCAUUAUUAUUAUUAUUUGUUUGUAUUAUUUAUUGUUACCCCAAUAAUUUCAUUAUUAUUAUUUGUUUGUAUUAUUUAUUUGUUACCUAAUAAUUUCAUUAUUAUUAUUUGUGGUAGAUUAUUUGUUAUAUAAUAUUUAUUUGUUAUUAUAAUUUCAUUAUUAUUAUUUCUUUCUAUUAUUCAUUUAUUAUUAUUAAUUUUUAUUAUAUUUAUUUUUCCUUACAUAAUUUCUUAAUUUAUUAUUUUGUUAUUUCUUUAUUAUUGUUAUUCCAUAUUAUUUCAUAAUUAAUUUCAUUCAUAUUAUUUAUCUUCCUAGAUAAAUUCAAUAUUUGUCUUUUGUAUAAAUUUCAAAGAGAAUUAUGUUGCAUGAAGUAUGGCCAUGCAUGUUAGUGUCCCAAAAUUCAAGCAAUGGCAUGUUGGAAGUCAUGCCAUUGAAAGCCCGUUACACCCAGGUUGCAUUGAACAGCACCCUCCCAGCACAUUUUGUACACAGCAACCCUCUCCACACUCUACACCCUGAUGGACCUGAUGAAGAAGAUGUAAAGAAGUGCCUGAAACACCCAUUCCUGAACAAGCGUCAAGCGUCGGGGUCGACCGUUUCAUUAAUUAGGCUCAAGGUAAGAAGGCUUCAAAGAGGAAAGGGAGUGCUUCCAUGAAUUAUUUACAUGAAUUUUGAUCAUUGGCUAUUUGACGUUGAAUAAUGACGGCGGGAUUUAUAGAGAUUUGAGCAAAAGAAUUGAGGCAGAAGAAGGCAAGAAUUGCAAAUUUUGAGCAAACAGAACAGAACACAAGAUUGCUACUUAGAACAGGGAAAGGCAAGAGCUACUUAGAGAAGAAACCUUAGAAGAAGAAAAAGAUGAACAAGAGAUCGUCAAUUUGAACACGCGUUUAGGAAGGUGAAUUGACGUUGGCACGGGAUUUGGCGAAAUAUGAGGCUGAAAAGGCUAGAGAAGAGGCAAAAGCUGCAGCUACUGAACAAACAUUUCAAGUUGAACAGAGGGAAAGAGAGCUACUUAGGCAAGAAAGGGAGUUGCUUAGAGAAGAAAGAAAUGCACAACGAGAUCGUGACAUUAUGAACACGCGUUUAGAAGGGAUGUCUCCAAAUUCUAAAUAUUUUUGGAAGUCGGAGAAAGCGGAUGUGGUGCGAAGGAGGCGUGUAAGAGAAGCGAGAUCAAGACAAGAUGGUCCUAGCACAACAAGACAAGAUGAUCCUAGCACCACAAAUUGGUUAAGUGAUGAUGAAUAGGGUACUUUUUGUAAUCGGACCCCAUAGUUUUCCGAUCACUUUGGGUUGUAAUUUAUUAUUUAUGUUGUUUCCAAUUUAUUGAAGUUAGUACUUUAUUUAACGUGAGAGUACAUUUAUUUAAUUUCGUAAUAUAUUUAAAAUUAAACUACAGUCAAUGACGUGUCCAGAUGCGUGUCCAUAGGCAAGACACGAGUACAGACGUGGCAAGAGACGAGGGUUGUACAACCAUGAGCUUGUGUCCGUGGCAAGGACAACAAAGGCUUGGGGCUUAGGAUGGCAGAGGAAAUACCACGGCAAGCUAGAGCCACCGACACAUCGUCGUUGCCGCCAAACUUACGUAAAAUCGUUAGCACAAAAAGCCGCCAAGGGUUUCCGCUCACUGGGAAAAAGAUAAGAUUUGUGAACGCCAAGACCACAUGGGUCACAACAUAGCAAAAUUGAAAUCUUUGUCAUCCUCAGCAUUAUCCGACCGCUAUCCACAAAUUGAAGCAACGAAUUGGGCAAGUGUGCAACAAAUUUCCAAUGUGCUUCUAUUGUGAAUGAUUUACAGGGAUUGGGUUGAAUGAGGUUUGUAGUUAAAGUGGGAUGCAAUUUAGAACACCAACGUUUGAUUAUGUUUCUCUCAUUUUUUUCUGUUCACUUUUGCCUCAUUUGUUUUUUUUGUUGCAUCGUCUCAAAAACCUUGUGCGUCUACAUGUACAUGUAUAAGUAUAAAUUUUGGUUAAAACAAAAAGUCACAUAUUUCAUAAUUAACUAUUUAAAUUUGUUGCAAAUCACAGUAUAUCUUUGUUCAUACAUUCAAACAAGCAUGACAAAUACUGAGGAAGAAAAUGAAAAUUAUUGUCACUACAAUUGUAUAUAUUUUUUUCUUUUUGAACAAACGAUAUUAUCUACACUAAGGGGGUGAGGGAGUGGCCUAAGCCUAACAAUGAGCUAGCAAUAAUAUAGUUCAAUUUGCCUUUGAUGAGAAUCGAACAUAAGACAUUUCACUUACAAGUGAAGAGAAAUAUCCUAGACCCUAACUGGAUAUGUUAUUGUCAUGGUCAUGCAUUGGUAUAGUAACAAUAUGUUUGGAUAAGGACAAUAAACUUAUAAUUUUGCCAAAAGUCAGAAUUUUUAAAUUGACACAAUCAAUUCCUUUGUUUGGAUUCAUAAAUAUAGAAAUUUAGACUUUCCGCGUGAGAAAAAACUUGGAAUUUGGUACCUUCAAUUCUCAUGUUUAAAUUUCAUGUAAAUAUGUGUCAUUUAUAAAUUUCAGUAAGUGAGAGUUUAAAAAUAACAAACAUGUAUUCAAAUUUCAUUCAUCCUUUAGGUUAACCAAACAAGAAAAUUUAUAAAUUCUAGAAAAUAAAAUUUCGUUAUUUCAUUUCUGUUAUUUUAAAAUUUUUAGGGCAUGUUUGGUACUCUACUUGAAUCUAACUUUUUAAACUCAAAAACAAUUUUCAAGUUUUAGGCCUUAAAAACUUGUUUGGUAGAACUAUUUUAAAAAACUGAACUUAAAACUAACUAAAAAAUAUAAUCUAUUAUCUAAAAACACAAAAAAUGAGUUUUUAGAAUUUGUAAACUUAAACUCACUCCUUUCUUUUCUCUCCCUGCUCCCCUCUCACUCCAAAUCUCUCUCUCUCUUUUCUUCUUUCUCUCUCCCCCUUCUUUUUUUUUAACCUUUUUUUGUCUCUCAUCCAAUCCGCUCUCUUUAUUCUCUCGGUUCUUUCUCUCACUCCUCUUCCUCUCUAUCUCCUCCGAUUCUCUCUCUUCAUUCUUUUUCAACCAAUCAUUUCUUAUUUUCUUUCCUCCCCUCUCCUCUUUCUCCCUCGACCACCUCUUUUUGGAUCUCCUUGUUCAGUUUGAGCUAUAAGAUUUAAAAAUUUUAAAUCGCAUAUCAAACAAGUUUUUGAGUUUUAAAGAAAAUUGUUUUCAAGAAAUAUUUUGAGAAAUGAUAAAAAAUUUCAAAUAUGAUACCAAACAAGCCCUUAAUAAUCUUAAAUUUUCUCGUCCAAACAAAAAGUUUUCUUGUCAUAGAACUUUCAAUUGAAAUCAAGGAAGAUAAUCUUUUCACAACUAAUUAUUCUCACCAAAAGCAAUUUUUAUUUUAUAGCAGAUCAAUACCAAAUUGCAAAAGCAAAGUAGUAAGGCUAAAAUUCAGGUGAAGAACCUGCUUCCACUAAUUUCCUUAGGAGGGAGAGAGAGAGAGAGGGGAGAGAGAACCAAGCGACCGAGCAGAGAGAGAAAACACCAAGUAGUAUUCUAAUGUUGGUGGGGUUAAGUCACCUUCCGUGAAGUUGCAGUAAGGACUUCUAUCCCAAAGAAAAGUCAGUAAAUGAUGUUGACAUCCGUCAACGACAAGGACAGAAUUGUGUAACCAUAAUUCUCUCUCUAUCUCUUUUUUCAUUAACGGAGGACAGUGUAUAAUUACUACGUAUAUAUCUCUGCUCAAUUAUUGAAAAGAAAAAUCCAUGUGCAUUAUUUUUAUUAUUAUUAUCUCAGAAAUGCAGAAAUUGAUCAUCUCUUCCUUCUGCAUAUUGAUACUGGUUUUCUUCAAACUAGUUGAAGCAAGGCAAUAUGUGUGCGCGAAAUCCAACUGUAGCAAUGAUCAAGGCCCGGCUAUCUAUUUCCCAUUGAACACCAGGCACACACAUCAUUGUGGAAAUUCUGGGCUUGAAUGCAAUGGGAGAAAUGAGCAGCAAAUACUAAUAAAAUUAUUUGUCAAACACAUAGAUUACAAGCGUCAGGAAAUCCAAGUCUAUUCCCCAAGUAACUGCCUGCUGCUAAAGCCUGUUGAAAUCCCAAACAUGCCACCCUCUCCCUUCAUCGUGUCAGUCGGUUACCUGACGAACGUUACCUUAUUCAGUUGUCCUACUUCUGUUGCAAGUGAUCCAUAUUAUCCGUAUCAAGUCCCCUGCCUCGGCGACCGUGGCAAGAGAACUUAUGCCAUUGAUUCUGACUCUGGUUUUAGAACUCUUUUCCGGAAUCUACAAUCUUGUACAAAAAUGUAUGAUGUUUUAUCAGUUCCACUAACCUAUGAAGAUUAUGUACAUCGUUUCAAAUGGUCUAUACCAAAUUGCAGAAAAUGUGGAGAGGGAAAGAAGUGUGGAUGGCAGAACAAUGAAAUUAAAUGUAUUCAAUGGAGGAAACCAAGUAAGGAUAACAUAUGUAUUCAUUGCUAGUUUUAAACAUCUUUACAUUUAUGUCUCAGUAAUUAUUAUUUAAAACAUGUUGUCCAAUCCAUUUUUACUAUGAAUAUUAACUGACAGUCUCAUUUGAAUUUGCCUUUAUCUUUUACAGGCAACACAUGGAAAUUAGUGGUUACAGGUGGAAUCCUGGGUUCUUUGCUUCUUGUUCUACUGAUGAUUGCAGCAUAUCGGGUAUAUAGCGCUGAUAGAAAGGAAAAAGAGAGUCGAUUGCGAAUCGAAAGAUUCUUGGAGGAUUACAAAGCACUCAAACCAAGCAGGUAUUCGUACGCAGAUAUUAAGAGGAUUACAAAUCAAUUCAAGGACAAGUUGGGCGAAGGAGCCUAUGGAACUGUCUUUAAAGGAAUGCUCUCUUCUGAAUUCUUUAUUGCUGUCAAAGUCCUCAACAGUUCUAAGGGAGAUGGGGAAGAGUUCGUAAAUGAAGUGCGAACGAUGGGUCAUAUCCACCACGUCAACGUGGCUCGCUUGGUUGGAUUUUGUGCUGAUGGAUUUGUAAGAGCUCUUGUUUACGAGUUCUUCCCCAAUGGUUCCCUGCAGGAUUUCAUUUCAUCCGCAGAUAGUAAGAAUUCCUUUCUUGGUUGGGAUAAGCUGCAGGAUAUUGCCCUAGGCAUAGCCAAAGGAAUUGAAUAUCUUCACCAAGGAUGCGAUCUACGAAUCCUGCAUUUCGAUAUCAAACCCCAUAAUGUUUUGCUAGACCAAAACUUCACUCCAAAAAUUUCUGAUUUUGGUUUGGCCAAGUUAUGUUCCAAGGAUCAAAGCUUGGUGUCCAUGACUACAGCUAGGGGGACCAUGGGCUACAUUGCACCCGAAGUGUUCUCCAGGAAUUUUGGAAAUGUGUCUUACAAGGCAGAUGUCUAUAGCUUUGGAAUGCUGCUGCUUGAGAUGGUAGGAGGAAGGAAGAAUAUUGGUUCAAUCACGGAUAACACUACAAAUGAAAUUUACUAUCCACAGUGGAUUUAUAAUCUUCUAGAGGAAGGGGAUGAC